ACAUUCAUGUGCAUCAAAAUUAACGAUUAUCUACCAUACUCACCAAGCACGUCACCAGGGUAGAAGGUCUUGUUCCUCUCCCAGCCAUGAACACCAAAGGUCCAUCCCUUUUGACCUCCGACUAUCCACUCCGUCUUGCUAAAACCACUGGUUGCGAAGCACAGGGUUAGCACCAACCCAAGAGCAACGGCGCCAGUGCUGCUCAUGCUUCUACCUAGUGCCAUUGCCGCUUUUUCACUACUAAGGGCGUGUUCGGUAGCCCUCUGGCUACUCAACUCCUCGACUCCAGCCUUGGAGUCGUGCCGAACGGUUCAACUCCUGGUUAUUUGACUGAGAAGCUGGCUCAAUGCUACGUGCAAAAUCAACGGAGUCGCGGAGCUGGAAAUACCUGGCUCCAUGGAAACUGGGAAGCUGGAUUCAGCAACAAUUACGGGCGUAUGCCACCGCCAAGUGAUCGAUGGACUGCACCAAUCGUUCCCUCAAGGCCACUCCACCACACCCACGGCUCCUUUUCCCCUUCCGCCAACCCUAGCCGCCGCUCUGCACCGACAGCGCCGGCGCCCGCGCUCUCCACUGCCACUUCGCACCUUCAGCGCCGGCGGCCGCUCUCCACCGUCGGUCGUCCGCCGCCGUCGCAAACCGUCUCCUUCGUCCCCCACCACCCAUCCCCGCCCUGCUCACCCUCAUCUGCUGCUCUGCAUCGACAGCGCCGGCGGCCGCGCUCUCCACCGCCGGUCUGCACCCUCAGCGCCGGCAGCCGCGCUCUCCAUCGCCGGUCGUUCACCGCCGUUGCGAACCAUCUCCUCCGUCCCCGACCACCCAUCCCCGAGCAAACACUUUCUGGCCUGCUUACCUCGUCAAUCGCUCGCAACGAGAAGCUGCAGCACCGAAAGGGUCGCUCACUCCUGGAGUUUAGGUGGGAAGCUGGCUGCUAGAUCUGGGCGACGGAGUUGAGGAUUUUGCAGCUGUGGUGAACUACCGAACACGCCCUAAAGCUCACAAAAGUGAAUUUGAUUUGCGUUGGUGGGGAAGGGAAACCCACUAUUUAAAGGCUCCUGAUCAAGGUUCAGUCACUCAUGCAAUAUUUGAAAUUAACUGUACUAAUUAAGAAGUAAAGACAUUUACUUUUGAUUUGUUCCAAGAUACAAGAGCUAUAUAUCUAGGAAAAAUCUGCAUUUAAUUUGCCGCGCAUUUAAUUUUAUAUUUCAAGAUCAUAUAAAGACAUAUAAAGUAAAUGUAAGAGAUUUUAUUAUUUCUACUAAUGUGUGCGACUAAAUUUCAUAUUCAACCACACCUCUGCUUUUGUGAGGUCCAUUUACAAUAUAAGAUAUGUUAUAAUUUUCUUUAGUAUUUUUAAAUUGCUUUCUUUUAUUGCAUUAGAUAUACGGAAAUAUUAACGCCCACACGUGUGGCAUGUUUGCACUUCGCCCACAUGCGUUGAUACACGUUGAUUCUGUUUUGCACGAAUCCUAAAGAAAUCUGUUAGAUUUUCAGUGCCAUGUGGGCAUCAUCAUGUGUGUGGGCGUUGAAGAGUUCACCCACACGAUCCACAACACGCGGUUGCCAGCUGCGCCGUGUGGGUGAACCAGUUUCUGCCCACACAGUCACCAUGUAGUCCACGCGCGUGUCGGCGAAUUGCUCUUCGCCCACACGACGCUCGUACGUUGUUAGAUGGCAACUGUAGUUGAGCGUAUGUGGCAACUAGGUAAACACACAUGGCAACUAUGAUUCGUUGCUAGAUGGCAACUGCAGUUGUGCGUAUGUGGCAACUUGGUAAACACACAUGGCAAUUGUGAUUAACCAUACAUGGCAACUAUGAUUGGACCACAUGUGGCAACUAGUUAAUCACACAUGGCAACUAUUGUUUGAUCACGUAGGGCAAGUAGUUUAUCAUACAUGGCAACUAUGGUUUGAAUACACGCGGCAACUACUGUUACUUAGACAUGGCAACUACCGUUACUUAGACAUGGCAACUACAUUUGCCAUUCCGGGUGACUAAAGUUGCCAUCCCCCGGGGUAACUAAAGUGCCAUCCCACGGGCGUGCCAGGAUGUGUGGGCAGAUUUGCUUCAUGCCACACACGCGGGGUGAGGAUGAAUAGUAGUUUCUUGGGUGUGUGGCACGAAGUGGCUACACCCACACGUGUGAGUAGCUCUAAUGUUCGCCCACACAUGACCCUUGUGGGCUACCUCCUGCUGACGCCACAUGAUAUGUGGGCGGAUGUCUAAUAUGCCACACGUGUGGACGUGAGUAAUUCCAAGGAUGGAAACAUUAGACUCUACACCUUCAAAGAUAAAUUUAAUCCUUUUAACAAGCUACGUUAGAAAUAGGCUCGUAUUGUAGUUUGCAACUGUGGUCAAAAGGAAGAUGAAGGUCGCCUCUCGUUUUCCACCCCUAACCCUAGGCGGCUAGGGCAAACUCUCCCCAUCAUGUUUCACCGGCGACCCCGUUCAUUCGUCUCCCUUCUGUCUGCCACUCCGAUGGCCGGUGGUGGGAGGGAAAUCCCGAUGCCUCUGCUCCGGAUAGUAGUUUAGGUUAGGUUUUUUUUAGUCCCCGCACAUGUGGCGCUCGGACGAAUGGCCACGCUUCUUCUUUGAGUUUGUCUUCCAGGCUUCGAUCCUCCUCGAGUUCGUCCAGCUAGAUGUAUAGUUGAUGGAGCUCCCAUGUAAAUUCCUACCAUCUCCUUGGGACAAUAGGGUCAGGGUUUCUCGUCAUGUGACGAGAUUUGGUGUCAGGUGCUUCGGAUGUAUGCAAGGGUACAACAGCGAUGACUAUGGCUCCAAGACCCUGGUCCUUAGGGGUACGUGUAGGGAGACUUCCCACUGUUAUCGAUAAGGUCAAGCUGGCUCCGGUAGGGGAGCGACGACAACAUCGUGUCAACUACUUGUUUAGGUUGCAGUAGUGGUCGUUCGUUGGUCUCGGAAUCUCGAUGUAACCUCACAAAAAAAAGAUGAUGAAACCUAACAACUAUAUCUCGCAUUCAGCGAGACGGUAGGAUGUCUCGCUGAAGGGUUACAGUAAUUGGGCCGGCACAUUGGCGCAUAGUUAAAGAAAAAAGGGAAGGGAGAGGAGAGCAUGAGGGAUCAAUCCNNNNNNNNNNNNNNNNNNNNNNNNNNNNNNNNNNNNNNNNNNNNNNNNNNNNNNNNNNNNNNNNNNNNNNNNNNNNNNNNNNNNNNNNNNNNNNNNNNNNUAGUGGUCGUUCGUUGGUCUCGGAAUCUCGAUGUAACCUCACAAAAAAAAGAUGAUGAAACCUAACAACUAUAUCUCGCAUUCAGCGAGACGGUAGGAUGUCUCGCUGAAGGGUUACAGUAAUUGGGCCGGCACAUUGGCGCAUAGUUAAAGAAAAAAGGGAAGGGAGAGGAGAGCAUGAGGGAUCAAUCCCUGGAGGUCCAGGAAGGUAGCGAGCGUGGCUUAGCCACCGCGCCCACCUACUAUUCUUGUUAAGUAACAGGGGCGCCACCUACUUGAAGCGAGUAGAGCCUAUUUUAUUGUUUUUAACGUUUUCUUUUUUUUCUUUCUUUUUUUCUUUUCCAGGUUUUUAGUUUUUUAAUUCUAUUUUCAUUUGUUUUCCGUUUUUUAUUUUUUAUUUGGUUUUCAUUUUUUUCAUUUUCUUUGUUUCUUUUGGUUUUCAUUCUACAUUUUUUGUAUAUGUCAACAACAUUUUUCUAAUGCAUGUUUAACACUUUUGCAAGACAAAUUUAAUUUUCUUAAUACAUGAUCUACAUUUAUAUACACAUUUUCAAUAUUUUUUUAAAUGCUGGAGUAACAUUUUUCAAAUACAUGAUUAGUUUCUUUAAUAUUUGGUCAACAUUAUUCCUAUACAUAGUUUUUAAAAACUUCAAAUGCUUAAUUAACAUUUUUAAAAUACAACAUUAACGUUUUCUAAUACAUGGUCAAUAUUUUUUUCUAUGCAUGUUUAACUUUUUCAAAUGCUUGAUUAACACUUUUUAAGUGCAAUAUUAACAUUUUUUUACGCACAUGGUCAACAUUUUUUCUCAACACAUUUGAAAAUUUUCAAAUUCUUAAUUAAGAUUUUUCACAUACUUGUUCAACACUUUUUCAAAUGCUUGAUUAACAUUUUUAUAUACAUGAUCAAAAAAACAUCAUUUUUUNNNNNNNNNNNNNNNNNNNNNNNNNNNNNNNNNNNNNNNNNNNNNNNNNNNNNNNNNNNNNNNNNNNNNNNNNNNNNNNNNNNNNNNNNNNNNNNNNNNNNNNNNNNNNNNNNNNNNNNNNNNNNNNNNNNNNNNNNNNNNNNNNNNNNNNNNNNNNNNNNNNNNNNNNNNNNNNNNNNNNNNNNNNNNNNNNNNNNNNNNNNNUUUUUUAAUACAAGAUAAACAUUUUUUCCAUACACAUUUAGCAUUUUCCAGAGGGGCUUGAUUAACAUUUUUUACACACAUGAUCAAAAAAAAUAUCAUUUUCUUAAUAAAUGGUAAAACAUUUUUUUCUAUAUAGAUUAAUCAUUUUUCAAAUGCUUGAUUGACAGUUUUCAAAUACUUGUUUAACAGUUUUUUUUUCAAAUGCUUGAAUAACAUUUUUAUAUACAUGAUCAGAAAAAAUCAUCAAUCUUUAAAUACAUGGUCAACAUUUUUUUCUGUACACGUUUAACAUUUUUUCAAAUGCUUGAUUAACAUUUUUCAAAUGCAUGUUUAACACCUUUUCAAAUUCUCGGUUAAGAUGUUAAAAAAUACAAGAUUAAUUAUUUUCAUACAGGUUUUUAACAUUUUUCGNNNNNNNNNNNNNNNNNNNNNNNNNNNNNNNNNNNNNNNNNNNNNNNNNNNNNNNNNNNNNNNNNNNNNNNNNNNNNNNNNNNNNNNNNNNNNNNNNNNNNNNNNNNNNNNNNNNNNNNNNNNNNNNNNNNNNNNNNNNNNNNNNNNNNNNNNNNNNNNNNNNNNNNNNNNNNNNNNNNNNNNNNNNNNNNNNNNNNNNNNNNNNNNNNNNNNNNNNNNNNNNNNNNNNNNNNNNNNNNNNNNNNNNNNNNNNNNNNNNNNNNNNNNNNNNNNNNNNNNNNNNNNNNNNNNNNNNNNNNNNNNNNNNNNNNNNNNNNNNNNNNNNNNNNNNNNNNNNNNNNNNNNNNNNNNNNNNNNNNNNNNNNNNNNNNNNNNNNNNNNNNNNNNNNNNNNNNNNNNNNNNNNNNNNNNNNNNNNNNNNNNNNNNNNNNNNNNNNNNNNNNNNNNNNNNNNNNNNNNNNNNNNNNNNNNNNNNNNNNNNNNNNNNNNNNNNNNNNNNNNNNNNNNNNNNNNNNNNNNNNNNNCAAUGGUAGUUACCCCCUAGCCGUCUGUCCUCCACGUGUCACUUCUUAUCCUAAGCCAAACGGGUUGGUGGAUGAGAAAGAAUCCAAUAGCCGCCAGCUAACAAACAUCUAAUUAAAUAAUUAAAUAAAUGAUGAGAGUUUGUUCAACAACCUGCUACUUCCUUGGCCGGCCGAACGAAACACCAUGAACAGAUAAGAUCUUUUUAUAAGUUGAACGUGCUGGCCCAAACAUCUCUUGUAUUUUUCUUUUUUGAGGAAUCACUUGUAUACUUCUGGCUCGAGUAAGUAGAACUACAUGGUUUGGAAAAUACUAGUAUAUAGUAUAUUGUUUGGAAAAACAGCAUGUAGUAUAUUGUUUCGAAAAUAGUAUAUCAUGGAGUUUGAAAAAAAGUAUAUUUGGGAGCUAUGAAUAUAUAGUUUGUAGCAUCGAGUAUAUGCACGGUGUGAAGUUAAAAGGAGUAUACAGUAUGGUAGUAUGUAGUAUGGAGUACACAGUGAAAUUGAAAGGGGUAUAUACAGUAUGGUAGUAUGUAGUAUGGAGUACAUAGUGUGGAAUUGAAAGGAGUAUAUCGUAUGUGCGGACGAGUAUAUAUAGUUGAAAAACGUGUAUUUUGGUGUAUNNNNNNNNNNNNNNNNNNNNNNNNNNNNNNNNNNNNNNNNNNNNNNNNNNNNNNNNNNNNNNNNNNNNNNNNNNNNNNNNNNNNNNNNNNNNNNNNNNNNNNNNNNNNNNNNNNNNNNNNNNNNNNNNNNNNNNNNNNNNNNNNNNNNNNNNNNNNNNNNNNNNNNNNNNNNNNNNNNNNNNNNNNNNNNNNNNNNNNNNNNNNNNNNNNNNNNNNNNNNNNNNNNNNNNNNNNNNNNNNNNNNNNNNNNNNNNNNNNNNNNNNNNNNNNNNNNNNNNNNNNNNNNNNNNNNNNNNNNNNNNNNNNNNNNNNNNNNNNNNNNNNNNNNNNNNNNNNNNNNNNNNNNNNNNNNNNNNNNNNNNNNNNNNNNNNNNNNNNNNNNNNNNNNNNNNNNNNNNNNNNNNNNNNNNNNNNNNNNNNNNNNNNNNNNNNNNNNNNNNNNNNNNNNNNNNNNNNNNNNNNNNNNNNNNNNNNNNNNNNNNNNNNNNNNNNNNNNNNNNNNNNNNNNNNNNNNNNNNNNNNNNNNNNNNNNNNNNNNNNNNNNNNNNNNNNNNNNNNNNNNNNNNNNNNNNNNNNNNNNNNNNNNNNNNNNNNNNNNNNNNNNNNNNNNNNNNNNNNNNNNNNNNNNNNNNNNNNNNNNNNNNNNNNNNNNNNNNNNNNNNNNNNNNNNNNNNNNNNNNNNNNNNNNNNNNNNNNNNNNNNNNNNNNNNNNNNNNNNNNNNNNNNNNNNNNNNNNNNNNNNNNNNNNNNNNNNNNNNNNNNNNNNNNNNNNNNNNNNNNNNNNNNNNNNNNNNNNNNNNNNNNNNNNNNNNNNNNNNNNNNNNNNNNNNNNNNNNNNNNNNNNNNNNNNNNNNNNNNNNNNNNNNNNNNNNNNNNNNNNNNNNNNNNNNNNNNNNNNNNNNNNNNNNNNNNNNNNNNNNNNNNNNNNNNNNNNNNNNNNNNNNNNNNNNNNNNNNNNNNNNNNNNNNNNNNNNNNNNNNNNNNNNNNNNNNNNNNNNNNNNNNNNNNNNNNNNNNNNNNNNNNNNNNNNNNNNNNNNNNNNNNNNNNNNNNNNNNNNNNNNNNNNNNNNNNNNNNNNNNNNNNNNNNNNNNNNNNNNNNNNNNNNNNNNNNNNNNNNNNNNNNNNNNNNNNNNNNNNNNNNNNNNNNNNNNNNNNNNNNNNNNNNNNNNNNNNNNNNNNNNNNNNNNNNNNNNNNNNNNNNNNNNNNNNNNNNNNNNNNNNNNNNNNNNNNNNNNNNNNNNNNNNNNNNNNNNNNNNNNNNNNNNNNNNNNNNNNNNNNNNNNNNNNNNNNNNNNNNNNNNNNNNNNNNNNNNNNNNNNNNNNNNNNNNNNNNNNNNNNNNNNNNNNNNNNNNNNNNNNNNNNNNNNNNNNNNNNNNNNNNNNNNNNNNNNNNNNNNNNNNNNNNNNNNNNNNNNNNNNNNNNNNNNNNNNNNNNNNNNNNNNNNNNNNNNNNNNNNNNNNNNNNNNNNNNNNNNNNNNNNNNNNNNNNNNNNNNNNNNNNNNNNNNNNNNNNNNNNNNNNNNNNNNNNNNNNNNNNNNNNNNNNNNNNNNNNNNNNNNNNNNNNNNNNNNNNNNNNNNNNNNNNNNNNNNNNNNNNACUAUGUGGUAAUAUAUAUACUACUUUAUCAUUUUUAGUAUGUUCAUAUACUAUAUUUAAGAUACUCCAAACCGAGUUAUGUGAAAAAAUUGCAUGUGAGCCCAUGUUUUUAUCAUAUUUGUGAAAAUAGGUACAUAUUUGUAUGUAAAAAGAAGUAUGCUAAAAAUAUACUAUGUACUACUUAAAAAAUAGUACAUAUACUACCUAAAUAUUCUUACAUACUACAUACUACACAUACAUACACUGCGGUAUGGUAGAUACUACCUAAAACGUACAAAAUAAAAAUGGGUGUAACUACACCCGGUAGUAGGAAAAAUUCGUCGUAUAUAUAUAUAUAUAGGGAAAAUCCAUCCUACCACCCGGUGGUAGUUACCCCAUAUGUCUCAUAUACUACCAUAUGGUACUAAACUUGAAAAAAACACUCUAGUUUUGAUAUACAUAUAUCACAAAAAAUAUAUUAUGUUUCACUCAAAAUAUAUUCCUCGGCUUGUUUUGAUGAUGUGAGGGAGGGAUGUGGUUGGUUUCAAGAUACUAAGGGGUUUUCUGCAAAUUGGAGUAGAAAAGUGGCCUAUUGUUGCAAAAAGGCCAGAACUUACCUCACAGUCGUUAGAUGCAGAUCUAAUGGUCAGAAAUGACAGAUGACAGACACACCGUCACCACCAACUGAGUCUUCUAUAGGUGUAAAGAUUAUAUAACAAAAGUAAAAAAUAAAGAAAAAACGAACACAAAAAACGUAAAAAAAAAACGAGGCUGUGGCCUCUCGCGUGCCUGGGCCAGCCCAAUCCGCCCUUGCCUUCAGCGAGGGUUCCUUGAGAUAUAGGGGCGCCCAUGAUGAAGGACGUCGGUGGAUGAGUUUAUGUUUGGCAGAUGUGUGCAUUGUGUGGGUUGUGUUGGGCCAAGGAGUGGGUGAGGCCUUCAUGCCUGUGGAUGGCGUUCAAAAUUGUCGUCCACAUAUACGGUAAAGGUUUCCCUAAAAAAAUGUGGUAAAGGUAGCCUGUUCUUAGAAAAAAGUGUGGUAAAGAUAACUUGUUCUUAAAUUGUAAAAUGGGGGUGAGGCGUUCAUGCCUGUGGAUGGGGUACAAAAUUGUUGUCCACAUAUGUGGUAAAGGUUCUCCUAAAUAACUUAUGAUAAAGGUAGCAUGUUCUUAAAAGAAAUGUGUUGUAAAGGUCACUUGUUCUUAAAUUGAAAAAUGGUAAAGGUAGCCACCAACUCCAUUCUCUUUGCAUGUCCCGUUUCCCGGAACGAGAGGAUGGGUACCAAUAGACGCCGGUGCGCCGGCCGAAUCGUUCGGCCGGUCCAACCAGGAUCGUACGACCCCAGGAAUCUAGUCGUCCGAUAUGCCUUUUACCGUUCGUCCUUCUUCUCCAUGGCCUUCCUCAAGAAAUUGCAGCACCGCAUAGACGAAGAGACAGGAGGCUACGACCAGCACCGUCGACCCCCGCCGUAAUUCGCCGCCUCGCCGCAGCUUCGCUGCCGGUCGUCGCCCUCGCCGGUGGUCGCCGCCCUCGCCGGUGGUCGCCGCCCUCGCCGGCGGUCGACGUCUCCCAUGUGUCUCUCAUCGGGCGCCACAACCCCCACCCUCCCCACGCACGUUUUGCUGCGUCGCGGGAGAUCACCGGCGUUGGCGACGGUGACCAACACGCUGUAAAACCACCAUCGCGCCGCCAAUGCUUCCCGGCCAUGGAUUUUUCUCGAACCGUCGAUGUGAAUGCUGGAAACAUAUUUGGAAAAUGCUGGAACCGGCUAUUAGAUAUGUUGCAUCCGAUGAUGUUUUUUGAUGGAACCAGAGCUGUACCCAGAAACGCGGUCGUCAUCGUUUGUUACAACCGUACCCGAUAAAGGCUACAUCCACGUUCAUACAAAGCUGCAACCUUUUCACACCAAAAACUACAUCCAACGACGACAUAUGUUGACAAAUGUUACAACUGUACAUUGAAAAAGCUUCGUCCAUGUUCACGAAAGCUGCAACCGGCGAGCGUGGUGACCGCGCACGGUGAUUUUGUUUUUGCUACAACCAAUUUCGUUUUCUUUGCUACUACCAGCUUCGUUUUUUGAUACAGCCAUGGCUGGUGAGCGUGGUGACCGCGGGCGGCGAGGAUGGGCAGCCCUGCUCCAAGCAACAUUCGCGCGAGGACGGCCUCGUGGAUUUAUGCUAUAUGCUACAACCGGCAUUGAAAAUUGCUACCACCACGUGCCGUAUAGCUACAACCGCAAUCGUGAUUUGCUGCAUCGCACGACAAUGCGUUUUUUGCUGGAAGCGAUGCUCAUAUUUGCUGGAACGGGGUGAGCGAGAUGUUGCAACGGCGAGGGAUCUAUGCGACAAGCAGCGACUCACGGACAUGAGCGGCGGCAAGCCCGCCGGUGAGCUGCAGCUCCACCGGAGCUACGACCGUCGCGUCGAGAGCUGCAAAACAGCAGGUUGUGUGGGUGCAUGAACGACAACGAGGAUGGCCAGCGAUGGCGGCGAACAGCGACGAGGACGGCCGGCAUGGGCGGCGACCGGCGACUUGGACAGCCGGCGUGGGUGAGGACUGGAGAUGCGGCCGGCCAGCCCGCGAGAUGAGAGAGAGAGAUGAAGCAGUGCAGCCGCACAGGGCGUUGAUGGCGAGCAGUUGGUUUGAUGGCGAGCAGUUGGUGGACCCGGUCACCACGCAUCUCACCACGCGAGAAGCCUGCCGUAUGAUAAAAGUAGAUCGCACUGGUCGUGCGCGACCGGCCAAAUGUUCGGCCGACGCGCCGUUCUGAAACGUUUCCCUAUUUCCUAGCGGGAGACUUGCGGGUCAAGGUCGGCAACGGGAUGUGUUAAAUUGAGAGGGGUUUUACGGUGCAAAUUACUAGUCACGGGAGAGACUAGUAUUUGAACAGAUCCACCGUUGAUUUGAAGGGUAAUUUAGGCACUUUAUAUUAGAUUUUUUUCUCUUAGCCCAAGGGCAGUUUAGUCCGAUAAAAAGUUUAAUAAUCAACUAAAAGUCCCGACUGAGUCGGCCCCUACACCUGCAUUCUCGUCACCCAAGCCCGAAUUGCCGCUCUCUCGCCGCCGCCCGCCCCUGCCGCGCCGUCCGCCUCGGGAUCCUUCCUGCCCGUCUGUUCCGGCCACCACAGCCCACUCGUCGCUUUCGCCACCAUUUGUCGCUGCCGCGCCGUCCGCCUCCUAUCCUUCUUGCCCGUCCAUUUCGUCCGCCGCAGCCGACCCGUGGCUCUCGCCGCCGCUUGCGGCUGCCGUGCCUUCCACGUCCGGAACCUUCCCGCCCGUCCGUUCCGUCUGCCUCUAAUAGGAGCUGUGGCCGCCACUUGCCGUUGCACCACCGCCCGCUAAUCAGCUGUCACCGUUGGCCCCGCCUGUCCGUCCGUCUCUACCACUGCUGGUCGGCCUGCAGAAAGGUAAUGCUUGAACAUGACCAACUCUCAAUCAAAAACUUAGUAGCCACAUAUUACUGAAUUUGCUUGGCGGAAUCACAAAGUUUAUAUUGUUUGCCUACAGUACAGGGAAAGUUAAUUCACAUCUUUAGGAUACAUGCAAUUAGGGUUCACAUUUUUGUGUUGGUUGUCAUGUAGAAGAAGUGAUUUACAUUUUUUAUGAUGUAGUUUGGCACUGGAGAUGCCUAAAUAACAUUAUUCAGUUUUUUUGUGGAUGGCAGUUACACAACAUGGAUGCUCACCACGUCAGCAUAGAGGAAAUUGAAGAAUAUUACAUGGUGGUUAGUCAAAAAUUCACAAGCGAGAAACAAGGUUUCGAGUUCUAUAACAGAUAUGCUAAAGCCAAUGGGUUUAGCGUGAGGAAGGCCAAUGUGAAAAACAAGGGAGGCAUAAGAAUCCAAAGGUUGUACAUGUGCAGCAAAGGAGGAUAUAGGUCCUUGAAAAACUUUGAAAGGUCCAACCGGAAAAGGAAACAAGGGCACUCUCUUGUUGUGGAUGUGACGCUCGACUGCAAAUCGAGCUCAAUAUGGAAACCCGUGAAUGGUUUGUCAAGGACUUUGUGGACCAGCAUAACCAUGAAUUCACUAAGCCUGACCAGACACCUUUCUUAUGGUCUCAUCGUGGACUUAAUGAUCCUCAAAAGGCUGAUGCAUUGAGUAUGGUAUUGGUGGUCUACGCACACAUCAGAUAAUGGACGUAAUGGAGAAGCAGCAUGGUGGGUAUGACAAAGUCGGCUGUGUGUCUCGGGACCUAUAUAAUUUUGUUGCUGAGUACAAGAAGCAAAGGAUCGAAGGUUUUGAUGCCCAAUACAUGCUGAACUAUAUGGCGGCGCAGGAAGAGAGAGAUUCUGAAUUCUGUUACAGGUACAUCAAAGACAGCGAAGGCCAUCUGCAGAACCUUUUUUGGUCAGACGCGCAGUCCCGGUUGGAAUAUGAUGCCUUUGGUGGUGUUGUUGUGUUUGACAGCACGUACCGUGUAAACAAAUAUAACUUGCCAUUUUUCCCAUUCAUUGGAUUGAACCACCAUUGCAGCACAGUUGUCUUUGGGGUCGGCAUUGUAUCAGACGAGACCGUGGCAUCAUAUAAGUGGUUGCUCCAUUCAUUUUUGGAGGCGAUGCACCAGAACCAUCUGAGGUCCGUGAUCACUGAUGGGGACCAUGCAAUACCACAGUUAAUAAUAUGAAACGUACCUGUAUUAGGGCUAGGUUGCCAGCUGGCCACCUUAAAUAUCUUCAUUACGCAUCUACGACAAGCAUAGGUCUUCAUUAAACUAUAUGUGGAGGAUCUGGAGUGGCACUAGGAGACUUCACCACCUCAAUUGAUUACAGUCAACGGUCGAAGCCACUAAUGCAGGACUGGACAGAGGAGAAGGCCAAGAAGGUACUACCUCCGUCCGGGUUCAUUGGUCCCCAUUGUAUUUCGUGCCAAAUUUUGACCAUAAUUAAACUAACAAAAUGUUCAUGCAUGUCACCAAACAUUAUAUUUUUGAAAACUAUGUUCAAAUAUGAAUCCAAUGAGAUAAUUUUUCUUGACAUGCAUUAACAUUUUCUUAGUUAAAUCUUUAGUCAAAAUUUGACAAAAACUACAAAGGAGACCUAUAAACCAGGACGGAGGUAGUAGCAGUGGUCAUCGAAAAACAUGGCUUCGGAGUUGGAGAGGUAACUUGAGCCAUGUUCUAAUUCAAACAUGUUUUUCAUUCAAUCAUUUCUAUUAUGAUUAAUUUUCAUGCAAUUGCAGGUUGUUGACGACCUGAAAGAGCCUUUCAAGUCCCAAAAAGAGCCAUCUUGCUCUGAAAGUCUACCUUCAGGUCUGAAGGAGCCCAACAAAGAAGUAUUGGUAUGUUCAUCUCUUGUGUACUAUUUCCUACUGCAGUUUAUCGUAAAGCAUCUAACCUUUUCCCUACUCUUUACUUUGUUAGGCCAUGUUUGGUACACUCAUUGGCCUGGUGAAGGAGCUUAAGCCAUUGCUACUAAAACACCAUGCUGAAACCUAUAUUCAGUUUGGCCAUGCAAAUCUGAACAUGCAGGACAUUAUGCAUCAACAGAGAUGUCUGGGUUUUCGUUUUGAGGACUUCAUCUCACCCUACAAUGUAAGUGUCUUCGGUGUUUAUACCUUCUACUAAAAUAUUGAAAAUGACACAUGAUCUUUUAUUUUUGCAGGACCAUCGUUAUGGAAUUUCUAACAAAACAAAACCCACACAUGCGUCAGCAUUUCAGAAUUCAGGGAAGGAGCAAAAGUCAACCUUCAGGAACCUUUCACCUGAAUUACAGGUAAGCACAUAUACAUCUUUAAUUAAUUUAUUAAUCUUUAGAAAGAGAGAAUCACAUCUGGUGACUUUUAGUAGUGGCCAACACUCUAGCCAGAUUGAUUUCAUCCUCUCGAGAAGAGAAGAUAGGCGUGCGUGCCUAGACUGUAAGGUGAUACCUGGGGAGAGUGUUGUACCCCAGCAUAAGCUGGUGGUUGCUGACUUCCGCUUUCGGAUUCGUGUCCAGCGGGAUAAGCGUGCCAAGGUCGCUAGAACGAAGUGGUGGAAGCUCAAGAGGGAGGUAGCUCAGGUGUUCAAGGAGAGGGUAAUUAAGGAGGGCCCUUGGGAGGAAGGAGGGGAUGCGGACAAUGUGUGGAUGAAGAUGGCGACUUGCAUUCGUAAGGUGGCCUCAGAGGAGUUUGGAGUGUCCAGGGGAAGGAGAAGCGAAGAUAAGGAUACCUGGUGGUGGAAUGAUGAUGUCCAGAAGGCGAUUAAAGAGAACAAAGAUUGCUUCAGACGCCUAUACCUGGAUAGGAGUGCAGACAACAUAGAGAAGUACAAGAUGGUGAAGAAGGCCGCAAAGCGAGCUGUUGGUGAAGCAAGGGGUCGGGCAUAUGAGGACCUCUACCAACGGUUAGGCACGAAGGAAGGUGAAAGGGACAUCUAUAAGAUGGAUAAGAUCCGAGAGAGGAAGACGAGGGAUAUUGGCCAAGUCAAAUGCAUCAAGGACGGAGUAGGCCAACUCUUGGUGAAGGACGGAGAGAUUAAGCAUAGAUGGCGGGAGUACUUCGACAAGCUGUUCAAUGGGGAGAAUGAGAGUUCUACCAUUGAACUGGACGACUCCUUUGAUGAGACCAGCAUGCGUUUUGUGCGGCGCAUCCAGGAGUCUGAGGUGAAGGAGGCUUUAAAAAGGAUGAAAGGAGGCAAGGCGAUGGGCCCUGAUUGUAUCCCCAUUGAGGUGUGGAAAGGUCUCGGGGACAUAGCGAUAGUAUGGCUAACCAAGCUUUUCAACCUCAUUUUUCAGGCAAACAAGAUGCCAGAAGAAUGGAGACGGAGUAUAUUAGUACCAAUCUUCAAGUACAAGGGGGAUGUUCAGAGUUGUACUAAUUACCAUGGAAUUAAGCUGAUGAGCCAUACAAUGAAGCUAUGGGAGAGAGUCAUUGAGCACCGCUUAAGAAGAAUGACAAGUGUGACCAAAAAUCAGUUUGGUUUCAUGCCUGGGAGGUCGACCAUGGAAGCCAUUUUCUUGGUACGACAACUUAUGGAGAGAUAUAGGGAGCAAAAGAAGGACUUGCAUAUUGUGUUCAUUGACUUGGAGAAGGCCUAUGAUAAGAUACCGCGGAAUGUCAUGUGGUGGGCCUUGGAGAAACACAAAGUCCCAGCAAAGUACAUUACCCUCAUCAAGGACAUGCACAAUAAUGUUGUGACAAGUAUUCGAACAAGUGAUGUCGACACCGAUGACUUCCCGAUUACGAUAGGACUGCAUCAGGGGUCAGCUUUGAGCCCUUAUCUUUUUGCAUUGGUGAUGGAUGAGGUCACAAGGGGUAUACAAGGAGAUAUCCCAUGGUGUAUGCUCUUUGCGGAUGAUGUGGUGCUAGUUGACGAUAGUCGGACGGGGGUAAAUAGGAAGUUAGAGUUAUGGAGACAAACCUUGGAAUCGAAAGGGUUUAGGCUUAGUAGAACUAAAACCGAGCACAUAAUGUAUGGUUUCAGUACUACUAGGUGUGAGGAGGAGGAGGUUAGCCUUGAUGGCCAGGUGGUACCUCGGAAGGACACCUUUCGAUAUUUGGGGUCAAUGUUGCAGGAGGAUGGGGGUAUUGAUGAAGAUGUGAACCAUCGAAUCAAAGCCGGAUGGAUGAAGUGGCGCCAAGCUUCUGGCAUUCUCUGUGACAAGAGAGUGCCACAAAAGCUAAAAGGCAAAGCUAAAAGGCAAGUUCUACAGGACGGCGGUUCGACCCGCAAUGUUGUAUGGCGUGGAGUGUUGGCCGACUAAAAGGCGACAUGUUCAACAGUUAGGUGUGGCGGAGAUGCGUAUGUUGAGAUGGAUGUGUGGCCAUACGAGGAAGAAUCGAAUCCGAAAUGAUGAUAUACGAGAUAGAGUUGGGGUAGCACCAAUUGAGGAGAAGCUUGUCCAACAUCGUUUGAGAUGCUUUGGGCAUAUUCAGCGCAGGCCUCCAGAAGCUCCAGUGCAUAGCGGACGGCUUAAGCGUGCGGAGAAUGUCAAGAGAGGGCGGGGUCGACCGAAUUUGACAUGGGAGGAGUCCGUUAAGAGAGACCUGAAGGAUUGGAGUAUCGACAAAGAGCUAGUAUGAACAGGGGUGCGUGGAAGCUUGCUAUCCAUGUGCCAGAGCCAUGAGUUGGUUGCGAGAUCUUAUGGGCUUCACCUCUAGUCUAUCCUAACUUGUUUGGGACUAAAGGCUUUGUUGUUGUUGUUGUUGUUGUUGUUGUUGUUGUUGUUGUGUAAAUCUAAGACCUCACCGCAUAUUGCAGAGUGCUGCUAAGAGCCCCAAGCAUGCAGACAAAAAGUUCACUACGAAAGGAGCUACCAGUAAAGAUGUAAAAGCGGCCGAGGAUGAAUCCCCAAACCUUUUCCACAAAUCUGAGGUAAGCUCACAUACGAAAUUAAUUAUUUGCAAGUCCAGUUGUUUUCUGUAAAUAUAAUACCUCUCUUGCAUGCUACAAAUCAAGUUCUCUGUCAAUAUAAUACCUCUCUUGCAUGUUACAGAGUGUUGCGAAGACCGCUGAUAAGAUGCCAGUCCGUAUGAACCAAGUAGCUAAAGAUGUAGCCGAGGAAGACUCAAUUGGGUACAGAAUCCGUAAAGAAGGAAGGAAGUCUACAUCUUUCAGAAAGAUGAUUUUCUGUAUUACGACGCACCGAAAACAAAAAAGACUAGGAAGACUAAAGUAAAAAAUGACAACUUUGUGUCUGAAGGCAACAAGGAUGAGCUUGAUGUUCACCAAAUCAGAGAUUAUAUAAAUGAAUCACCCAUUUUUGAUGAGCUUGUUCACAUUGAUGAGGUUUAUCUAGAGCAAAGGCUUUGAUCCGUAUGUGGUCGCUACUCACUUCGACGGAGGCCAGGGGGCGUUUGGCUACUGCGUCUACCCGAUGGGAGAUGGUAGCUCGGGUUAUUUUCAACCGGUUUGGAUGGCGGUCAUGUAAUAGGAUAGGCAUGUAGUGCUCCUAUUUUAUUUACCAGCCGGUUGUGGCUUUCGAUUUGGCUCUUGUGAGCGUUUUGUUUCAUUUUUUACUUCGAGACUUGGAGACUUUGUUGGCGGUUUCUUUUUAAUAAUAUGAGCCGUAUGCAUCUUUCUGGUGCAGAGGCUGGGGUAAAAACCCCUUUUCGAAAAAAAAUCUAGAGCAAAGGCAUCUAAGUGUCUUAACCAGCGACAAUGUUACCCGAGAAAGUGACAAGUGGUUGGGAGAACAGGUAUCUUUACUUUCUGAUUUGAAAGAAAAAAAUUCAUAUUGUUGGUUUAAAUUGAAAUCUUAAUUGUGUGUGUUUUUUCAAAUAAAAUAGCUACUUGAUGCUGGCAUCGAGUUGCUUAGGGCCAGCAAAGUUGAAGAUGUGAGGAAGGAUGAAAGGGUCUAUCUCGAAAGAUCAAUCAAGACCCAACUUCUGAAGCGUGAUGGGCUUCCUAACAUGCAGAAGGAGGUUCUGUCUGGAAAAUAUGGUACAGAACAAGGGGACAAUUACCUUGCUCAUGAGAUGGUAAGAACCACCCUACACAAAACAUAAACAUAUGAAAGCCGAAAACUAAUUGUAUUUUUUUUNNNNNNNNNNUGCCUGGGCCAGCCCAAUCCGCCCUUGCCUUCAGCGAGGGUUCCUUGAGAUAUAGGGGCGCCCAUGAUGAAGGACGUCGGUGGAUGAGUUUAUGUUUGGCAGAUGUGUGCAUUGUGUGGGUUGUGUUGGGCCAAGGAGUGGGUGAGGCCUUCAUGCCUGUGGAUGGCGUUCAAAAUUGUCGUCCACAUAUACGGUAAAGGUUUCCCUAAAAAAAUGUGGUAAAGGUAGCCUGUUCUUAGAAAAAAGUGUGGUAAAGAUAACUUGUUCUUAAAUUGUAAAAUGGGGGUGAGGCGUUCAUGCCUGUGGAUGGGGUACAAAAUUGUUGUCCACAUAUGUGGUAAAGGUUCUCCUAAAUAACUUAUGAUAAAGGUAGCAUGUUCUUAAAAGAAAUGUGUUGUAAAGGUCACUUGUUCUUAAAUUGAAAAAUGGUAAAGGUAGCCACCAACUCCAUUCUCUUUGCAUGUCCGGUUUCCCGGAACGAGAGGAUGGGUACCAAUAGACGCCGGUGCGCCGGCCGAAUCGUUCGGCCGGUCCAACCAGGAUCGUACGACCCCAGGAAUCUAGUCGUCCGAUAUGCCUUUUACCGUUCGUCCUUCUUCUCCAUGGCCUUCCUCAAGAAAUUGCAGCACCGCAUAGACGAAGAGACAGGAGGCUACGACCAGCACCGUCGACCCCCGCCGUAAUUCGCCGCCUCGCCGCAGCUUCGCUGCCGGUCGUCGCCCUCGCCGGUGGUCGCCGCCCUCGCCGGUGGUCGCCGCCCUCGCCGGCGGUCGACGUCUCCCAUGUGUCUCUCAUCGGGCGCCACAACCCCCACCCUCCCCACGCACGUUUUGCUGCAUCGCGGGAGAUCACCGGCGUUGGCGACGGUGACCAACACGCUGUAAAACCACCAUCGCGCCGCCGAUGCUUCCCGGCCAUGGAUUUUUCUCGAACCGUCGAUGUGAAUGCUGGAAACAUAUUUGGAAAAUGCUGGAACCGGCUAUUAGAGAUGUUGCAUCCGAUGAUGUUUUUUGUUGGAACCAGAGCUGUAGCCAGAAACGUGGUCGUCAUCGUUUGUUACAACCGUACCCGAUAAAGGCUACAUCCACGUUCAUACAAAGCUGCAACCUUUUCACACCAAAAACUACAUCCAACGACGACAUAUGUUGACAAAUGUUACAACUGUACAUUGAAAAAGCUUCGUCCAUGUUCACGAAAGCUGCAACCGGCGAGCGUGGUGACCGCGCACGGUGAUUUUGUUUUUGCUACAACCAAUUUCGUUUUCUUUGCUACUACCAGCUUCCUUUUUUGAUACAGCCAUGGCUGGUGAGCGUGGUGAUCGCGGGCGGCGAGGAUGGGCAGCCCUGCUCCAAGCAACAUUCGCGCGAGGACGGCCUCGUGGAUUUAUGCUAUAUGCUACAACCGGCAUUGAAAAUUGCUACCACCACGUGCCGUAUAGCUACAACCGCAAUCGUGAUUUGCUGCAUCGCACGACAAUGCGUUUUUUGCUGGAAGCGAUGCUCAUAUUUGCUGGAACGGGGUGAGCGAGAUGUUGCAACGGCGAGGGAUCUAUGCGACAAGCAGCGACUCACGGACAUGAGCGGCGGCAAGCCCGCCGGUGAGCUGCAGCUCCACCGGAGCUACGACCGUCGCGUCGAGAGCUGCAAAACAGCAGGUUGUGUGGGUGCAUGAACGACAACGAGGAUGGCCAGCGAUGGCGGCGAACAGCGACGAGGACGGCCGGCAUGGGCGGGGACCGGCGACUUGGACAGCCGGCGUGGGUGAGGACUGGAGAUGCGGCCGGCCAGCCCGCGAGAUGAGAGAGAGAGAUGAAGCAGUGCAGCCGCACAGGGCGUUGAUGACGAGCAGUUGGUUUGAUGGCGAGCAGUUGGUGGACCCGGUCACCACGCAUCUCACCACGCGAGAAGCCUGCCGUAUGAUAAAAGUAGAUCGCACUGGUCGUGCGCGACCGGCCAAAUGUUCGGCCGACGCGCCGUUCUGAAACGUUUCCCUAUUUCCUAGCGGGAGACUUGCGGGUCAAGGUCGGCAACGGGAUGUGUUAAAUUGAGAGGGGUUUUACGGUGCAAAUUACUAGUCACGGGAGAGACUAGUAUUUGAACAGAUCCACCGUUGAUUUGAAGGGUAAUUUAGGCACUUUAUAUUAGAUUUUUUUCUCUUAGCCCAAGGGCAGUUUAGUCCGAUAAAAAGUUUAAUAAUCAACUAAAAGUCCCGACUGAGUCGGCCCCUACACCUGCAUUCUCGUCACCCAAGCCCGAAUUGCCGCUCUCUCGCCGCCGCCCGCCCCUGCCGCGCCGUCCGCCUCGGGAUCCUUCCUGCCCGUCUGUUCCGGCCACCACAGCCCACUCGUCGCUUUCGCCACCAUUUGUCGCUGCCGCGCCGUCCGCCUCCUAUCCUUCUUGCCCGUCCAUUUCGUCCACCGCAGCCGACCCGUGGCUCUCGCCGCCGCUUGCGGCUGCCGUGCCUUCCACGUCCGGAACCUUCCUGCCCGUCCGUUCCGUCUGCCUCUAACAGGAGCUGUGGCCGCCACUUGCCGUUGCACCACCGCCCGCUAAUCAGCUGUCACCGUUGGCCCCGCCUGUCCGUCCGUCUCUACCACUGCUGGUCGGCCUGCAGAAAGGUAAUGCUUGAACAUGACCAACUCUCAAUCAAAAACUUAGUAGCCACAUAUUACUGAAUUUGCUUGGCGGAAUCACAAAGUUUAUAUUGUUUGCCUACAGUACAGGGAAAGUUAAUUCACAUCUUUAGGAUACAUGCAAUUAGGGUUCACAUUUUUGUGUUGGUUGUCAUGUAGAAGAAGUGAUUUACAUUUUUUAUGAUGUAGUUUGGCACUGGAGAUGCCUAAAUAACAUUAUUCAGUUUUUUUGUGGAUGGCAGUUACACAACAUGGAUGCUCACCACGUCAGCAUAGAGGAAAUUGAAGAAUAUUACAUGGUGGUUAGUCAAACAUUCACAAGCGAGAAACAAGGUUUCGAGUUCUAUAACAGAUAUGCUAAAGCCAAUGGGUUUAGCGUGAGGAAGGCCAAUGUGAAAAACAAGGGAGGCAUAAGAAUCCAAAGGUUGUACAUGUGCAGCAAAGAAGGAUAUAGGUCCUUGAAAAACUUUGAAAGGUCCAACCGGAAAAGGAAACAAGGGCACUCUCUUGUUGUGGAUGUGACGCUCGACUGCAAAUCGAGCUCAAUAUGGAAACCCGUGAAUGGUUUGUCAAGGACUUUGUGGACCAGCAUAACCAUGAAUUCACUAAGCCUGACCAGACACCUUUCUUAUGGUCUCAUCGUGGACUUAAUGAUCCUCAAAAGGCUGAUGCAUUGAGUAUGGUAUUGGUGGUCUACGCACACAUCAGAUAAUGGACGUAAUGGAGAAGCAGCAUGGUGGGUAUGACAAAGUCGGCUGUGUGUCUCGGGACCUAUAUAAUUUUGUUGCUGAGUACAAGAAGCAAAGGAUCGAAGGUUUUGAUGCCCAAUACAUGCUGAACUAUAUGGCGGCGCAGGAAGAGAGAGAUUCUGAAUUCUUUUACAGGUACAUCACAGACAGCGAAGGCCAUCCGCAGAACCUUUUUUGGUCAGACGCGCAGUCCCGGUUGGAAUAUGAUGCCUUUGGUGGUGUUGUUGUGUUUGACAGCACGUACCGUGUAAACAAAUAUAACUUCCCAUUUUUCCCAUUCAUUGGAUUGAACCACCAUUGCAGCACAGUUGUCUUUGGGGUCGGCAUUGUAUCAGACGAGACCGUGGCAUCAUAUAAGUGGUUGCUCCAUUCAUUUUUGGAGGCGAUGCACCAGAACCAUCUGAGGUCCGUGAUCACUGAUGGGGACCAUGCAAUACCACAGUUAAUAAUAUGAAACGUACCUGUAUUAGGGCUAGGUUGCUAGCUGGCCACCUUAAAUAUCUUCAUUACGCAUCUACGACAAGCAUAGGUCUUCAUUAAACUAUAUGUGGAGGAUCUGGAGUGGCACUAGGAGACUUCACCACCUCAAUUGAUUACAGUCAACGGUCGAAGCGACUAAUGCGGACUGGACAGAGGAGAAGGCCAAGAAGGUACUACCUCCGUCCGGGUUCAUUGGUCCCCAUUGUAUUUCGUGCCAAAUUUUGACCAUAAUUAAACUAACAAAAUGUUCAUGCAUGUCACCAAACAUUAUAUUUUUGAAAACUAUGUUCAAAUAUGAAUCCAAUUAGAUAAUUUUUCUUGACAUGCAUUAACAUUUUCUUAGUUAAAUCUUUAGUCAAAAUUUGACAAAAACUACAAAGGAGACCUAUAAACCAGGACGGAGGUAGUAGCAGUGGUCAUCGAAAAACAUGGCUUCGGAGUUGGAGAGGUAACUUGAGCCAUGUUCUAAUUCAAACAUGUUUUUCAUUCAAUCAUUUCUAUUAUGAUUAAUUUUCAUGCAAUUGCAGGUUGUUGACGACCUGAAAGAGCCUUUCAAGUCCCAAAAAGAGCCAUCUUGCUCUGAAAGUCUACCUUCAGGUCUGAAGGAGCCCAACAAAGAAGUAUUGGUAUGUUCAUCUCUUGUGUACUAUUUCCUACUGCAGUUUAUCGUAAAGCAUCUAACCUUUUCCCUACUCUUUACUUUGUUAGGCCAUGUUUGGUACACUCAUUGGCCUGGUGAAGGAGCUUAAGCCAUUGCUACUAAAACACCAUGCUGAAACCUAUAUUCAGUUUGGCCAUGCAAAUCUGAACAUGCAGGACAUUAUGCAUCAACAGAGAUGUCUGGGUUUUCGUUUUGAGGACUUCAUCUCACCCUACAAUGUAAGUGUCUUCGGUGUUUAUACCUUCUACUAAAAUAUUGAAAAUGACACAUGAUCUUUUAUUUUUGCAGGACCAUCGUUAUGGAAUUUCUAACAAAACAAAACCCACACAUGCGUCAGCAUUUCAGAAUUCAGGGAAGGAGCAAAAGUCAACCUUCAGGAACCUUUCACCUGAAUUACAGGUAAGCACAUAUACAUCUUUAAUUAAUUUAUUAAUCUUUAGAAAGAGAGAAUCACAUCUGGUGACUUUUAGUAGUGGCCAACACUCUAGCCAGAUUGAUUUCAUCCUCUCGAGAAGAGAAGAUAGGCGUGCGUGCCUAGACUGUAAGAUGAUACCUGGGGAGAGUGUUGUACCCCGGCAUAAGCUGGUGGUUGCUGACUUCCGCUUUCGGAUUCGUGUCCAGCGGGAUAAGCGUGCCAAGGUCGCUAGAACGAAGUGGUGGAAGCUCAAGAGGGAGGUAGCUCAGGUGUUCAAGGAGAGGGUAAUUAAGGAGGGCCCUUGGGAGGAAGGAGGGGAUGCGGACAAUGUGUGGAUGAAGAUGGCGACUUGCAUUCGUAAGGUGGCCUCAGACGAGUUUGGAGUGUCCAGGGGAAGGAGAAGCGAAGAUAAGGAUACCUGGUGGUGGAAUGAUGAUGUCCAGAAGGCGAUUAAAGAGAACAAAGAUUGCUUCAGACUCCUAUACCUGGAUAGGAGUGCAGACAACAUAGAGAAGUACAAUAUGGUGAAGAAGGCCGCAAAGCGAGCUGUUGGUGAAGCAAGGGGUCGGGCAUAUGAGGACCUCUACCAACGGUUAGGCACGAAGGAAGGUGAAAGGGACAUCUAUAAGAUGGAUAAGAUCCGAGAGAGGAAGACGAGGGAUAUUGGCCAAGUCAAAUGCAUCAAGGACGGAGCAGGCCAACUCUUGGUGAAGGACGGAGAGAUUAAGCAUAGAUGGCGGGAGUACUUCGACAAGCUGUUCAAUGGGGAGAAUGAGAGUUCUACCAUUGAACUGGACGACUCCUUUGAUGAGACCAGCAUGCAUUUUGUGCGGCGCAUCCAGGAGUCUGAGGUGAAGAAGGCUUUAAAAAGGAUGAAAGGAGGCAAGGCGAUGGGCCCUGAUUGUAUCCCCAUUGAGGUGUGGAAAGGUCUCGGGGACAUAGCGAUAGUAUGGCUAACCAAGCUUUUCAACCUCAUUUUUCAGGCAAACAAGAUGCCAGAAGAAUGAAGACGGAGUAUAUUAGUACCAAUCUUCAAGUACAAGGGGGAUGUUCAGAGUUGUACUAAUUACCGUGGAAUUAAGCUGAUGAGCCAUACAAUGAAGCUAUGGGAGAGAGUCAUUGAGCACCGCUUAAGAAGAAUGACAAGUGUGACCAAAAAUCAGUUUGGUUUCAUGCCUGGGAGGUCGACCAUGGAAGCCAUUUUCUUGGUACGACAACUUAUGGAGAGAUAUAGGGAGCAAAAGAAGGACUUGCAUAUGGUGUUCAUUGACUUGGAGAAGGCCUAUGAUAAGAUACCGCGGAAUGUCAUGUGGUGGGCCUUGGAGAAACACAAAGUCCCAGCAAAGUACAUUACCCUCAUCAAGGACAUGUACAAUAAUGUUGUGACAAGUAUUCGAACAAGUGAUGUCGACACCGAUGACUUCCCGAUUACGAUAGGACUGCAUCAGGGGUUAGCUUUGAGCCCUUAUCUUUUUGCAUUGGUGAUGGAUGAGGUCACAAGGGGUAUACAAGGAGAUAUCCCAUGGUGUAUGCUCUUUGCGGAUGAUGUGGUGCUAGUUGACGAUAGUCGGACGGGGGUAAAUAGGAAGUUAGAGUUAUGGAGACAAACCUUGGAAUCGAAAGGGUUUAGGCUUAGUAGAACUAAAACCGAGCACAUAAUGUAUGGUUUCAGUACUACUAGGUGUGAGGAGGAGGAGGUUAGCCUUGAUGGCCAGGUGGUACCUCGGAAGGACACCUUUCGAUAUUUGGGGUCAAUGUUGCAGGAGGAUGGGGGUAUUGAUGAAGAUGUGAACCAUCGAAUCAAAGCCGGAUGGAUGAAGUGGCGCCAAGCUUCUGGCAUUCUCUGUGACAAGAGAGUGCCACAAAAGCUAAAAGGCAAAGCUAAAAGGCAAGUUCUACAGGACGGCGGUUCGACCCGCAAUGUUGUAUGGCGUGGAGUGUUGGCCGACUAAAAGGCGACAUGUUCAACAGUUAGGUGUGGCGGAGAUGCGUAUGUUGAGAUGGAUGUGUGGCCAUACGAGGAAGAAUCGAAUCCGAAAUGAUGAUAUACGAGAUAGAGUUGGGGUAGCACCAAUUGAGGAGAAGCUUGUCCAACAUCGUUUGAGAUGCUUUGGGCAUAUUCAGCGCAGGCCUCCAGAAGCUCCAGUGCAUAGCGGACGGCUUAAGCGUGCGGAGAAUGUCAAGAGAGGGCGGGGUCGACCGAAUUUGACAUGGGAGGAGUCCGUUAAGAGAGGCCUGAAGGAUUGGAGUAUCGACAAAGAGCUAGUAUGAACAGGGGUGCGUGAAAGCUUGCUAUCCAUGUGCCAGAGCCAUGAGUUGGUUGCGAGAUCUUAUGGGCUUCACCUCUAGUCUAUCCUAACUUGUUUGGGACUAAAGGCUUUGUUGUUGUUGUUGUUGUUGUUGUUGUUGUUGUUGUUGUGUAAAUCUAAGACCUCACCGCAUAUUGCAGAGUGCUGCUAAGAGCCCCAAGCAUGCAGACAAAAAGUUCACUACGAAAGGAGCUACCAGUAAAGAUGUAAAAGCGGCCGAGGAUGAAUCCCCAAACCUUUUCCACAAAUCUGAGGUAAGCUCACAUACGAAAUUAAUUAUUUGCAAGUCCAGUUGUUUUCUGUAAAUAUAAUACCUCUCUUGCAUGCUACAAAUCAAGUUCUCUGUCAAUAUAAUACCUCUCUUGCAUGUUACAGAGUGUUGCGAAGACCGCUGAUAAGAUGCCAGUCCGUAUGAACCAAGUAGCUAAAGAUGUAGCCGAGGAAGACUCAAUUGGGUACAGAAUCCGUAAAGAAGGAAGGAAGUCUACAUCUUUCAGAAAGAUGAUUUUCUGUAUUACGACGCACCGAAAACAAAAAAUACUAGGAAGACUAAAGUAAAAAAUGACAACUUUGUGUCUGAAGGCAACAAGGAUGAGCUUGAUGUUCACCAAAUCAGAGAUUAUAUAAAUGAAUCACCCAUUUUUGAUGAGCUUGUUCACAUUGAUGAGGUUUAUCUAGAGCAAAGGCUUUGAUUCGUAUGUGGUCGCUACUCACUUCGACGGAGGCCAGGGGGCGUUUGGCUACUGCGUCUACCCGAUGGGAGAUGGUAGCUCGGGUUAUUUUCAACCGGUUUGGAUGACGGUCAUGUAAUAGGAUAGGCAUGUAGUGCUCCUAUUUUAUUUACCAGCCGGUUGUGGCUUUCGAUUUGGCUCUUGUGAGCGUUUUGUUUCAUUUUUUACUUCGAGACUUGGAGACUUUGUUGGCGGUUUCUUUUUAAUAAUAUGAGCCGUAUGCAUCUUUCUGGUGCAGAGGCUGGGGUAAAAACCCCUUUUCGAAAAAAAAUCUAGAGCAAAGGCAUCUAAGUGUCUUAACCAGCGACAAUGUUACCCGAGAAAGUGACAAGUGGUUGGGAGAACAGGUAUCUUUACUUUCUGAUUUGAAAGAAAAAAAUUCAUAUUGUUGGUUUAAAUUGAAAUCUUAAUUGUGUGUGUUUUUUCAAAUAAAAUAGCUACUUGAUGCUGGCAUCGAGUUGCUUAGGGCCAGCAAAGUUGAAGAUGUGAGGAAGGAUGAAAGGGUCUAUCUCGAAAGAUCAAUCAAGACCCAACUUCUGAAGCGUGAUGGGCUUCCUAACAUGCAGAAGGAGGUUCUGUCUGGAAAAUAUGGUACAGAACAAGGGGACAAUUACCUUGCUCAUGAGAUGGUAAGAACCACCCUACACAAAACAUAAACAUAUGAAAGCCGAAAACUAAUUGUAUUUUUUUUUAGAUAUUCCUGCCUAUGAAUUUGCAGAACCUGCACUGGUAUUUGGCCGUAGUGAACACGCACAAAAGGGCGAUCCAGAUCCUUGACUCCAUGCUCAAUCACGAAGACCGCCUAGAACUGCGCCAAACCGUGAGUUGCAAUAUGGAUAUUACUAAAUUGUUAUAUGAUUUAACUGUUAGACAAUGACAAAAUAUCAUAUUCGACACUCCGUUUUGCAGCUGCUAGGUAUGGAAGCACAUGUGAAUCUAUCUCUAAGAAUGAAGGGGGCCCAAAAUAGCAACUGGCCUGACUCACUACUGUCAAAAUGGCCAGUUUUUGUGAAGAAGACCCCACAACAGUCAGAUGGGUACAUACACACUUGUCAAAUUUUGUUUUCAAACUAAAUUAGUAGGACAGCGCACUAACAAUUAUCUUUAUUUGUUGCAGUUGUUCAUGUGGGCUAUUUGUUCUUAAAAACAUGGAAUCCUGGACAGGAGACGAGCACACUGACGAGUUCAAGCAGGUAAAAGCACACAACAUAUUUAUAUGCACUAGCAGUUUGACCAGAACUAACUUUUCCUCUUGCAUAGGUUCACACUGACAAAUUCGGAAGGGAACUACCUGCUAUGCUGGUCAGCUCGCCACUUAACAAGUUGAGGAAGCGCUACCUUGAAGCAACAGCCAAGAUGGACGAAGACUCCAAGAUGGACCAAGACUGAAGACAUACACACGUCCAGGAGUCCCUUUUGAGUCGUGCCAUCUAGUUUCAGUCCUUCUCCGCGUUAGCAAUUUCUAGGGAAUAAUAUCGCAUGAAGACAAUUCGUGUUUUGUGGUUUCAUUUUUGUGUGUUACCAAACUAUUUUUACCAUACUCUAUUUCUUAUGGAGUAAUUCGACAGAUUUCAAUAAAGUGUUAGCAAACUAUUUACUAUGAUGCAAUUGUAUGUGAGGAAUCUAUUUUCUUUGUGCAUAGCUUCAUGAUGGAGCAGCGAUGUUGUCUUUCUUCAAAUCAAGCAUAAUUCAAACUAAGGAGAUCACUGUAGGUUGUAAUAUUAUCUGACAAGGAUGAUAAACACAUCCCAAAGAUGCAUAGUUUAUACUAGUACAUGCUUCUACACUGAGAACACACAAAAAGGGAAAGCUUUCACUGUAGUUGCAGGAUCAGUUCUCUGAACUCUUUCUCUCAGAAGAACACGAGUGUUUGCGCUGCGUUCGGCCUCUGCAGCCUUUUCCCUUUUUCUUCUUAUUCAGUCAAGUGCUUCAGAACAGAAACUACAAGAUACCCGGUCCACGAGCGGGCUGAUCGGACGUGCCAUCCCACGUCCUCCCGAUCGCUAGGGUGUGGCCGUCACACGUUUACAAUCGUGCCAUCCCACGAUCCACCUGUGACGGCUCAGCUAAACAAACUAACUGAAAGUCUGAAACUACGCCAAGUCGGGAACAGAUUCCACGCUGCAUGGCCCUUUAUUUUAGCUAAGAAAAAACUAGAGGAUAACAAACAGCUCAACACGAUUAUUUGCUAACAAAUCACCCCCUUAAGCCUGUUGCACAGUCUUCACUUCAACGACACCGAGCAUCUUCCUCAUCUCAACAAAUCUGGUGCGCCCCAAUGCCUUGGUUAGAAGAUCAGCAAGUUGAUCAGUUGUUCCAAUGUGCUUCACGUCAGCUCUUCCUUCCUCGACGCACUCCCUGAUGAAGUGAUACUUAACAUCAAUAUGCUUGCUCCGGUCGUGAUGCACCGGAUUUUUGCUCAGUGCGAUAGCUGACUGGUUAUCAACCAUAAGGUCGAACAUGGCCGGAGCUUGCCCUGUCAUUUCCCCAAGCAAUCUGCUGAGCCAGACCCCUUGACAAGCGCCGCUUGCUGCUGCCACAUACUCCGCCUUGCAGGAUGAUGUGGUCACUAUCUUUUGUUUCUGCGAGCUCCAUGUCACAAUGUUCUUUCCAAGCAUGAACACAACUCCAGAAGUGCUCUUUCUGUCAUCUAUGUCCCCGGCAUGGUCACUGUCACUGUAACCUGUCAGCACCAAACCCUUUGCACCGGCCCUGUAGCAGCAUCCAUACCCCUUAGUACCUUGUACGUACCUAAGAAUUUGUUUCACUGCCGUCCAAUGCUGCUUGCUUGGUGCCUCCAUGUACCUGCUUACAAUGCCGACGGCACAUGCUAUAUCAGGCCUUGUAUUGACCAAGUAACGAAGACUGCCGAUCACACUCCUAUACAAAGUGGCAUCCACGGCUUCAGCUCCAUCCCUCUUGCCGAGCUUGAGGCGGUACUCCAUUGGAGUUGCACACGGUUUGCAUUGCUCCAUGCCUGCAACCUCCAAAAUCUUCUGAGCAUAGCUGCUUUGACAGAUCUUGAUCUCACCACUUCUCUGCUCAACUUCAAUACCCAAGUAGUAGGACAGUAGGCCGAGAUCACUCAUUUUGAACAGCCGUUGCAUCUCCUGCUUGAACUUGUCAAUAUCAUCCUGACUAGUCCCGGUAAUCACCAGAUCAUCCACAUAUACUCCCACCAACAGGAAGUUCUUGUGGUCACCACGCCUAUACACAGCAUGUUCCAGUCGGCUUCUUUUGAAACCCAAGGCUUGCAAUGAUUCAUCCAAUUUAGCAUUCCAGGCCCGUGGUGCUUGUCGCAGCCCGUACAGUGCCUUCUGCAACUUGUACACUUUGCAGCUCUCUCGAUCAUCGACAAACCCUGGCGGCUGCUGUACAUAGACCUCCUCUGCAAGAUCACCAUUCAGAAAAGCGGAUUUAACAUCCAUGUGGUGUACCUGCCAUCCACCGUGUGCGGCGAGAGCGAGGAGCAGCCGCACAGUCUCCAUGCGAGCCACUGGAGCGAAAACUUCUUCAAAGUCCACCCCCUGUCGCUGAGAGUACCCCUUUGCCACCAGUCGCGCUUUAUGCUUCAGGAUGUUGCCGGCAGGAUCUCUUUUCACCUUGAAAACCCACUUUAACCCGAUGGCGCGGUGCCCAGCGGGAAGAGAUGUGAGUUCCCAGGUUUGAUUGUCGACGAUCGAGCCCAUUUCCUCCUCCAUCGCCUUGCGCCAGGCGUGAUCAGAGAGUGCUGCCUCAACACUCGCCGGCUCCUCGGCGGCCAGAAAACAGAGGCCCACAUGCUGCUGCUGGUCGUCGUCGUCGAACAAGUCGCUGUAGUCGAUCGGCGCUGUGAUCUCCUUGGUGGUGUCGUAGACGUCGGACACACGCCGGUAUCGCGGGUGCCCGCUGUCCGUGUCCAGCGUGUCAUCAUGCGACGGCGGCGACACAAACUGUAUUGGUGGCGUCGACAGUUCGGGCGUGCACGGUGCCGUCUCCGCUGCUGCCGGACGAGGCGAACCGGAGCCACUGUCAGUCACCGUGACUCCCGGCUCAGCGGCAUAUACCACCGUGAACACACCUGAUGGUGUGCUUUCCUUUGCUGCUUCAGGUUUCCAGUUCCAUGGGCGUGUCUCCUGAAACACAACAUCGCGUGACACCAGCAGUUUCUCGGCGACGGGAUCAUAGAUACGAUAGGCCUUGGCACCUUCCUCAUAUCCCAUCAUGACGCCGGGUGUCGACCUGUCGGCCAGCUUGUUGAUCCCGGGUCCGAGCUUCUUCACGUGCGCGUGACACCCGAAGGUGCGCAGGUGAGCCACGCUCGGCUUCUUGCCAUGCCACAGCUCGUACGGAGUCACCCCGUCGAGGCUCCGCGUCGGCGAUCGGUUGAGGACAUAGACAGCCGCCUUGACGGCCUCUCCCCAGAAGACCGCGGGCACGCCCAUGCUCUUCAGCAUGCACCUCGCCAUCUCCACCACCGUUUGAUUACGGCGCUCGACAACACCGUUUUGUUGCGGCGUGUACGGGGCGGUCGUGAAGUGCUUGAUGCCGAGCUCGUUGCAGUACUCGACGAACGCCGUGGAGUUGAACUCCCCGCCGCGAUCCGAGCGGAAUGCGAGCAGCUUGCAGCCGCUCCUGGUCUCUGCUGCCGCUUUCACUUUUUUGAAGAAAGCAAAAGCCUCGCUCUUUGUCCUGAGUACCUCAAUCCACAUGUACCGAGAGUAAUCAUCCACAAUUAACAAGAAAUAAUUUCUACCUCCCGGUGUUGGCGGAGAGAUCGGACCGCACAAAUCCGAGUGUACGAGCUCCAGGGACGCCUUUGCACGAUAUGUUGCAGCCUGCGGGAAGGGUAGUCGGUGUUGUUUCCCGAGCAUGCAGCCAUCACAAUACUCCCCAACGUGAUCCACAUCAGGAAUCCCACGCACCAUCUUCUUCCUUGCCAUGGCACACAAUGCGCGGAAGUGGAGGUGCCCAAAACGUGCAUGCCACAGCCAGGCCAGGUCGCAUCCUUUGGACAGCAGGCACACCGGCUCAGCACACUGUAGGUUCAGCUUGUACAGACGGUUUGCUGAGUGCUUGACACGCGCCAGCAGCUGUCCCUCUUGGUCGAAGAUCGCGAGGACACUGCGCUUGAUGACGAUCUCGCAGCCCUUCUCAUCUAGCUGUCCGAGCGAAACAAUGUUACUCCGAAGACGGGGAAUGUAAUAUACCUCCGAGAGUACACGCUGAUCGCCGGUGAGGCACUCAAACAACACAGUUCCUUUGCCGCAUAUCUCGACGACUGAUCCAUCUCCGAAGCGGAUAGUGCCGCGCACCGUCUCGUCCAACGUGGCAAAUAACUCCUUGCGGCCAGUCAUAUGGCUGCUGGCCCCUGUGUCCGCGUACCAAGAGCCGUCGCCGACAUCCUUGGGCACCACUUUUUCCUCGUUGAGGAAGACGGCUUGCGGAGCUGCGAUUGUCAUCUCCUCCGGCGCAUCGAGCACCGCCAUGAGCAGCCCCGGCUCCUCGACCUCUUCGACUUGCGCCACGUUUGCCUCCUCGCGGCACUCCUGCUUGGGCUUGCCGUAGCACUCGCGUGCCCAGUGGCCCCACUUGCCGCACUUGCGGCAGUUCCCCUUGCGUUUAGGAGCACCGCCGUUAGGUUGUCCUCCGCCGGCGCCGGUGGGAGGCUUCGGCUUGGGUUUCCCCUUGCCGCCUUUGUAUCCACCGCCGGACGAGCCUCCGCCUGAUUGCCGUCGCCUUUCCCGCUCGUGCCACUCCUCCUCUGUGAGGAGCAGCUUGCCGCCGGAGCCGCCGGUGUCGGGGUCGAGGCGCUCCUCGAUGGCAAGAAAACGGCCGGCCACCUCCUCAAUUGUCAGUGUUUUGAGAUCAACAAGAGUCUCAAUGGAGAUGGCUACCUGGGCGUAGCGAGGCGGCACCACCCGCAGAAACUUCCUCACAGCCUUGAUCUCGUCGACGUCGUCGCCAAGUUCCUGAAGAUCGCUGAUCAGGCCAGUGAGGCGAAGUGCAAAGUCCUCCACUGUCUCUCCCUCCUUGAAGGAGAGAUUUUCGAAAUCACGGCGCAGCACCUGAGCCCGUGACUCGCGCACGCGCUCGACGCCCAUGCGAAGCGUCUUGACGGUGUCCCACGCCUCCUUGGCAGAGUCCUUCGCCGCCAGCGUCCGCAGCAUCUCCGGCGGGACGCCACAGAGGAUGAUGCCCAGUGCAGCACGAUCAUCAGGGUGAUCGGCGUCGCCCAUCUCGACGGCUUCCCACAGCCGUGCAGCCUGAAGAUGUACCUUCAUGAGGAUUGACCACUCGACGUAGUUCGUCCGAGUCAGCAUCGGGAUCGCGCCCGCGCCGCCAUCUCUGACCACCCGCUCGUGGAUGACCAGCUCUCUCCCAUCGCGCCGUGUCGGGCUUCGUCCCCGACGAGCCGGCGAUGGGGUGUUCCUCCGGCGCGAGCCGGAGCGCUGCGGCGUGCGUGAUCCACCAUGUCCCGACAUGAUCACCACAAGGCUCUGAUGCCAAUUGUAGUUGCAGGAUCAGUUCUCUGAACUCUUUCUCUCACGAAGAACACGAGUGUUUGCGCUGCGUUCGGCCUCUGCAGCCUUUUCCCUUUUUCUUCUUAUUCAGUCAAGUGCUUCAGAACAGAAACUACAAGAUACCCGGUCCACGAGCGGGCUGAUCGGACGUGCCAUCCCACGUCCUCCCGGUCGCUAGGGUGUGGCCGUCACACGUUUACAAUCGUGCCAUCCCACGAUCCACCUGUGACGGCUCAGCUAAACAAACUAACUGAAAGUCUGAAACUACGCCAAGUCGGGAACAGAUUCCACGCUGCAUGGCCCUUUAUUUUAGCUAAGAAAAAACUAGAGGAUAACAAACAGCUCAACAAGAUUAUUUGCUAACAUUCACUGUAUUUAUCUAACAGAGACGCUGAUUUCAGUACAUGUCAUUCACAUGUUUGCUAUCUAAGUGUUAGAAAUCUAUUUUCCAAUAUUUAUGUUUUCUUUAGUGCGUGCCUAUCAAUCAUCAACAUCAAUCUGACAUUGAAUUUCUUCACUUUAUUUAAGGCCUUGCAGCACGAUGCGCUUCUUGGCAACAGAUUGCCGCUGAAUUCACCUCUGCCAUGAGAGGCCGGGCUAAAAUGGAAGCAGGAUUCUAUGGUUACCAGUGAACUGCAUACUUUUCUCUUCUUUCAUGCUGAAUUUGAUCAAGCGAAUUUAAACAAUUACUACCCUUUAUUUGCUACAUCCAAGUAAGAAAGUUUACUACAGAGAAACUUUUACAACGACCAGCUGUAGCAAAGUUAUUCCUUUUAUAAUCUGCAUUUCCAAAUUCAUGCAAGGAACAGAGCUGAACAACAGAAGGACUGUUAAGAUAAACUAAUACCGUUGCAACAGCCUUUUGCUAAGCAAUCAGUUAUUCAAUUGUAUGAAUUAUUAUUUCAUACAAGAAGUAUGGAAAAAAAUUAUUAACGGAAGGAUUGGUUCUGUUAUAGAAAAACUGAGAAGUGGUGAUCUAGCAAUAGUUUUCCUCUCAUACGAUAACACAUGUUAAUUUAUAAAUGCAUUAUUUACAUUGCAAUCUUGCUAUUACGCCACAAUAGCUUUCCUAAUGUUCACUGCCACAUCCCUAAGCCACCUUUUCUGUCUGUAACAAAGACUUGCUUGCAAUUUCCCAGUCUCCUUCAAACAUCUAGUUUCCACUUAGUAUUUCCCUAUUUCAAAUCUUUUUUUCUUUUGAUUAGAAGAGAGCUAACAGAAUUUAAUUCAACAAUUUCAAGUAUCUUGUUAUAGAGUUGACAGAAACUUGAGAUUCAAAAGAUCAAAUUUCACUUCCAACUGCAAUUUCUCAUCAUGCUGGUGUGCUCCACUUUCUAUGAACAGAAGAGAGGAGAGAGACAUACGUCUUCGGUGGGUGAUGAUCCUCGUCGACGGCCAGCAGCUGGAGUGCACGCACAUGGGGGAACACCUUUUUUCAUCCACUCUUGAAGCGACGCCAGGUGCUUGCCGUACCUGCCUUCCACCAGAGCCGACGCCGCAAUUGCUCCCAGAUGCUUCUCCUCUGCUGAUACGGCAGGAGGCAACCAGGCGGCCGCACCUUGCUCCCCCCGCCACCGCUUGCCUAUCAGGCCCUAGUCGAUCUAUAGAUUCGUGGACGCAAGAAUAACAAGGGAAUUUGGCUAAUCUCGCUAGAUCUGACGUAUAUUAUGGGUGUACGGAAGCACAAGUGUUUAGGGUUCUAGCCCAUUAUCAGAACUGGGAAAGCAGAAUGAUCCGUUCAGCCAAAGCCCGGCUGGUUAUAAGGCUCGCAGUGACAGCUGUUGAGUAUGUGUUUUGUAUUGCACGUGUAAUGGAGUUGUGGCCUACCUCCUAGUCUUGUAUAAUUGAGGUAGAGGCCUUCCCUUGUAUUAUAUAUACGUGCAUCAGCACCCCAUCAAUACAACGAUUAUUGUAUUGCAAACCAUCUCUCCACAUGGUAUCCGUUUUUAGGUUUUAAUCCUCGCCUUCCGCUGCCACCGNNNNNNNNNNNNNNNNNNNNNNNNNNNNNNNNNNNNNNNNNNNNNNNNNNNNNNNNNNNNNNNNNNNNNNNNNNNNNNNNNNNNNNNNNNNNNNNNNNNNNNNNNNNNNNNNNNNNNNNNNNNNNNNNNNNNNNNNNNNNNNNNNNNNNNNNNNNNNNNNNNNNNNNNNNNNNNNNNNNNNNNNNNNNNNNNNNNNNNNNNNNNNNNNNNNNNNNNNNNNNNNNNNNNNNNNNNNNNNNNNNNNNNNNNNNNNNNNNNNNNNNNNNNNNNNNNNNNNNNNNNNNNNNNNNNNNNNNNNNNNNNNNGACUCCUUCGCGCCGCCGCCGAUGGCGUUCACCGGUCUGUCCGCCGCCACCGCAGCCGCGCGACUCCUCCGCGCCGCCGCCGAUGGCGUUCACCGGUCUGUCCGCCGCCACCUCUGCCGUCCCGCCACCAGCGCCCUCCGGUGCGGCCACGACGCCAUACGGCGCGGUCGCCGCCUACGGCGCAUCCGGCGUCACCCACAUGCAGCCGUCCCGCCCAUGGCCGGCGGCCCUGCUUCGGCCGCCCCGUCAAUGGCGGGCAUCGGGUGGGCCCCGCACUACCCGCAGGCUCUCCCCGCGGGCCACCGGGGGUUCAUCGGCGCGCCUUACCAGUCGACCGGCACCGGCUACGGCACCCUCCUUGUGCCGCCGCCCCUCGGUGGUUAUGGCCCGCCCGCUUCGGCGCCGCCCUACGGGGACCUCUCGCCGCCGCCGGUUCCUACGUCAUGGGACCCCGCCCUCCUCGCCGCCCAGCACUCCGCGCCAUCGCCGAGUAGCUCUAUCGGCGGAGGCGACUAGUACAUGGACUCAGGUGCUACCGCGCACAUGACAGCUCAUCCCGGUAACCUAACCUCCUUCCACUCCCGUUCACACAUCCACUCGUAUCACCGUCGGCAACGGCUCCUCCUUACCUAUCACUCAUAUCGGUAGCACUAGUUUUCCCUCCACUUCCACACCCAUCAAUAUGUCCAAUGUUCUUGUUUCACCAGACUUAGUCACGAACCUAGUUUCUGUUCGUCGUCUUACUCGUGAGAACCCACUUACUGUUGAAUUUGACGACGUUGGCUUUUCUGUGAAAGACGCCCAUACUCGGAUGGUCCUUCACCGUUGUGACAGUCCCGAUGAGCUCUACCCCGUGCACGCCGGCGCCUCCACCUCCACAUUUGUCGCCCUUGCCACCGGCGUUGACCUUUGGCACGCUCGCUUGGGUCACCCCAACCACACCAUGUUACGUCAAAUUCUUAGGAGUUUCUCUUUCUCAUGUAAUAAGCUCGACGAGCACUCUUGUGAGGCAUGUCGCUUAGGCAAGCAUGUUCGUCUUUCUUUUAGUGCGUCCUCCUCAGUUUCCACUUUUCCAUUUCAAUUACUUCAUAGUGAUGUUUGGACAUCUCCCGUUGCGAGUAACACGGGCUAUCUCUACUACUUGGUGAUUUUAGAUGAUUAUUCUCAUUAUGAGUGGACUUUUCCUCUUCGUCGUAAAUCCGAUGUCUUAGCCACACUCACCGCCUUUUAUUCCUAUGUCACCACCCAGUUCGGUCGCCCCAUACUAUCACUCCAAACUGAUAACAGAAAAGAGUUUGACAACGUCGGUCUUCGCACACUUCUGGCCUCUCACAGGACCAUCUUCCGUCUGACUUGCCCCUGCACUUCACAGCAGAACGGCCGCGCCGAGCACAUUCUCCGCACUCUUAAUGACUGCGUUCGCACGUUACUCUUUCACUCAAACGUGCCAGCUCGGUUUUGUCCUGAUGCCCUCGCCACUGCCACCCACUUAGUUAACAUUCGUCCGUGUCGUCCUCGGUGGAACUACGCUCCUCACCACCUUCUCUUCGGUACACUACCAUCCUAUGAUGGUCUCAGCAUCUUUGGGUGUCUCUGUUAUCCCAGCAUCGCGUCCACCACGCCACACAAGCUCGCACCCCGAUCCGUCCCAUGCAUCUUCCUUGGCUACCCUCCCAACACCAAAGGUUACCGGUGCUAUGAUCCUGUCACUCAUCGUGUGUACACCUCGCGGCACAUGUACUUUGUCGAGACGGUGUUCCCUUUUUUUCAGGUCCAUCCGGCUGCGGAUUCUUCGGCGCCGGCCCCCGCGCCCCUACCUGGAGCGAUGCGCGGCGGCACCCCCGGCGCCCCCCUCCCCGGCCCGGCGCCUUCUGCCUCCACCUCCCGGGUUCUCGACUCCCUCUUACGAGGUCGAGUCGGUGGGCACCCCGCCCGCCACCCCGGCUGGCGCCGCCACCCCUGCGACGGGCUCGACCUCGACCUCGCCCGUCGCUCCCAUCGCCACGGGAUCGGCCGACGCUGCUGCCGCCGCGGCCCCCGCCGCCGCACUAGGUGCCCCACCACCGCGCCCCAGCCGCCAAACUGGGUGUCGCUGCACCAGGUGCCACCGCCGCCGUGGCCCCUGCCGCCGCGGCACCCGCCGGCCCUGCUGCCCUGUCACUUGGCGUGACUACCUGUGCCCGAGCAGGAGUGCUUCGGCCCAGUACACGCUACUCCGUCGACGAGUAUGUGUGCACCGCCACGACGUCGACGCCCUCACCUGUCCCCACCUCCGCUCGUGCUGCCCUUCGGGAUCCCCACUGGCUAGCUGCGAUGCAGGAGGAGUUCGACGCCUUACAGCGCAACCGCACGUGGUAGCUUGUUCCACGACCCCCUCGUGCCAACAUCAUCUCUCGCAAGUGGGUGUUUCGCCACAAGAAUCGCCCAGACGGUUCUCUCGAGCGCUACAAGGCUCGAUGGGUGGUUCAUGGUUUUCGUCAGCACGCGGGCGUGGACUUCACCGACACUUUUGCCCCGGUUGUGAAACCGGACACGAUCCGCGCCAUCCUUCAGCUGGCUGUCUCGCGCGCCUGGCCUGUGCAUCAGUUGGAUGUUUCCAACGCCUUCUUGCACGGUCAUCUCACCGAGCAGGUGUUCUGUGAGCAACCUACUGGUUUCGUCGACGCCGAGCACCCCGACUUCGUGUGCUUGCUCUCCCGCUCUCUGUACGGGUUGAAGCAAGCGCCUCGGGCUUGGUACCAGCGUAUCGCCGCCUUCUUGCAGUCUCUGGGCUUUCGGUCCACUCGCUCCGAUGCCUCACUUUUUGUGUAUCAUCAGGGAGCUGACACUGCAUAUCUGCUGCUCUACGUCGACGACAUCAUCCUCACGGCGUCCACCCCCAGUCUCCUUCAGUGACUGACUGCUCGUCUUCGUGAUGAGUUUGCCCUCAAGGACUUGGGGCCCCUGCACUACUUUCUCGGCAUCGAGGUGAUCCGCCAGGCUGACGGGUUCUUUCUGCAUCAGCAGAAGUAUGCCCAUGAGCUCCUUGAGCGUGCCGGUAUGCUUAACUGCAAGCCGGCGCUCACUCCCGUUGAUACGAAGGCGAAGGUCUCUCCUCUGGAGGGGUCUCUCGCGUCCGAUGGAGCAUUUUAUCGCUCUAUUGUUGGUGCUUUACAGUACUUGACGCUGACUCGCCCCGACCUGUAGUACGCUGUUCAGCAGGUGUGCCUCCAUAUGCACGCCCCGCGUGACACUCACUGGACUCUGGUGAAGCGUAUUCUCCGUUACAUACGCGACACCAUGUCCUUGGGACUCACCCUGAUGGCUUCCGCCUCCACCGACCUCGUAGCCUACUCGGAUGCUGACUGGGCUGGCUGCCCCGACACGCGACGCUCUACGUCAGGCUACUACGUGUACCUUGGCCCCUCGUUGAUCUCUUGGUCAUCGAAGCCGCAGCCCACGGUCUCCCGCUCCAGCGCCGAGGCGGAGUAUCGCGCCGUGGCCAACACCGUGGCCGAGUGCUCUUGGAUACGUCAGCUGCUCUAGGAGUUGCUUUGUGAUGUUCACAAGGCCACUCUUGUCUACUGCGAUAACGUCAGCACGGUCUACCUCUCUUCCAACCCGGUGCACCAUCGACGGACAAAGCAUAUUGAACUCGACAUUCACUUCGUGCGCGAGCAGGUUGCCAUUGGCCGUAUUCGAGUUCCCCACGUGCCGACAUCGCAACAGUUUGCUGAUGUGAUGACUAAGGGAUUGCCUACUCCCGUCUUCGAGGAGUUUCGGUCCAGUCUCUGUGUCUCCGGCGAUGCUUCGACUGCGGGGGGUGUUGAGUAUGUGUUUUGUAUUACACGUGUAUUGGAGUUGUGGCCCACCUCCUAGUCUUGUAUAGUUGAGGUAGAGGCCUUCCCUUUUAUUAUAUAUACAUGCACCAACACCCCAUCAAUACAACGAUUAUUGUAUUGCAAAUCAUCUCUCCACAACAGCUAGCGUACUGGUAAAAACGGGAAACACUACUGUACAACGGUAAGUAGAUCCUAUGGUGUAAAUCUUCUGAAGCCAUCAUACCCGUCCGUUGUCUGAAGCGUUAAGUUGCCGGAAACGCUACAGCUAACUGAAUCUUCAACACUGCUAACUGAACAUGCCUGACAUUGCCCUCUCCUUGAGAAACGACGUGUCCUCACAUCGUUUGCUAAUUUGCACGCCAUGCUUGCGUAGUGGUCUUGAAAAAGUCAGGAAAUGUGUACUUGAUGAAGUCCGCAUCCUCCCAUGUCGCUUCUUCUGGAGAUAUGUUUUCCCACUGUAUAAACCACUGCACCACUGGGAGAUUAUGCAUGGGAAUUUGCCUCACCUGCAACACUGCCUCGGGUCCUGUUUUAAUAGUGCCAUCAGCUGCUACCAUUGUUAGAUUGGGGCUUGGAAUGGAUUUACUACCAAUAUGCUUUUUCAACUGGCUGACAUGAAAAACAGGGUGAAUUUGCACAUGAGGAGGAAACUGCAACUUGUAUGCUAACUUGCCCACUUUUUGGAUAACUAAAAAUGGUCCAUAAUACUUGUUCUAUAACUACAAGGCUCCUCUGAAUCCAAAAGCUGCUAAUCUGUAUGGAGCCAUUUUCAAAUAUACCAUAUCUCCUACUUCAAACACCCUUUCACUUCUCUUGAGGUCUGCAUACCUUUUCAUUCUGUUUUGAGCUUGUUGUAAACUUUCCUUCAGUUGCUCCAUCAUUUGUUGUUUAGCAGCUAGGAAAUUGUGUGCUUCUUCCUCAUCAGGUCCUGGUAUUGCUAGCUCAGAAAUCAAAGGAGGAGGAAACCCAUACAAAGCUUGGAAAGGAGACAUUUUCAAGGCAGUAUGGUAAGUGGUAUUGUACCAAAAUUCUGCUAGAGGUAGCCAGGAACACCACUUGUUUGGGUGAGAAGUGGUCAUGCACCUGAGAUAGGUUUCCACACAUUGGUUUACUCUUUCUGUUUGACCAUCAGUUUGUGGGUGAUAAGCUGUGCUAUAUCUUAACUCACUUUUCAUCCCUGCAAAGAUAUCCUUCCACAACUUGCUUGUAAAGAUUUUGUCCCUGUCUGAUAUAAUGACUUUAGGAGGGCCAUGCAGUCUGAUAAUGUUGUCCAGAAAAGCCUGGGCUACAGACAUCACAUUAUAUUGAUGUGACAGGGGUAUGAAAUGAGCAUAUUUUGUAAACCUGUCCACAACAACCAGUAUGACUUCCUUGCCUUGAGAGUUGGGCAAUCCCUCUAUAAAAUCCAUAGAGACAUGCCGCCAAGCCAUGUCAGCUAUUGGUAGGGGCACUAGAAGGCCAGGUUGCAAGCAGUUCUCAUGUUUAGCUCUUUGGCAUAUUGGACAAGCUGUAAUAAAUGAUUCUACAGCAGCUUUAAGGCCAGGCCAAUAGAAUAUAUUCUUGAUUCUUUGAUAUGUAGCCCUUGUAGCAGAGUGACCACCAAUUGGGGAACUGUGCAAAGCAGUAAGCAGUCUCUGCCUUAAAUUGGAAAAUUCUCCGACUAGAAUUUUUCCUUUAUAUCUUAUAAUGCCAGCUUUUAGACUGUAGUCAGACAGAGUAUGGUUUGGUUGCAAUAGUAGCUUCUCUAGAAUUUCCUUAGAGAUUGGGUCCUUCUGAUAUCCUUCCACCAGUUCUUGUGCCCAAACUGGAGUGGCCACAGAUAUAGCAAAACAAGAGGGCAUGACUCUUGACAAAGCAUCAGCCACCUUGUUUGCUAUUCCUUUCUUGUAUUGUAUCUGAAAGUUGAACUCCAGUAGUUUCAUCAGCAGUUUGUGCUGGACUCCUUCAGUGAUCUUCUGGUCAGUUAUGAAUUUUAGGGAUUGUUGAUCUGUUUUGAUGAUCAACUCAUGUCCAAUGAGAUAAUGCCUCCAUCUUUUCAAAGCUUCCAAAAUAGCCAGAGCUUCUUUCUCAUAAGUGGACAAUGUUGCAUUUCUGGGGCACAAGGAAGAACUAUAAUAUGCCAAGGUUUUACUUGUUGCAUGAGUACUGCUCCUAUGCCAUUCCCCUGAAGCAUCAGUCUCUAAUACAAAAGGCAAUGAAAAAUUGGGCAGAGCAAGAACUGGGGCAGUAAUAAGUGCUUGUUAUAACUGAGAAAAUGUUGCAUCAUGUGCACUUGUCCAUUUGAACUGCCUUUUUUAAGUAAAUCAUGCAGAUGUCUGCAAAUGACUCCAUAGCCCUUGAUAAAUCUUCUAUAGUAUCCAGAUAACCCCAAGAAACUUCUCAAUUUAGUGACAUUGUCAGGGAUUGACCACUCUGCAAUAGCUUUGAUUUUCUGUGCAUCAGUAGCUACCCCCUCAGCAGAUAUGACAUGACCCAGGUACUCCACUUGUGGAACUGCAAACACACAUUUAGAGAGUUUUGCACAUAACUGAUUUUCAUUCAGUAUUUUAAAAACAGCCUCUAUAUGCUCCAUGUGCUCUUCCAGUGUCUUGCUAUAGAUGAGUAUAUUAUCAAAGAACACUAGCACAAAUUUUCUCAAAUGAGGCCCAAAGAUCUUGUUCAUUAGGGCUUGAAAAGUACCAGGAGCAUUGGAUAAGCCAAAAGGCAUCACUAAGUACUCAAAGUGGCCCAAAAAUGUUCUGAGUGCAGUUUUGUGUAUAUCAUCUGGGUGCAUCCUGAUCCGAUGGUAGCCUGCUCUCAAAUCUAAUUUGGAGAAAUACUUUGUCCCUUGUAACUCAUCAAGCAAAUCCUUUAUAACAGGAAUAGGAAAUUUGUUCUUGAUUGUCACAGAGUUUAAUUUCCUGAAAUCAGUACACGGCCUCAUUGAGUUGUCUUUCUUCUUGACUAAGAUUACAUGAGCAGCAUAAGGACUUUGACUGUGUAUGAUAAAGUGAGUUGCCAAUAAUUUCUUGAUUUGCUCUUCCAUUUCUUUCUUCUGGUGUGGAGGAUCUUUGUAAGGCCUGGCAUGAGGAGGUUCAGUACCAGGUUUUAAAGGAAUUGUGUGGUCACAAUCUCUAUUUGGGGGUAAGGUAUUGGGUUCCUCAAACAGAUCUGCAUAAUCCAUUAACAUUUUCUGUAAUUGGGGAGGAGUUUUGAAACCAGCAGGUGCUUGCAGAAUUAUAUUGUGCACUUGUAACAGAAAAGCCUCAGCUCCUUUCUCCAACAACUUGCCCAUUUGUUCAGCUUGCACUUCUUUAACAUUCUCUGGUGUAUUGAAGAUAGCAGCAGUAACUGUUGUUUUACCUUGCAAUGUGAAACUGAAAGUAUUUUUUGGAAUAUUGAAAGCUACUGGGAUCAUUUGAGUGAACUAGUCAUAACCCAGUAUAACAUCGUAUCCAGGCAGGGGCAAAACUCUGAAAGUGUAUUGCAAUGAUUGCUUGGCCAAUUGAAAGUCACAGUUAGGACUACUGCCUUGGAUAUUAAUUUACCACCUCCUGCAACUGCAAUCAUUCGAGGUUUCACUGGUAGUAAAUGACAGUUUGCCUUUACUGCAAACUCUUGGCUCAUAAAGGAGGAACUAUUGCCAUAAUCUAACAAGGCUGUUGCUCUUUUCCCAUUGAUGUGAUUUUUCACAGUUGGUGUUGGCACUGCAAUUUGUUGACCUAUUGCAUGAGCAGUUAUAAACAUUGCUUGUUCUCCUUCCUCUACAAUUUCCUCCUGUUCUUGCUCAAUACCUUCUUCUACCAUAGUAUCUUGCUCAACUUCUUGUUGCAUUAAGUGCACAUUAGGUACUAAUUUUCACUUGUGCCUUGGUACCCGCUUAUCUCCACAUCUCCAGCACUCUCCUACUUUUCUCAUCUUCUGAAAUGUGUUGUUGUUGGUCUCUGUUUGCUUGGCUGGGGUAUUUUGCUGUGUAGUAUGUAAGGCAGGAUUGUUUUUGUUUUGAACACCUCCAGUGUUUUUCUGAUAGUAAUUCACAAAAGGAAUACUUGUUUUCUUUGGCACUGCACUGAUGUGUGGAUAAUUGGGCUCCACUUCUUUUGCUAAGAAGUAAGCAUGAGUUAGAGUUUCUGGUCUCAAUGGUCUAAGAUGGAAUUUGAUGCCUUCUCUAAGACCAUUCACAUAACAUCUAACAAACCAUGCUUCUCCUAGUUCAAGACUUUCUUCCAUGAUUUCUGCCAUUAAAUCUUCAAACUGUUUUGUAUAAACAGCAACUGUGUUGCUAGCUUGUUUCAGUGAAUUGAAUUUUUCAGUAAGGUCAUAAGAUCCUUGUUCAGAAAAUCUUUUCACCACCUCUGCUCCAAAUUGUUUCCAAGUUAAUUGUUUCUUUAACAGUCCUGAUCUUCUUCACCAGAUAUCUGCCUCACCAAUGAUGUACAUAUGGGCUAAUGAAACUUUAUAUUCCUCAGGAGCAGCAACCAUUUGAAAGUAUUUAUUACAUUGCCUGAUCCAUCCCACUGGGUCUUCACCAAAAUUUUUGGGAAAAUCCAUUUCGGGGCCUUUUGUUAAUGAUCUCAUGAACUGUGCUUGCAUGUCCUGUUCAUAAGUCUUGUGAUAUCCUUGCCGUAGUUGCCUAUCCCUAUUUUGCUGAUAAAACUGGUUAAAAGCAGGUGUAUGAGCAUUUUGUCUUGCUGUCACAGGAGUACCUACAUUGCUAUAAGUUUUCUGUCUUCCUUGGGACACAAAACCAGGAGGUCCAUUUGUUCUGUUGGUUCUCAUUGGUGGAAGAUUCUGCAAUUGAAUUUCCUCCAACUGCUUGGAUUUCUCCUUUUCUGCUGCCAAUUGCUUUCUCGGCUGUUCUACUCUCGCUUCUUGUUACUGAGCUUGCCCUUGAUUCAGUGUAGGUGACACGGGUACUUCCUGAGAACUGGAAGGACGAUCAUCAUGUUGCACUGUUUGUGUUGUUUUCACCAAGGUUUGCAAAACAGUACAGAUUGCAGAUAAUUGUUUGGCCAGAUCCAACACUACACGCUCUACUUCUCCAACAGUAACAGAGAUUUCCCCUUGCUUGGAGCCAAUUGAUUUCACUUCCUCCUGAAGUUUUGAUACCCGUUUCUGCAUCUGAUUGCUAUCUUUCUGCAGAAUCCCGAAAUCCUCACGCAUCGCCAGAAUUUCCUGGAGGUUAGUGUCAUCGACAACCUUGGAGUGUCCCAUCACCUCGAUCUGAAGUAUGGGUACGGAAUUUUACCACUGAAAACUCAGCUCCCUAAUCUUCAGAUCCUGCCACCGCCAACAAAUUUGCCCCUCUGGCACACGGAUCGACGCCUAGAACACGAAAAUGUACCGAUCGAACAGGUGUGUUCGAACAACCGCUUCUGCUCGGCCGAUCUGUGCCCGAAUGUCACCGCCGCCUGCGCCGCCACACCGGACCCCGUCGCCAGCGCCGCCAAACUUCGCCCUUACCCGGAGCUCAAGAAGAAAGGUGGGAGAAAGGGUGGGAUUCGCCGAUCGAAAAAAAAAUUGCACUACCGGAGCGCGUUUCUGCCGAAGAACGAUGGCUCAUGAUACCAAUUUGUCAGGCCCUAGUCGAUCUAUAGAUUCGUGGACGCAAGAAUAACAAGGGAAUUUGGCUAAUCUCGCUGGAUCUGACGUAUAUUAUGGGUGUACGGAAGCACAAGUGUUUAGGGUUCAAGCCCAUCAUCAGAAUUGGGAAGGCAGAAUGAUCCGUCCAGCCACAGCCCGGCUAGUUAUAAGGCACGCAGUGACAGCUAGCGUACUGGUAAAAACGGGAAACACUAUAGUACAACGCUAAGUAGAUCCUAUGAUGUAAAUCUUCUGAAGCCAUCGUAGCCAUACGUUGUCUGAAGCAUUAAGUUGCCGGAAACGCUACAACUAACUGAAUCUUCAACACUGCUAACUGAACAUGCCUGACAUUGCCGCCGCCAACCGUACUAGUCCAAGGAGCGCCACAGAAGGGCCGGGGUCCGCCCUCCAUAGCCUCCAUCUUGGCGCCCGGCCUCGCUGGCCGGCGGCGCUACUAGCGAUCUGGUCGUAGACGCCGCCAUUUGGCGGACUCCAGUGUCGACGUACCGGCUGCUGGCGGCGGCCUGGAAUAGCGCGCAGCCGAGGAGGAGCUCAGUUGGCUACCGGCGGCGGCCUGGAAUAGCGCGCAGCCGAGGAGGAGCCCAGUCGUCGAGUGAGUGGAUCUGGUGUGGAGAUGUACUGGGUAGGUGCGCCGCCGAGCGACUGGUGCUGUGUGCGGGAGAUAUUUUUUCUUUUAGCGAAUCUGCGGGAGAAAAUUAGAUGGAUAGGGGCUGAACCCUAGCCGGGGUGGGCAAAUUUCCAUCUCCCCAAAAUACCCUUUCUGUGUGCGGGAUUUUUUUUAUUUUAAUCUCGUGCGAGAGGCGUUUUUUCCCUCUGCCCAUUUUGCCAAUCGGAGAAAAAAGGAAAAAGUCUAAAAUAAACCUUGAACUCGUACACGAAAGCUAAAUGGAACCUGAACUUCCAAUUCCUGAAAUCAGCAAACCAAACUCUUCGAUCCCGGUCUAUUUUGAACCUUGAAAGUGUUUCCAAAUAGGGAUUGUCGACAUGGCGGGUUGAAUCCCGGGAUUGUUGACAGUGCACGCGACUGGGCCGGCCCAAUAGGCACGAAGCCAGAUUUUUUAUUUCUUUUUUGUUCAGUCUAUUUUUUAUUUCUUUUUUUAAUAUGAGACGUGUAAUAAAAUACCAAAAAAUAGUCAACUGUUGAUUGCACAGGAGGCGGCCAACCACGUGUUUUUUUUCAAAAAAAGAGGAACGGCCAUCCACGUGUGAAGCGAUUUUUUUGUCUUUUAUUUAUCAUAACAUGUGACGUAUAAAAAUACGUAUGGAAAAUAAACAGUAGGGAUAGAGUCAAACAUACGACGUGGAGCUGCUGAACUCGUCACGCAAGCCACGAGAAUAAAUUGCUGCUAGUCACUUUACGAGAUGAUCGAAAUAUUUAAUCACACACCGCAAAGUAUACAGAUUAGGAAUAAACUUUUUUAUGGGCAAAAAAAUAUGGAAAACGUAAACCAUUUGUGAAACGGAACAACUUUUCGAAAACGAAACCAAUUUUGAACAAGUUAACACUUUUUUAAACAUAAUGUUUUCUGAAAAACUGGGAACAAAUUUUGAAACCUGAACUAAAUAAAAAAUGCAAACACUUUCGGAAAAUUUUAAAAAUUGACUUUUGUAACCUGAAAACUGUGCGAGAAAAAUGUUUAAUACUCCUUCGAUAAAUAAAUAUAGUGAUCUAAAUGCUUUUAUAUUUCUAUACAGAGGGGGUACUUUAAAAAAGAUGAACAACAUUGAAAAAAUGGGAACACUUUUUGAAACAUAAACAUGUUUGAAAAAAUAGGGACUAACUUUAAAACCUGAACAAAUUUUAAAGUCUGGACAUUUUUAUGUAUUUUCUUAAAAAAUGGGAGAGACUUUGUAAAUAAUGUAUAAACUGUUUGUAUAGUUUUAUAAAAUGUUUUUGCCAUCUCAAAAAUGUUAAACGUGUAUUUGGCAAACUUUUACUGUAUAUUAAAAAAAUGUUGGAAACAUGUAUUUUAAAAAAUGUACAUAAUGUAUUUGAAAAAUGUCGAAUGUGCAUAAAAAAUGUUUCAUGUGCGUGUUAAUGUAUAUAAUAUAUUUGAAAAAUGUUGAAAUCAUAACAAUGGCAAAGCGUAACAAUGUACAUAACGUAUUUGGAAAAAAAUAUAACAAAAGGAAAAAAGCCGAAGAAAACCAAUGAAAAUAAAGAAAACCGGAAGGAAAGGGAUAAAAGAAAAUGAAAAAAAAUGAAAACCAUAGCAGAGCGGGCACACAAGCGACUACUCUAAUGGGCCGACCCAGCUUAACUUGCCAUGUCAGCGAAUACCAGCGAAAUACUCUCAAGGUUUAAAAUAGACCGGGAUCGAAGAGUUUGGUGUGCUGAUUUCAGGGAUUGGAAGUUCGGGGUUCGAUUUAGCUUUCGCUUACAAGUUCAGGGUUUAUUUUUGACUUUUUCCGAGAAAAAAUACUACUCCUUGGGUGGACAAGUACUGAUCACGUUGGACCAUCAGAUCUACUGAUUGGAUGGCUGAUAUUUCUUCGUCCUUACCGUAAAAGGCAUCUAAAUUGAAUGUCGAUGCAGGUGCGUGUGGUGCAAUCCUACGCGACUUGUUAGGAAGCUUCAUAGCUGCAGUUGUGAAAUUUAAACAUCAUGCACUGGACGGCUCAUACGAUAGAGGCGUUAGCGGUGUUAUUGGGGCUACGACUAGCAAAAAAGCUUGGUAUCCUCUGUACUACAAUUGAGAGCGAUUCUAUGGAGAUUUUCCAAGCUAUUCAAAAUCCUUUUGAGCAUCAGGCAUCAAUAGUAGUGAUCACUGAUGAUUGUCGAAAGUUGAUAAGUUCUUCCCACAAGGUGAACAUAGAUUAUUGUCUGCGAGAAGCUAAUGGGUAUGCCCAUGAUCUUGCACGGUUUAGUUUUGAGAGACAGGAAUCAAUGGUGUGGUAUGAUAAACCCCUGGAUUUCCUGACCUCUUCUAUUGUAAAGGAUAUAGUUAUUAAUUAAACAAAAUCACCAAAUUAAAAAAGAAAUCUCCUCUUCCCUUGCUCUUCCCAGUCCCAAUACUCUCCGGUUGUUCUCUCCCCCCAAAAAAAAAUCUCCAAUCGUACCGCGAAUUCGUGAUUGAAUCGCUUGGUUAUCUAUACAAGAACUACGUGAGUUAGUCUACACAGUCCACAGUAGGGAUCAAACGAUACAUAGUAAUCAUCGUGUGCACAUUUCUCUCGAAAAAAAGAAUCUCCAAAUGUGGCCCUGCUUGCGAGACAAAGUUGAAGACUUAUACAAAACCCAAACAGCCUAUGUGCAAGAGUCAUCAAGUCCAAGUAUUAUCCUAAUGGAGACAUCCUCAACACUGUCUUCCCCUCAGAUGUCUCGCCGGUUUGGAGAGGAAUCGAGCAGGGUUUGGAGCUGUUAAAAAAAGGACUCAUUUGGAGAGUUGGAAACGGCAAGAGCAUCCAAAUUCAAAGGGACCAGUGGAUACCGAGAGUGGAUGGUUUGAAAACAGCUCAGUUCAUUAGGAGAUCGAGACUCCGUUGGGUUAACCAAUUGAUCAACAAGGAGACAAAAGAUUGGGACAGAGAUCUGAUCGGAAGGAUUUUUUACCCCUUUGAUGCGGAGGAGAUUUAUAAAAUAAAAAUCCCCUUGACAGAGAUGGAAGAUUGCAUCGCGUGGCACUAUGAGAAAAACGGGAAGUUCACAGUACGGAGUGCUUACAAACUAGCGGCAAGUUUGAACAGCAACACAAAUGGGGGACCCUCAAGCUCGACUACCAGUGCAGGUAAUAGGAGUAUUUGGGACGUCAUUUGGAAAAUGAACAUCCCGGAGAGGAUGAAAAUUUUCGGAUGGCGAGUCGCGACUAACACUCUGGAAACUAAAAGAAAUAAAUGCAGACGUACUAUAGUUCAUGAUAGUGUCUGCGGGAUCUGCGGUAAUGGAGAGGAAGAUGAAUUACAUGCUGUUAUAUCAUGCACAAAAAGUACUGCACUUAGAUUCGCAAUGAGAAAAGAGUGGCGACUCCCGGAUGAGCAAGAGUUUUGGUAUACUGGGAAAGACUGGCUGCAAAUUCUUUUGGACAAACAAGAUUCAGAGAUGAGGGUAAAAAUCAUGCUGCUGCUGUGGAGAGCCUGGUUUCUGAGAGAGAACUGUGUACAUAAUGAUGGGAAAGAAACUGUCUCACGCUCCGUGCUCUUCCUGCUGCAGUACGAGGAAGAAAUCAGGAAUCUAUCACAGCCUAUGGUCGGAUAAAAAGAAGUGUUGCUGGUCUCUGUCUGCUACUCGUCCUGCGUGGAAUGGAAUGACAGGAAACGGUCGGGCAUCGGGCCAGUGGGAAGCUCCGCCCCCGGGAGUGCUGAAACUGAACACUGAUGCAGCAUUCCUAGCUGACACGGGUCGAAGCUGGGCUGGAAUAGUGGCACGAAAUGAUAAGGGACUUGUGUACUACUCUGCAUGUAAGGCGAUGAACCCCAGCAAAACAGUUGAAGAGGCCGAGGGUCAGGCUAUUCUGCUCGGCCUAACGGCACUGGCGAGGCUGUACAAUGGACCGAUCAUGAUUGAGACUGACAAUACACUAAUAGCAACUGAACUGAGAAGCAACGGAACCUGCCGCUCUGAAUGCUUUUGGAUUGUCAAUGAAAUAAAAAAUGCAUGGCAUACUUUCAGUUCAAUCCAAAUCAGGACAGUCAAGAGGGAGCAGAACCGGCUAGCACAUGAGCUAGCGGCCAGAGCUAGGCGGUAUGAAGACUGCCUGAUGAUUGCGGACGUGCCGGGAGAGCUCCGUCCGCUGAUGCUAUCUGAAUGCACCGAGUAGUUUCUUUGGCUGUAUUUUGGGUAGUUUUCCUCAAAAAAGAAGAAAAAAAAAGAAAUGAAAACCAAAGGUAACAUCACAGGCAAGCUAUCACCGGCCUUAUUAGUCAGCGAAGAGCAGACAAUUACACGUGUACUAUAUUACAAUCACCGGACAGGACAGAGUAAAUUGCACAAAACCACCACUUUGAAGGUGAGGUUUGUGAAAAACACUACGCUACACUUUUGUUGCAAACAACACCACGUCUUCUGUAAUCAUUUUGCAAAAACCACUGAUCGGCAGUUUUGUCUCGGUUAAGCGUGUUUAUGACAGAUGGGCCCGCCAUUCAGGCUGACGUGGCACUGCUUAACACCUCGCAGGUAACGGCGACGGUUCGUAACGUUGUGAUCUUGACUGGAGCCAUGUGGGGUCCACCUGUCAUUGAAAGAAGAAAAAAUCCUGCCUUUAAGUUUUGCUUGCCUUAUCUUCAUUGUACUGACACAGAGCUGAGGUGCACCUUCUUCGGUGCCAGCGAGCUCCACAUGCCACCGGUGAUGUCGCUCGAGAGCAUCAGGAGGUAGAGCACGGCGUCCUUCUGCUCCUACUCGAACGCGCCCAGCAUCGGCUGUGGCGGCACGGGGGCCGGCCCCGCCACGCGGAUCGGACUACGCCUCCGCUUGGGCGGCGCGACCAUCACAGCAACCGACGACCGCCUCCAUCUCCUCGUGGGCCUCCGGCAGCGCCUUGCCGAGCGAGAGGCCGCACAAGAAACCACAGAGCUGCCUGGAGGAGGAUCUGAGGCGGCGGGCGCGACCAUUGGGGAUCUGGGGGAGAGAUGAAGGAGUAGAGGAGAGGCGGGCUCGACCUCCGGGCAGCACGACAAUGGCGGCCCCUGCCUCUGCCAGGGCAGGACGGGUUCCGUGCGGCAACGGCUAUGGCGGCCUCUGCCCCAGCCGAGGGCGGGACAGGCGGGGGGCCUCUGCCCGGCCUGGUCUGAUGGUGAAGAUAAGGCAAGGAAAAAUGUGUUUUUCUUUUUUCUUUCAAUGAUAGGUGGACCCCACAUGGCUCCACACAAGAUCACAACUUUACGAACUGUCGCCGUUACCUGCGAGGUGUUAAGAGGUGCCACGUCAGCCUGAAUGGCGGCCCCAUCUGUCAUAAACAUGCUUAACCGAGACAAAACUGUCGAUCAGUGUUUUUUGUAAAAUGAUUAUAGAAGACAUGGUGUUGUUUGCAACAAAAGUGUAGCGUAGUGUUUUCCGCAACCUCGCCUUCAAAGUGGUGGUCUUGUGCAAUUUACUCGAUAGGACAUCAUGGGACCAUGGCCAGCUAUAUUACUAUACUGUAUUGUACUACCUUGCCCGCUUGCCAAAUAAGCAACAACUCAUCUCUCAGCUCACGAGCUUGUAUCAGCGCACCAGAGUUCGCACUUCACAGCCCGCACUUCUACCAUCGUCGCAACAGCAACAGCGAAAAUCUGCAUUCCCCCAUGGCGAGGGAUCAGGUGUUGGUGUUGCUGCGACGGUGGUAGUGCGGGGUUGCGGGCUGCGAGGUCUGUUGUUGGUGCAAGCUCGCGGGUUGAGAGUCCGGGUGUUGCCGCCUCAAACUCCGGCGCUGCCGCGGCGAUCGUACCGCGAACUGCGAGUUCUAUUGCUGCUGCGACGGCUGACUCUCCCGACUGGAGCCUUCGCUGCUGCUGCUGCGAUGGUGACAACCGUAAGCUCGGGCGUAGCAACAAGUUUUGGUGCUGCUAUAACGGUGGUGUCAUCGGCAGUGAGCUCCGUUGCUGCUGGGACGAUGACUCCCUGGGCUGGAAGCUCUGGUUCUGCUGCGACGAUGCCAGCAGUAAGCUCAGGUGUUGCGGAAAGCUUUGGCGCUCCUGCAACAACGACGUCGCGGACUUCAAACUCUGGUGCUGCUGUAACGGCGGUGGCGUUGACUGUGGGCUUCGUCGUUGCUGCAACGGCGACUCCUUGGACUGCAAGCUCUGGUUCUGCUGCAACGAUGCCAGCCGUAAGCUCGGGCGUUGCGGCAAGAUCUCGUGCUGAUGGAACGGCAACGUCGUGGACUGUGAGCUCUGGUGCUGCUGUGAAGAUGCCAACAGUAAGCUCGGGCGUUGCGGCAAGCUUUGCGCUCCUGCAACAGCGACGUCGCGGACUUCAAACCCUGGUGCUGCUGUAACGGNNNNNNNNNNNNNNNNNNNNNNNNNNNNNNNNNNNNNNNNNNNNNNNNNNNNNNNNNNNNNNNNNNNNNNNNNNNNNNNNNNNNNNNNNNNNNNNNNNNNNNNNNNNNNNNNNNNNNNNNNNNNNNNNNNNNNNNNNNNNNNNNNNNNNNNNNNNNNNNNNNNNNNNNNNNNNNNNNNNNNNNNNNNNNNNNNNNNNNNNNNNNNNNNNNNNNNNNNNNNNNNNNNNNNNNNNNNNNNNNNNNNNNNNNNNNNNNNNNNNNNNNNNNNNNNNNNNNNNNNNNNNNNNNNNNNNNNNNNNNNNNNNNNNNNNNNNNNNNNNNNNNNNNNNNNNNNNNNNNNNNNNNNNNNNNNNNNNNNNNNNNNNNNNNNNNNNNNNNNNNNNNNNNNNNNNNNNNNNNNNNNNNNNNNNNNNNNNNNNNNNNNNNNNNNNNNNNNNNNNNNNNNNNNNNNNNNNNNNNNNNNNNNNNNNNNNNNNNNNNNUGCUGCUGGGACGAUGACUCCUCUAACCGGAAUCUCUGGUUCUGCUGCGAUGGUAGCAGCCGUAAGCUUGGGCGUUGCCGCAAGCUCUCAUGCUGAUGGAACGGCAACGUCGUGGCCUGUGAGCUCUGGUGCUGCUGUGCCGAUGCCAACAGUAACUUCGGGCGUUGCGGCAAGCUUUGGCGCUCCUGCAAUAGCGACGUCGCGGACUUCAAACUCUGGUGCUGCUGUAACGGCGGCGGCGUUGACUGUGGGCUUCGUUACUGCUGGGACGAUGACUCCUCUAACUGGAAGCUCUGGUUCUGCUGCGAUGGUAGCUGAUGACCCGCAAGUAUACGGGAUAGUUGUAGCCUCUUUCGAUAAGUAAGAGUGUCGAACCCAAUGAGGAGCUAAAGGUAGAACAAAUACUCUCUCAAGUCCUAUCUGCCACUGAUACGACUCUACGCACGCUUGACGUUCGCUUUACCUAGAACAAGUAUGAACCUAGAAGUACUUUGUAGGUGUGAUAUGAUAGUUUUGCAAGAAAGUAAAGAGCACGUAAACAUAAACUAGGGGCUGUUUAGAUAAAGAAGCAAUAAAGUAAAUAUAGCGAGUGUGCAAAAGUGGUGGUAGGAGUUGUGAAAUUGUCCCUAAGCAAUUGACUAUGUUACUAGACCGAUAAUCACUAUUGCAAUUCUAUUUGAGGGAGAGGCAUAAGCUAACAUACUUUCUCUUCUUGGAUCAUAUGCACUUAUGAUUGGAACUCUAGCAAGCAUCCGCAAAUACUAAAGAUUCAUUAAGGUAAAACCCAACCAUAGCAUUAAAGUAUCAAGUCCUCUUUAUCCCAUACGCAACAACCUACUUACUCGGGUUUGUGUUUCAGUCACUCACGCAACCCACUAUAAGCAAAUCAUGGACGUAUUGCAACACCCUACAGCGGGAAUCCCUCACGCUUGCGCGACACGGAGGGCACCAUAAGACAGCACCAAUAAUAAAACAUGCAACUCAAGCCAAUCAUAGCAAUUCAUCAAUCACCAAUAGGACAACGAAAAUCUACUCAUACAUCAUACGAUGGCAACACAUCAUUGGAAAAUAAUAUGAAGCAUAAAGCACCAUGUUCAAGUAGAGGGUACAGCGGGAUGCGGGAGAGUGGUCCGCGGAAUAUAGAAGGGGGAAGGUGAUGGAGAUGUUGGUGAAGAUGACGGCGGUGUUGGUGAAGAUCGCGGUGAUGAUGAUGGCCCCCGACAGCGCUCCGGCGCCACCGGAAGCAAGCGGGAGAGAGCCCCCCUUCUUCUUCCUCCUCUUCCUUGACCUUCUCCCUAGAUGUGAGAAGGAUUUCCCCUCUGGUCCUUGGCUCCCAUGGCGUGGGAGGGGCGAGAGCCCCUCCCAGAUUGGAUCUAUAUCUCUGUUUCUGCAUUCUCUGGUUCUGCCCCUUCACCGUUUUCUUUAUAUCUGGAGAUCUGUAACUCCGAUUGGGGUGAAUCUUUCGGCCAGAUUUUUCUCAUAAAAUUAGAUUUCUUGCGGCAAAAGUAGAGCCUCAACUGCCUUAUGGGUGGCCCACGAGAGCCCAGGGCGCGCCCAGGGGGAGGGGGCGCGCCCCCCUGUCUCGUGGCCACCCCGGACACCGUUUCGCGUUGAUUCUUCCUUCGGAAAAUCCCAAAUAUUCCAAAAUAAUUCUCCGUCCGUUUUUAUCCCGUUUGGAUUCUGUUUGAUAUUGGUUUUCUGCGAAACAUAAAACAUGCAACAGACAGGAACUGGCACUGGGCACUGGAUCAAUAUGUUAGUCCCAAAAAUAGUAUAAAAAAUUGCCAAAAGUAUAUGAAAGUUGAAGAAUAUUGGCAUGGAACAAUCAAAAAUUAUAGAUACGACAGAGACAUAUCAACAUCCCCAAGCUUAAUUCCUGCUCGUCCUCGAGUAGGUAAAUGAUAAAAAAGAUAAUUUUUUGAUGUGGAAUGCUACCUAGCAUAAUCUUGAUCAUAUGUCUAAUCAUGGCAUGAAUAUUAAGACACGAGUGAUUCAAAGCAAUAGUCUAUCAUUUGACAUAAAAAACGAUAAUACUUCGAGCGUACCAAUAAAGCAACCAUGUCUUUUCAAAACAACAAGGCCAAAGCAAGCUUAUCCCUACAAAAUCAUAUAGUUUGGCCAUGCUUUUUAAUGUGCUUCAGCUUUUUCAACCCUCACGCAAUACAUGAGCACAAGCCAUGGAUAUAACACCAUAGGUGGAAUAGAAUAUAAUGAUGGAGGUUAUAUGGAGAAGAAAAAAAGGGAGAAAGUCUCACAUCGACGCGGCUAAUCAACGGGCUAUGGAGAUGCCCAUCAAUUGAUGUCAAUGCGAGGAGUAGGGAUUGCCAUGCAACGGAUGCACUAAGAGCUAUAAGUGUAUGAAAGCUCAAACUGAAAACUAAGUGGGUGUGCAUCCAACUUGCUUGCUCAUGAAGACCUAGGGCAUUUGAGGAAGCCCAUCGUUGGAAUAUACAAGCCAAGUUCUAUAAUGAAAAUGCCCACUAGUAUAUGAAAGUAACAACAUAAGAGACAAUCUAUAUGACGAACAUGGUGCUACUUUGAAGCACAAGUGUGGAAAAAGGAUAGUAACAUUGCCCCUUUUUUUUCUUUUUCUUUUUUUUCUUUUUUCUUUUUUCGGUGGGCUUCUUUGGACCCCUUUUUAUUUAGGCUUCUUUGGCCUUUCCUUUUUUUCUUUUUUUCUUUUUCUUUUUUAUGGGGCAAUGUUCUAUAAUGAUGAUCAUCACACUUUUAUUUACUUACAAAUCGAUAUUACAACUCGAUACUAGAACAUAGAUAUGACUCUAUAUGAAUGCUUCCGGCGGUGUAUCGGGAUGUGCAACGAUCUAGCAUAGCAAUGACAUCAAACAUCAUGCUAGCUAUCUUACGAUCAUGCAAAGAGAUAUGACAAUAAAUUCUCAAGUCAUGAAUAUGAUGAUGAUGGAAGUUGCAUGGCAAUAUAUCUCGGAAUGGCUAUGGAAAUGCCAUGAUAGAUAGGUAUGAUGGCUGUUUUGAGGAAGAUAUAAUGAGGCUUAUAUGUGAUAGAGUGUAUUGUAUCACGGGGUUUGGAUGCACCGGCAAAGUUUGCACCAACUCUCGAGGUGAGAAAGGGCAAUGCACGGUACCGAAGAGGCUAGCAAUGAUGGAAAGGUAAAAGUGCUUAUAAUCCAUGGACUCACAUUAGUCAUAAAGAACUCAUAUACUUAUUGCAAAAGUUUAUUAGCCCUCGAAGCAAAGUACUACUACGCAUGCCCCUAGGGGGAUAGAUUGGUAGGAAAAGACCAUCGCUCGUCCCCGACUGCCACUCAUAAGGAAGACAAUCAAAGAAACACCCCAUGCUUCAAAUCUGUCACACAACGGUUACCAUACGUGCAUGCUACGGGACUUGCAAACCUCAACACAAGUGUCUCUACAAUCCACAACCACCCACUAGCAUGACUCUAAUAUCACCACCUUUAUAUCGCAAAACUAUUGCAAGGAAUCAAACAUAUCAUAUUCAGUGAUCUACAAGUUUUAUGUAGGAUUUUAUGACUAACCAUGUGAAUGACCAAUUCCUGUCAUCUCUCUAAAUAGAUAUAAGUGAAGCAAGAGAGUUUAAUUCUUUCUAAAAAAGAUAUGCCCACGCUCUAACAAUUAUAAGUGAAGCAAGAAAACAUUCUACAAAUGGCGGUUUUCUAUGUGAAGAGAAACAUGCAAUCCAAACUUUAAAUGAUAUAAGUGAAGCACGUGAAGCAUUCUAUAAAGCCAUACUCAAAAGACUUAAGUGAAGUGCAAUGAGCAUUCUAUAAAUCAACCAAGGACUAUCUCAUACCAGCAUGGUGCAUAAAAGAAAAGUGAAAACUAAAUGCAAAAGACGCUCCAAAACUUGCACAUAAUGCAUGAACGAAACGAAUACAAAAACAUACCGAUACUUGCUGAAGAAAGAGGGGAUGCCUUCCAGGGCAUCCCCAAGCUUAGAUACUUGAGUCACCUUGAAUAUUUACUUGGGGCGCCUCGGGCAUCCCCAAGCUUGAUCUCUUGCCUCUCUUCCUUUUCCUCAUAUCGAGACAUCCUCGAUUAGACACUACAUCCACACAAAACUUCAACAGAAAACUCGGUAAGAUCCGUUAGUAUAAUAAAGCAAAUCACUACUCUAAGUACUGUAGGAAACCAAUUCAUAUUUUGUUUUUGCAUUGUGUCUACUGUAAUAUAGCUUCUCCAUGUCUUAAUACACUAAUAUAAAUUGAUAGAUUCAUCAAAACAAGCAAACUAUGUAUCAAAAACAGAAUCUGUCAAAAACAGAACAGUCUGUAGCAAUCUGAACAUCCACCAUACUUAUGUUACCACAAAAAUUCUACCAAAAUUAGGAAAAAUAAACAAGUUGUAUAGAAAGACAGUUCAAAAGGAAUCAGAACCGUUUGACGUUCCAGUUAAAAAUGUAAAAUCGCUCACUACAGCCAAAGUUUCUGUCCUGCACCGUACAAACCAACAAGCAUUGUAAACAUCUUAAAGGAAAAACCUUAGCACAUUAUUUUUAUAAUACAAUGGAAUUGUACAAGGGUAUAAUUAUUUUUGAUGAAAAGUUUCUGUAAUCAAGAUUCACAAAGUUUCCGUGAGCAUGAACAAAGUUCAAGGAGCUCUCCCACUUCAACAAUGCUUGUCUUUCUCACUUUCACUUUCCUUUUUGAAAAGUUUUUAGGUUCUCCUCUUUAUUUUUUUGUUUUUAAAAUAUAUAAAAACACUCAAUAGAAAUAAAUGACUCUCUAAAACUUCUAGGUUGUCUCCCUGGCAGCGCUUUCUUUAAAGCCAUUAAGCUAGGCAUUUAGUGCUCAAGUAAUGAAUCCACCUGGAUCCCAAGGUAUAUCAAAGCUAAUUUUAAUUAAUAAUGAUUUGUAAUUUAGUAGUGAGCACAAAGUAACAUAUGUCAUGCAACAACGAAGUCUAACUCUCUUCCUAUGCAUCGGCAUGUCAUAAAAGAACAAUUCAUGCACACAUAGUAAAGGCCAAUGCAUAGUAUAAACAGUUUCUUGAAUUUUAUCGUAUUGGAAACAUAAAGAGGCGGAGAUGUAGUUCCUCUCUCAUAAUAAUUGCAAGUAGGAGCAGCAAGCACAUGCAUAUUAUAUCUAUCAAAAUCAUCAUGCGAAGUAAUAAAACGCAGCCCAUCAAUAUAAUCCUUAAUAAGCACAAACUUCUCCGACAUAGCGUAGUCGGGAGAAUUCAAAAAGAUAAUAGGACUAUCAUGCGUGGGUGCAAUAGCAACAAUCUCAUGUUUAACAUAAGGAACUAUAGCAAGUUCAUCUCUAUAAGCAUAAUUCAUAUUGGCAUCUCGGCCACAAGCAUAGCAAACACCAUCAAAAGGGGAUAUUUCAAGAGAAUCAAUGGGAUCAUAACAAUCAUCAUAGCAAUCAUCAUAGCAAUCAUCAUAGUAAUCAUCAUAGCAAUCAUCCUUCGGUAAGCACGAAGGGAAAUUAAACAAUGUAUGAGUUGAAGAGUUACUCUCAUUAGAAGGUGGGCACGCGUAGCUAAUCCGCUCUUCCUCCUUUUGUUUUUCGCUCUCCUCAUCAUCUUUUUCAUCCAAUGAGCUCACUGUUUUAUCAAUUUCUUCUUCCAUAGCUUCCUGCAAAAUACUAGUCUCUUCUUGGGCAGCGGAGACUUUCUUCAUAAAAGCAUUAAUAUAAUAAUUGUAUUCAUAAUUUUCAUAGCAAUAUCUAAGUAUAGCAAGAUUUUCAGGCCUAUAACCAUCAUCAUCAAAAGCUUCAUACUUUUCAAACAAAGCUUCAAUUUCAUAAGCAGCCUUAAAAGUAACAAAUUCUUCUAUUUGUUCCACAUCAUAGUAAUCAUAUAUACCAUUAGCAUAAGAAGCUAAGGUUUCAUUAUCAUUAAAUUUGCAUGAAAAGGGAAGGUGUGGAGCCUCUAUCCUAGAGCAACAAGUAAUAUCAUAUCUCAAGCAUAGAUUCCAGGCAUACCAACGCAACAUAAUAAAUUGAUCCCAUAAUAGUUUCCAUUUUUGCGUCGAGCGAUAAUCCCUAAAGUAUUCACAUUGAUCCAACGUGUCUCCCAUUAUAAAGUUGAAUGGGGUUUUCUCAGGAUUAUCGAAGUAGUACACAAUAUCUUUCGCAUAAUGAGAAUCGAGGGUUUUAGGAGUUACCCCAUCCUCAUGAGUAGCAAGUACAACUAGUUUUUUUUGGUAUUUUGCGUUCCAUAUCCAUAACUAAAGAUAGAGAACAACUAAGAACAGCAAAUAAAAAUUACUUAGUGAUAAAGCAAAGAAGCACACAUGAGAAUAUUCACCCCACGCUAUGACUCCCCGGCAACGGUGCCAGAAAAAGGUCUUGAUGACCCGCAAGUAUACGGGAUAGUUGUAGCCUCUUUCGAUAAGUAAGAGUGUCGAACCCAACGAGGAGCUAAAGGUAGAACAAAUACUCUCUCAAGUCCUAUAUGCCACUGAUACGACUCUACGCACGCUUGACAUUCGCUUUACCUAGAACAAGUAUGAACCUAGAAGUAUUUUGUAGGUGUGAUAGGAUAGUUUUGCAAGAAAGUAAAGAGCACGUAAACAUAAACUAGGGGCUGUUUAGAUAAAGAAGCAAUAAAGUAAAUAUAGCGAGUGUGGAAAAGUGGUGGUAGGAGUUGUGAAAUUGUCCCUAAGCAAUUGACUAUGUUACUAGACCGAUAAUCACUAUUGCAAUUCUAUUUGAGGGAGAGGCAUAAACUAACAUACUUUCUCUUCUUGGAUCAUAUGCACUUAUGAUUGGAACUCUAGCAAGCAUCCGCAAAUACUAAAGAUUCAUUAAGGUAAAACCCAACCAUAACAUUAAAGUAUCAAGUCCUCUUUAUCCCAUACGCAACAACCUACUUACUCGGGUUUGUGUUUCAGUCACUCACGCAACCCACUAUAAGCAAAUCAUGAACGUAUUGCAACACUCUACAGCGGGAAUCCCUCACGCUUGCGCGACACGGAGGGCACCAUAGGACAGCACCAAUAAUAAAACAUGCAACUCAAACCAAUCAUAGCAAUUCAUCAAUCAUCGAUAUGACAACGAAAAUCUACUCAGACAUCAUAGGAUGGCAACACAUCAUUGGAAAAUAAUAUGAAGCAUAAAGCACCAUGUUCAAGUAGAGGGUACAGCGGGAUGCGGGAGAGUGGACCGCUGAAUAUAGAAGGGGGAAGGUGAUGGAGAUGUUGGUAAAGAUGACGACGGUGUUGGUGAAGAUCGCGGUGAUGAUGAUGGCCCCCGGCAGCGCUCCGGCGCCACCGAAAGCAAGGGGGAGAGAGCCCCCCUUCUUCUUCUUCUUCUUCAUUGACCUUCUCCCUAGAUGGGAGAAGGGUUUCCCCUCUGGUCCUUGGCUCCCAUGGCGUGGGAGGCGCGAGAGCCCCUCCGAGAUUGGAUCUAUCUCUCUGUUUCUGCGUUCUCUAAUUCUGCCCCUUCACCAUUUCCUUUAUAUCUGGAGAUCCGUAACUCCGAUUGGGGUGAAUCUUUCGCCCAGAUUUUUCUCAUAAAAUUAGCUUUCUUGCGGCAAAAAUAGAGUCUCAACUGCCUUACGGGUGGCCCACGAGAGCCCAAGGCGCACCCAGGGGGAGGGGGCGCGCCCCCCUGUCUCGUGGCCACCCCGGACACCAUUUCACGUUGAUUCUUCCUCCGAAAAAUCCUAAAUAUUCCAAAAUAAUUCUUCGUCCGUUUUUAUCCCGUUUGGAUUCCGUUUGAUAUUGAUUUUCUGUGAAACAUAAAACAUGCAACAGACAGGAACUGACACUGGGCACUGGAUCAAUAUGUUAGUCCUAAAAAUAGUAUAAAAAGUUGCCAAAAGUAUAUGAAAGUUGAAGAAUAUUUGCAUGGAACAAUAAAAAAUUAUAGGUACGACGGAGAUGUAUCAGUAGCAGCCGUAAGCUCGGGCGUUGCCGCAAGUCGUGCUGCUGCAACGACAACGUCGUGGACUGCGAGCUCUGGUGCUGCUGUGACGACCCCAGCGAGGACGGGAAGCUCUCCAGGUGCUGCGAUAGUGAUGUCGCGGACUGGAAACUCCGGUGCUGUUGCGACGACGGCGUCGCAAACUGCAAGCUCUGGUGGUGAUGCUCCGGGGCAAGGGAGGGUGCCGAGCCGGUCCCUGUGUUCGCGCGGCGGGCACGAUAGCCAACGGCGAACUGCUCCGCCAAGCCGACGACGUCGACCCAGGCGGCGAUCUUGUCCUCGACCUUCUGGAACCUGGCGGCCGUCUUGUCGCUGGUCACCAGCUUCACGACCUUCUGCUGCUCGUGCUCGCCGUGGAGGAGUCGAGGAGGAGGAUGUCGCCGAUGGCGCUUGCGCGGACGGCGAGGUCACGGCACCUCUUAGGCUGGUCAUAGUGGGGAGUAACUUAGACUAGUAACAUGCAUAUGUUACUAGUCUAUGUUACUACCUUUAUAGUAUAUAGUAUCAUAGAUUAGUAUCAUAGAUCGUCUCAUUUAUUGCCAUGCAAGACACAUAGUAGCAUCACAUUUAUUAUGUUACGGUAUCUACCUAUGUUAUUAUAACCAUCUUUCUCUUCUUUAAUUGCCUGCCACAUUAGCAUGUUUGCGAGUUCCAAGUGCAUGAUAAUACUUAUGUUACUCCCACUAUGGCCAGUCUUACUGUUCUCCCGGGCCGUCGCGGCCGCCUUCAGUAUCGCCUGCACCACCUUGGCAAUCGCGCUCACCACCACCAUGGUCGAUCUCCAUCGAGUGUCCAUCGACGUUGCCUGUGAGUUUUCGAUGAGUGAAGAGGUGAAAGGAGGACCGCUUACCUACUGGACGAAGGCUUGGGUCGACUUCGGCGGUUUAUAAAAGCUCGCGAUAACUUUGUUAAUGAUCAACUUGCGUUAAAGAGGAACCAAGGAAAGCUCGCGUGCUCUUCUCUUCCCUAGGCUACGAACGCGUAUACAUCACCAUUGUUUGUCGUUAAUGCAGACUUUAGGAAAACGCGGUUGCGAGACAUGAGUCGCAGCGAACAAGAUAGGUACCUGGGUCAAGCAAAGCAAGCACGCCGUUGCAUGGUAUUGGCGAGACCGUGAGAGUGCCCUUCACGCCGUCCGUUUUUCAGUGUUUUGUCGCGGGGCCUUUUGACACUCUUUGCGUGCCCUUCACGCCGUCCAUUUUUUUAGUGUUGUGUCAGACGAAAAAGCAUAGCAGAGGCCGAGCUUCACAGAGCUCUUAUAUUUUUUUUCCAGCAAACAUACUAUUUCCAUAGAUUGAAAAAAUCUAAAAAAGCUAUAUACAUAGAUGCUUAUUUGUAGUAUGCACGUAUAAAAUUUCAUGACCAUAUAUGUUAACAUGUAAUGUAUACAAAAAAGAUAAAUACACAAAUUAAAAUGGGCUUUAUCUUUGUUGUUUUUGGGCCGCCAGAUAUUUAUCUUUUUUAUGUAGCAUGCAAAUAAUUGAAUUACCUGAUGGAAUUUUUUUGAAACUUGAGGAACAGUCAUAUGUAUUUGUAUAAAAAAAUUAUAUUUUUUGAAACUAUUAAGUAUAUUCUGAUAUUUUUGUUUUGGUAAAACGGCCUCCAUGGAGCCCGGCCUCUGAGACGCCUCACUCUGUGUCGCGCGCCCGAAGGCGCACCCGGGCGACACGCCUCGGGGUCCAAGACAAGUGGACCUGCCUCGGGGGUCCACGACAAGUGGAGUGCGGGUGUUGUCAGGGCCACCGUCAUGUGGGGAUUUCGGACAUGCCCGUGUGCGCCCUCCCGUGCGUUGGGCCGCGCCUGCAUCCGCCGUCCAUGUCUGUCGUUGGUUCUGCCCGUUCAUGAAGGGGGUUACCAGCCCGAACACGGCAGGGCUUAGCCUGCCCAGACCCUUCCCGUCGCAGGGCCUGUAAGGAUGACGUGGGAUAAGAAGUGUAAAAACUGUUGCCCUGCCCGGUGCAUACGGCCAAGGACCGGCUAGCCAGCGCCCUAGCUAGCACAUCCGAAAUCGGCCCAGAGGGCUACUCGGUCCUUUUCUUCAGGCAGUUGUGAUUUGCUAGAAGUCGAGCUUGUUUAUCCGUUUUUCUUCUUAUUUUAGUUUUUUUCUUCUCCGGGUUUUUUUCAUUCUUUUUUCAUUUUCUUUUUUCUUGGUUUAAUUUAUUUCUUUUUUGGUUUUCUUUGCUUCUUUUAGUUUGCAUUCUACAUUUUUUUAUAUGUCUACAACAUUUUUCUAAUACACGUUUAACAUUUUUGCAAGACAAUUUUAAUUUUUUAAUACAUGAUCAAUAUUUUUAUAAACAUUUUUAAAAUGCUUGAGUAACAUUUUUUUGAAUAUAGGAUUAGCUUUUUUCAAUACAUGGUCAACAUUUUUCCUAUACACACUUUUCAAAAAUUUCAAACGCUUGAUUAACAUUUUAAAAUAUAAGAUUACAUUUUCUAAUACAUGGUCAACAUUUUUUAUAUGCACAUUUAAUAAUUUUCAAAUACUUGAUUAAUAUUUUUUCAAUGCAAUAUAAACAUUUUUUACACCCAUGGUCACCAUUUUUUCUAAACACAUUUCACAUUUUUCGAAUGGUUGAUUAACAUUUUUCAAGUACUUAUUCAACUUUUUUUUCAAAUGCUUGGUUAACAUUUAUAUAUAUAUGGUCAAAUUGUUUCAUCAUUUAUUUUAAUACAUGAUAAAAAUUAUUCUAUACACAUUCAACAUUUUCCGAAGGUGCUUGAUUAACAUUUUUUAUAUACAUGAUCAAAAAAAGUUAUCAUUUUCUUAAUACAUGGUAAACAUUUUUUCUAUACACAUUACGAAUUUUUCAAAUGCUUGAUUAACAUUUUUCAAAUACUUGUUCAACAUUUUUUUCAAAUGCCUGAUUAACAUUUUUCAAAUACAUGUUCAACUAUUUUUCAAAUUCUUGGUUAAUAUUUUUCUAAAAUAUAUAUAAGAUCAAUUUUUUCCAUAAACAUUGUUUUUUGUACAUUUUUUGUAUACGUGAUAAAUAUUUUCUAUAUACACAUUAAACAUUUUUCAAAUGCUUGGUCAAUAUUUUUGUAGAUAAUAUAUAAUAUAGAUAAACACUAUUCUGAUCACGGGAUCAGAAUAAUAUUCUGAUCACAACCUGACCUGCCCCGCUAGUAGUACUUUGAACUUUCCUGUGAACUAGGUUGAACUUCCGCCAACAUUGCCGAAAUGGGACUUGUGAUAUACCGUUGGAAAGUUAUGGACACCAAUAUCAUGACCCAACUUAAAUUUUUUGCAAAAUAUAAGCGGUUUAAGAGCAGUUUUUAAAACUGUUUUUUCUUCGCAUAAAAAACGUGAAUCGUAUUUUCGAUCGAAUUUCUAAACCGUUUAUCGAAAUGAGGCAUAUAAUAUGGUGUUGGAAAGGUGCUGCAAAGCCGCUCCUUCCACAUGUUGAAAGUUUUUCUAAUUCUCUAUGGUUAAAGAGUAAUUUGAAAAAACGUAAAAUUUUGUAAACCGAACAAUUAAGUUCAUUUUUUCGAUGUCAUUUCUAAACGGCUAAUCCAAUGGAGGCAUAUGAUAUGGCGUUGGAAAGCUUAUGAAAAUGCGCUACUUUUUCAUCUUGAAAGUUUUUUUCUAAUUUUGAAUGGUUUAAGAGUAAUUUAGAAAAUGGUUCAAGUCCUACCGAGUUUGUAUUUUCGAGCUAAUUUUUUAACCGUGCAUUCGAAUGCAGCAAAUGAUAUGGCGUUGGAAAGCUUGAACAAAUGCAAAACUUUUUGGUAUGUAUUGUUUCUCCCAAUUCUUUACGGUUUCAAGUCACUUUCGAAAAUGGCAAAAAACGUAUUUUCGCCGUAAUUUCUACAAACUUUAUUGGAAUUGGGCAAAUAAUAAACCAUUGAAAAGAUACAGAAAAUGCGAAACUUUUUCAUGUUAAUGGUUUUCUCUGAUUCUUAGUCGUUUUCAAGUAAUUUUGAAAACGGCGGGAUCAUUCGUUCUGCCUCUAUCGCAAAACAGAUUCUUCGAAAAUGCACCGCGUGAAGAACCUUAACUUCUCAGCAUAUCUACCUGAACUUCACUCUAUUUUCGACGUGCUUUUUUUUGCUCGCAGAUCUCCAUCUAGUACUCGUAGUUCUCCAUCCACUCCCCGGAAUUCAACGAGUGAUAUACCGGUGGAAAGCCGCUGUAAACACACAACUUUCCCGUGUUGAUUAUUUUCUCAUACUUGUGAUGGUUUUAGAAGUUUUUCAUCUGAAAUUCAUUCAGUAUAGUAGUUGAACUUCCUGCUGUUUUCACGUUGAACUUCUAUGAUGUAUUUUCUUUUGUAAUUUUCUCAUCCAUUCGUCAGUGUUACACAAAUGAUAUUCUUUUUGUACAAACCUCUCUCACAAUAUUUUUUUAAUUUUUUCCGACCGAGGACUUGAACUUACAGAAAUGAUAUUCCUACCGUUUUGAAGUAAAUUAGAAAAUGACGAGAUCAUGAUUUCUGCCUUCAUCGCGAACGGAAACGCACUGCAUGAAGUAGUUGAACUUCUCGAGCAUCUUUGUUUGAACCUCACUCUAUUUUUGACGUGCUGUUUUUUGCAGUGCGUGAAGUAGUUGAACUUCUCAGGCAUGUCUGUUUGAACCUCAAUCUGUUUUUGAACGUGCUGUUUUUUGCACUAUGUGAAGUAGUUGAACGUCUGGGGCAUGCCUGUUUGAACUUCACUCUGUUAGAAUUUAUUUGUAUUUUUCUUAUAUGAAAUACACACCAUGUAGUACGUGAACUUCUGGUUGUUAUCACUCUGAACUUCUCUCUGGUUUGAGAGAAUUAUUUCAAAACACAAAAGACAACAUUUUUUAAUGUAUUUUGGACAUCUAAAUACACGGUGAACCUCUCUCACUCUGUUUUCGACGUGCUUUUUUGCUUGUACUCUCCAUCCACUGAUCGGAAUUGAGCAAGUGAUAUACCGAUGGAAAGCUAUUGUAAACACGCAACUUUCCCGUGUUGAUCAUUUUCUCAUACCCGCGACGGUUUUAAAAGUUUUUCAUCUGAAAUUCAUUCAGUGGUGUAGUUGAACUUCCUGCUGUUUUCACGCUGAACUUCUGUGACGUAUUUUCCUUUGUAAUUUUCUCAUUCAUUCGUCAGUGUUAAACAAAUGAUAUUCUUUUUGUACAAACCAGUCUCAUAAUAAUUUUUUUAACUUUCUCCGAUAGAGUACUUGGACUUACAACAAUAACAAAAUUGGACUUUUCCUUUUAAUUCAUUUUUCUCAUAUUAAACACACACCAUGUAGUACAUGAACUUUUUUCAUUUUUAUAAUUUGAUUUUUUUUUGAAAUGAAACUGCUCCCAAAUAAUAAUUGAACUUCUUUGUUGAUUGAGAGAAUUAUUUUAAAAUGCAAAAAACAAUUUCUUUGUUGUGUUUUUGAACAUGGAAAUACAAGGUGAACCUCUCUCGCAUGAAAUUUUGAACUUGUUCGGACAAAGCACUUGAACUUCUGUCAGUAAACCUUUUAAUUUUUUAUUUUUCAUUGUUUUCUAAUACAAAAUGCACACCGUGUAGUAUGUGAAAUUCUAGCAAUCAUCAACCUGAACUUCUGAGAUUAUGCGUUCUACGUUCAUCAUGAAAACAGAGUCUAUGAAAAUGCAAUGCGUGAAGAGUUGAACUUCUGGAACAUGUGUGUUUGAAAACUUUACUCUAUUUUUGACGUAUUGUUUUUGGCUUGUAACUCUCAAACCGCUCACCGGAAUUGAGUUAAUGACGUAUUACUCUAUUAACUUUUUCUUAUCAUUUUUGGUUUCUAAUUUGAUAUGGAAUGAGAGAAUUUUUUCAUUAUUUUAGUUUGAACUUCUACUUAAAAAAAGGGAAAUCUAUUUUAAACUUUUUUAGUUGUUGCUUUAUUUUAAUUAGAACUUCUUCAUUUGAACUUCGACCUUUCCUGUUAUUUUAAUUUGAACUUCUUAUUUUAUUCUUUGAAAAAAUAUGGUUUUUUAAAUAAGCAUGAAACAAUUUUAAAAAAAUUGGACUUCAUACUUUUAUUUUUCCGACAAAGGGAAAGAAAUUGAGUUUUCUGUAUACAUCGAACUACUUCGUUAUUUUAAUUCGAACUUCUCAAUUUUAUUUCUUAUUAGCAAGGAAAAUAUGAGUUUGUAAAUUCUAACUUCUUGGUUUUUGUAAUGUGAACUUCUCGGGUGUUUUUGAGAUGGUGAAAAUCAAAUGCUACAUUACUUCUAGGUUUUUAUUUAUUUUGAAAUGAUAAUUUCAUUUUUUUAACUUCGGACUAUUACCUUUAUUUAAUUUAAAAUAUAUGUUUUUUAGAAACGAGAACAAAUCUUGGUUUUUUGUAUGCGCGUAUAUAUGAGCACUUCGUUUGUACUGUAUUACAAAACAUUGAUUUUUUGUAUUAUAAUAUCUUCUAUUACAAUUAACAUACUUGACCUUCUCUAACAUUACAUUUUGACCAUUCCACAAACAUACUUGACGUUCUAUUAAUAUUAUCUUAUAGGCAUUAACACAAGCACCUUCGUGCGCAAGUAACGGCCACAACAUGGAGCCCCUGUAGGUUCAGUUCAGCUAUAUCAAUGAGUGAAGAAUGCAGAACAAAAAUUAAUAAAUUUAGAAACUAGUAACGACCACAACAUGGAGACCCCUAAGGUUCAGUUCGUUUUUAUCAACGAGUGAGGAAUGCAGGACAAUAAGUCAGAAUUUAGAAACAACAAGAGAUGGGACUGCCAGACAUUGCUUUCUACUUUGGGAGAUAAAUACAAACAUCUUCUAGCCACACAUACCACUUCUUUUUCAGCUACGUGAGCUACACUAACUUUUCUUCACACAUAGUACUAUGGAGUUGGACGAUGGUUGGAGCAAAAGUGAAUAGAAAAAUAGAAAAAUGUAGGCUCACUCAUCACUCCCGUAGCACCUCUGUAUGUCCCCUGCUAACUACAAUUCUGUGCACAACGAGGAGGAGCAGCGUUAGAGUGGCCUAGCUGCCAAUCGGGAGGAUGGAGCAGGAGGGAAGUUGGCUGGGUUGGAGCGGCAUAGGAGUUCGCAAGCUGCUACAUGGGGUUGGUCAAGCCGGCGCUAAGGUGCAGCGCAAGAUGGCGCUAGCUAACUGAAGAUGGGGCGUGGCGCGUGGGGCAUUGACCACUUUCUUUUGAGAGAUGAGAGCAGCUGCUGCAGUUUACACGCACGCAAGGUAGCACUGAAAGUAACGCAUGGUGGAGGGCCAUGUCGGCUGCAUACCGCGAAGACGUAGGGCUGCGGCGGCCGUCGCGGUGGACUUACCCACGAGCUUGGGUUGAACUGACGUGUAGUACAGAGGCCAGAGACAGCCAGGCCACUCUGAACAUUGCUCUAGGAUGAAGAAGCACGGGGAGAGGAACUCGGACGGACACGGGUGGGGCACUUGGACUGCUGAAGCAGUGGCUAGAGCAACAUCCUGUGGCGGCCAGCGACAGGAGCUGGACUACGACGCACAGGGGAUGGCGCCACCGGACGUGCUUGGGAGUUGGGACGGCAAGCGGUGGUAGGUGGGGUUUGGCCAGGUGCUCGCGCUGCAGGUAGCCUGGCCACAGACAAGCAUGGCGGAGUGCAAGGACCGGCGGCGCUUGCUCGAUCCCGACGACGGGGAAGAACGCAGGAUCAAGGGGAGAUGAAAUCGGGGAGGGGGUGGGAGGGGGCCACCGGGAUUCGAGGCAUGGCAGCAGGAUUCGACUCGCAGAGAUGAGAUCCAUCUCGAGGUGGCGCGCGGGAGUUGCCGGAGGCGGUGCCGCCUGGAGUUGCCGGCGGCGGCGACUUCGUGGUUGCCUGGGCCGGCGGCGCGCGGGAUGGGUGAGGUGCGCGGGGGCGCUGGGUGGGCCGGCGGGAAUCGUGGGGGUCGAGGGAUGGGAAGUCCAGGCGGUUUUCAGAGUUCGGGAACAUCUCUUCGCUGCCUAUAUAGGGCCGUGUGAUCCAAAUAACUAUUCUGAUCCCAGGAUCAAAAUAGUGCUACCCUAUAUAUAUGAGUAGUGGGAAAUGUCAAAUGGGAAGCUCUAUGGAGGCACACAUCGUGUCGUUCAUCAUCGAAAUGGGACUGACUCGCUCGGGAACAGGCACAGGAUUGAGGAACUUUCUGGCGUAACACACCCGUAAUGGGGCAAUCUGACUAGCUGGUCAAAACCCUUUCCGCAGUGUUUAAGUGGUGCUGGAAGGAAUCAAGAGGGGAGGAGGAAAGCUGUACCAGGUGGAAGGAGAAGAGCUGAUUGCUACUAAAUCAGAACAAGCUUAGUUCUGCAUGAUGGCUCAAUGGUGCAUGGUCAACUCAGUAAACCUAACAUCUCUGAUCUCUGAUCCAAUUUCAACCCUACUGAACUCUUAAGAGUAGGUGUUUCAAGAACCUAAGUCCUUACAAAAAAAAAGAAUCCAUGAUCACUAUAGACCCCCGAAGGUACUGAGCCCAAACAUCUGAAGCCAUACGGAUACUCACAUCUGCAAAAGGCUGAGAUUGAGAAUUGAGGAAUUGCUGAAGAAUUCACUGAUACAAUCCUCUACUAGCCCCUUUGCUUCACCUGUGCUGUUAGUGAAGAAGAAGGAUGGGACAUGGAGGAUGUGCAUUGAAACCAGGCAGCUGAAUGCCAGUACAGUAAAGAAGAAAUACCCAAUUCCGGCACAUAGAUGCCCUAUUGGAUGAGUGGUGCUAAAUAUUACAGCAAGAUUGACUUAAGAUCUGGCUAUCAUCAGAUCAGGAUGAGAGAGGAAGACAAGCCCAAAACUUCAUUCAGAACCCUGUAACUAUGAAUUCAAUGUGAUGCAGGCUUACAAAUGCUCCUGCAACGUUUCAAGCACUCAUGAAUGAUGUGUUCAAGCCCAGAAGAUUUGUGUUGGUUUUAUGAUAUACUUCUUGACAGUAAAACACUGAAGGAGCAUCAACAGCACUUGCAGCUAACACUUUUUCUGCGGAAUCAGCUACAUGCUAAGAUGAGCAAGUGUGAGUUUUGACUUUCAAAGGCGGAAUAUUAGGGGUAAAAUGGAAAAUAAGGUGGCAGAUGCAUUUAAUAGGAGAAAGGCCGGAACAUCUGUCCAGCUGGUCCAAGGUGUGCAAACCGCUUUGUGAAGGCCGACUGAGAAUGAGGGACCUAGUAGUGUAUUUCGAAGCCUUCUAGGCAAAGCUGCUUUGGCGUGCACUGAAAGGGCGUCUUCCUUUCCUAUAUUAUACCAGAGGUGAGUGCAUAAUCUGGUGUAGAACGGAGGGGAUAUCCUAAGUUGAUGUGCACAAGUGCUUCCUCUGAUUGAAGUCGAUUGCCUCAACCAAUUUCUUAGUACAUCAACACAAGAAGUGGCGAAUUGGGGAUGGUGCUACCUCAGUGAAACUGUGGGAAGAUGGGUAGGUGGGGCCUCUCAACCAAGACAUCGCGGUUGGCGAGUGGGGACUCUACUGAAUUCUAGCAUGGGUGUGGUAGAUUACUGACGUGAAGCCGGACCUCUAUGAGUGCUCUACAUGGCCGGAUCAAAGCUAUUCUAAAAACUAGAUCCAUUGGAGUGGGAAGUACUCAAGAUGUAGAAGAGGACUCAAGCAGGUUUGGUCCUCUUUCUCUGAUGUGUUCUUAGAACCCACUACCCUCCCUCCUAAAAGACCAUGUGACCAUCGGAUUCACCUCACGAUAGUCAACCAGUGAAUCAAAGGCCUUAUAGGUAUUCACACCACCGGAUGAAAUUGAAGCCAUAAUCAAGGAGUUACUCUAGAAUGGUACUCUACAACCUAGUUCAUGCCUCACCGGCUCUUCUUUACAAGAAGAAAGAAGGUUCGUGGCGCCUAUGGAUUAUAGGCAACUCAAUGCGCAAACCGUAAAAAAGAAAUACCCGAUACCGGUCAUUGAUGAUCUUCUGGAUGAGCUACACGGUUAUACUGUGUACUCAACAAUCGUUUUAUCUAUUCCCACAUCGAUUCACCAAUCCUGGAACUCGUUAUGGAUAGAAGGUCCGUAGAAGUGAAAGUAGGACGACGGGAGAAAAGAGUAAGGAGUACCGGAAAAAGAAGAUUUUGGACUUUCUGCCCACGAAGAAAUAGUAGCAUUUGAAACUGGAAAGAUUUACUUUGGAUAGUAAAUCACCAAGGAAGGGCUAUAAUCCAAACAAAGGAGGAGCUAGCGGACAGUUCGAAUUUCAACGAUUAGGGAGGGGAAUGAAACACUUGUCUUUCACAAUCAAUUCUUUCUUUUUUUUAUGUUUAGGACACGCGAAGCGAGAGCGAAACUCGCUAUGAGGAGAAGACUCGGCAAGAGAGGUUUGAACAAGAGGAACUGCCGUCUAGUUGAGUUUGAUCAUUCUCUCUUUCUAUCUCUCUUUCUUUCAAGAGCUGAAUAAGGGCAUAUCCACAAAGGAGAGAGAAAUCGGACUUUCUUCUUUACCCCCCUCAUUAUUCAAGACGUGAAUAUAAAGUGUAUUGUACUCCCUUGGAUCUUUUCCGGGAUCUUUACUCGUCGUUGAUCAAGGAAGCUAGAAGGAAGAUGGGUGGUAGGGUGAAUGGAUAUUCGUAUCCUCUCCGACUCGUCGGUUAGGAGAGUAGCGACCAAAAAGAAAUCAUUAUACAGGAUAACUGCUGUAGAGAUAAAAUGUAGGAAGGAGAAAGUUGGUUUCAAUGAGUCAUGUGAAUUGUAGAAGAAAUAGGUAAACAAGGCGGGUUAAUAUAUAUAUACGUUGAAAAGCAAGGGGAUAAAUUGAACGAAAUGAAGAGCAAUCCAGAAUCCUAUUUUGUAUACUAUAAGAAAAAGGCACUGAAAACUUGGAAACGGAAGAUGUUGUAACUGAUAUGGGUAGUCACACAUUAGGCAAAAUGGUGUAGUGGUUGGGCCAGGUAGCUUCUUCUUUUGAACAGCAUUUCAUUCUGUUUUGGAUGCUUUCUACUAUGUUUCAAGUGAUCAAAGAAGAGUUUAUUUCCCACUACUCAUAUCACAUCUUAUGUGUUGAUGCAAGCUGACUAAAUCAAUAAACAAAGGUAAAAAAUAAAGAAAAAUAAACUGGGAAAACUAAAAAAAAACGAGGGUGUGGCCUCUUGCAUGCCUGGGCCAGCUCAGUUCUGAAUGCGAGAUAUAGGGACGUCCAUGAUGAAGGACAUUAGUGGAUGAGUUUAUGUUUGGUAGAGGUGUGCAUGUGUGUAGGUUGUGUUGGGCCAUGGAGUGGGUGAGGCGUUCAUGCUUGUGGAGGGGGUUCAAAAUUGUCGUCAACUAGAUGAUACCCCGCGCGUUGCUGCGGGAUAAUAUAGUUCAUUUGAUAUGUGAAAAAAGAAGCUUCAAUGCAACAUUAUUAAAUAAAACUAACUAAUUGCCAAUGGGAAGAAAUAAGGUAGUAUAAUUUUAAAUGAGGCCAUAAGGAAGAAACCAAAGAUCCAACUUUCUUGUAUUGAUGUGUAACAAAGGAAGGAUGGAAGCAAUGUAUGUAAGCAUCAUCAGUUUUAUUUGUAACAUUUCGGUAAACAAUACACACCUUGAAGGUUCGCAAAUAAAACGAUUUCGCUUUGAAGACAUGCCAACACUGGACAUAAAUGAUAAAACAUAAGCUCCAUUGUUUUUCCAAACACGCAAACACAAAAGAGGUGUGUGAAAGCACAAUCUUUUUAUUACUGGAAAAUAUUAGAAAAAAACUUGAUCAUCCGGAAGGACCGAAAUGCCGGCUUCAUUGUCCACGGUGGCGCAAUUGCAAAGUUAGUGAGGGACCCUUUGUGUGAGAACCAAGGUUGUAGCCUUACACCUAGAGGACUUACCGCCAUGCUAGAAGCACGUCCUUCAAAAUACUGAAAAGAGUAUAAGAUUCGAAAGGAAGUGAAGCUCCUACUUCAAAAUUUAACAAACGAAUAUAAUCAAUUCAUCCCUGGGGAAUCAAAGGCAUAUUUUACAGUUAACAGAGGGGAAGAUAGCUUGUCAGACAACUAAAGAAAAUGCAGUGGUUGUCAAUCCCGUAAGUGACACACAAUUAAAUUUCCGCAAAGCAAACUAAGAAAAUGACUCUGUACAAUAAAGUGUUAGGUUCAAACCAAACAUGGAAACCGUACCUGCUUCAUUGUUUAAUUAUUUGGUAACACUUGUGGUCUUCAUCAUUGUACAAUUUUCAGCGGUUCCCAGUAGUGUUGAAGGAACAUGACCUGAAAAUUACCUUUGAACAAAUAAUUACUUCAUGAAGAGUAAGUACAGGCAUUAGAAGUAAUGUCAGUAUACACAUAUGAUAUCCAUACAUUUCGAUAGAGCUCCCAUUAGAUAGGCAUUUGAAAGUUUUUUUUUUGUGCAUAUUCAGAAAGCACCAAUUACUUGAAACAAAAGCAACCGAAUCAUAAUAGAACUUCAUUGUUCGUGUGUUUACAACUUUUGCGUGAUUUAACUAUUGGUUACAAAAUAAAAUAUUCUCAUACAAAUAAUGUCAAACAAAGAAUUGAGGGUUGAAUAUUCAGUUAUUAUUCAGCAAGGCGGGAUCGCAAUAUGAUCGAUCUGGAAGGUUUAACAAUAGUUCACCUUGGUGCCCAUGUAAAUCAUAAUGAUACACGAAAAAACAUAAAAUUAAGAGAGAGAAAAACGCUAUGCUUUUGUAGCACGACGAAUAUGAGCAAUACAUGAACCAUCACUGUAAAAGGGGAUUGCAAAAUAAUUGUAGCUUCCGCAAGACAUAAAUUGAUUUAAUAAAUAUAAUCAGUUUUAAAUGUAGGGAAAUAAUGAAUAUCCAUGCUAGUUUUUUUCAUCUGAUCCUUUUUCCUUUUCUUUUCAUCUGAUUUUUUUUCUCUGGUCAAAUGAAUGAACGGCUGGCAUUUUUCUCAAAAAUCUAAGAAAUAACUGAAUGUUUAUAUCCGUCGUAUGGACCGAUGCAAAAAUCUCCUGCAUCAAAAGGGUGAGAUCGAAAACAUGGAAGAAUAGCGUUACUCCCGUCCAUUGCCCGUCAGGCCGCUGGUAAACAUGCCGCGGCCACAUCGCACGUGUCGCCGUUAUAUAUAGCUGCAACGCAGGAAUACAUGCAUAUAGAUCGGCUUGCCGAUGGAUCAAAGUUGGAUGAAACUAAUAGUACUGUAAGAACAAUAUAUACCUGUAGAUUAAGGUCGAGUUUGCCUGUUGGACCGGACAGGCGAGAUUGAUCGAUCGAGAAGACGUUGUCUUAUCGAUUAGCCUACUUUGAUCCCCGUUGGUGCGACCUCCUUCCAAAUCGAUUGUCUUGCGAUCCUAAAUACUCCCAAGCAGUGGGAGGGUCAGUGCUAGAUACCGUUGCUUGUGGCGUACAACAUCAAAAGCUGCAGUCUGAAUCUGAAUUUAAUAAUGAAACAUACAUACUUUCUCUAACUUGGGAACUGCUAAUCCCAGACUUAAUCAACAACAUCAAUUUACAUGCGUGGGACAGGAUGAGAUCAUGGAGCAUAACCUUUGGUGAGAAGAAUAAUUUCAUGGUGCGGGGACAGGGCCACCAUGAUCUAAGACAAUAACGCCAUGGGACUUUCGUUGCUGGCCAAUCACUCAGAAUCCAAGGUAGCCCUGGAUGGCAUCGGUAGGUGAAGAAGACACGCCGACCUUGAGAGGAACCCAAGGUGAGGAAGAGGAUGCCCAAGGCGAGGAGUAAAAGCGAGGGAGGGUUGGGGAUGCGGGGCGGAUGUUACUGAUGGAGGGAGGGGGAGAGGCGGGGGUGGAGAAGCGGAAGGAGUUAUUGUUUCUCGAUAUCACGAAGGGAGGAGCCAGACUGACGAUUCGUUGGAAAAAUUAAGAAAAAUAAUUACUUAGUUGGCAGAUGUUAUGACGUGGAGUCUGCAUGUUAGAUGUGAUAGGUUGCUGAUGUGGAUAGCUUGCAUGUUAAGAGAAAUAGGAUAGUGGGGAUGAACUAUUUAGGUAUUAUAGAUUAUGUGGCAGAAGUUCCCCUAAAAAAAUCUGUUGCAAAGGUAGCCUGUUCUUAAAAGAAAUGUGUGGUAAAGAUAACUUGUUCAUAAAUUGAAAAAUGAUAAAGGUAGCCACCAACCCCAUUCUCUUGCCUAUGAGCCUAUCCUCAACGAGCUUAUAUGUUCAAAUCUGCCCCAAUGCGUUCCUGUUCUUGGAGAGAAUGCGAUGGAGUUGGUGAUGGUAGCGUGCUGGUAUAUAUUGUAGAGAAUGAUUUGGUGCAUCGAUAAUUGAUUGAUCGUGUACUCGGCACAUAUAUAUAUAGGUACAAGGGGUGCGACCGGUAUCUUGUCUCCUAAGAUACACGUACAUACAGAGGAAGAUAGACACUACAUGUACUGCAUACAAAACCCAGACCUACGUACAUGUACACAUGUUCAACACCCCCCCACAGUCGAAGCGUCGCCGGUGACGCAAAGACUGGACCGAAAGCCCUCGAAGGUCGAGGUGGAUAGUCCCUUCGUCAUCACAUCGGCGAACUGCUGAUCGGUGCGCACAUGUAGAACACGAACACGACCAAGUGCGACGUGCUCCCGGACGAAGUGGAUGUCGAGCUUAAUGUGCUUCGUCCGUCGGUGAUGGACAGGGUUGGCAGCAAGGUACACCGCGGAGACAUUAUCACAGUAGACGAGCGUCGCCUUGGUAAACUCACAUAGCAACUCCUGAAGUAGCUGUCGUAGCCAAGAGCACUCCGUGACGGCGUUGGCCACGGCCCGAUACUCAACCUCGGCGCUCGAUCGUGAGACCGUGGGUUGUCGUUUAGACGACCACGAAAUCUGAGAGGGCCCAAGGUAGACGCAGUAGACGGAAGUGGAGCGUCGAGUGUCGGGAUACCCAGCCCAGUCAGCGUCGAAGUAGGCGACAAGGCUGGUGUCAGGUGAUGCCGUCAGGGUGAGACCCAUGGCUGUGGUGCCACGUAUGUACCGAAGUAUCCGUUUCACGAGAGCCCAAUGGGUGUCACGAGGAGCAUGCAUAUGAAGGCACACCUGCUGGACAGCGUACUGAAUGUCCGAACGCGUCAGUGUGAGGUACUGAAGCGCACCGAUGAUGGAGCGGUAGAAGGGAGCGUCGGACAUCGGAGAGCCCUCGACGGCGGAUACCUUAGCCUUCGUGUCGACAGGCGUGGAAGUAGGCUUGCAGUUAAGCAUGGCCGCUCGCUCCAGAAGCUCGUAGGCGUACUUCUGCUGGUGCAGGAAGAAGCCAGUAGCUCGACGCACGACCUCGAUGCCGAGGAAGUAGUGGAGAGCCCCCAAGUCCUUGAGGGCGAACUCAGUGCCGAGGCGAGUUGUGAUCUGCUGAAGUAGCGCUGGCGAGGAUGCAGUCAGGAUGAUGUCGUCGACAUACAGUAGGAGGUACGCGGUGGCGGGGCCCUGGUGAUAGACAAACACGGAGGCAUCGGACCGUGUGGACCAAAACCCUUGCUGCUGAAGGAAGGCCGCGAUCCACUGGUACCAGGCCCGAGGUGCCUGCUUCAACCCCUAGAGAGAACGGGAGAGUAAGCACACAUGGUCCGGAUAGUCGGUUUCGACCAAACCAGUAGGCUGCUGACCGAACACCUGCUCGUCGAAAUGGCCAUGCAAGAAAGCAUUAGACACAUCGAGCUGGUGGACUGGCCAGGCACGAGAAACAACAAGCUGGAGAACAGCGCGAAUCGUGCCCGGUUUGACAACCGGGGUGAAGGUGUUGGUGAAGUCCACGCCGGCACGCUGGCGGAAGCCGCGCACCACCCAACGCGCCUUGUAGCGCUCGAGAGAACCGUCAGGGCGAGUCUUGUGGCGAAAGACCCACUAGCCAGUAAUGACAUUGGCAUGGGGAGGCCGCGGAACAAGCUGCCACGUACGGUUGCGCUGCAGGGCGUCAAACUCCUCACACAUCGCAGCUAGCCAGUUCGGAUCACGAAGGGCUACGCGAGCGGGGGUGGGGAGCGGGGAUGCGCCGAGGUAGAUGCCGCACACGCGUACUCAUCCGACGGGUAGCACGUGCUGAGACAUAGUGUCCCAGUCCGAGCUCGAGUGACCACACCGGUAAGGGGUGCGGCCGCGGCGACGAGGGGCGCGGCGGGGGCGGCCGAGGUCACCGUGGCGAGAGGGGCCACGGCGGGGGCCAUCGGUGGGGCCGCGGUGACAGGGGUUGCGGCGACGGGGGGCGCAACAGGGGCUGUGGCAGGGGCUGCCGGCGCGGGGAGCGCGGGCAGGGCCGACUCCGGGGCGCGGUUGGGGCGGUCCGCCAGAGGUGGAGGUAGGGGCGAACCGCGCCGCGGGAGACGCCGAAAGUGACUGUACCUGCUGAAACGGGAACACCAGCUCAUCAAAGUACACAUGCCGCGAAGUGAAAAUGCGGUGGGAUACUGGAUCAUAGCACCGGUAACCUUUGGUGUUGGGAGGAUUGUUGGGUAACGUAGUAAUUUAAAAAAAUUUCCUACGCACACACAAGAUCGUGGUGAUGCAUAGCAGCAGGAAGGGAGAGUGUUGUCCUCGUACCCUCUUAGACCGAAAGCGGAAGUGUUAGCACAACACGGUUGAUGUAAUCGUACGUCUUCACGGCCCGACCGAUCAAGCACCGAAAGCACGGCAACUCGGAGUUCUUGCACACGUUCAGCUCGAUGACGUCCCUCGAACUCCGAUCUAGCCGAGUGUCAAGGGAGAGUUCCGUCAGCACGACGGCGUGGUGACGAUGAUGAUGUUCUACCGACGCAGGGCUUCGCCUAAGCAUGCCACGAUAUUAUCGAGGAGGACUAUGGUGGAGGGGGGCACCAUACACGGCUAAGAGAUCAAUGAUUAAUUGUUGUGUCUAUGGGAUGCCCCCCUCCCCCGUAUAUAAAAGAGUGGAAGAGGGGGCCGGCCAAGGGGAGGAGGCGCGCCCAAGGGGGGAGUCCUACUCCCACCGGGAGUAGGACUCCUCCUUUUCCUAUUUGGAGAGGGAGAGGGAAGGAAGAGGAAGGAGGGAGGAAGGAAAGGGGGGCCGGCCCCCCUCCCAAUUCGGAUUGGGCUUGGGGGGCCCGCGCCCCCUCCCUUGCUCCUUUCCCCUCAUUUCCACUAAAGCCCAUUAAGGCCCAUAUACCUCCCGGGGGGUUCCGAUAACCUCCCGGAGCUCCAGUAUUGUCCCAAUCUCACCCGGAACCUUUCCGAUGUCCAAAUAUAGUCGUCCAAUGUAUCGAUCUUCAUGUCUUGACCAUUUCGAGACUCCUCGUCAUGUCCGUGAUCACAUCCGGGACUCCGAACAACCUUCGGUACAUCAAAACACAUAAACUCAUAAUAUAACUGUCAUAUAACUUUAAGCAUGCGGACCCUAAGGGUUCGAGAACUAUGUAGACAUGACCGAGACAUGUCUCCGGUCAAUAACCAAUAGCAGAACCUGGAUGCUCAUAUUGGCUCCUACAUAUUCUACGAAGAUCUUUAUCGGUCAAACCGCAUAACAACAUACAUUGUUCCCUUUGUCAUCGGUAUGUUACUUGCCUGAGAUUCGAUCAUCGGUAUCUCAAUACCUAGUUCAAUCUCGUUACUGGCAAGUCUCUUUACUCGUUACUUAAUGCAUCAUCCCGUAACUAACUCAUUAGCUACAUUGCUUGCAAGGCUUAUAGUGAUGUGCAUUACCGAGAGGGCCCAGAGAUACCUCUCCUACAAUCGGAGUGACAAAUCCUAAUCUCAAAAUACGUCAACUCAACAAGUACCUUUGGAGACACCUGUAGAUCGCCUUUAUAAUCACCCAGUUACGUUGUGAUGUUUGGUAGCACACAAAGUGUUCCUCCGGUAAGCGGGAGUUACAUAAUCUCAUAGUCAUAGGAACAUGUAUAAGUCAUGAAGAAAGCAAUAACAACAUACUAAACAAUCAAGUGCUAAGCUAACGGAAUGGGUCAAGUCAAUCACAUCAUUCUACUAAUGAUGUGAUCCCGUUAAAUCAAAUGACAACUCAUGUCUAUGGUUAGGAAACUUAACCAUCUUUGAUUCAUGAGCUAGUCAAGUAGAGGCAUACUAGUGACACUAUGUUUGUCUAUAUAUUCACACAUGUAUUAUGUUUCCGGGUAAUACAAUUCUAGCAUGAAUAAUAAACAUUUAUCAUGAUAUGAGGAAAUAAAUAAUAACUUUAUUAUUGCCUCUAGGGCAUAUUUCCUUCAGUCUCCCACUUACACUAGAGUCAAUAAUCUAGAUUACACAGUAAUGAUUCUAACACCCAUGGAGCCUUGGUGCUGAUCAUGUUUUGCUCGUGGAAGAGGCUUAGUCAACGGGUCUGCAACAUUCAGAUCCGUAUGUAUCUUGCAAAUCUCUAUGUCUCCCACCUGGACUUGGUCCCGGAUGGAAUUGAAGCGUGUCUUGAUGUGCUUGGUUCUCUUGUGAAAUCUGGAUUCCUUUGCCAAGGCAAUUGCACCAGUAUUGUCACAAAAGAUUUUCAUUGGACCCGAUGCACUAGGUAUGACACCUAGAUCGGAUAUGAAAUCCUUCAUCCAGACUCCUUCAUUUGCUGCUUCUGAAGCAGCUAUGUACUCCGCUUCACAUGUAGAUCCCGCCACGACGCUUUGUUUAGAACUGCACCAACUAACAACUCCACCGUUCAAUAUAAACACGUAUCUGGUUUGCGAUUUAGAAUCGUCCGGAUCAGUGUCAAAGCUUGCAUCGACAUAACCAUUUACGACUAGCUCUUUGUCACCUCCAUAAACGAGAAACAUAUCCUUAGUCCUUUUCAGGCAUUUCAAGAUUUUCUUGACCACUUUCUAGUGAUCCACUCCUGGAUUACUUUGGUACCUCCCUGCUAAACUAAUAGCAAGGCACACAUCAGGUCUGAUACACAGCAUUGCAUACAUGAUAGAGCCUAUGGCUGAAGCAUAGGGAACUUCUUUCAUUUUCUCUCUAUCUUCUGCAGUGGUCGGGCAUUGAGUCUGACUCAAUUUCACACCUUGUAUUACAGGCAAGAACCCUUUCUUUGCUUGAUCAAUUUUGAACUUUUUCAAAACUUUAUCAAGGUAUGUACUUUGUGAAAGUCCAAUUAAGCGUCUUGAUCUAUCUCUAUAGAUCUUGAUGCCCAAUAUGUAAGCAGCUUCACCGAGGUCUUUCAUCGAAAAACUUUUAUUCAAUUAUCCUUUUAUGCUAUCCAGAAAUUCUAUAUCAUUUCCAAUCAAUAAUAUGUCGUCCACAUAUAAUAUUAGAAAUUCUGCAGAGCUCCCACUCACUUUCUUGUAAAUACAGAAUUCUCCAAAAGUCUGUAUAAAACCAUAUGCUUUGACCACACUAUGAAAGCGUUUAUUCCAACUCUGAGAGGCUUGCACCAGUCCACAAAUGGAUCGCUGGAGCUUGCACACUUUGUUAUCAUCCUUUGGAUCAACAAAACCUUCUGGUUGCAUCAUAUACAACUCUUCUUCCAGAAAUUCAUUCAGGAAUGCAGUUUUGACAUCCAUUUGCCAAAUUUCAUAAUCAUAAAAUGCGGCAAUUGCUAACAUGAUUCGGACAGACUUAAGCAUCGCUACGGGUGAGAAAGUCUCAUCAUAGUCAACCCCUUGAACUUGUCGAAAACCUUUCGCAACAAGUCGAGCUUUGUAGACAGUAACAUUACCAUCAGCGUCAGUCUUAUUCUUGAAGAUCCAUUUAUUCUCGAUGGCUUGCCGAUCAUCGGGCAAGUCAACCAAAGUCCACACUUUGUUCUCAUACAUGGAUCCCAUCUCAGAUUUCAUGGCCUCUAGCCAUUUUGCGGAAUCUGGGCUCAUCAUUGCUUCCUCAUAGUUCGUAGGUUUACCAUGGUCAAGUAACAUGACCUCCAAAAUAGGAUUACCGUACCACUCUGGUGCGGAUCUUACUCUGCUUGACCUACGAGGUUUAGUAGUAACUUGAUCUGAAGUUUAAUGAUCAACAUCAUUAGCUUCCUCACUUAUUGGUGUAGUCGUCACAGGAACCAGUUUCUGUGAUGAACUAUUUUCCAAUAAAGGAGCAGGUACAGUUACCUCAUCAAGUUCUACUUUCCUCCCACUCACUUCUUUCGAGAGAAACUCCUUCUCUAGAAAGGAUCCAUUCUAGGCAACAAAUGUCUUGCCUUCGGAUCUGUGAUAGAAGGUGUACCCAACAGUUUUCUUUGGGCAUCCUAUGAAGACACAUUUCUCCGAUUUGGGUUCGAGCUUAUCAGCUUGAAGCUUUUUCACAUAAGCAUCGCAGCCUCAAACUUUAAGAAAUGACAACUUUGGUUUCUUGCCAAACCACAGUUCAUAAGGCGUCGUCUCUAAUGCAUAACCCCAAAAUGAUAGCGGUAAAUCAGUAAGAGACAUCAUAGAUCACACCGUAUCUAGUAAAGUACGAUUACGAUGUUCGGACACACCAUUACGCUGUGGUGUUCUGGGUGGCGUGAGUUGCGAAACUAUUCCGCAUUGCUUCAAAUGUAAACCAAACUCCUAUCUCAAAUAUUCUCCUCCACGAUCAUAUAGUAGAAACUUUAUUUUCUUGUUACGAUGAUUUUCAACUUCACUCUGAAAUUCUUUGAACUUUUCAAAUGUUUCAGACUUAUGUUUCAUUAAGUAGAUAUACCCAUAUCUGCUCAAAUCAUCUGUGAAGGUGAGAAAAUAACGAUACCCGCCGCGAGCCUCAACAUUCAUUGGACCACAUACAUCAGUAUGUACGAUUUCCAACAAAUCAGGUGCUUGCUCCAUCGUUCCGGAGAACGGCGUUUUAGUCAUCUUGCCCAUGAGGCAUGGUUCACAAGUACCAAGUGAUUCAUAAUCAAGUGAUUCCAAAAGUCCAUCAGUAUGGAGUUUCUUCAUGCGCUUUACACCAAUAUGACCUAAACGGCAGUGCCACAAAUAAGUUACACUAUCAUUAUCAACUCUGCAUCUUUUGGCUUCAACAUUAUGAAUAUGUGUAUCACUACUUCCGAGAUUCAUCAAAAAUAGACCACUCUUUAAGGGUGCAUGACCAUAAAAGAUAUUACUCAUAUAAAUAGAACAACCAUUAUUCUCAGAUUUAAAUGAAUAACCGUCUCGCAUCAAACAAGAUCCAGAUAUAAUGUUCAUGCUCAAUGCUGGCACCAAAUAACAACUAUUUAGGUCUAAAACUAAUCCCGAAGGUAGAUGUAGAGGUAGCGUGCCGACGGCGAUCACAUCGACUUUGGAACCAUUUCCCGCACGCAUCGUCACCUCGUCCUUAGCCAGUGUCCGCUUAAUCUGUAGUCCCUAUUUUGAGUUGCAAAUAUUAGCAACAGAACCAGUAUCAGAUACCCAGGUGCUACUGCGAGCUCUGGUAAGGUACACAUCAAUAACAUGUAUAUCACAUAUACCUUUGUUCACCUUGCCAUCCUUCUUAUCCGCCAAAUACUUGGGGCAGUUCCGCUUCCAGUGACCAGUCUGCUUGCAGUAGAAGCACUCAGUCUCAGGCUUAGGUCCAGACUUGGGUUUCUUCUCUUGAGCAGCAACUUGUUUGUUGUUCUUCUUGAAGUUCCCCUUCUUUUUCCCUUUUCCCUUUUUCUUGAAACUGGUGGUCUUAUUGACCAUCAACACUUGAUGCUCCUUCUUGAUUUCUACCUCCGCAGCCUUUAGCAUUGCGAAGAGCUUGGGAAUUAUCUUAUCCAUUCCUUGCAUAUUAUAGUUCAUCACGAAGCUCAUGUAGCUUGGUGGCAGUGAUUGAAGAAUUCUGUCAAUGACGCUAUCAUCCGGAAGAUUAACUCCCAGUUGAAUCAAGUGAUUGUUAUACCCAGACAUUCUGAGUAUAUGCUCACUGACAGAACUAUUCUCCCCCAUCUUGCAGCUGUAGAACUUAUUGGAGACUUCAUAUCUCUCAAUCCGGGCAUUUGCUUGAAGUAUUAACUUCAACUCCUGGAACAUCUCAUAUGCUCCAUGACAUUUAAAACGUCGUUGAAGUCCCGGUUCUAAGUCGUAAAGCAUGGCACACUGAACUAUCGAGUAGUCAUCAGCUUUGCUUUGCCAGACAUUCAUAACAUCUGGUGUUGCUCCUGCAGCAGGUUUGGCACCUAGUGGUGCUUCCAGGACAUAAUUCUUCUAUGCAGCAAUGAGGAUAAUCCUCAAGUUACGGACCCAGUCCGUGUAAUUGCUACCAUCAUCUUUCAACUUUGCUUUCUCAAGGAACACAUUAAAAUUCAACGGAACAACAACACGGGCCAUCUAUCUACAACAAACAUAGACAAGCAAAAUACUAUCAGGUACUAAGUUCAUGAUAAAUUUAAGUUCAAUUAAUCAUAUUACUUAAGAACUCCUAAUUAGAUAGACAUCCCUCUAAUCAUCUAAGUGAUCACCUGAUCCAAAUCAACUAAACCAUAACCGAUCAUCACGUGAAAUGGAGUAGUUUUCAAUGGUGAACAUCACUAUGUUAAUCAUAUCUACUAUAUGAUUCACGCUCAACCUUUCGGUCUCAGUGCUCUGAGGCCAUAUCUGCAUAUGCUAGGCUCGUCAAGUUUAACCUGAGUAUUCUGCGUGUGCAAAACUGGCUUGCACCCGUUGUAGAUGGACGUAGAGCUUAUCACACCCGAUCAUCACGUGGUGUCCGGGCACGACGAACUUUGGCAACGGUGCAUACUCAGGGAGAACACUUUUAUCUUGAAAUUUAGUGAGAGAUCAUCUUAUAAUGCUAUCGUUAAUCAAAGCAAGAUAAAAUGCAUAAAAGAUAAACAUCUCAUGCAAUCAAUAUAAGUGAUAUGAUAUGGCCAUCGUCAUCUUGUGCUUGUGAUCUCCAUCUCCGAAGCACCGUCAUGAUCACCAUCGUCACCGGCGCGACACCUUGAUCUUCAUCGUAGCAUCGUUCUCGUCUCGCCAACUAUUGCUUCUAUGACUAGCGCUACCGCUUAGUGAUAAAGUAAAGCAAUUAUAGGGCGAUUGCAUUGCAUACAAUAAAGCGACAACCAUAUGGCUCCUGCCAGUUGCCGAUAACUCGGUUACAAAACAUGAUCAUCUCAUAUAAUAAAAUAUAGCAUCACGUCUUGACCAUAUCACAUCACAACAUGCCCUGCAAAAACAAGUUAGACGUCCUCUACUUUGUUGUUGCAAGUUUUACGUGGCUGCUACGGGCUUAGCAAGAACCGUUCUUACCUACGCAUCAAAACCACAAGGAUAGUUCGUCAAGUUAGUGCUGUUUUAACCUUCUCAAGGACUGGGCGUAGCCACACUUGGUUCAACUAAAGUUGGAGGAACUGACACCCGCCAGCCACCUGUGUGCAAAGCACAUCAGUAGAACCAGUCUCGCGUAAGCGUACGCAUAAUGUCGGUCCGGGCCACUUCAUCCAACAAUACUGCCGAACCAAAGUAUGACAUGCUGGUAAGCAGUAUGACUUGUAUCGCCCACAACUCACUUGUGUUCUACUCGUGCAUAUAACAUCUACGCAUGAAACCUGGCUCUGAUGCCACUGUUGGGUAACGUAGUAAUUUCAAAAAAUUUCCUACGCACACACAAGAUCAUGGUGAUGCAUAGCAACGAGAGGGGAGAGUGUUAUCCAUGUACCCUCUUAGACUGAAAGCGGAAGCGUUAGCACAACGCGGUUGGUGUAGUCGUACGUUGAUAACCCACAAGUGUAGGGGAUCGCAAUAGCUUUCGAGGGUAAAGUAUUCAACCCAAAUUUAUUGAUUCAACACAAGGGGAGCCAAAGAAUAUUCUUGAGUAUUAGCAGUUGAGUUGUCAAUUCAACCACACCUGGAUAACUUAGUAUCUGCAGCAAAGUAUUUAGUAGCAAAAGUGGUAUGAUAAUAAAGGUAACGGUGGCAAAAGUAAAGAUAAAUGUUUUUGGGUUUUUGUAGUAGUUGUAACAGUAGCAACGGAAAAGUAAAUAUGCGAAGAACAAUAUAUGAAAAGCUCGUAGGCAAUGGAUCAGUGAUGGAUAAUUAUGCCGGAUGCGAUUCCUCAUGCAAUAGUUAUAACAUAGGGUGAUAUAGAACUAGCUCCGGUUCAUCAAUGUAAUGUAGGCAUGUAUUCCGUAAAUAGUCAUACGUGCUUAUAGAAAAGAACUUGCAUGACAUCUUUUGUCCUACCCUCCCAUGGCAGCGGGGUCCUAGCGGAAACUAAGGGAUAUUAAGGCCUCCUUUUAAUAGAGAACCGGAACAAAGCAUUAGCACAUAGUGAAUACAUGAACUCCUCAAACUACGGUCAUCACCGAGAAGUAUCCCGAUUAUUCUCACUUCGGGGUUGUCGGAUCAUAACACAUAAUAGGUGACUAUAGACUUGCAAGAUAGGAUCAAGAACACACAUAUAUUCAUGAAAACAUAAUAGGUUCAGAUCUGAAAUCAUGGCACUCGGGCCCUAGUGACAAGCAUUAAGCAUAGCAAAGUCAUAGCAACAUCAAUCUUAGAACAUAGUGGAUACUAGGGAUCAAACCCUAACAAAACUAACUUGAUUACAUGGUAAAUCUCAUCCAACCCAUCACCGUCCAGCAAGCCUACGAUGGAAUUACUCACGCACGGCGGUGAGCAUCAUGAAAUUGGUGAUGGAGGAUGGUUGAUGAUGACGACGACGAUGAAUCCCCCUCUCCGGAGCCCCGAACGGACUCCAGAUCAGCCCUCCCGAGAGAGAUUAGGGCUUGGCGGCGGCUCCAUGUCGUAAAACGCAAUGAAACUUUCUCUCUGAUUUUUUUCUCCCCGAACGUGAAUAUAUGGAGUUGGAGUUGACAUUGGUGGAGGUCCAGGGGGGCCACGAGAUAGGAGGCCGCGACCUAGGGGGGGCGUCCCCCUGUCUCGUGGACAGCCUGUGGGCCCCAUGGUACUGAUUCUUUCGCCAAAAAUUCUUAUUAAUUCCAAAAAGUGCCUCCGUGGAUUUCCAGGACAUUCCGAGAACUUCUCUUUUCUACACAUAAAACAACAUCAUGGCAGUUCUGCUGAAAACAACGUCAGUCCGGGUUAGUUUCAUUCAAAUCAUGCAAGUUAGAGUCCAAAACAACGGCAAAAGUGUUUGGAAAAGUAGAUACGUUGGAGACGUAUCAUACGUCUUCACGGCCCAACCAAUCAAGCACCGAAAGCACGGCACCUCCGAGUUCUUGCACACGUUCAGUUCGAUGACAUCCCUCGAACUCCGAUCCAGCAGAGUGUCGAGGGAGAGUUCCGUUAGCACGAUGGCGUGGUGAGGAUGAUGAUGUUCUACCAAUGCAGGGCUUCGCCGAAGCACCGCUAUGAUAAUAUGGAUGAGGACUAUGGUGGAGGGGGGCACCGUACACGGCUAAGAGAUCAAUGGUCAAUUGUUGUAUCUAUGGGGUGCCCCCCUCCCCCGUAUAUAAAGGAGUGGAGGAGGGGGCCGGCCAAGGGGAGGAGGCACGCCCAAGGGGGGGGGGAGUCCUACUCCCACCGGGAGUAGGACUCCUCCUUUUCCUAUUUGGAGAGGGAGAGGGAAGGAAGAGGAAGGAGGGAGGAAGGGAAGGGGGGGCCCUCCCAAUUCGGAUUGGGCUUGGGGGAGGGGCGUGCCCCCUCCCUUGCUCCUUCCCCUCCUUUCCACUAAAGCCCAUUAAGGCCCAUAUACCUCCCGGGGGGUUCCGAUAACCUCCCGGAGCUCUGGUAUUGUCCCAAUCUCACCCGGAACCUUUCCGGUGUCCAAAUAUAGUCGUCCAAUAUAUUGAUCUUCAUGUCUCGACCAUUUCGAGACUCCUCGUCAUGUCCGUGAUCACAUCCGGGAGUCCGAACAACCUUCGGUACAUCAAAACACAUAAACUCAUAAUAUAACUGUCAUAUAACUUUAAGCGUGCGAACCCUACGGGUUCGAGAACUAUGUAGACAUGACCGAGACACGUCUCCGGUCAAUAACCAAUAGCGGAACCUGGAUGCUCAUAUUGGCUCCUACAUAUUCUACGAAGAUCUUUAUCGGUCAAACCGCAUAACAACAUACGUCGUUCCCUUUAUCAUCGGUAUGUUACUUGCCCGAGAUUCGAUCGUCGGUAUCUCAAUACCUAGUUCAAUCUUGUUACCGGCAAGUCUCUUUACUCGUUACAUAAUGCAUCAUCCCGUAACUAACUCAUUAGCUACAUUUCUUGCAAGGCUUAUAGUGAUGUGCAUUACCGAGAGGGCCCAGAGAUACCUCUCCGACAAUCGGAGUGACAAAUCCUAAUCUCGAAAUAUGUCAACUCAACAAGUACCUUUGGAGACACCUGUAGAGCACCUUUAUAAUCACCCGGUUACGUUGUGACGUUUGGUAGCACACAAAGUGUUCCUCCGGUAAGCGGGAGUUACAUAAUGUCAUAGUCAUAGGAACAUGUAUAAGUCAUGAAGAAAGCAAUAGCAACAUACUAAACGAUCAAGUGCUAAGCUAACGGAAUGGGUCAAGUCAAUCACAUCAUUUUACUAAUGAUGUGAUCCCGUUAAUCAAAUGACAACUCAUGUCUAUGGUUAGGAAACUUAACCAUCUUUGAUUCACGAGCUAGUCAAGUAGACACUACUAGGGAAAAGGCUAGCAGCAAUGCGGGUUUUUAAGCUAUCAGCAGCGCGGACAGCCGCGCUACCAAUAAGGCGCUACAGCUAACUGUUACUAGUAGCGUGGGCUAAACCCGCGCUACUACUAAAUGAUUAGUAGUAGCGCGGGUGCACCCGCGCUACUACUAAGCUAACACCCACGCUACUACUAACCUAACUAGUAACCUAACUACUAGUAGCGCUCACUUUUAACCCACGCUACUACUAACAAUUUAGGAAUUAAAAAAAUAAAAGUUAGAUGUGGUAUUCAUGAAUGGUAAUAUGUCCAUUGCAAAGCAAACCAACGUCACAAAAGCAUCUCAGAAUUCCAUUUAACAUCAGACACACAACCAUCAUCGAAGUACCUCCGCUAGUGGUCCACCACCAACCUAAACAAAUCACUUCUCUAUAUAUAUCUACCAAGGCUUGGAGUUCAGACGCCAAUGUACCCGAAUCCUCCUUCCCCUGGACGAUGGCGUCGAGGACCUCCACCUCGAAGACCUCUGGUGUCAAAAUCACCUGGACGUUCAUCUAUUCGACGUGGCCACCAUGCUUCACAGCAAAGUCCGCCUCCAAGUGGUUGAAGAGCACAACGCCCACCGGGCCAUGCUAGUCACCGUCGAUCACCCCUAUGCCCACGUCGGGAAAGUGAAAACUAGUUAGUACGCAAAUUGCAUCAGUUAAACUAAAUAGUAUAUUACAAUUCACAAGACCCAUUAAGUUAACAUUCCUUAUCAUCUAGCAAUUUAAAGGGGCUCAUGCCGAAUAUAUAUGCUUAAUUCCUCACUUCUUAUUUAAACUAAAUAUAUAGAUUUGGCAAAUGCAUAGAAAAACAUAAAGCCCAAAAGAAACACAGAAAUGCAUAUGUGAACUAAAUUACUUUGUGUGUUAGCAGAUUUCUUGUUAGGUUAUUCACUAUAUAUAGUACCACAUCAGGAAGGGUGAUGUGUUUACUUCGCGCCGCAAUGUUUGGCACCAAGUUCAGUCUUGGAAGACAAAUACAUUGCUGGGCGGGACAAGGCAAAGAAAAAUACAGAAAUUUGUAGUUACUAAAUCAUUAGCAUUAAUCAGUGCCUUCUGUCGCGGGGGUCAUGUGUCAACUGAUUUCAAGUAUGUUCUUGCAAGCUACAAAGAUGUUAAGAAUUACUUGCAAUCUGGUUUUUGCAAGCCACAAAGUUGUUCAGAAUUACUACUUAUCUAGUAGUACAAAUGUUGAAAACAGAUUAUGAACUACUCCAGACUCUACAUACAUGUAUGUGGUGAGCAUUGAAGCAUUCACUCUCCCAGGCUGUUUAGGAUCAUCAACCUAGUGGAUGUCGUCCGGUAAUAGAGGAAGUGCAUCCUAUAUAAGGCACCAACAAAAAGCUAAGUGACGGCUACUGUUUUCUCAGGCAGGGUGUACAAAUUUAACAAAAUAAAAGUGCACUAGCACUAUAGAGUCCAGUAUAUCCAGUUGCUAGGGCAAGUACUAAGGUCUAAGACGAUAUGCUACUAAAUGAUUGAUUUUGCUGUUGCUCAUGGACAUAGACAUGAGCAAGCACAUGGCAGGGCCAUGAACCUAUGCAAAGCAUCAAUUGUUUUCAGCUCCUUGGCAACAUGUCCAGUGGAAAUCAAGAUACUACCCACUUGCACAACUGAAUCUACCAUGCGCAUGAGGGAGGCUACAGCUUACUCAAAAAACAAGUAAAGAAGAACAUCAUGGUUUCCUCACCCAAAUACAUUGACCCACUCGCCAUCUGCCUUCCCUUCGCUGGCCGGAGCCAUCGGCUCCGUCCUGGCAGCCUCCGUCGCUGGGGUCAUAGAGAAUAGAAUGGUCCAUGGCUCUGGAUGAACAUCGAACAUAUCUCUGAUAGAAUUACAUAUGAAGAAACCAUCACUCCUAUCAAUUUCAUCAAGAAAAGGGAAGUUAGCUAACUUAUAGGGGAAACAAAACAUCAAGAUUCUAACUGAACAAAAGGAAACCUAGUCCAAUUGCGCAUUUUUUUAGAACAGGAGGAUGACCCCCGUCCAACGGCGCACAUGCCUAGUGGAACUUUAUUCAAGGACCAGACAAGAGCAUCUUUCAGUUUACUACAAUAUGUAAUUUAAAUAGCACGAAGCAAACAACUAUAAAAUGACAAGUGAACUAUGAUCCAAUAUUGUGCAGAAUAUUAAAAUGAAGGUGGAUUUUUUCAUAUUCGAGUUUUUCUUAAUAGUAACUUAAAAAAUAAAUGAAUAUAUGCAUAAGGUGGAUUUUCACAUGCAACCUGUGGUAGUUUCAGUUUGUGCCGGCUUCAAUUGUCACUCCAAACCUCUAUUUCUCUUGUGGGCAACUCAAAAUUGUUUACAAUCCGUUAUCUGCAAAAAAUAAAAUGGACUGAACUGAGUUAAAAUAAACACAUUACAUGAAUAGGCCAGACAUAAACCUCUAUAUGCUAUGCCGAAUUAAGAUAAAAUAAACACAUUGCAUGAACUGAGUUAAAAUGGACUGAACUGAGUUAAAUCGGCCAUUUUCAUUUAUAAGUGAUCUAUAUGCUAUGGCAAGCAACAACUCAUUACAUGAACAGGCCGACAAGCCAUGCCGCGCAAUGAUCUGUGCAUCGCAGAGCGUAGAACCAUUCACAGGGCAACCAUUCAACAACAGAUAUAUAGAGAUUGAUCCAUCAUCCAACACAUUGAUCCGCUACGAAAUUACCACACGACAGUAUGAUGAUAUUCACAUGAACACAUUGAUCCUCUCCUGCCUCACCUCACCUCGCCUGCUGCCUCACGCAACAAGUCAGCAACACUACUGUGUGUGUGCGUCUAUGUCUGUGCAAACCAAAGCUGGCUGCGCAUGAGGGAGGGAAGGGAAGGAAAAAAGGAAAGGGAAAGGGAAGUAGAUUGAGAGAGUACCUUGGCGGCCAUGGCGUCGUCGGCCGAACGGAGCAGAAGCAGACGGACAGAUGGAGGUCCUGUCCAGGCGCGCGAGCUCGCGAUUGGGGAGAUGCGGCCAACGCCAUGGAGGUGGAGCUCCAGGUCCUAGCCGUCGGCCAUGGAUAUGGAUCUCCAGGUCCAAGCCCUUGGCGGAUCUCGGAUUGAGAGCCGCCGCCUGACCUAUUCUCUUCUCGUCGUCUUCUAGUGAGGGGAGGGGCGAGGGUGGCGGUGGCGGCGGUCAUGCGGAGGCCUAGCCGGCCGGCUGCAGCGCUCGGGGCUGCACACACUCGUGGAUUGGGAGAGGAGAGGAGGUGGAAGAAGGCCGGCGGUGGAGGGGAUUUGGAUCGAGGUUUGGGUGGAACUUUUUUUUGAUAAACUUGGGCGGGUGGACGGUGGAGUGGUUGGUGGGCUGGGAGCAGAUGCAGGUGGUAGCGUGGGGUUUAUAACCCGCGCUACUACUAUCGACUUAGUAGUAGCGUGGGUUUAUAACCCGCGCUACUACUAUGACUGGUCCCGGGAGGCACGGUGGAAAUCACUUAGUAGUAGCGAGGAGUAAAAACCCGCGCUACUACUACCGGGUUAUUAGUAGCGCGGUUUCCUCAAGCUCUGCUAAUUAGCAGUAGCGUUUGUUUUUAAACCACGCUGCUGCUAAGAUUCUGUGUAUAAGGUUUUCCCUAGUAGUGAGAGGCAUACUAGUGACACUAUGUUUGUCUAUGUAUUCACACAUGUAUUAUGUUUUCGGGUAAUACAAUUCUAGAAUGAAUAAUAAACAUUUAUCAUGAUAUGAGGAAAUAAAUAAUAACUUUAUUAUUGCCUCUAGGGCAUAUUUCCUUCAAGGAUAACCAAGGAAAAUGCAAGGAAGCGACCGGGGAGCGAGUUUGUGAGGAGCAGUGGACGCGGUGCUAGGAUAACAGAGACACCCAAAGAUGCGAAGACCAUCAUAAGAUGGAGCCGCACCGAAGAGGAGCUAGUGAGGAGUGUAGUUCCAGCGGGAACGCCAUGGGCGAAUGUUAAUAAGGAGGCUAGCGGUCGCGAGCGCGUCUGGCCAGAACCGAGGAGGCACGUAGGAGUGGAAGAGCAACCUGCGGACAUAGUCAUUAAGAGUGCGAAGGACGCGCUCGGCGCGACCAUUCUGCUGAGACGUGUAGGGGCAGCUGAGGCGAAAGAUGGUGCCGUGGGACGCAAGUAAAUUGCGGAUGGCGACGUUGUCAAACUCCUUGCCGUUGUCAGUUUGCAAGGCGAGAAUAGGAUGACCGAACUGUGUGGUGACAUAUGAAUAAAAGGCUGUGAGUGUGGCAAGAGCGCCAGACUUGUGACGGAGAGGGAAUGUCCACACAUAAUGAGAAAAAUCAUCUAAUAUCACCAGAUAGUAUAAAUAGCCUGUGUUGCUAGCAACCGGGGACGUCCAAACAUCACUAUGCAAUAACUGAAACGGAAAGGUGGAAAUGUUUGUAGACUCGCUAAAGGGAAGACGAACGUGCUUGCCAAGACGGCAAGCCUCACAAGUGUGAUCGUCGACCUUAUUACAUGAGAAAUAAAAACUCUGAAGAAUCUGACGCAUAAUGGUGGAGUUGGGAUGACCGAGACGGCCAUGCCAAAGAUCGACACUGGCGGCGAAGGCGACGGGAUGACGGGUGGUGGUUCCGCUGGAGGAAUGCACUAGGUAAAGCUCGUCCGGGCUGUCACAUCGGUGGAGUACCAUCCGUGUACGGGCGUCCUUCAAAUAAAAACCAAUAUCGUCAAAUUCAACAGUGAUAGGAUUCUCACGAGCAAGGCGAUGAACAGAAAUGAGAUUAGUGACUAAGUCAGGAGACACAAGAACAUUAGACAUAUUGAUAGGAGUAGAAGUAGAAGGAAAAGACAUAUGACUGACAUGUGUAAUGGGUAGGGAGAAACCUUUACCAACGGUGAUAGGGUGGGAGUAUGAACAUGAGUGGCAGACGUGAGGUUACCGGGAUGAGCAGUCAUGUGAGCGGUGGCGCCUGAGUCCAUGUACCAGUCACCACCGCCACCAUAGGAGCUCGAUGACGGGACAGAGUGCAGGGCAGCGAGUAGGGUCGGGUCCCACGGCGGCGGCAGCUGAGGAGGGUAAAACCCUCCGUAGGCCGGCACGGGAGCUGCACCAAUGGCCGAAGUGGUGGCAGCGCCGGAGGCGACGGGGGGGAGGGGGCACCGUAGCCGCUAUAGGGAGCGCUGUUCUGCGCGGUGAAGAGAGCCUGGUGACCCGUCGGGCGAGGCCCAAGGAUGCCUGGAGCAGGAGCCCGAGGGACCGGCAUCGAGUACGCGUGGACGACGCCGGUCCACGGGUUGGUGUCGUACAUCCAUGGAGGAGUCACCUGCUGCUGCUGCUGACGAGCCUCCCCCCCACCCUGCAGUGCCUGUUGCUGCUUGCGGCCGCCCCCGCAGCGGUUGCCGCGCCAUCUGCCACCCGGCUGCUGGGGGGCAGCAGGAGGGGCGGGAGGCGCAGGCGGGAGGGGAAGUACCCUGGAGGUGCGGGGGCGGUGGCUGCUGUCGCGGCCUGGGUGGGGCAGCCGAUGGAGGGGUGCCACGUGACGUGCCGGAGGCGAGGGCGUGAUGUUGCACAUGCUUCUUGACCCCCUUCAUCCGGCGCUCCUCCAACUGCAAGUAUGCCACAAACUUGGGGAAGGAGGGCUCCUGCAUCAAGGUGAGGUUGGAGGUGGCGUUGCUGAAGUCCUCGUUGAGGCCGGCGGUGAGCAUGCUGAGGAGGAGGUCGUCAUCCACCUUGGCUCCAAUGUCACAGAGCUCAUCCGGCAACGUCUUCAGGCGGCGCCGGCAGUCAUCAAUGGACUGUUCAUCCUGGUGACAGUCAAAAAAUUCCUGCUGCAAAAACGCGGCGCUGAAGGUUGUUGUCGGUGAAGAGGCCGUUCAGCUUGACCCACAUGGCGCGGGCGUCGUCGCCGGUGCUCAUGACUGUGUGGAACAAGUCCUUGGAGAUAGUGGUGAAGAACCACCGGAUGAUCGUGGCGUCGAUCGUGGUCCACUCGGCGUCGUCCACCAUGGCGCGAGAGUCCACGGUGCCAUCCACAUGAUCCAUGAGAUUGUUCUCGCGGAAGAGCAGCGAGAAGUACGUCUUCCACGCGAAGUACGUGGAGUUGGAGGCGUCGAGGACCACGGGGACGCGUGCGUGAACGUUGAUGUCGUGGAUCUCAGCAGGGUCGACGGCGAAGGGGUUGGAGUAGGUGGAGGCGUUGGACGACAUGGCUGCAAGGCCGUGGGGAGGGAGGCGGCGCGGCUUGUGGAGGAGCGGCGCGGCGGUGGAAGAUGGGCGGCGCGAUGUGGAGUAGAAGGCGUGCGUGGAGGAGAAGGCGCGCGGGAAGGAGGGGCGGUGGCGGCGGCGGCGGCGGCCCUAGGCGGCGGCUAGGGUUGGCGGAAGCGGGAGGAUCGACUUGCGAUAGAUACCAUGUAGAGAAUGAUUUGGUGCAUCGAUUAUUGAUUGAUAUAUAUAUAUAUAUAUAUAUAUAUAUAUAUAUAUAUAUAUAUAUAUAUAUAUAUAUAUAUAUAUAUAUAUAUAGGUAUAAGGGGUGCGACUGGUAUCUUGUCUCCUAAGAUACACGUACAUACAGAGGGAGACAGACACUAGAGGUACUGCAUACAAAACCCAGACCUACGUACAUGUACACAUGUUCAACGUAUAUGAUGGGAACGGUGUCCGCUUUCUGUCAAAGAGAGGAUUGCAUCGCCAGCUCGAACUAUUUGCAAGUCAGAAGUAUCAUUGCUAAUUGGGUAGCUGGAAAGAAGAUUGUUUCCCAGCGGGUGCCUUGGUGGUCAAGGCGAGAAAUAGGAUGUAUUAAAUUGAAUGUCGAUGCUUCAUACUACAUGGACUCAGGUGCAAAUGCAUGUGGUGCAAUCCUACACAACUCGUCAGAAAGCUUCAUAGCUGCAGCUGUGGAAUCUAAACAUCAUGCACAGGAUGCUCAUUUGAUUUUUCAAAAAAUGGCACAUUUAUUAACUCAAAAUGUAACAUCGAGUGGAUACAAUUUAUGAUGAGAACCACCUGACCUCCGCAUAGAUAUGACAAACAAAGCCAAACACAAGUAGUCUAAAAAAACAUAAAGAUAAAAAACGGACAUAUUGGCAUCAGUAGAGUCAAAUAUGACCGCCACUAUGCCUAUGUCAAGAGAGGUGAUGGACCAAUACGGAGGUUAUGCUGCACCCAUGUUGAAAAAAAACCCUCCAUAUCCACCUGCUACAGUCGCGCACACACCACCUUAAACAACAGUUAGUACUCCGUACGGUGAAGCAUAGACUACCUACAAAGCGUGUGCAUACAACGGAAAAUAAUAGAGUCAAUUACACCACAGGUGUCUGAACUUGGCAAGAAAAAUCAGUUUGGUGCUGCAACUUGUGGCAUAUAGAUAUGUGGUGACAAAACUUGGCUUCGUAGUGCAGAUACGGUGAAAUUCACGUUUGCAUACGAGAUGGGUGCUGACGAGGCCCGCCAGCAUGGCGCCGGACCCACUGUCAGUGGCUGGACCGUGCGGGCGAGGGCAUGUGGCCCGGAUUUUUGUGACCCCCUCCCCCGAAAUUUGUUUACUUCUCACAAAAAAGCGCCGGCCGUCGCACAUAACGUGAGCCCCUCGAUCCCGUUUCUGUGUGAGGCUAAAUCCUCGCCCGCGAUCCUGAUACGUUCAUUUUGCAUCAUCUUUUAUAAAUAUUUAUUGCAUUAUGGACUAUUAUUACACAUUAUAUCUCAAUACUUAUGGCUAUUCUCUCUUAUUUUACAAGGUUUACCAUGAAGAGGGGGAAUGCCGGCAGCUGGAAUUCUGGCUAGAAAAGGAGCAAACGUUGGAAACGUAUUCUGCACAGCUCCAAAAGUCCUGAAACUCCACGAAACAACCUUUUGGAAUUAAUAAGAAUUUCCGAGCGAAAGAAAUAUGCGAGGGGGACCACAACCUGUCCAGGAGACAGGGGGUGCCCCCCCUAUAAGGCGUGCCCCCUAUCUCCUGGGCCCCCUGGUGGGCCUCCGACGUCCAUCUUCUGCUAUAUCAUCGCUUUUACCCUGGAAAAAAUCAUGGGCAAGCUUACGGGACGAAACUCCGCCUCCACGAGGCGGAACCUUGGCGGAAUCAAUCUAGGGCUCCGACGGAGCUGUUCUGUCGGGGACACUUCCCUCCGGGAGGGGGAAAUCAUCACCAACGUCAUCACCAACGAUCCUCUCAUCGGGAGGGGGUCAAUCUCCAUCAACAUCUUUACCAGCACCAUCUCCUCUCAAAACCCUAGUUCAUCUCUUGUAUCCAAUCUUGUAUCAAAACUAUAAAUUAGUACCUGUGGGUUGCUAGUAGUGUUGAUUACUCCUUGUAGUUGAUGCUAUUUGGUUUACUUGGUGGAAGAUCAUAUGUUCAUAUCCUUUAUGCAUAUUAUUACUCCUCUGAUUAUGAACAUGAAUAUGCUUUGUGAGUAGUUACGUUUGUUCUUGAGGACAUGGGUGAAGUCUUGCUAUUAGUAGUCAUGUGAAUUUGGUAUUCGUUCGAUAUUUUGAUGAGAUGUAUGUUGUCUUUUCCUCUAGUGGUGUUAUGUGAACGUCGACUACAUGACACUUCACCAUUAUUUGGGCCUAGAGGAAGGCAUGGGGAAGUAAUAAGUAGAUGAUGGGUUGCUAGAGUGACAGAAGCUUAAACCCUAAUUUAUGAGUUGCUUCGUUAGGGGCUGAUAUGGAUCCAUAUGUUUAAUGAUGUGGUUAGGUUUACCUUAAUACUUCUUUUGUAGUUGCGGAUGCUUGCAAUAGGGGUUAAUCAUAAGUGGGAUGCUUGUCCAAGUUAGGGCAGUACCCAAGUACCCGUCCACCCACAUAUCAAAUUAUUAAAGUACCGAACGUGAAUCAUAUGAACGUGAUGAAAACUAGCUUGACGAUAAUUCUCAAUGUGUCCUCGGGAGCUCCUUUAUCAUUAUUAGAAAUUGUCCAGGCUUAUCCUUUGCUACAUAAACGAUUGGGCCAUCUUUCUGCACUUUAUUUACUUCAUUUACUUGUUACUCGUUACUAUUUAUCUUAUCACAAAACUAUCUAUCACCUACAAUUUCAGUGCUUGCAGAGAAAACCUUACUGAAAACUGCUUAUCAUUUCCUUCUGCUCCUCGUUGGGUUCGACACUCUUACUUAUCGAAAGGACUACGAUUGAUCCCCUACACUUGUGGGUCAUCAAGACUCUUUGCUGGCGCCGUUGCCGGGGAGUGUUGAGCUUUUGGUGAGUGGAACUUGGUAAGGAAACAUUUAUAUAGUGUGCUAAAAUUUUCUGUUACUUGUCACUAUGGAAACUAAUCCUUUGAGGGGCUUAUUUGGGGUAUCUUCACCCCAACCAGAAGAGCAAAGAGUUGCUCCUCAACCUACUAAACUUUAUGAAAAUAUUUACUUUGAGAUUCCUUCGGGUAUGAUAGAGAAACUGCUAGGUAAUCCAUUUGCAGGAGACGGAACAUUGCAUCCUGAUUUACACCUUAUCUUUGCGGAUGAAGUUUGUGGAUUAUUUAAGGUUGCAGGUAUUCCCGAUGAUUUUGUCAAAAGGAAGGUCUUCCCUUUAUCUUUGAAGGGAGAUGCAUUGACAUGGUAUAGGCUAUGUGAUGAUACGGGAUCUUGGAAUUAUAAGCGAUUGAAGUUGGAAUUUCACCAGAAGUUCUACCCUAUGCAUCUUGUUCAUCGUGAUCGUAAUUACAUAUAUAAUUUUUGGCCUCGCGAAGGAGAAGGCAUCGCUCAAGCUUUGGGGAGGCUUAAGUCAAUGUUAUAUUGAUGCCCCAAUCAUGAGCUCUCUCGGGAAAUGAUUAUUUAGAAUUUUUAUGCUCGGCUUUCUCUUGAUAAUCGCAACCUGCUCGAUACUUCCUGUGUUGGUUCUUAUAUGCUGAAAACUAUUGAUUUCAAAUGGGACUUGUUGGAAAGAAUUAAACGCAACUCUCAAGAUUGGGGUUCCGAUGAUGGUAAGGAGUCAGGUAUGACACCUAAGUUCGAUUGUGUUAAAUCUUUUAUGGAUACCGAUGCUUUUCGUGGAUUUAGCGCUAAGUAUGGACUUGGCUCUGAGAUAGUAGCUACUUUCUGUGAAUCUUUUGCUACUCACGUUGAUCUCCCUAAAGAGAAGUGGUUUAAAUAUAAUCCUCCUGUUGAAGUGAAAGUAGUUGCACCUAUUACAGUCGAAGAAAAGACUAUUACCUAUAGUGAUCCUAUUGUUCCUACUGCUUAUGUUGAAAAACCUCCUUUUCGUGUUAAGAUUAAGGAUCAUGCUAAAGCUUCAACUGUUGUUCAUAAGAGUAAUACUAGGACUUAUACACCUCCUGAGCAAAUUAAUGUUGAACCUAGUAUUGCUAUGGUUAAAGAUCUCUUGGAUGAGGAUUUAGAUGGGCAUGUUAUUUCUUUCUGUGGUGAGACUUCUAAUAUUGCUAGACCAGAUACCAAGACACGUAGACCUGUCGUAGGCAUGCGUGUUAUUUCUGUUAAAAUAGGAGAUCAUUGUUAUCAUGGCUUAUGUGAUAUGGGUGCUAGUGCUAGUGCGAUACCUUAUGAUCUAUAUAAAGAAAUUAUGCACGACAUUGCACCCAUUGAAUUAGAAGACAUUGAUGUUACUAUCAAGCUUGCUAAUAGAGAUACCAUUAAACCCUUUGGGAUUGUUAGAGAUGUUGAAGUUUUGUGUGGGAAGGUUAAAUACCCUGCUGAUUUUCUUGUUCUUGGUUCCCCACAAGAUGAUUUUUGUCCCAUUAUUUUUGGUAGACCCUUCUUGAAUACAGUUAGUGCUAAGAUUAAUUGUGAAAAUAAUAUUGUCACUGUUAGCAUAGAUGGUAUGUCUCAUGAGUUUAAUUUCGCUAAGUUUAGUAGACAACCUUGUGAAAGGGAACCACCCAGUAAGGAUGAGAUUAUUGGUCUUGCUUCCAUUGCUGUUCCUCCAACUGAUCCGUUAGAACAAUAUUUGCUAGACCAUGAAAACGAUAUGUUUAUGAAGGAAAAGGAGGAAAUAGAUGAAGAGUUCCUUAAACAGGAACCUGUGCUGAAACAUAACCUUCCCGUUGAAAUUCUUGGGGAUCCCCCUCCACCCAAGGGUGAUCCCGUGUUUGAAAUCAAACCAUUACCUGAUAAUCUUAAGUAUGCUUAUCUUGAUGAAAAAGAAAUAUAUCCUGUUAUUAUUAGUGCUAACCUUUCAGAGAAAGAAGAAGAAAGAUUAUUGAAAACUCUGAAGAAGCACCGAGCUGCUAUUGGAUAUACUCUGGAUGAUCUUAAGGGAGUUAGUCCCACGCUAUGUCAACACAAAAUUACAUUGGAAGACGAUGCCAAACCAGUUAGAGAUCCUCAAAGACGAUUUAAUCCCAAGAUGAAGGAAGUGGUAAGAAAGGAGAUACUAAAGCUCCUUGAGGCAGGUAUUAUUUAUCCCGUUGCUGAUAGUGAAUGGGUAAGCCUUGUCCAUUGUGUUCCUAAAAAGGGAGGUAUUACUGUUGUUCCUAAUGAUAAAGAUGAAUUGAUCCCGCAAAUAAUUAUUAUAGGUUAUAGGAUGGUAAUUGAUUUCCGUAAGUUAAAUAAAGCUACUAAGAAAGAUCAUUACCCCUAACCUUUUAUUGAUCAAAUGCUAGAAAUGCUAUCCAAACACACACAUUUUUGCUUUCUAGAUGGUUAUUCUGGUUUCUCUCAGAUACCUGUGUCAGCGAAGGAUCAAUCUAAAACUACUUUUACUUGCCCUUUGGUACUUUUGCUUAUAGACGUAUGCCUUUUGGUUUAUGUAAUGCACCUGCUACCUUUCAAAGAUGCAUGAUGGCUAUAUUCUCUGAUUUUUGUGAAAAGAUUUGUGAGGUAUUCAUGGAUGACUUUUCCGUUUAUGGAUCCUCUGUGACGCCCCCGAUUCAAUCGUACACUAAUAAUACAUGCAAACGUGUACGAUCAAGAUCAGGGACUCACGGGAAGAUAUCACAACACAACUCUAAAAAUAAAAUAAGUCAUACAAGCAUCAUAAUACAAGCCAGGGGGCUCGAGGGCUCGAAUACAAGUGCUCGAUCAUAGACGAGUCAGCGGAAGCAACAAUAUUUGAGUACAGACCUAAGUUAAACAAGUUUGCCUUAAGAAGGCUAGCACAAACUGGGAUACAGAUCGAAAGAGGCGUAGGCCUCCUGCCUGGGAUCCUCCUAAACUACUCCUGGUCGUCGUCAGCGGCCUGCAUGUAGUAGUAGGCACCUCCAGUGUAGUAGGAGUCAUCGACGACGGUGGCGUCUGGAUCAUGGGCUCCAGCAUCUGGUUGCGACAACCAGGUAGAAGGGAAAGGGGGGAAAGGGGGAGAAAAGCAACCGUGAGUACUCAUCCAAAGUACUCGCAAGCAAGGAUCUACACUACUUAUGCAUGGGUAUAUGUGUAAAGAGGCAAUAUCGAUGGACUGAACUGCAGAAUGCCAGAAUAAGAGGGGGAUAGCUAGUCCAAUCGAAGACUACGCUUCUGGUAGCCUCUGUCUUGCAGCAUGUAGAAGAGAGUAGAUUGAAGUCCUCCACGUAGCAUCGCAUAGCAUAAUCCUACCUGGCGGUCCUCCCCUCGUUGCCCUAUGGAAAUGCGAUCACCGGGUUGUCUGUGGAACUUGUCUGGGUGUGUUUUUAUUAAGUAUCCAGUUCUAGUUAUCAUAAGGUCAAGGUACAACUCCGGGUCGUCCUUUUACCGAGGGACACGACUAUUCGAAUAGAUAAACUUCCCUACAGGGGUGCACCACAUAACCCAACAUGCUCGAUCCCAUUUGGCCGGACACACUUUCUUGGGUCAUGCCCGGCCUCGGAAGAUCAACACGUCGCAGCCCCACCUAGGCACAACAGAGAGGUCAGCACGCCGGUCUAAAUCCUAUGCGCGCAGGGGUCUCGGCUCAUCGCCCAUUGCACACCUACACAUUGCGUGGGCGGCCGGAAGCACACCUAGCAACCUCCAUUACAAAAGAAGUUGCGUUAACGCAGUCCAACCCGGCGCGCGCCGCUCAUUCGCUGACGUCACGAAGGCUUCGGCUGAUACCACGACGUCGAGUGCCCAUAUCUUCCCCGCGUAGUUGGUUAGUGCGUAUAGGCCAGUGGCCAAACUCAGAUCAAAUACCAAGUUCUCGUUAAGCGUGUUAUUAUGAAGUAACUGCGGACGCCGACCAGGGCCAGGCCCACCUCUCGCCUAGGUGGUCUCAACCUGCCCUGUCGCUCCGCCACAAAGUAACAGUCGGGGGUCGUCGGGAACCCAGGCCAACCUCUACCGGGAUGGAGCCACCUGCCCCUUCAGCCCUCAUCUCCGAACAGUAUCAUAAGUAAUGUAAUAGUAUAAAGUAUAGCAUAUGCCCGUGAUCACCUCCCGAAGUGAUCACGGCCCAGUAGUAUAGCAUGGCAGACGGACAAGCGUGUAGGGCCACUGAUGGAAUACUAGCAUCCUAUACUAAGCAUUUAGGAUUGUAGGUAAGGGUAACAACUGUAGCAACAAUGACAUGCUACGCAACAUCAUAGGAUUAACCGAAAGCAGUAACAUGCUACACUACUCUAAUGCAAGCAGUAGAGAGAAGGAAUAGGCGAUAUCUUGUGAUCAAGGGGGGGGGGGCUUGCCUAGUUGCUCUGGCAAGAAGGAGGGGUCAUCUUCGGUGUAGUCGAACACACGGACAUCGGCACCGGUCUCAGAGUCUACCGGAAAGAAGUAACGGAGGGGGAAAACAAUAAAUAACAGAGCAAUCAAAUGUAACACAAAGCAAGAUGCGGCAAUAUGCGGUGCUAGGGGUGACCAAACAUAGUGGUAGGUGAUACCAGCGAAGGGGGGAAACAUCCGGGAAAGUAUUCCCGGUGUUUCGCGUUUUCAGGCAGAUGAACUGGAGGGGAAAAGUUGCAGGUUCACUAUGCUAGGGGCGUGUGGCGGACGAAUGGGCUGCGUAUUCGGAUUCGUCUCGUCGUUCUGAGUAACUUUCAUGUACAAAGUUUUUCCAUCCGAGCUACGGUUUAUUUUACAUGAUUUUCUAAAGUUUUACAUCAUUUUUAGAAAUAACAGAAGUAAUUUAAUUAGAAAAUGUUUAUUGCAUCAUCAUGACAUCAGCGGUCAGCAUUGACCGAAAAAACAGGGCAGUGGGGCCCGUCUGUCAUUGACUAUUUAUCUAAUUAGGCUAUUAAGGUUAAUUAACAGGACUAAGUAGAUUAACUAAUAGGAUUAAUUAAGUUAAUUAAUUGGUUAAUUAAUUAAUAUUUUUAAUUAAUAUUCUUUUUAUUCCUUUUUAAACGUUACAGGGGCGCGGGCCCCGUUUGUCAAUGGCCCAAAGGCCUUAGCGGGCACCGGGCGGUGCGGUUACGGGCGUGUGGGCGCAGGGGCGCUGGCGCCCAGCACGAACGGGCACCGAUGCGGGAGUGAGCACUGGCAGCGGGCACCGGGCGGCAGAGGAGCAGCGAGGCACCGACGGCCUCCGCGACGACAAGGGAAGGGGUCCGCGGGUGCGGAGGGGCGCCGAUGUAGCGCGGGCGCACGGACGCCAGGGAUGGCAGUGUCGAGGCCGCGCGGGGUAGUGAGCAGGGGCGGGCGAGGCGUGUGCAGGUGGCCGUGGAUGCAAGCAGCGGGCGGCGGUGGCGCGGUGACCGCUGGGCGACGGGCAUGGCCGGACGGCGCGGCGCAUGGCCAGGGCGCGGCCUAAGCGCGGUGAGUGCGAGGCCGGAGCGCGCGAGGCGUGGUCGCGGGGCGAGGGAGAGAGGAGGACCGGGGUCCUCACCAGGAUUCGUAGGAACAGGGCAGCGGGGGUCGGGGUGGUCGAUGGGGACGACAAUCCGGCAAGGCGGUGAGGGGCUCCGGUGGCGAGGUCCUCGGGCGAUGGGCGACGCGGUCGGGAGCGAUGCAUCCAGAUCUGGGUAAGGGGCGGUGAGGGUUGGUGGAGCCGAUGAGGAGCUGAGGGUGGAGCGUCGACAGCGUGUGUGACGGGGUUCCCCGGGCGGCGGCGGCGCGGUUGAACGCCACCCCGAUCCAGAUGGGAUCGAGAGGUGGUGGGGGAGAGGGGGGAGGCGAUGUGGGGAGAGUGGGGGUGGACCGGCUAGGGUUUCGGGUAGUGGGUGUAUAGGCGCAGCUGGUGGGCUAGCCUGGUGGUCUGGUGGCCUGCUGGGCCGUGGCCCAGUGGGCCAGGUUUUUUUUCUUAACUUCGUUUUAUUUCCUUUCUUUUUAUUUAUUGUUUCCUAUUUUAUUUUAGUUACAUUUUAUUUUAGCUUUAGUAAAAAUUAUCACUAACACCUAAAUUGGUACUUUUAAAUAAACUACUGCCACAUUAAUUCUUAUCGCAACUAAAAUAGUUUAAUAUUUUAAAAAAAUUCAAAAGGCAUUUAUUUUAUUAUUUAACCUAUAGUUUUAAUUAAUUUGAACACUUAAACAUGUUAUUAAAUUUAGGUUUCUCCGCCAUAAUUACCUAUGCAUUCAUUGGAUCACUCCGAACAUUUUAGUUUUAAUAUUUGAAAACUUUUAUUGUUUGAUUGAUUUUGAAUUUGAAUUUGAAUCGGUUUCGAUCUAUCGUGAGUUAGCAAUAGUAACUGGGGUGACGUGGCAUCGUUAAUGUGGGAUUACUGUAGCCUAAUUAUCCGGGCGUCACAAUUCUCCUCCACUACAAGAAAUCUCGUCCCGAGAUUUAAGCGGUGGAGUAAGGGGGAAAAGGUGCUGGUAGCGAAAAACCUAACGAGUCUUCUCGGUCUUGGCUGCCAUUUCGAAGAGGUUGAUCCCUUUCAUUCAUGUCUUCUUUUCUCUGCUUCAAGUCACCAUGAUCAAUUCGUCCUUUUCUUCGGGAACUCCAACGUACUUACGAAUAGGUAAGGGGCAGCUCGGCUACGACAGAAUGCUAUAAGGGUAAUAAUCUGGGAUUAUCCCAUGAAUGAGCAUAUGAGUACCUCUCGAGUUGAACAAUUAAAACACAUCGAGAGUAAAGUUCAAAGGUACAAUAAGAAGUUUCAAGCAGCCAGGCAAUAGUUCAGUGCCUAGUUAGAAGGUGAAAGGGUUUCAGGGCAACGUGAAUAAGUAUUGCGUCUGAUACCAGAAUAGAUCUGUAGGCGGGUGGCCCGUGAAUUAAAUACAAAGUCAAGCGCGAGUAUUAACUUUGACAACAUGGUGUACAGGAGAGUCAGGUUUCGAUCCUGUGGAACUAUGGGUUAUGGGCCCACCAUGUGGGUUAAAAGUAGGAAGGCGGUGACGAUUUGCACGAUCAAGUAAGCAAGGCAUGCCAGAGGAUAGCAUGUCAGUUAUGUCGGCAACAACAUCGGUACCAAGUGCGAGGGAUGAAGAGAACCAUUCUCCUGCUCGUUGAACGAGGCAGACCAAUAGGCAUUGUUCUCGUCCAUCGGUGGUUACCGGAAUGUCAUCAACAAUAGUAACAGGGUCUUACCGACACGAUUGUACACCUAGGUGUUUACAUAAGCAGAAGACUAUUACUGCUUAGAUCAUAUAGAUCACCAUAAAGGUUAACCAAAACAAUGGAAAGGAAAAUGUGAUUAUUAUGUCAAUCAAACCAAUGGGAAGGAAAGGUGUUUAUGCUCAAGUAUUAGAGUAUAUCCUUCCAAAGGUCAAGUAGAGAUUGAUAUUCACAACAAGAUAACAAGUAGAAACCAUUUGGGUAGAGGAGCGACGAAACUCGUGAUGUUACCCAUACAAUGGUGUUUGGAUAAUUGGUCAAGAAACAUUUAGCAUUGUGCUUCAAAUGCUCCUAUUGAAAGUCGGAGUACCACAAACAUGCUUCGAGAUAGCAUUGGCAAGGUCUUCAAGCAAAGGUCAGACUUUGAAUACACGAAGGAUUCAUCAGGAACAACUUGUAGAAUAAGUCUUACGGUUUCCCCAUGGAAGAAUGGUUAACCUUGCUGAAAAGGAAACUAUAACAAUAGGUCCUCCGACCAGGUGUGCUAGGCAUGACAUCACCUUACCGAGCCAUAUAAAGACCAAUGUUAUAACUCUUGGAAAUAUGUUCCAACCAUCAUAUCUGACCGAGGUCAGAUCCGAUUGGUGUCAGGAUACCACAGAUUCAUGAUGCCUGAGAAGGAAGGGGUGCAACACAAUUUGACGAGAUGGUGUUGCAAGAUUCCCGGGAAAUGAAAUAUGGCAGCACGUUCUGAAUCAUAGUUCAUCAUUAAACAAGGAGAGGAUGAGAAGGUGGCUGAUGAACUUAGCGACAAUUCAUUGAGAUUUCCAAAAGAUGGAUCCCCACAAUUAGGUGCACAAGGAGACAACAUUUGUUAGAUCAAAUGAUAUAAUGAUGUAUGCUUGAGGAAAACAUACACAAUUUAAACAUUGGUUGAAAGGUGCACCCGACAUAUGGGCUUAGGUAGCACGAUCAAUGUUAGAAUGGUGAUUCGAUAUCCAAUACACAAAGAAUGUAACUAUCGUUCAUUAACUUACACGCAAUAGGGUUGGUAGAAGUACAGAAUCCAAAAAACACCGUUCACUUGUUGGUAUCCCGGUUAGAAUCAACAUGGGGACCAAGAAAUGAACGAAGAUGGCGAGAAGUAUUUCUAUGUCAAGAAUUCUCAAGAGGUGGAACAAAUCUCAGAACAUUCUUGACAUAAAAGAUGGUAAUACUCCAAGGUAAAGAAGAACAAUUGCUGGAUAGCAAGGAACUCAAGGUAUAACACCAAACAUGAAGUGUUGGUGGGAAGGCAAUAAAGUGGUCGAUGAUAAUACAAUUCAUCGAGGGCAAGGAUGGUAUUUCUCAUCAUGAAUUCAAUUGAUAUCUUGGAAGAGCUCGAAAUGUUGAUGAUGAUCACGACACAAUUGUCAAGAGAUUUCACGAAGAAGCAAUCGAACAACAACGACAUCAAGAAAAAGCAUGAAGCGAAGGGUUAUUGGAACCACGGUUACGACACAAACUCAAAAUCAAGCUUGCAGUUCAACGAGAAAUGAUAUGAUGAGGAAAAUCGACGUAAGCUUAGCUCAUCAUCGAAAAUUGUGCUCCGGAAGGACAAGGUAGCACAGUUAAAAGUCUGCAUGAUAAUGAUAUAGCCGAUAAGGCUAGGAAUGACUUGAAGGAUUAUUAAACUUGUAAGCAACAAGAAUUACUUGAGUUAUUGAACCGGAGUGCGGAAUCGAUUCACUUAUCGGUGUUCUUGAGUGACUAAUAACUCAUAACCUGGGAGGAAUCUGAGAUCGGUGAGAAGCAAUACUAGAUGAAGACUCGUAGGAAGCAACACAGUUCUCGAGAUACCAGAGGUUAAUACUCGAGGAAGAUCAAAAUAGAGGUUGCGAAGAUGUAUCGAUCAACAGAAGACAAGUGCUUUAACUUGUCUGAGAAAUGGAAUCAAAGGAGAUCAAUCAUGGUCGGAACCACGAUUGCAAAGGAUCAAUUCACAGAUACCAGAUGAUAUUAUAUCAAGAAAUAGUUAUUAUUACAAGAAGCUUCCAUGAUAGGAUCUACAUCGUGUCCAUGGGCAUGAACACAAAGUCAAGGUCGACUCCCACUUCUUCAAUGUAUAAACUCUCAUUCACUUCUCGUUUUCGACGAGGUUGUAGUGUUGAAUUUUUAUCUGGCAUAACAUCAGUAGAUUAUGACCCUUAGUAGUUUCCGGGUUCACAAGAUUAGAAAUGGCACAGGUUCAACCCAUCAGGGCCUCUUCGGAACAUAUACCACAAACUUCAGAAGUAGAUAACCCAAGCUCGAACACACAACAUGUUCGACAAGGCAGAGGAUACAACUUACCAAAGGCAAUAUGUACCCAAGAAAAGACUCACAAAGUUAUUGGAUAUGAAGGACAUUGUCGGAUGAAAUCCAUAAAGGAUCUGGUGGUCCACAAGGGAUCUGAUGUGAGCAUCGGUACUCAACCAGAAGAAGAAAGAAUGCAAGGGGAUCAGAUUAUAGAAACAACUGACUAACUCAAAGUUCCAUUGCACAAGAAUUAUGAAUUCCCAGUCACGGGAUCAGAAGCAACGCUCUGAUUAGGGAUGGAUAAGUUGAAUAGUCUUAGGGGUAAAAUCGACGACAAUUUAAUCGGUUGAGAACCAACUCAUGUUCAAACUGACAUUGAGCCGGAAGGAUGAAUCCUAGGAUUCGACUGAGGAAUGCGGGCAUCCUCAACAUAUUGAAUCAACAGACUUAAAAUGAUAAAGUCAAGGGAUGCCAAUAGGAUUACGAGACUUAUGGGAUUAACCAUAAAAGCAAGCAAGAGUUUCAAGAGCAAUAGGCUGCUCAGGAUUUUCGGAAGAUCGAAUGGUAUUUAGAAGUCUUUUUCAAAACAAUUGAUCAGUGGGGUUGAGUGGAUACUCAGUAAGUGCGAGGAAUUAUCCAUAGGGGGUAUUCAUGUGGCAAGAACUGCAAGGUAGUAGGCAGAAAGUAUUCUCGGAACAAUAGAGAUAAUUUCGAGGUAUCUUGUAAUAACAAGAUCAACGGGAUUGAAAGGAAAAGUGCAUAUAGUUAUCCAUAAUGAUAUAAUAGUGGUAGGGAAUAGCAACAAGCGGUGAGCAUAAAGUCUUGAGAGAAUAUCGAAGAGUAUCUUCAGAAUCCUUCGGUGCACCAAGCAAUCAUCUGGAGUGAGGGGCUCUCCUGGAGGAAGUAAUUACGAGAACCUAGAGUUAGCAUUGGUAAAAUCAUUUAACCCGAAUAGAAGAGAGAUCAGAAUCCCGGAGUAUAGAUGAGGAAUAAAAGAUCCUAAUACCACCAAAUUGGCGACGUGGGCCCAUGGGCCGCACAGCCAAGUUAGUAAAACAAUUUUCAUCGAAUAGACUCAACUUCGGCCAAGGAUUUGGAAAGGGGGAUUCCUACAGGCAGUCGGCUCUGAUACCAACUUGUGACGCCCCCGAUUCAAUCGUACACUAAUCAUACACGCAAACAUGUACGAUCAAGAUCAGGGACUCACGGGAAGAUAUCACAACACAACUCUAAAAAUAAAAUAAGUCAUACAAGCAUCAUAAUAGAAGCCAGGGGCCUCGAGGGCUCGAAUACAAGUGCUCGAUCAUAGAUGAGUCAGCGGAAGCAACAAUAUUUGAGUACAUACAUAAGUUAAACAAGUUUGCCUUAAGAAGGCUAGCACAAACUGGGAUACAGAUCAAAAGAGGCGCAGGCCUCCUCCCUGGGAUCCUCCUAAACUACUCCUGGUCGUCGUCAGCGGCCUGCACGUAGUAGUAGGCACCUCCAGUGUAGUAGGAGUCGUCGUCGAUGGUGGCGUCUGGAUCCUGGGCUCCAGCAUCUGGUUGCGGCAACCAGGUAGAAGGGAAAGGGGGAAAAGAGGGAGAAAAGCAACCGUGAUUACUCAUCCAAGGUACUCACAAGCAAGGAUCUACACUACUUAUGCAUGGGUAUAUGUGUAAAGAGGCAAUAUCAGUGGACUGAACUGCAGAAUGCCAGAAUAAGAGGGGGAUAGCUAGUCCUAUCGAAGACUACGCUUCUGGCAGCGUCCGUCUUGCAGCAUGUAGAAGAGAGUAGAUUGAAGUCCUCCAAGUAGCAUCGCAUAGCAUAAUCCUACCCGGCGAUCCUCCCCUCGUCGCCCUGUGGAAAAGUGAUCACCGGGUUGUCUGUGGAACUUGUCUGGGUGUGUUUUAUUAAGUAUCCGGUUCUAGUUGUCAUAAGGUCAAGGUACAACUCCGGGUCGUCCUUUUACCGACGGACAUGGCUAUUCGAAUAGAUAAACUUCCCUGCAGGGGUGCACCACAUAACCCAACACGCUCGAUCCCAUUUGGCCAGACACACUUUCCUGGGUCAUGCCUGGCCUCGGAAGAUAAACACGUCACAGCCCCACCUAGGCACAACAGAGAGGUCAGCACGCCAGUCUAAAUCCUAUGCGCACAGGGGUCUGGGCACAUCGCCCAUUGCACACCUGCACGUUGCGUGGGUGGCCAGAAGCAGACCUAGCAACCUCCAUUACAAAGGAAGUUGGGUAUGCAGUCCAACCCGGCGCGCGCCGCUCAUUCGCUGACGUCACGAAGGCUUUGGCUGAUACCACGACAUCGAGUGCCCAUAUCUUUCCCGUGUAGUUGGUUAGUGCGUAUAGGCCAGUGGCCCAACUCGGAUCAAAUACCAAGAUCUCAUUAAGCGUGUUAUUAUGAAGUAACUGCGGACGCCGACCGGGCCAGGCCCACCUCUCGCCUAGGUGGUCUCAACCUGCCCUAUCGCUCCGCCACAAAGUAACAGUCGGGGGCCGUCGGGAACCCAGGCCCACCUCUACCGGGAUGGAGCCACCUGCCCCUUCAGCCCUCAUCUCCGAAUAGUAUCAUAAGUAAUGUAACAGUUUGAAGUAUAGCAUAUGCCCGUGAUCACCUCCCGAAGUGGUCACGACCCAGUAGUAUAGAAUGGCAGACGGACAAGAGUGUAGGGCCACUGAUGGAAUAUUAGCAUCCUAUACUAAGCAUUUAGGAUUGCAGGUAAGGGUAACAAGUGUAGCAAAAUGACAGGCUAUGCAGGAGAAUAGGAUUAACUGAAAGCAGUAACAUGCUACACUACUCUAGUGCAAGCACUAGAGAGAAGGAAUAGGUGAUAUCUGGUGAUCAAGGGGGGCUUGCCUAGUUGCUCUGGCAAGAAGGAGGGGUCAUCUUCGGUGUAGUCAAACACACGGACAUCGGCACCGGUCUUAGAGUCUACCAGAAAGAAGUAAAGGAAGGUGAACACAAUAAAUAACAGAGCAAUCAAAUGUAACACAAAGCAAGAUGCAGCGCUAGAGGUGACCUAACAUAGUUGUAGGUGAUACUGGCGAAGGGGGAAAACAUCCGGGAAAGUAUUCCCGGUGUUUCGCGUUUUUAGACAGAUGAACCGGAGGGGAAAAGUUGCAGGUUCACUUUGCUAGGGACGUGUGGCGGACGAACGGGCUGCAUAUUUCGAAUACGUCUCGUCGUUCUGAGUAACUUUCAUGUACAAAGUUUUUCCAUCAGAGCUACGGUUUAUUUUACAUGAUUUUCUAAAGUUUUAAAUCAUUUUUAGAAUUAACAGAAUUAAUUUAAUUAGAAAAUGUUAAUUGCAUCAUCAUGACGUCAGCGGUCAGCGUUGGCCGGUCAAACAGGGCAGUGGGGCCCGUCUAUCAUUGACUAUUUAUCUAAUUAGGUUAUUAAGGUUGAUUAACAUGGCUAAUUAGAUUAACUAACAGGAUUAAUUUAGUUAAUUAAUUGGUUAAUUAAUUAAUAUUUUUAAUUAAUAUUCUUUUUUUAUUCCUUUUUAAAUGUUUCAGGGGCGCGGGCCCCGUUUGUCAGUGGCCCAAAGGCCUUAGAGAGCACCGGGCGGUGCGGUUACGGGCGUGUGGGCGCAGGGGCGCUGGCGCCCAGCCCGAACGGGCACCGAUGCGGGAGUGAGCACCGGCAGCGGGCGCCGGGCGGCAGAGGAGCAACGAGGCGCCGACGGCCUCCGCGACGACAAGGGAAGGUGUCCGCGGCCGCGGAGGGGCGCCGAUGCAGCGCGGGCGCACGGACGCCGGAGAUGGCAGCGUCGAGGCCACGCAGGGUAGUGAGCAGGGGCGGGCGAGGCGUGUGCAGGUGGCCGUGGAUGCAAGGUGCGCAUGGCGGUGGUGCGGUGACCGCUGGGCGACGGGCACGACCGGACGGCGCGGCGCAUGGCCAGGGCGCGGCCCGACCGCGGUGAGCGCGAGGCCGGAGCGCACGAGGCGUGGUCGCGGGGCGAGGGAGAGAGGAGGACCGGGGUCCUCACCGGGAUUUGUAGGCACAGGGCAGCGGGGGUCGGGUUGGUCGACGGUGACGACGAUCCGGUGAGGCGGUGAGGGGCUCCGGUGGUCAAACAUCGCGAAUAUUUCAAGGAUAAUCAUAUCUAUCCCUAAUAUGUUAUAGUUCAUCACGAAGCUCUAGCAGCUUGGUGGCAAUGACUUUGGAGAAACAUCACUAUCUCAUCUGGAAGAUCAACUCCCACUCGAUUCAAGUGAUUGUUGUACUCAGACAAUUUGAGCACAAGCUCAACGAUUGAGCUUUUCUCCCUUAGUUUGCAGGCUAAGAAAAUUGUCGGAGGUCUUAUACCUCUUGACGUGGGCACGAGCCUGAAAUCCCAAUUUCAGCCCUCAAAAACAUCUCAUAUGUUCCGCGACAUUUCAAAAUCGUCUUUGGUGCCUCAAUUUUAAACCGUUUAAUAUUACUGAACUAUCACGUAGUUAUCAAAACGUGUAUGUCAAAUGUUCGCAACAUCCACAGACGACGUUCGAGGUUCAGCACACCGAGCGGUGCAUUAAGGACAUAAGCCUUCUGCGCAGCAAUGAGGACAAUCCUUAGUUUAUGGACCCAGUCCGCAUAAUUGCUACUAUCAACUUUCAACUAUAUUUUCUCUAGGAACAUAUCUAAAACAGUAGAACUAAAGCGCGAGCUACGACAUAAUUUUCAAAAACCUUUUGACUAUGUUCAGGAUAAUUAAGUUCAUCUAAUGAACUCCCACUCAGAUAGACAUCCCUCUAGUCAUCUAAGUAACACAUGAUCCGAGUCAACUAGGCCGUGUUCGAUCAUCACGUGAGACGGACUAGUCAUCAUCGGUGAACAUCUUCACGUUGAUCGUAUCUACCAUACGACUCAUGGUCGACCUUUCGGUCUCUUGUGUUCCGAGGCCAUGUCUGUACAUGCUAGGCUCCGUCAAUUCAACCUAAGUGUUUCGCGUGUGUAAAUCUGGCUUACACCCGUUGUAUGUGAACGUUAGAAUCUAUCACACCCGAUCGUCACGUGGUGCUUCGAAACAAUGAACUUUCGCAACGGUGCACAGUUAGGGGGAACACUUUCUUGAAAUUUUAAUGAGGGGUCAUCUUAUUUACUACCGUCGUUCUAAGCAAAUAGGAUGCAUAAACAUGAUAAACAUCACAUGCAAUCAAAAAAAUGACAUGAUAUGGCCAAUAUCAUUUUGCUCCUUUUGAUCUCCAUCUUCGGGGCUCCAUGAUCAUCAUCGUCACCGGCAUGACACCAUGAUCUCCAUCAUCGUGUCUCCAUGAAGUUGUCUCGCCAACUAUUACUUCUACUACUAUGGCUAACGGUUUAGGAAUAAAGUAAAGUAAUUACAUGGCGUUGUUCAAUGACACGCAGGUCAUUCAAUAAAUUAAGGCAACUCCUAUGGCUCCUGGCGGUUGUCAUACUCAUCGACAUGCAAGUCGUGAUUCCUAUUACAAGAACAUGAUCAAUCUCAUACAUCACAUAUCAUUCAUCACAUUCUUUUGGCCAUAUCACAUCACAUAGCAUACCCUGCAAAAACAAGUUAGACGUCAUCUAAUUGUUGUUUGCAUGUUUUACGUGGCUGCUAUGGGUUUCUAGCAAGAACGUUUCUUACCUACGCAAAAACCACAACGUGAUAUGCCAAUUGUUAUUUACCCUUCAUAAGGACCCUUUUCAUCGAAUCCGAUCCGACUAAAGUGGGAGAGACUGGCACCCUCUAGCCACCUUAUGCAACAAGUGCAUGUCAGUCGGUGGAACCCGUCUCACGUAAGUGUACGUGUAAGGUCGGUCCUGGCCGCUUCAUCCCACAAUACCGUCGAAACAAAAUUGGACUAGUAACGGUAAGCAUAUUGAAAAAAAUCAACGCCCACAACAACUUGUGUUCUACUCGUGCAUAGAAACUACGCAUAGACCUAGCUCAUGAUGCCACUGUUGGGGAACGUAGCAGAAAUUCAAAAUUUUUUACGCAUCACCAAGAUCAAUCUAUGGAUUAAUCUAGCAACGAGGGAAAGGGGAGUGCAUCUACAUAACCUUGUAGAUCGCUAAGUGGAAGUGUUGCAAGAACGCGGAUGAGGUAGUCGUACUCGUGGCGAUUCAGAUCGCGGUCGAUUCCGAUCUAAGCGCCAAACAACGGCGCCUCCGCUCAACACACGUGCAGCCCGGUGACGUCUCCCAUGCCUUGAUCCAUCAAGGAGAGAGGGAGAGGUUGGGGAAGAAUCCGUCCAGCAGCAGCACGACGGCGUGGUGGUGGUGGAGGAGCGCGGUACUCAAGCAGGGCUUCACCAAGCACUACGAGAGACGAGGAGGGAAGGGGAGAGAGGGCUGGCCCCCUCCAGAUCCCAUCUAGAGGGGAGGGGCGGUGGCCAGGAGGGGUGCCUUGCCCCCCAAGCAAGGUGGAGGCGCCCCCCUCCCCUAGGGUUUUCAACCCUAGGCGCCUUGGGCCCUGGUGGGGGGGCGCACCAGCCCACCUGGGGCUGGUCCCCUCCCACAGUUGGCCCACGCAGCUCUCUGGGGCUGGUGGACCCCCGGGACCCUCCCGGUGGUCCCAGUACAUUAUCAAUAGCACCCGAAACUUUUCCGGUGAUCAAAACAGGACUUCCCAUAUAUAAAUCUUUACCUCCGGACCAUUCCGGAACUCCUCGUGAUGUCCGGGAUCUCAUCCGGGACUCCUAAUAACAUUCAGUAACCACAUAUAUCUAUUCCCUAUAACCCUAGCGUCAUCGACCCUUAAGUGUGUAGACCCUACGGGUUGGGGAACCAUGCAGAUAUGACCGAGACAACUCUCCGUCCAAUAACCAACAGCGGGAUCUGGAUACCCAUGUUGGCUCCCACAUGUUCCACGAUGAUCUCAUAGGAUGAACCACGAUGUCAAGGAUUCAAUCAAUCCCGUAUACAAUUCCCUUUGUCUACCUAUAUAGUACUUGCCCGAGAUUCAAUCGUCGGUAUGCCGAUACCUUGUUCAAUCUCGUUACCGUCAAGUCUCUUUACUCGUUCCGUAACACAUCAUCCCAUGAUCAACUCCUUGAUCACAUUGUGCACAUUAUGAUGAUGUCCUACCGAGUGGGCCUAGAGAUACCUCUCCGUCACACGGAGUGACAAAUCCCAGUCUCGAUUCGUGCCAACCCAACAGACACUUUCGGAGAUACCCGUAGUGCACGUUUAUAGCCACCCAGUUACGUUUUGACGUUUGGUACACCCAAAGCAUUCCUACGGUAUCCGGGAGUUGCACAAUCUCAUGGUCUAAGGAAAAGAUACUUGAAAUUUAGAAAAGCUUUAGCAUACGAACUACACGAUCUUGUGCUAGGCUUAGGAUUGGGUCUUGUCCAUCACAUCAUUCUCCUAAUGAUGUGAUCCCAUUAUCAACGACAUCCAAUGUCCAUGGUCAGGAAACCGUAACCAUCUAUUGAUCAACGAGCUAGUCAACUAGAGGCUUACUAGGGACAUGGUGUUGUCUAUGUAUCCACACAAUCCUAAUCAAGGAAAUAUAAUACUAACCAUUUUAUUAUUGCCUCUAGGGCAUAUUUCCAACAGCUGGUGGGCUGGCCUGGUGGUCUGGUGGCCUGCUGGGCCGUGGCCCAAUGGGCCAGGGGGGUUUGUUUUUUUUAACUUCGUUUUAUUUCCUUUCUUUUUAUUUAUUCUUUCCUAUUUUAUUUUAGUUACAUUUUAUUUUAGCUUUAGUUAAAAUUAUCACUAAAACCUAAAUUGGUACUUUUAAAUAAACUACUGCCACAUUAAUUCUUAUCCCAACUAAAAUAGUUUAAUAUUUCAUAAAAUUCAAAAGGCAUUUAUUUUAUUAUUUAACCUACAGUUUUAAUUAUUUUGAACUCUUAAACAUUUUAUUAAAUUUAGGUUUCUCCACCAUAAUUACCUAUGCAUUCUUUGGAUCACUCCGAACAUUUUAGUUUUAAUAUACGAAAACAUUUAUUGUUUGAUUGAUUUUGAAUUUGAAUUUGAAUCGGUUUCGAUCUAUCGCGAGGUUAGCAAUAGUAACCGAGGUGACGUGGCAUCGUUAACGCGGUACUACUGUAGCCUAAUUAGCCGGGCGUCACAUCCUCUUUUGAUGAUUGUUUGAGCAACCUUGAUCGAGUUUUGCAGAGAUGCGAAGACACUAGUCUCGUCUUGAAUUGGGAAAAGUGUCACUUUAUGGUUAAUGAAGGCAUUGUCUUGGGGCAUAAGAACUUCGAGAGAGGUAUUGAAGUUGAUAAAGCCAAAGUUGAUGCUAUUGAAAAGAUGCCAUGUCCCAAGGACAUAAAAGGUAUAAGAAGUUUCCUUGGUCAUGCCGAUUUUUAUAGGAGGUUCAUUAAGGACUUUUCUAAAAUCUCUAGGCCUCUGACUAAUUUAUUGCAAGAAGAUAUUCCUUUUGUCUUUGAUGAUGAUUGUGUAGAAGCAUUUGAAACACUUAAGAAAGCUUUGAUCACUGCACCUAUUGUUCAGCCACCUGAUUGGAAUUUACCUUUUGAAAUUAUGUGUGAUGCUAGUGAUUAUGUUGUAGGUGCUGUUCUAGGGCAAAGAGUCGAUAAGAAAUUGAAUGUUAUCCAGUAUGCUAGUAAGACUCUUGAUACUGCCCAGAGAAAUUAUGCUACUACCGAAAAAGAGUUCUUAGCAGUUGUGUUUGCAUGUGAUAAGUUUAGACCUUAUAUUGUUGAUUCCAAAGUUACUAUUCACACUGAUCAUGCUGCUAUUAAAUAUCUUAUGGAAACGAAAGAUGCUAAGCCUAGACUCAUUAGAUGGGUUCUCUUGCUCCAAGAAUUUGAAUUGCAUAUUAUUGAUAGAAAGGGAGCUGAGAACCCCAUAGCAGACAACUUGUCUAGGUUAGAGAAUGUUCUUGAUGACCCACUGCCUAUUAAUGAUAGCUUUCCUGAUGAACAAUUAGCGGUUGUCAACGCUUCUCGUACUGCUCCUUGGUAUGCUGAUUAUGCUAAUUACAUUGUUGCUAAAUUUAUACUGCCUAGUUUCACAUACCAGCAAAAGAAAAAGUUCUUUUAUGAUUUAAGACAUUACUUCUGGGAUGACCCACACCUUUAUAAAGAAGGAGUAGAUGGUGUUAUUAGACAUUGUGUGCCCGAGCAUGAACAAGAACACAUUCUACGCAAGUGUCACUCUGAAUCUUAUGGAGGACACCACGUUGGAGAUAGAACUACACACAAGGUACUACAAUCUAGUUUUUAUUGGCCUACUCUCUUCAAAGAUGCUCGUAAGUUUGUCUUAUCUUGUGAUGAAUGUCAAAGAAUAGGUAACAUUAGUAGACGUCAAGAAAUGCCUAUGAAUUAUUCUCUUGUUAUUGAACAGUUUGAUGUUUGGGGCUUCGAUUAUAUGGGACCUUUUCCUGCCUCUAAUGGUUAUACACAUAUUUUAGUUGUUGUUGAUUACGUUACUAAGUGGGUAGAAGCUAUUCCAACUAGUAGUGCUGAUCAUAACACUUCUAUUAAAAUGCUUAAAGAAGUUAUCUUCCCGAGGUUUGGAGUCCCUAGAUAUCUUAUGACUGAUGGUGGUUCACAUUUUAUUCAUGGUGCUUUCCGUAAGAUGCUUGCUAAGUAUGAUGUCAAUCAUAGAAUCGCAUCUCCUUAUCAUCCGCAGUCUAGUGGUCAAGUAGAGUUGAGCAAUAGAGAGCUCAAAUUAAUUUUGCAAAAGACUGUGAAUAGAUCUAAAAAGAAUUGGUCCAAAAAACUUGAUGAUGCAUUAUGGGCCUAUAGAACUGCAUACAAAAAUCCUAUGGGUAUGUCCCCUUAUAAGAUGGUUUAUGGAAAAGCGUGUCAUUUACCUCUUGAACUUGAACAUAAGGCAUAUUGGGCUAUUAAAGAGAUCAACUAUGACUUCAAACUUGCCAGUGAGAAGAGGUUGUUUGAUAUUAGCUCACUUGAUGAAUGGAGAACCCAAGCGUAUGAGAAUGCCAAGCUUUUCAAAGAAAAAGUCAAACGCUGGCAUGAUAAGAGGAUACAAAAGCGUGAGUUUAACAUAGGAGAUUAUGUGUUAUUAUUCAACUCUCCAUUAAGAUUUUUUGUAGGAAAACUUCUCUCAAAAUGGGAAGGUCCCUACGUUAUCGAGGAGGUCUAUCGUUCUGGUGCUAUAAAAAUCAACAUCUUUGAAGGCACGAGUCCAAGGGUGGUAAACGGUCAAAGAAUUAAACAUUAUAUUUCAAGUAAUCCUAUCAAUGUUGAAACUAAUUGAGGGAGUCCUGGAUUAGGGGGUGUCCGGAUAGCCGAACUAUCACCGUCGGCCGGACUCCAAGACUAAGAAGAUACAAGAUUGAAGACUCCGUCCCGUGUCCGGAUGGGACUUUCAUUGGCGUGGAAGGCAAGCUUGGCGAUACGGAUAUGUAGAUCUCCUACCAUUUUAACCGAGUGUGUAACCCUAGCCCUCUCCGAUGUCUAUAUAAACCGGAGGGUUUUAGUCCGUAGGACGAACAACAAUCAUACCAUAGGCUAGCUUCUAGGGUUUAGCCUCUCUGAUCUCGUGGUAGAUCUACUCUUGUACUACCCAUAUCAUCAAUAUUAAUCAAGCAGGAGUAGGGUUUUACCUUCACCGAGAGGGCCCGAACCUGGGUAAAAACAUCGUGUCCCUUGUCUCCUGUUACCAUCCGCCUAGACGCACAGUUCGGGACCCCCUACCCGAGAUCCGCCGGUUUUGACACCGACAUUGGUGCUUUCAUUGAGAGUUCCUCUGUGUCGUCACCUCUAGGCCCGAUGGCUCCUUCGAUCAUCAACAACGACGCGGUCCAGGGUGAGACUUUUCUCCCCGGACAGAUCUUCGUAUUCGGUGGCUUUGCACUGCGGGCCAGUUCGCUUGGCCAUCUGGAGGAGAUCGAAAGCUACGCCCCUGGCCAUCCGGUCAGAUUUGGAAGUUUGAACUAUACAGCUGACAUCCGCGAGACUUGAUCUGCGACGGAUUCGAGCCAUAGCCGAGCGCGCCGCACUGUCACGAUGGGCAUGAUCUAGCUCUGCUGCCGUACAGUGCCCUGGAGGCCGCACAAGAGUCCGCUUCGACCCCCAGCUCGGAGCUGACGGCGCCGAUCGAGGAUGGAUGGCUGGAAACCGCCUCGAGGGCUGCUAUCUCUACGGCGAUAGAGCCGAAUACCGAUCCUAUCCCUUGUGAAGCUCGUGACUCCAAGGUGCCGGACUACUCUUCGGACCCCGAACCUUCCGCGCCCCUGCCAGUCGAAUCCGAUUGGGCGCCGAUCAUGGAGCUCACCGCCGCAGACAUCUUUCAGCACUUGCCUUUUGGCGACAUCCUGAAUUCGCUAAAGUGCCUCUCUUUAUCAGGAGAGCCCUGGCCAGAUUAUGGUCAGGGCGGUUGGGAUGUGGACGACGAAGAAAUUCAAAGCCCACCCACCACCCACUUCAUAGCCACUGUCGAUGACUUAACCGACAUGCUAGACUUCGACUCUGAAGACAUCGACGGUAUGGACGACGAUGCCGGAGACGACAAAGAACCAACGCCUACAGGGCACUGGAAGGCCACCUCGUCAUAUGACCUAUACAUGGUGGACAUCCCAAAGGAUGGGAAUGGCGAUGGAACAACCGAGGAUGACCCCUCCAAGAAACAGCCCAAGCGCCGGCGUCAGCAGCGCCGCUCUAAAUCCCGCCACAACAAAAAUGGAGAUGCCGGCACCGGAGACAAUAACGCCCCAGACAGUGCCGAAGACAACCCCCUCCAGCAAGAUUCAGCACAGGAGGAUGGAGAAACCAGCCCUCAGGAGAGAGCGGCAGACAGAGAGGUAGAGGACGAUAACUACAUGCCUCCCUCCGAAGACGAGGCAAGCCUCGAUGACGACGAAUUUGUCGUGCCUGAGGAUCCCGUCAAUCAAGAGCAUUUCAAACGCAGGCUUAUGGCCACGGCAAGCAGCCUCAUGAAAAAGCACCAACAACUUAGAGCUGACCAAGACUUGCUAGCCGAUAGAUGGACUGAAGUGCCUGCGGCCGAAGAGCAUGAACUCGAACGCCCCUCGAAAAGCUACCCAAAACGCAAGCUGCUACCCCGAUUAGAGGAGGAAGCACAUAAACCUACAUCACCAGUGUACAAUACGACUGACCGGCCACCUCGUGGCCGCGACAGAGAGGCCUCUAGGCCCUCCACUAAAGCCGCACCCCGGCGUCGCUCGAAAAGUACAAAGCUACGGGGGAAUGCGCCGGACUUAUGAGACAUAUUGGAGGAUAAGGCAAGACAAACAAGAUUGAUCUACGGAUCGCGUGGGCGCCCCAUGAUACGUGACGACAACCGUCGCGCCGGAUACAGCAAUGCCGGCCGGUCCGAACACAGUAGACAAAGCUCGUUUGAGCUGCGUCGUGAUAUAGCCCAAUACAAAGGCGCCGCACACCCACUAUGCUUCACAAACGAAGUAAUGGAUCAUCAAAUCCUUGAGGGUUUCAAACCCGUAAACAUUGAAUCAUACGACGGCACAACAGAUCCUACGGUUUGGAUCGAGGACUAUCUCCUUCACAUCCACAUGGCCCGCGGUGAUGAUCUACACGCCAUUAAAUACCUCCCACUCAAGCUCAAAGGACCAGCUCGGCAUUGGCUGAACAGCUUGCCAGCAGAAUCAAUUGGUUGUUGGGAAGACCUGGAAGCCGCAUUCCUUGAUAACUUCCAGGGCACAUAUGUGCGACCACCAGACGUCGAUGACCUAAGCCACAUAAUUCAGCAGCCAGACGAAUCAGCCAGACAAUUCUGGACACGGUUCUUAACCAAGAAAAAUCAAAUCGUUGACUGUCCGGAUGCAGAGGCCCUUGCAGCCUUCAAACAUAACAUCCGCGACGAGUGGCUUGCCCGGCACCUAGGACAGGAAAAGCCGAAAUCCAUGGCAGCCCUCACAUCACUCAUGACCCGCUUCUGUGCGGGAGAGGACAGCUGGCUAGCUCACAGUAACAACCUGACCAAAAACUCCGGUAGUUCGGAUACCAAGGACAUCAAUGGCAGGUCGCGUCACAACAAGCACAAGCACCGCAUUAACGGCGAUAAUGCUGAAGAUACGGCAGCCAAUGCCGGAUUCAGGGGCUCAAAACCCGGUCAGUGAAAAAAUCCAUUCAAAAGAAAUAUUCCGGGCCCGUCCAAUUUGGACCGAAUACUUGAUCGCUCGUGCCAGAUACACGGCACCCCCGAAAAGCUAGCCAAUCACACCAACAGGGAUUGUUGGGUGUUCAAGCAGGCAGGCAAGUUAACCGCCGAAAACAAUGACAAGGGGCUACAUAGCGAUGACAAGCAGGAGACCCAGCCGCCGAACAAUAGAGGACAGAAGGCUUUCCCCCCACAAGUGCGGACGGUGAACAUGAUAUACGCAACCCACAUACCCAAAAGGGAGCGGAAGCGUGCACUCAGGGACGUAUACGCGAUGGAGCCAGUCGCCCCAAAGUUCAAUCCGUGGUCCUCCUGCCCGAUCACUUUUGAUAGAAGGGACCACCCCACUAGCAUCCGCCAUGGCGGAUUCGCCGCAUUGGUUUUAGACCCAAUCAUCGACGGAUUUCACCUCACUAGAGUCCUGACGGACGGCAGCAGCAGCCUGAACCUGCUUUAUCAGGAUACAGUGCGCAAGAUGGGCAUAGACCCCUCAAGGAUUAAACCCACAAAGACGACCUUCAAAGGCGUCAUACCAGGUGUAGAGGCCAACUACACAGGCUUAGUUACACUAGAAGUGGUCUUCGGAUCCCCGGCUAACUUCCAAAGCGAGGAGUUAAUCUUCGACAUAGUCCCGUUCCGCAGCGGCUAUCAUGCACUGCUCGGACGAACCGCAUUUGCAAAGUUCAAUGCGGUGCCGCACUAUGCAUACCUCAAGCUCAAGAUGCCAAGCCCUCGAGGAGUCAUUACGGUUAACGGAAACACUGAACGCUCUCUCCGAACGGAGGAGCAUACAGCGGCUCUCGCGGUGGAAGUACAAAGCAGCCUCUUAAGGCAAUUCUCUAGUCCGGCUGUUAAGCGGCCGGACACCAUCAAGCGCGCCCGGAGUAACUUACAACAAGACCACCUGGCACGUUCCGAGCACGAGUAGCAAUGCGGCCCCAACCCCAGCCCUCGCGAAAUCGCGAAACCAGUACCACGCGUACAUAACUACGCUAUGGAGAUACCAUGGGCACGGGGGGAGGGGCACGACCACGGAAUGCCCAGAGUGCGGCUCAACCGCACCAGGGGCUCCCAAUUGUGUCAUUUUUUCUUCUUAUUAUUUUCAGGACUCCAUUUCCAGCAGCCCUGUCCGACAGUAGACUUGCCGAACUCACGAUGCAACAGCCAGGGAAUCAGAAAAUCUAUGGCGAGUAUCCAGGUGGUCUCCAUUACGAUCAUUAUACCUGUUUUGCAUACCAUUCCGCAGCCUACCCCUGGAAGGGGACAUGUUAAAUAGUCCCAUCCCUCGCUUAUCGCACUAUUUGUAUCGUCUUGCUUUCAUUGCAGUAUUUUUUGAAUAAACUAUGCAUCACUUUUUGCUUAUCAUUGCAUUCCUUUUUCUAUCUAUAUAUGUUCACUUAUGACAUAUCGCACCCGUACGCUUUGGUACGGCCAAAAUACACUAGGGGCUUAAGUUCCCCAAAAUAUGGUGUGAUAAGUCCGAACACUUUCACAAGUGCUGCACCCCGAACUUAUAGCAUUAUAUGCAUCGGCUCCGAAUCAUGUCUUCUGUCAAUAGUUGGGUUUGCCUGGCUCCCAUGUUUUGGUACCUUACAUUCCGCUAUAUCGGCUAAGGGUAGCGCUGGGAGAACCACUAUGAUUGUGCCCCAGUUGCGCUGGGCUGAGCACCUCAGUGGAGAAAGCUAAAACUGACCGUCAUGAUGGGGCGAGAGCCGGUCGCUGUUCGAGAGGUUUUUUCGAGUCCCUAAAGACUUAUGCCGCUUAGAGCGAGGAGCCGGCUUUGUCCGGCCCAGGCGUGGAUAGCGCCCCGAAUUCGGCCUUCCGAACACUAGGGGCUUCACCGAAAUUUAAAAUUAUAGAAUUCUAUGGCUAAGUGGGAGUGUUCAAGCAUUAUAAGUCCGGUUGCCUCGUUUGUUGUGUUGAGCGCCUCCCUCGAAGGACCCAAAAAUGGGAAAAAGAGCGCUCAAGUUUAUCCCGAACACCCCAGCACUCGUGGCAUGGGGGCUGAAGCCAAUGACUUGCCAUCUCUCAAAUUUGAUAAACGGCCGCACAUAAGGUAAUAUUUUAAAUUAACAAGCAUUGCUUAGCGCAUAUGAACAAAGUUUUCAGCGCACAGGAUAACAACAUGCGAGUCUACUCAAAACUUACAUCCUUGGAGCAUUCACCCGCUAUAAUGCGGGCACCCUUCAGGACGCCCUUAUAAUACAUCUCGGGCGUGCGAUACUCCUUGCCCGGCGGUGGCGGGUCUGUCACAAGCUUCUCAGUGUACAUCUUGCCCCACUGCACUUUAGCACGGGCAAGGGCCCGACGGGCACCCUCAGUGCAGGCGGAGUGCUUGAUGACUUCAAUCCAUGGACAGGCGUCCACCAGCUGCCGCACCAGACCGAAGUAGCUCCCAGGCAUGGCUUCCUUAGGCCACAGCCGAACUAUGAGGCCCUUCAUGGCCUUUCGGCCACCUUGUGGAGCUCGACCAGCUGCUUCAGCUGGUCGCUAAGGGGCACCGGAUGUCCGGCCUCAGCAUACUGAGACUAGAAUACCUUCUCCGUCGAGCUUCCUUCCUCGGCCCGGUAGAAUGCGACAGCAUUGGACACACUGCAAGGCAGAUCUGCGAAUGCUCCUGGAGAGCUCCGGAUUCGGGUAAGUAACAAGUAAUUCACUUUCACGUGCUUGCUUUGCAUGAAGAAGGCCUUACCCGCCGCUAUCUUCUUUAUCGCCUCAAUUUCCUGGAGGGCUUUUUGGGCUUCGGCCUUGGCAGCUCUGGCACUCUCAAGAGCCAAGGCGAGCUCGGACUCUCGAGUCUUCGAGUCACGCUCCAAACUCUCGUGUUUUUCGACGAGAGCCUGGAGCUUUUGCCGCACCUCCGCCACCCGCGCCUCCUGCCUCUCUCGCUCGGUGCGCUCCAAGGCCGCACUGCUUUCGGCCUUGGACACCACCUCCUUCAGGGUCGCCACCUCGUUCGUGGCCCCUGCAAUACCCAUGUUAUUCCUGUCAUUUUGUGCAACCAAAUCCUUUUCUAUAAGGUACUACUUUAAUAUGGUAUUACUUACCUUCCUUGUCCUCGAGCUGCUUCUUGGCAAGGCCAAGCUUGUUCUCGGACCGCUCGAGGCUCUGCUUCAAUGCAUUGACCUCCGCAGUCAGUGCGGCAGAGGUCAGCAACGCAGCCUGCAUUCCCAUAUUGACAUAUUUCUGUUAGACUCCUGUGUAUAUCUUUUUAGAUCCUCAGCUUGGCUUUUCUUUCUGAACACCAAACUGAGCAUCAGGGGCUACUUUCUAUGCGGUACUGUUUUUACAUAUCUUAAAUUACUUACCUCAAAGCCUGUUAGAAGGCUGGUACAGGCUUCAGUCAGCCCGCUCUUGGCAGACUGAACUUUCUGGAUCACUGCACUCAUAACAGUGCGGUGCUCCUCGUCGAUGGGGGCACCGUUAAGCGCCUCCAGCAAAUUAUCCGGCGCCUCCGGUUGGACGGAGGCCACCGGCGUCGCAGUCUCGCCCUUCUCACGAAGGGGCUGCCAGCCGGACUUCGGAACCACUGCAGGUUCCGGUACGAAGUCUGACACAGGGCCGGACUUGGAACCCUCGGGGGUUCCGCCCUCUUUUCGCCCAGAGUCCGGAAGGUCACCUUGCGACGCCUCCAGGACCACCUCCUCCUGGUUGGGCCCCUUCUGGGACCCCAUCUCGGUGUCGUCUGCAUCACAAGGGGAAGAGGUGGUCGGAAGUGAAGUGUUAUUCACAUCCGACGAACCUAGAGACCCGCUCGAUGAAGCGGGGAGAUCAUCCCUGGGCGGGCUACAGGGUUGUAUUCGGCGUUAGAAGACAUCAUGCGACAAAUAAAGAAAUCAUGAGGUAUUUCGGAAUCUGGACACUUACGAUCUCGCCAUGGGCUUGGCCCUCGAGGGCCACUCCUCUUCACCGUCGUAGGCGUUGGUAGGACAGUCUGGAGGAAGGGUCCUUCCCUUCUUGGACCCUCCGGCCUCCCCAAUUGGGGAGGCCUUCCUUUUCUUCUCUCCCCCCGUUGGGGGAGAAGCCUCUUUUUUCUCCUCCUCAUCUUCGUGGGAGGAGUCCGCCUCGGAGUCAUCGGACGAUGAGUCCGAUAACACCUGGCACCGGGAACUCCUCCGAGUUCCCGUGGCCUUCUUCUUGGCCUUCUUCUCCGGCACCACAUAAGGCGCCGGAACCUACAACCCCGUCAAUCGGGCGCCCGCUGGGUCUUCUAGUAAGGGAGCCGGACAGUUAACCUGCCCGGACUUCUUCAGCCAGUCCUGUCAAAGGUGAGGGGGUUGAGAUCCCGCAUAGUGUCAAACUAUGAAAAAGUGUCCUGUAAAAGGUAAAAUAGCUUACCUCGUCGGCUUUAUGCCGCGAGCUGAAUCCGCGAUCUUCAGUAGAGGAUGCGGGAGUCUCGGCGCCCUUGAACAGCACCCUCCAGGCAUCUUCGUACGUAUUGUCGAAGAGCCUGCUAAAGGUCUGGUGCUGUGCCGGAUCAAACUCCCACAAGUUGAAAGCCCGCUGUUGGCAUGGGAGGAUCCAGCGUAUGAGCAUGACCUAGACUACAUUGAAAAGCUUGAGAUUCUUGUUCACUAGCUUUUGGACGCAGGCUUGGAGUCCGGUCAGCUCCUCCGAAUCGCCCCAUGUCAGGCCCUUCUCUUUCCAGGAGGUGAGCCGUGUGGCGAUGCCAGAUCUGAAUUCGUGGGCUGCUGUCCAUUCAGGGUCAUGCGGCUCGGUGAUGUAGAACCACCCCGAUUGCCACCCUUUGAUGGUUUCCACGAACGCGCCUUCGAGCCAUGUGACGUUGGGCAUCUUGCCCACCAUGGCACCUCCGCACUCCGCUUGGCGGCCACCCACUACCUUCGGCUUGACAUUAAAAGUCUUCAGCCAUAAGCCGCAGUGGGGCUAGAUGCAGAGGAAGGCCUCGCACACGACGAUGAACGCCGAGAUGUUGAGGAUAAAAUUCGGGGCCAGAUCAUGGAAAUCCAGGCCGUAUAGAACAUGAGCCCCCGGACAAAGGGGUGGACUGGGAAGCCCAGUGCGCGGAGGAAAUGGGGAAGGAACACCACCCUCUCAUGGGGCCUGGGGGUGGGGACGAGCUGCCCCUCGUCUGGAAGCCGGUGCGCAAUGUCCUUGUGCAGGUAUCCGGCUUUCCGCAACCUUUUGAUGUGCCCCUCCGUGACGGAGGAGGCCAUCCACUUGCCUCCCACUCCGGACAUGGUUGGAGAAGGUCGAGGCGAGAUGCGCGGGCUUGGGCGCCGGAGCUCGAGUGCGCGGAGAUGGAUAGGCAAAGGAGGAAGAAGGCGUAGGUAACAAGGUGGAUACUUAUCCCCUUAUAUGGACGGACAAAACUACGCGUCCCUACCAGCCUGAUAAAACUCGCUUAUCUCCCAAGCGCCGUAAUCAAUUGCGCGGUUGGGUUACCCACGCCCGUAUUGAUGAGAAUCCUGGAAUAAGGGGACACGAUCUCUGCUUCGACAAGACGUGCCGAGGAAACCGCUUCACUAAACGCGCUGAGGUGGAACAAUAAAAACAAUUCGCAUAAAGGCUUGGCCGUGGUGUGACGUCAUGCCACGAAAUGCGUCAGCAGAUUAAAUUUGUGUAAAGAUUAUUCUCUCUACGGUGGUAUGUGGAACUUACUUUGCAGAGCCGGACACUAUCCUGGUGUUCAAAAUCUUCUAUGAAGUAUUCGGAGGAGGAACCCGCCUUGCAAUGCCGAAGACAAUAUGCACGCCGUACUCGUCGUCAUUGAAGCCUGGUUCAGGGGCUACUGAGGGAGUCCUGGAUUAGGGGGUGUCCGGAUAGCCGAACUAUCACCGUCGGCCGGACUCCAAGACUAAGAAGAUACAAGAUUGAAGACUCUGUCCCGUGUCCGGAUGGGACUUUCGUUGGCGUGGAAAGCAAGCUUGGCGAUACGGAUAUGUAGAUCUCCUACCAUUGUAACCGACUCUGUGUAACCCUAGCCCUCUCCGGUGUCUAUAUAAACCAAAGGGUUUUAGUCUGUAGGAUGAACGACAAUCAUACCAUAGGCUAGCUUCUAGGGUUUAGCCUCUCUGAUCUCGUGGUAGAUCUACUCUUGUACUACCCAUAUCAUCAAUGUUAAUCAAGCAGGAGUAGGGUUUUACCUCCGCCGAGAGGGCCCGAACCUGGGUAAAAACAUCGCGUCCCUUGUCUCCUGUUACCAUCCACCUAGACACACAGUUCGGGACCCCCUACCCGAGAUCCGCCGGUUUUGACACUAACACUAAUAUUAACCGUAACCCCUGAGGAAUACAUAAGGGACACUUUCGAGAACAUUCCAGACUCCGAAAAGGUAUAGGUAUGUGGUACGGUAAGUAAACCGACUCCAAAACAACUCCAAUGGCAAUUUUUAUCACUUUUGGAUUAUUUAAGAAUUUUAGGAAGAAAGAAGUAGUCCGAAAGGGACACGAGGCUCCCACGAGAGUGGAGGGCGCGCCCCCCUGUAGGGCACGCCCCCUGUCUCGUGGGCACCUCGUGUGCCUCCCAGACUCCAUUUUCUUGCACAUUACAUAUUUUGGUCGGUAAAAAUUCAUUAUAUAUACUCCUGAAGGUUUUGACCACCGUAUCACGCAAAUAUCCUCUGUUUUUGUUUCGAGCUGUUUCUGUUUUAAAUCUAAGAGCAUCAUGUCAUCUCCAAGUGCUCCCAAGGACAAGUUUUUUGAUAGGGUUAUCAACCCCUAUCUUGCGGAGGUGCUGCAACACCCUCAAUCCAUUGAGAUGCGUGAGGGGGUGCAAGACAUCCGCGAUGUGGAGGGACCAAGGCUUACCGGGAGCGUGGAGACAAAGCUCGAAGCCGUGGAGCAGCAAGUUUUCAAGUGUCAAGGGAUGGUGGAGCGUGGACUCAACGCCAACCAGAUGAUGAUCACGGAGUUCACCAACAACCACAAGCUGGAUGCCAAAGUCAUUGGGGAUACCAUCUUCAAGCUUUAAGAGAAAAUCGAGAACCUCCAAGCCCAGAUCUAUGACCUGCAAAACCAGAACUGUGAGUAUAAAUAUAGAUUCAAGAGGAUGAGUGAGGGAGUCCUGGACUAGGGGGUGUCCGGAUAGCCGGACUAUCAUCAUCGGCCGGACUCCAAGACUAUGAAGAUACAAGAUUGAAGACUUCGUCCCGUGUCCGGAUGGGACUUUCCUUGGCGUGGAAGGCAAGCUUGGCGAUACGGAUAUGUAGAUCUCCUACCAUUGUAACCGACUCUGUGUAACCCUAGCCCUCUCUGAUGUCUAUAUAAACCGGAGGGUUUUAGUCCGUAGGACAACAACCAUUACAACAAUCAUACCAUAGGCUAGCUUCUAGGGUUUAGCCUCCUUGAUCUCGUGGUAGAUCCACUCUUGUACUACCCACAUCAUCAAUAUUAAUCAAGCAGGACGUAGGGUUUUACCUCCAUCAAGAGGGCCCGAACCUGGGUAAAACAUCGUGUCCCUUGUCUCCUGUUACCAUCCGCCUAGACGCACAGUUCGGGACCCCCUACCCGAGAUCCGCCGGUUUUGACACCGACAUUGGUGCUUUCAUUGAGAGUUCCUCUGUGUCGUCACCGAUAGGCUUGAUGGCUUCUUCAAUCAAUAACAACGCAGUCCGGGGUGAGACUUUUCUCCCCAGACAGAUCUUCGUGUUCGGCGGCUUUGCACGGCGGGCCAAUUCGCUUGGCCAUCUGGAGCAGAUCGAAAGCUACGCCUCUGGCCGUCAGGUCAGGUUUGGAAGCCUAAACUUCACGACUGACAUCCGCGGAGACUUGAUCUUCGAUGGAUUCGAGCCACAACCAAGCGCGCCGCACUGUCGCGGUGGACAUGAUUUAGCUCUGCUACCGGAUAGUGCCCUAGAGGCCGCACACGAGUCCGCUCCGACCCAUAGUUUGGAGCCGACCGCGCAGAUCGAGGACAAGUGGCUGGACACCGCCUCGGGGGCUGCGAUCUCUACGGCGAUGGAGCCGAACACUGACCUUGUCCCUUGCAAAGCUCGUGACACCGAGGCGCCGGACUCCUUGCUGGACUCCAAAACUCCUGCGCCCCUGCCUAUCAAAUCCGAUUGGGCGCCGACCAUGGAGUUUACCGCUGCGGACAUCUUUCAGCACUCACCCUUUGGCGACAUCCUGAAUUCGCUAAAGUCUCUCUCUUUAUAAGGAGAGCCCUAGCCGGACCACGGUCAGGACGGUUGGGAGGCGGACGACGAAGAAAUUCAAAGCCCUCCCACCGCCCACUUUGUAGCCACUGUCGACGAUUUAACCGACAUACUAGACUACGACUCCAAAGACAUCGACGGUAUGGACGACGAUGCCGAAGACGACCAAGAACCAGCGCCUACCGGGCAAUGGAAAGCCACCUCAAUUCAUGAUAUAUACAUGGUGGACACCCCAAAAGGGGGCGAUAACGAGGAACAACGGGACGCGGCGAAGGAUAAUCCCCCCGAAAAACAACCAAAACGGCGGCGCAAGCGGCACCCCAAGUCCCGCCUCGAUAACAACAACACUCACAAUGACCCAGCCAUAGAGCAGGGCAAACCAGUGGGCGACGAACAUGCAACCAAGCAGCCAUCCGAACAGGAUGAAUCGGAUAACCAACUCAUCCUCGACAGAGACAACAGUCCGGACGAUCUCACACCGGACACACCACCGGAGCAUAAAAACCUCCGAAAAAGACUUGUCGCCACUGCAAGAAGUCUGAAGAAGGAGAAGCGGAAGCUCAAAACAGCGCAAGACAUACUCAGAAUGAGAUGUAGCAAAGUACUCAAGACCGCGGACAAAUAUGGCAAUAACCAACAAACAAAGAGCUACCCGAAGCGCAAGCUGCUGCCCAAAUUCAACGAGGAGGCCAUAGAGCCCCCACAAUUAAAAAGCAAAGAGGCCGCCCGGCCGGAUAGACGACCAGAAGGCAGGCCAAGAGCGGCAAGCGGCGCCACACACAAGCCAGCACAUGACACACAUAAAUAUCUUUGCAAAACGGAUGGCCCGGUCAGGUCCAUUUACGGGCCGAAGAAGAGGGCCCCAGGAAGUGACAUAACACGCUGAGUGUUCGAAGAUAACGGCACACCCAAGUACAGGGGCGCCACACACCCACUAUGUUUCACUAAUGAGGUGCUGGAUCACGAAUUUCCAGCGGGGUUCAAGCCCAUAAACAUAGAGGCAUACGACGGAACAACAGACCCCGGAGUCUGGAUUGAGGACUACAUCCUGCAUAUACAUAUGGCUAGAGGAGAUGAUCUCCACGCCAUAAAAUAUCUACCCCUCAAGCUCAAAGGGCCAGCCAGGCAUUGGCUCAAAAGCCUCCCAGAAAAUACCAUUGGAAGCUGGGAAGAGCUCGAGGACGCAUUUAGAGCAAAUUUUCAGGGGACUUACGUCCGCCCUCCGGAUGCAAACGAUUUAAGUCACAUAACCCAACAGCCCGGAGAAUCAGCGCGCAAAUUCUGGAAUAGGUUCCUCAUUAAAAAGAACCAAAUAGUCGACUGUCCGGACGCCGAAGCCUUAGCAGCUUUUAAACAUAAUGUCCGAGACGAAUGGCUCGCCAGACACCUCGGCCAAGAGAAGCCGAGAACAAUGGCCGCGCUAACAAGCCUCAUGACCCACUUCUGUGCGGGGGAAGACAGCUGGCUAGCAAGAUGAAGCACUAGCGACCUGAGUACAUCCGAGAUCAGAGAUGGAAACGGAAAAUCACGGCGCAGAAAGGACCAGUGCCAAAAUAAAGAAAAGAGCCCACAGAGCACGACGGUCAAUGCCGGAUUCAGAAGCUCGCGGCCGAACAUCAAAACACUGCCCCUUAAGGACAACAGUGAUGAGCUAUCCAACCUAAACAAAAUCUUGGAUCGGAUAUGUCAAAUCCACAGUACACCCAGGAGGCCUGCAAACCACACCCACCGAGAUUGUUGGGUCUUCAAACAGUCCGGCCGACUCAACGCCGAACACAAGGGGCUCAACGCGCCAACCGAGGAUGACGACGAACCCCACAAGCAGAGCGCGGGAAAACAAAAGACUUUCCCACAAGAAGUCAAAACAGUAAACCCACUUCAUGUGAUACCACGCGACACUCACUGAGGUACAUGCCGCACGGUCCACCCCGGCGGAACCCCGAAAUCGGAUGUCAAAGCCAAUGACUUUCGACAAACUGGACUACUCCAUAAGCGUCCGAAACGCAGGAUGGACUGCUCUAAUAUUGGAUCCUACAAUCGACGGACUACAAUUUACACAAGUCCUAAUGGAUGGAGGCAGCAACUUAAACCUGCUACAUCCGGACACAAUCCGCAAGUUGGGGGUAGACCGUACUAAAAUUCGACAUAGCCGCACUUCCUUUAAAGGAGUGACGCCAGGCCCUUACGCCAAGCGCACGGGCACCUUACCACUAGAAGUUGUGUUCGGGUCACCCGACAACUCCCGACGUGAAAAGCUAAUUUUUCAUGUCGCCCCAUUCAAAAGUAGCCAUCAAGCACUAUUGGGACGUGAAGCUUUUGUCCGCUUCAAUGAAAUACCACACUACGCGUCUCUCACACUUCAAAUGCCCGGUCCACGCGGCAUCAUCUCAUUAAAAGGUCGUUCAAGACCCCGGACACGGCUAGAACGAGUCCGGCAUAAAUAAGCUAGGGGCUCCCUAGCUACACACCCCUUUAUAAGGGGCUGUGCGUAUGAGCAACAAGGAGCCAAUAAAAGCUCAAUUUUUUCUUACUCAUGCUCUGUUUUAAAUACAUUUUUGACACGAUUUAUUUUUCAACCAAGUUCCUCUCUUUUACAGAUGAACAGCGUGUUACACCCGUCCAGGAUACAGCACAACGGAGACACAGGCGCAGAUGUGCAGUAGGGACCCGUUGCAAGGAUUCUCUUCAGAUUAAGACCCUGCGUAAACCUUUUUUACUGUCUCUUGUUGCUAUACAUCCCCUGGUUACUCAUCAUAGCCAGAGAGGAGGCUGGCAUUUUGGCAUCGGCCGCGUCAGAAGAUCUUGCAUGUACCUGGACACUAGGGUCUUAGGGCAUUGAUCUGCCCGUCAUCAUAAAGACCGAACAUCUCAGGGAGUGUUCGGCGUCUCGAGUUAGGCCUUAUAUGCAUCAGCUCCGAAUCAUGUCUUUGGUCAAAUAUUGGGUUUGCCCGGCUGCUGUGUUUUGCUGCCUUACGUUCCGCAUCGUCGGCUAACGCGGCACCAGGAGAACUACUGCGAUUGUGCCCCGGUUCCGCCGGGUGAGCGCCUCAGUAGAGAAAGCCGAAAACUGACUGUCAUGAUGUAGCGAGAGACUGGUCAACCACUCGAUCGACCUCAGGAAUGUUUAAAAUUCCUCCGCUUUGGCGAAGGACUGCUUCCCGGUCAGGCACACACGCGCCCCGAAUUCGGAGAGCGCGGUGCCCCUAGGGGCUAUAUCGUAGCCCCACCUUCGAAAUCCUAUGGCUAAGUGAAAGUGAUAAAGCAUUAUAGUCCGGUUGCCUCGUUUGCUACGCUAUCACCUCCCUAACAGGACCAAGACGUUGGAUUAAGUGUGAAAACAUGCUAUUUCGCAAACACCCCCGCACCAUGUGCGUGGGGGCUGAAGCCGAAGACUGCCAUCUUUCAGGUUAUACACAAGUAUACAUUAACGGCCGCAUAGGAGAAGUUUCAAUACUUGAACGCACAAGUACAAAAAGCGCUUAUAUUGUAAACCUUAUUUUUACAAAACCAUAAAGAUCAUUUGAACAUGACAUUUUUUGAGCACUGCGACUCUAUUACACGAGCACCGCGCAGAACUUCCCCAAAGUAGUGCUCGGUGGGUAACCGACUCUCGUCUGAACCCCGGGUCGCAACAGCGGUGGCAUCCAUUUCCGUCCAGUGUGUCUUCACACGGGCGAGGGCCAUCCGCGCACCCUCUAUGCAGGCCGACCGCUUCAUCACCUUUAUAUGUGGCACCGCCUCAAGGAAUUGCUGCAAUAAGCUGAAAUAACUCUUCGGCUUGGGCCUAUCCGGCCAGACAUGAGCCACAACAUCUGUCAUGGCAAGUCCGGACAAUCUAUUAAGCUCGGCCAGCUGAUCGGUCAGCGGAAGUGAACGCUCCAGACUAUGGAAUUGAGACCAAAAUAGCUCUUCCGUCUUGUGAUCCUUUUGACUUCGGAAGUGCACAACAGCAUCUGCUGCACUCGCCGCUAAAUCCAUAUAAGGAUCCUCCGGACCCCACAGCUGGCCAAGCUGAGCAUACUUCAGAUCUGUAAACCUCCUGCGCAGCAGAAAGGGCUUGCCAGCCACAAUAUAUCUGGCCUGGCGCAGCUCCUCCUUUAUAGCCCUCAUUGCAGAACGGGCAUCCUUGGCUUCGGCGGUGGCCUUUGCCUGUUCUUCUUGCUCCGCUCGGCGUUCUUUUUCAAGAACCUCAUAGCGGUCGGUAACAUCUUUCACUCUCACGGCCAUCUCGGUCAUCUCCUCCCUGCUUCGGCAGUGAACAGCCCUCUCAGCUUCUAGCUCUUCAGCCGCCCUCGAGGCAGCCGCAUCACUCCUUCUGGCCUGCUCGCUAGCUCGAGCAAGUUCUGCCCGAAGGCUCUCCACAGCAGCGACACCAUCUGCAUUGAGCACAAAUGUUGUAAGAAAUGAGCUUCUGCUCCCUUACUAGGUGACCAUGGAGAACAACCUUACCUUGUGACUCGUCAAGUCGCUCUUUGACCAGUGCGAUAUCCGCACCCGCAAGAUCAAGUUGCCGCUUUAGUUCAGCAACUCCAUCAGUCCGGCUGGCCACCGGAACAUCUGCCACCUGCAUAGGAGGGGCGAAAAUCAAUACCUACGAUUUUGAUCCUCGGCACGCUGUCGUUCUCGACAACCUACCGAGUCUCAGGGGCUACUAUCUAUACAGGGGCACUUUAGCUGUAAAACUGUCAAAAGGUAUGUCAUUUUUACGUACCUCAAACCCCGCCAGCAAACUCCUGACGGCAACAUACAACCCGCCUUCGGCGGACGAAAUCCUUCCAAUCACCAUACUCAUCAAUGUACGGUGACCUUCUGAGAUAGACGCCCUCUCAAGCAGAUCCUUCAGCUCCCCCGGCCGCACACCAGUUGGUGCCGAACUCGGGGAUACCCUCCGUGAUGACACCUCAGGUUUGUCCCCCCUAUCCGACGGUGCAGCAGAUGGAGGCGUCUCGCUCUCCAUCAUCUCCGAACGAAGGUCCCCCGAUGACGAGCUCAUCUGAGAAGGACGGAGAUCCGAACUACAAGAUAAAAACUUCGGUUAUCCUCAGGAGCGAAAAUAGGGAUGUUUCUUGUUACAGAACCCCCCUUUUUCUCUACUUACGGCUCGUUGGAGGGCUGAUUCCUUAAGGGAGAUGGUGCGGCCGGGGCCUCCCCGGACGCAGGACUCUCUGGUGAAGAUCUCUUCCCCCGCUUCGAGGCCUUGGCCUCCGGGUUUUUGGAAGUAGUCCUCUUCUCCCCUUGGAAGGGCGGAUUCUCGAUCCCCCCUUUCUCAAAAGCCUCCUUGGUAGAGGCGGCAGUGUCCCUGUUCUCCCCUUCGCCUUCUUCGGAAGCCACGACCUUCAGCAUCCUGACGAGCACGGAAUCCGGCGCGGUCUCCGGGAGGGGGGCCGGACACCGUCUCAGUUUCGCUUGCGCUAUCCACUCCUAUUCAAGAGACGAUGGGUUAAAAGGCAAAUUCAAGAAGGCGCAAACAAACGGUGUGUCCGGACGCAGGGCCGCUUACUUGAGCAUCUGGGCGAUUGCAGCUUAGGCCGGAAUCCUCAAUCAAUUCCGGACACAUCUCUUGUGAUCCGAAGAACAAUUUAUACAUCUCCAUGGGUGUCGCACCCAUGAAGUGCUGGAGAGCUCGUGGCCCCUCUGGAUUGAAUUCCCACAGGCGGAGGGGGCAGCGCUUGCAGGGCAGGAGACGCCGAAUCAGCAUAACCUGCAUCACUAUGACCAGAUUGAUCUCCCUCUCUUGGAGGUCUCGAAUCCGGCCCUGCAGUAGGGGUACGUCCUUUGAUGGCCCCCAGUUGAGCCCCUGGUUGACCCAUGACAUCAGCCGCUAUGGAGGGCCCGAACGAAAGAUGGGCGGCGGCUUCUGCCUGCUGCCCCUAGGAGCGGUGAUAUAGAACCACUCGUGUUGCCACAAGCCGAGCUCCUCUUGGAAAGAGGCCUCGGGCCAUGGAGCAUCGGCCCUUCUACUUAUAACCGCCCCGCCGCACUCUGCCUGACGCCCCUCGAUCAUAUUCGGCUUCACGUUGAAGGUCUUGAGCCACAAACCGAAGUGGGGGGUAGUGCGGAGGAAGGCUUCGCAGACAACGAUGAAUGAUGAGAUGUGGAGGAUGGACUCCGGAGCUAGGUCAUGGAAUUCCAGCCCGUAGUAAAACAUGAGCCCUCUCACAAAUGGAUCUAUCGGGAAGCCUAAACCCCGAUGGAGGUGGGACAUAAACACGACGCUUUCGCCGGGCUCUGGGGCGGGAAUGACUUGCCCUUCGACGGGCAAUCUAUGUGAGAUCUCGUAAGUCAGGUACUUGGCUUCUCUCAGCUUUCGCACGUCCUCCUCCGUGACGGAGGAGGGCAUCCACCGGCCCUGAAGGUCGGAGCCGGACAUUGUUGAAGGUCCGAAGCGCUCGAAUCUGGGGCUCUGGGUGUUGGAACUCGGGGCGAGCGGUAGAUUCGAUUGAGGAUUGAAGAAAAGAAACAGGCCUUGGUUUCAUUAUAAAGGAGGAGAAUACCAAGAGCCGUCCCCGUGACUGUUUGGGACUCACCUUCGAUAGAGGAGGCGUGGCAACGAGCACGGUUGGGUUACCCAUGUCCGUAUUGAUGGGAAUCCCGGAAUAAGGGGAACACGAUCUCUGCUUCGACAAGACGUGCCAAGGAAACCGCUUCACUAAUCGCGCUGAGGCGGUAUAAUAAUAACAAUUCAAGUAAAGGCUUGGUGGUGGUGUGACGUCAUGCCACAAAAUACGUCAGCAGAUUGAACUUGUGUGUGUAUUAUUCUCUCUACGAUGGAAUGUGGAAUUUAUUUUGCAGAGCCGGACACUAUCCAGGUGUUCACAAUCUUCUAUGGAUUAUUCGGAGAAGGAACCCGCCUUGCAAUGCCGAACAAUAUGCGUGCCGGACUCAUCGUCAUUGAAGCCUGGUUCAGGGGCUACUGAGGGAGUCCUGGACUAGGGGGUGUCCGGAUAGCCGGACUAUCAUCAUCGGCCGGACUCCAAGACUAUGAAGAUACAAGAUUGAAGACUUCGUCCCGUGUCCGGAUGGGACUUCCCUUGGCGUGGAAGUCAAGCUUGGCGAUAUGGAUAUGUAGAUCUCCUACCAUUGUAACCGACUUUGUGUAACCCUAGCCCUCUCCGAUGUCUAUAUAAACCGGAGGGUUUUAGUCCGUAGGACAACAACCAUUACAACAACCAUACCAUAGGCUAGCUUCUAGGGUUUAGCCUCCUUGAUCUCGUGGUAGAUCCACUCUUGUACUACCCACAUCAUCAAUAUUAAUCAAGCAGGACAUAGGGUUUUACCUCCAUCAAGAGGGCCCGAACCUGGGUAAAACAUCGUGUCCCUUGUCUCCUGUUACCAUCCGCCUAGAUGCACAGUUCGGGACCCCCUACCCGAGAUCCGCCGGUUUUGACACCGACAAUGAGUUUGGCUGCAGAUUUAAGGAUCCCGGAGACUCGAUCAUCCUUCUAUGAUGGAGGGCCUAUGCCUUGGAAGACGGACGACAAGCCUACAUCAUCAACAACUCCUACUGCACCACCUCCGAGGACAUAAACACAUUGGUAUGGGCACUCCCCUUGGCAACUGCCAAGCUUGGGGGAGGUGCCCUGGUAUCGUAUCACCAUCACACUCUUAUCUUUACAGUUUUAUCUAGUUCGAUCCUUUUAGUAGUAUCUUGAUCUAGUAGAUUGAAGUUUUGAUAUCAAGUAGUUUGAGUUUUGCUUUGUGAUAUCUUUUUGUAAUCGAGUCCGUGAGCUAUAUAUAAUAAAGAUUAGUGUUGAGUCAAGGGCUUUGCUAUGUUGCCAUGAUCUUGAGAAAGUAGAAAGAAUAAAAGGGUUCAUACUGAUCUUAUGAAUAGUGAUGACUUCACACAUAGAAAGUAUGAGACAUAAAAAUUGUUGAGAGUUGAUGAACGUAGCCUUGGUCAUCGUUGCAAUUAAUAGGAAGUGAUAAGGAAAGUGGGUUCACAUACAAAUAUAUUAUCUUGGACACCUUUUUAUAAUUGGGAGCACUCAUUAAGUAUGACAUGCUAAAAGAGUUGACGUUGGACAAGGAAGACAACGUAAUGGUUUAUGUUUCCGACAUCUCAGUUAAAGUAUAUUGUCAUUGACCUCACAAACAUGUUGAGCUUGCCUUUCCCCCUCAUGCUAGCCAAAUUCCUUACACCAAGUAGAGAUACUACUUGUGCUUCCAAAUACCCUUAAACCCAGUUUUGCCAUGAGAGUCCACCAUACCUACCUAUGGAUUGAGUAAGAUCCUUCAAGUAAGUUGUCAUGUUGCAAGCAAUAAAAAUUGCUAUCUAAAUAUGUAUGACUUAUUAGUGCAGAGAAAAUAAGCUUUGUAUGAACUUGUUGUGGAAGUAAUAAAAGCGACGGACUGCAUAAUAAAGGUCCACAUACAAGGGGCAAUAUAAAGUGACGUUCUUUUGCAUUAAGAUUUUGUGCGUCAACCCUAAACGCACAUGACAACCUCUGCUUCCCUCUGCGAAGGGCCUAUCUUUUACUUUAUGUUUUUACUUUAUGCUUGAGUCAAGCUGAUCCUCACCUUUCCCUUUUUCAUUUUAUCCUUUGGCAAGCUCCUCAUGUUUGAAAGAUCAUGAUAUAUAUAUCCAAUUGGAUGUAAGUUAGCAUGGGCUAUUAUUGUUGACAUCACCUAAAGGUGAAUACGUUGGGAGGCAACACAUUAAGCCCCUAUCUUUCUCAGUGUCCGGCUGAAACUCUAUAACCACAAGUACUGCGUGAGUGUUAGCAAUUGUAGAAGACUACGAGAUAGUUGAGUAUGUGAGCUUGCUGAAAAGCUCUAUUGUUGACUCUUUCUGAUGUUAUGAUAAAUUGCAAUUGCUUCAGUGACUGAGAUUAUAGUUUGUUAGUUCCCAGUGAAGUUUUUGAACCAUACUUGACAUUGUGAAUUGUUUGUUACUUAAGCAUAGGAAAUCAUAUGAUAAAUUCUAUAUAUGUUGUUGUUAUAAGAAUGAUCAUGAUGCCCUCAUGUUCGUAUUUUAUUUUUAUCGACACCUCUAUCUCUAAACAUGUGGACAUAUUUUUCGAUUUCGGCUUCUGCUUGAGGACAAGCGAGGUCUAAGCUUGGGGGAGUUGAUAUGUCCAUUUUGCAUCAUGCUUUUAUAUCAAUAUUUAUCGCAUUAUGGGCUAUUAUUACACAUUAUAUCUCAAUACUUAUGGCUAUUCUCUCUUAUUUUACAAGGUUUACCAUGAAGAGGGGGAAUGCUGGCAGCUGGAAUUUUGGCUGGAAAAGGAGCAAACAUUGGAAACAUAUUCUGCACAGCUCCAAAAGUCCUGAAACUCCACGAAACAACUUUUUGGAAUUAAUAAGAAUUUCUGAGCGAAAGAAAUAUGCCAGGGGGCCCACACCCUAUCCAGGAGACAGGGGGCGCCCCCCCUAUAGGGCGCGCCCCCUAUCUCCUGGGCCCCCCUGGUGGGCCUCCGGCGUCCAUCUUCUUCUAUAUCAUUGCUUUUACCCCGGAAAAAAUCAUGGGCAAGCUUAUGGGACGAAACUCCGCCGCCACGAGGUGGAACCUUGGCAGAAUCAAUCUAGGGCUCCGGCAGAGCUGUUCUACCGGGGAAACUUCCCCCCGGGAGGGGGAAAUCAUCACCAACGUCAUCACCAACGAUCCUCUCAUCGGGAGGGGGUCAAUCUCCAUCAACAUCUUCACCAGCACCAUCUCCUCUCAAAACCCUAGUUCAUCUCUUGUAUCCAAUCUUGUAUCGAAACCACAAAUUGUUACCUGUGGGUUGCUAGUAGUGUUGAUUACUCCUUGUAGUUGAUGCUAUUUGGUUUACUUGGUGGAAGAUCAUAUGUUCAGAUCCUUUAUGCCUAUUAUUACUCCUCUGAUUAUGAACAUGAAUAUGCUUUGUGAGUAGUUACGUUUGUUCCUGAGGACAUGGGUGAAGUCUUUCUAUUAGUAGUCAUGUGAAUUUGGUAUUCGUUCGAUAUUUUGAUGAGAUGUAUGUUGUCUUUUCCUCUAGUGGUGUUAUGUGAAUGUCGACUACAUGACACUUCAAUAUUAUUUGUGCCUAGAGGAAGUCAUGGGGAAGUAAUAAGUAGAUGAUGGGUUGCUAGAGUGACAGAAGCUUAAACCCUAGUUUAUGAGUUGCUUCGUUAGGGGCUGAUAUGGAUCCAUAUGUUUAAUGUUGUGGUUAGGUUUACAUUAAUACUUCUUUUGUAGUUGUGGAUGCUUGCAAUAGGGGUUAAUCAUAAGUGGGAUGCUUGUCCAAGUUAGGGAAGUACCCAAGUACCGGUCCACCCAUAUAUCAAAUUAUUAAAGUACCAAACGCGAAUCAUAUGAACAUGAUGAAAACUAGCUUGACGAUAAUUCCCAAUGUGUCCUCGGGAGCUCCUUUAUCAUUAUUAGAAAUUGUCCAGGCUUAUCAUUUGCUACAUAAAGUAUUGGGCCACCUUGCUGCACUUUAUUUACUUCAUUUACUUGUUACUCGUUACUAUUUAUCUUAUCACAAAACUAUCUAUCACCUACAAUUUCAGUGCUUGCAGAGAAAACCUUACUGAAAACCGCUUAUCAUUUCCUUCUGCUCCUCGUUGGGUUCGACACUCUUACUUAUCAAAAGGACUAUGAUUGAUCCCCUACACUUGUGGGUCAUCAGAUCCCCAAUUCAAGAACAGGGUGACGGCUUAGUUCAGCACGACGGCGACGGCGACACUCCCCUGGGUUCAGCAUGACAGCGGCGGCGGCGGUGCUCCCCUCGGCUGUGCACGACGGCGGCGGUGGCGCUCCCCUCGGCUGCGCACGAUGGCGGCGGCGGCAGCUCUGGCAGAAGGGAUCCCUGACUUCUGGUUAGCGCACGUAUUGCUUCUCUCUCAACUCUCUCUCUCUCACACACAUCUCUGGUAGUAUUACUCUCACAUGUCGCGCGCCUUCUGUCCCCCUGUUUCUAGAUGGAGGGUCCGGUGUACCUAGGAUGGUGGAUGGAGUGGCGAAGGUGGAGGAGGAGCACUUACCGUGGGCCAAAAUUACCUCCUUUGUGUAGUUCAGAAAGCAUCAGGUAAAUCAUCUCCCCUUUUCUCAGAAAAAUUUGUAGGAUGUUAGGUUCAAUUGGAGUUGAACUCAGGAAGAUGAGCUGAACAAGGGUAAGAUGUGCAGGCACUUUGAGUCAGCAGCUAUGCGGGUAUGCAAAGGAGUGGACACUGGAAGGAGAUUUUUGUCAUGCCAAUAUGAGGUUAAUUGCUUGCUACAAUUAGGCCUCUUUACUUUACAAACAGCAUUUUGUCAUCAGUUGGUAAUGUCAGUAUGUAUGUGCCUGAACAGGAGACGUGUGGUUAUGUCAAAUGGAUUGACAAGCCAUGGGAGGGGAGGUAAAGAAUUGUCAUUGGUGAAGUUUCUAAUAACAAAGAGGUGCUAGAGAAGAAGCUAAUGCAGAAAGAUAGUUAGAUAGAAGCUGAGGAGAAGCACGGACUUGAGAAGAAGAAGAUUGGAAGGAUGCACAAAGAUCGGUUACAAUCUAGAGAUAGGACGAUUAUGUUUGUUGUGUUCAUGUACUUUGGGUUAGUCGUAAUCAUGUUUGCUGUGGUUGACAAGAAGUAAUGUUGUCAUUGUCCAGUCUAGAAGGUCAUGUAUGUUGCUGAAAAUUUGUAUUUUGCUGAAUAAUCUUUGGUGAAGUACAAAGAAUGUGCCUUUUGGUAAAGAUGUUUUUUGUCAAUAUUUUACUGCUCUAGAAUUGAGACAGACUAUGCAUGUUUAGACAUCAACAAUUGAUUGGAUGGAUAACAAAUUGAAACUUCAUUUUUCAGAUAGAUAACAACAACCAUUUGAUCAUACACUGAUCACUUUAGUAGCUGAGAGCACACAUUAGUGAAGCACACACAUUCAGUAGCUAAGAACAUGCAUGCAUAUUGACGGAAAUGCAAACCACAUACACACAAACUGUAGAUUGAUAACUAAAGUGCAUGCACGCGAACUGAAGAAAUCUGCAAACUAAUGGACGAAGCCGAUGCUUUUCUUAAAUUCAGAGAAAAGCAUGAUAGGAAUAAGAGCAAUUUUUGCCAGCAUAAAUUCAGAGAAAAGCAUGACAGGAAUAAGAGCAGUUUUUGCCGGCAUAAAUUCAGAGAAAAGCAUAUGACAGGAAUGGGUAAUUUUUGCCAGCAUAAAUUCAGAGAAAAACAUGACAGAAAUAAGAGCAGUUUUUGCCGGCAUAAAUUCAGAGAAAAGCAUGACAGGAAUAAGGGUAAUAUUUGCAAGCAUACAUUCAUAGAAAAGCAUGACAUGGAACAACAUGAGAACUGCAUUUUAUGAGCAUAGCAACCUCGAAUCAAUGCAUACAGGUCUACUUAAAUAGCAGCAUAACACAUGUUCAGAUUCUCACAUUACAUCAUAAACAAAUGGGAAAUUAGUCUUAUGACUUGUCUGAUGAACAAAAGUUCAUAUAUGAACUUGCACUUCCAUCUAGUUCAGUUCACUCAUGAACUAAUUUGGUUGGCAUUGGGAUCUACAAGGUUUGGAAAUCAUCAAUCCACUCUUCAUUUGGUGCAUUUUGGGUCACUGGCUCCUCUUCUGCUUGCACGUAGGAACUCUCUGAAUUUGGUCCAAACAUAAGGUUCCAGAACCCAACACCUGGUCCAGUAUAUGCAUCCCCAACACCUGGUCUAGUAUAUGCUUCCCCUGCUCCUCUUCCAGCUGCUUGGUUGCUUGUCUGCUGUACAGAUCCUAUACCUCUUCUGCCAGCCGCUCCCCUAGCUCCCCUACCUCCCCUGCUAGAUGCUCCACUAGCUCCAAAACCUCUUCCUCCCCUACCAGCUGCUUCUCUAGAUCCUCUGCCUUCCCUGCGAGCUGCUGCUCCACCAGCUCCAGUGGAUCUUCUCUUUCUUCCUCUUGAAAUUCUAGCUUGGUUGCUUGACUAUGGUACAUCUUCUAGAAUGUCUUCAGUGACUCCUCUUCUUCUAACACUACCUCUUGACAUAGCAGUUGUAACCCUAGGAGGGGGUAUGUCAUUUCUUGCUUGUGCGGCAAAUGAUGAUUCUGGAAGGUCCAUGAUCCAUACUUGUUUGGUACACUCUCCUCUCCUAAGUGGAGAAAAAUGCACAAGAUUCAGACAUAAAUUCAGAAACAGAGAAAAUUCAGUAACCCAAAGAAAUAUCAAGACAAGGUUACCAUUUGCUGCAUGAGGAAAACCAUGGACCCUGGGGGUUUGACUUGGAUCCAUAUGUGGAUGGACUGUGUGUGGCAUUAUGUUCUAACAAAGCAUAAACAACAUGUUAGUGUAUGUUGGCACAUGUUGUUGGAAAUAUGCCCUAGAGGCAAUAAUAAAAUGGUUAUUAUUAUAUUUCUUUGUUCAUGAUAAUUGUCUGUUAUUCAUGCUAUAAUUGUGUUAUCCAGAAAUCGUAAUACACAUGUGAAUACAUAGACCACAACAUGUCCCUAGUAAGCCUCUAGUUGACUAGCUCGUUGAUCAACAGAUAGUCAUGGUUUCCUGACUAUGGGCAUUGGAUGUCAUUGAUAACGGGAUCACAUCAUUAGGAGAAUGAUGUGAUGGACAAGACCCAAUCCUAAGCAUAGCUCAAAGAUCGUCUAGUUCGUUUAGCUAGAGCUUUUCCAAAUGUCAAGUAUCAUUUCCUUAGACAAUGAGAUUGUGCAACUCCCGGAUACCGUAGGAGUGCUUUGGGUGUGCCAAAUGUCACAACGUAACUGGGUGACUAUAAAGGUGCACUACGGGUAUCUCCGAAAGUGUCUGUUGGGUUGGCACGAAUCGAGACUGGGAUUUGUCACUCCGUAUGACGGAGAGGUAUCUCUGGGCCCACUCGGUAAUGCAUCAUCAUAAUGAGCUCAAUGUGACCAAGUGUCUGGUCACGGGAUCAUGCAUUACGGUACGAGAUAAGUGACUUGCCGGUAACAAGAUUAAACGAGGUAUUGGGAUACCGACGAUCGAGUCUCGGGCAAGUAACGUACCGAUUGACAAAGGGAAUUGUAUACGGGGUUGAUUGAAUCCUCGACAUCGUGGUUCAUCCAAUGAGAUCAUCGAGGAGUAUGUGGGAGCCAACAUGGGUAUCCAGAUCCCGCUGUUGGUUAUUGACCGGAGAGGUGUCUCGGUCAUGUCUGCAUGUCUCCCAAACCCAUAGGGUCUACACACUUAAGGUUCGGUGAUGCUAGGGUUGUAGAGAUAUAAGUAUGCAGUAACCCGAAAGUUGUUCGGCGUCCCGGAUGAGAUCUCGGACAUCACGAGGAGUUCCGCAAUGGUCCGGAGGUGAAGAAUUAUAUAUAGGAAGUGCAGUUUCGGCCAUCGAGAAAGUUUUGGGGGUCACCAGUAUUGUACCGGGACCACCGGAAGGGCCCCGGGGGUCCACUGGGUGGGGCCACCUAUCCCGGAGGGCCCCAUGGGCUGAAGUGGGGAGGGGAACCAACCCCUGGUGGGCUGGUGCGCCCCCCCUUGGGCCCCCCUGCACCUAGGGUUUGAAACCCUAGGGUGGGGGGGCGCCUCCGCUUGCCUUGGGGGGCAAGCCACCCCCUUGGCCGUCGCCCCCCCCUUGGAGAUGGCAUCUCCUAGGGCCGGCGCCCCCCUAGGGGGCCUAUAUAAAGAGGGGGGAGGGAGGACAGCCGCACCCAUGCUCUUGGCGCCUCCCUUCCCCCUUGCUACACCUCUCCCUCUCGUAGAAGCUCGGUGAAGCUCUGCCGAGAUCACUGCUGCAUCCACCAGCACGCCAUCGUGCUGCUGGAUCUCCGUCAACCUCUCCUUCCCGCUUGCUAGAUCAAGAAGGAGGAGACGUCUUACUCAACCGUACGUGUGUUGAACGCGGAGGUGCUGUCCGUUCAGCACUAGGAUGAUCGGUGAUUUGGAUCACGACGAGUACGACUCCCUCAACCCCGUUCUCUUGAACGCUUCCGCUCGUGAUCUACAAGGGUAUGUAGAUGCAUUCCUUUCUAUCGUUGCUAGAUGAACUCAUAGAUUAAUCUUGGUGAAAGCGUAGGAAUUUUUUUAUUUUCUGCAACGUUCCCCAACAGUGGCAUCAUGAGCUAGGUCUAUGUGUAGUUCUCUUUGCACGAGUAGAACACAAAUUUGUUGUGGGCGUAGAUGUUGUCAACUUUCUUGCCACUACUAGUCUUAUUUUGCUUCAACGGUAUUGUGGGAUGAAGCGGCCCGGACCGACCUUACACGUACGCUUACAUGAGACAGGUUCCAUCGACUGACAUGCACUAGUUGCAUAAGGUGGCUAGCGGGUGUCUGUCUCUCCCACUUUAGUUGGAGCGGAUUCGAUGAAAAGGGUCCUUGUGAAGGGUAACUAGAAGUUGGAAAAUCACGUUAUGGCUUUUACGUAGGUAAGAAAACGUUCUUGCUAGAACCCUAUUGCAGCCACGUAAAACAUGCAACAACAAUUAGAGGACGUCUAACUUGUUUUUGCAGCAUAUGAUUUGUGAUGUGAUAUGGCCAAAAGUUGUGAUGAAUGAUGAAUGAUAUAUAUGUGAUGUAUGAGAUCAUGUUCUUGUAAUAGGAAUCACAACUUGCAUGUCGAUGAGUAUGACAACCGGCAGGAGCCAUAGGAGUUGUCUUUAUUUUUUGUAUGACCUGUGUGUCAUUGAGAAACGCCAUGUAAAUUACUUUACUUUAUUGCUAAAUGCGUUAGCCAUAGUAGUAGAAGUAAUAGUUGGCGAGCAACUUCAUGGAGACACGAUGAUGGAGAUCACGAUGAUGGAGAUCAUGGUGUCAUGCCGGUGACGAAGAUGAUCAUGGAGCCCCGAAGAUGGAGAUCAAAGGAGCUAUAUGAUAUUGGCCAUAUCAUGUCACUAUUUGAUUGCAUGUGUUGUUUAUCAUGUUUUUCAUCUUAUUUGCUUAGAACGACGGUAGCUUAAAUAAGAUGAUCCCUCGAAAUAAUUUCAAGAAAAGUGUUCCCCCUAACUGUGCACCGUUGCAAAGGUUCGUUGUUUCGAAGCACCAUGUGAUGAUCGGGUGUGAUAGAUCCUAACAUUUGAAUACAAUGGGUGUAAGCCAGAUUUACACACGCAAUACACUUAGGUUGACUUGACGAGCCUAGCAUGUACAGACAUGGCCUCGGAACACGGAGGACUGAAAGGUCGAGCAUGAGUCGUAUAGAAGAUACGAUCAACAUGGAGAUGUUCACCGAUGAUGACUAGUCCGUCUCACGUGAUGAUCGGACACGGGCUAGUCGAGUCGGAUCAUGUAUCACUUAGAUGACUAGAGGGAUGUCUAAUCUGAGUGGGAGUUCAUUAAAUAAUUUGAUUAGAUGAACUUAAUUAUCAUGAACUUAGUCUAAAAUCUUUACAAUAUGUGUUGUAGAUCAAAUGGCCCACGUUACCCUCAACUUCAACGCGUUCCUAGAGAAAACAAAGCUGAAAGAUGAUGGCAGCAACUAUACGGACUAGGUCCGGAACCUGAGGAUCAUCCUCAUAGCUGCGAAGAAAGAUUAUGUCCUAGAAGCGCCGCUAGGUGAAGCACCAAUCCCAGAGAACCAAGACGUUAUGAACGCUUGGCAGUCUCGUGCUGAUGAUUACUCCCUCGUUCAGUGCGGCAUGCUUUACAGCUUAGAACCGGGGCUCCAAAAGCAUUUUGAGCAACACUGAGCAUAUGAGAUGUUCGAAGAGCUGAAAAUGGUUUUCCAAGCUCAUGCCCGGGUCGAGAGAUAUGAAGUCUCCAAUAAGUUCUUCAGCUGUAAGAUGGAGGAAAAUAGUUCUGUCAGUGAGCACAUACUCAAGAUGUCUGGGUUGCACAACCGCUUAACUCAGCUGGGAGUUAAUCUCCCGGAUGACGCGGUCAUUGACAGAAUCCUUUAGUCGCUUCCACCGAGCUACAAGAGCUUUGUGAUGAACUUCAAUAUGCAGGGGAUGGAAAAGACCAUUCCUGAGGUAUAUUCAAUGCUGAAAUCAGCGGAGGUGGAGAUCAAAAAGGAACAUCAAGUGUUGAUGGUGAAUAAAACCACUAAGUUCAAGAAAGGCAAGGGUAAGAAGAACUUCAAGAAUGACGGCAAGGAAGUUGCUGCGCCCGGUAAGCCAGUUGCCGGGAAGAAGUCAAGCAAUGGACCCAAGCCUGAGACUGAGUGCUUUUAUUGCAAGGGAAGUGGUCACUGGAAGCGGAACUGCCCCAAGUACUUAGCGGACAAGAAGGCCGGCAAAACCAAAGAUAUAUGUGAUAUACAUGUAAUUAAUGUGUACCUUACCAGUACUCGUAGUAGCUCUUGGGUAUUUGAUACUGGUGUCGUUGCUCAUAUUUGUAACUCAAAACAGGAGCUACAGAAUAAGCGGAGACUGGCGAAGGACGAGGUGACGAUGCGCGUCAGGAAUGGUUCCAAGGUCGAUGUGAUCGCCGUCGGCAUGCUACCUCUACAUUUACCUAUGGGAUUAGUUUUAAACCUCAAUAAUUGCUAUUUAGUACCAGCUUUGAGCAUGAACAUUGUAUCAGGAUCUCGUUUAGUCCGAGAUGGCUACUCAUUUAAAUCCGAGAAUAAUGGUUGUUCUAUUUAUAUGAGAGAUAUGUUUUAUGGUCAUGCCCCGCUGGUGAAUGGUCUAUUCUUAAUGAAUCUCGAGCGUAAUGUUACACAUAUUCAUAGUGUGAAUACCAAAAGAUGUAAAGUUGAUAACGAUAGUCCCACAUACUUGUGGCACUGCCUCCUUGGUCACAUUGGUGUCAAGCGCAUGAAGAAGUUCCAUGAUGAUGCACUUUUAGAGUCUCUCGAUUAUGAAUCAUUUGACACAUGCGAACCAUGCCUCAUGGGCAAAAUGACCAAGACUCCGUUCUCCGGAACAAUGGAGCGAGCAACCAACUUAUUGGAAAUCAUACAUACCGAUGUGUGCGGUCCAAUGAGCGUUGAGGCUCGCGGAGGAUAUCGUUAUGUUCUCACUCUCACUGAGGACUUGAGUAGAUAUGGGUAUGUCUACUUGAUGAAACACAAGUCUGAGACCUUUGAAAAGUUCAAGGAAUUUCAGAAUGAGGUAGAGAAUCAACAUGACCGAAAGAUAAAGUUCUUACGAUCAGAUCAUGGGGGAGAAUAUUUAAGUCACGAAUUUGGUACGCACUUAAGGAAAUGUGGAAUCAUUUCACAACUCACGCCGCCUGGAACACCUCAGCGUAACGGUGUAUCCGAACGUCGUAAUUGCACUUUAUUGGAUAUGGUGAGAUCUAUGAUGUCUCUUACCGAUUUACCGCUAUCAUUUUGGGGAUACGCUCUAGAGACAGCUACAUCACUUUAAAUAGGGCACCGUCUAAAUCCGUUGAGACGACACCGUAUGAAUUAUGGUUUGGGAAGAAACCUAAGCUGUCGUUUCUAAAAGUUUGGGGAUGCGAUGCUUAUGUCAAGAAACUUCAACCUGAGAAGCUCGAACCCAAGUCGGAAAAAUGCGUCUUCAUAGGAUACCCUAAGGAAACCAUUGGGUAUACCUUCUACUUAAGAUCGGAGGGCAAGAUCUUUGUUGCCAAGAACGGGUCCUUUCUAGAGAAAGAGUUUCUCUCGAAAGAAUUAAGGGGGAGGAAAGUAGAGCUUGAUGAAGUACUACCUCUUGAAACGGUAAGUAGCGCAACUCAGGAAGAUGUUCUUGUGGUGCCUGCACCGAUAAGAGAGGAGGUUAAUGAUGAUGAUCAAGAUACUUCGGAUCAAGCUCCUACUAAAAUGCAAAGGUCCACAAGGACACGUUCCGCACAAGAGUGGUACGGCAACCCUGUCUUGGAAAUCAUGUUGUUAGACAAUGGUGAACCUUCGAACUAUGAAGGAGCAAUGGCGGGCCCAGAUUCCAACAAAUGGCUUGAAGCCAUGCAAUCCGAGAUAGGAUCCAUGUAUGAAAACAAAGUAUGGACUUUGACAGAAUUGCCCGAUGAUCGGCGAGCAAUAAAAACAAAUGGAUCUUUAAGAAGAAGACGGACGCGGAUGGUAAUGUUACCAUAUAUAAAGCUCGACUUGUCGCUAAGGGUUAUCGACAAGUUCAUGGGAUUGACUACGAUGAGACAUUCUCUCCCGUAGCGAAGCUGAAGUCCGUCCGAAUCAUGUUAGCAAUUGCCGCAUAAUAUGAUUAUGAGAUAUGGCAAAUGGACGUCAAAACGGCAUUCCUUAACGGCCAUCUUAAGGAAGAACUGUAUAUGAUGCAGCCGGAAGGUUUUGUCGACCCUGAGAAUGCUAACAAGGUAUGCAAGCUCCAGCGAUCCAUUUAUGGGCUGGUGCAAGCAUCUCGGAGUUGGAACAUUCACUUUGAUGAGAUGAUCAAAGCAUUUGGGUUUAUGCAGACUUAUGGAGAAGCCUGCGUUUACAAGAAAGUGAGUGGGAGCUCUGUAGCAUUUCUCAUAUUAUAUGUAGAUGACAUACUUUUGAUGGGAAAUGAUAUAGAACUUUUGGACAUCAUUAAGGCCUACUUGAAUAAGUGUUUUUCAAUGAAGGACCUUGGAGAAGCUGCUUACAUAUUAGGCAUCAAGAUCUAUAGGGAUAGAUCAAGACGCCUCAUAGGUCUUUCACAAAGCACAUACCUUGAUAAGAUAUUGAAGAAGUUCAAUAUGGAUCAGUCCAAGAAAGGAUUCUUACCUGUAUUGCAAGGUGUGAGAUUGAGCUCGACUCAAUGCCCGACCAUGGCAGAAGAUAAAGAAGAGAUGAGUGUCAUCCCCUAUGCCUCAGCCAUAGGGUCUAUCAUGUAUGCCAUGCUGUGUACCAGACCUGAUCUAAUCCUUGCCGUAAGUUUGGUAGGAAGGUACCAAAGUAAUCCCGGCAAGGAACACUAGACAGCGGUCAAGAACAUCCUGAAGUACCUGAAAAGGACUAAGGAUAUGUUUCUCAUUUAUGGAGGUGACUAAGAGCCCAUCGUAAAGCGUUACGUCGACGCUAGCUUCGACACAGAUCUGGAUGACUCUAAGUCACAGACCGGAUACGUGUUUAUUUUGAAUGGUGGGGCAGUAAGCUGGUGCAGUUGCAAGCAAAGUGUCGUGGCGGGAUCUACAUGUGAAGCAGAGUACAUGGCAGCCUCAGAGGCAGCGCAUGAAGCAAUCUGGGUGAAGGAGUUCAUCACCGACCUAGGAGUCAUACCCAAUGCAUUGGGGCUGAUCGCACUCUUCCGAGACAACACUGGAGCCAUUGCACUUGCCAAGGAGCCCAGGUUUCACAAGAAGACCAGGCACAUCAAGCGUCGCUUCAACUCCAUACGUGAAAAUGUUCAAGAUGGAGACAUAGAUAUUUGUAAAGUACAUACGGAUCUGAAUGUACCCUAGACCCUGGGGGUUUGACUUGGAUCCAUAUGUGGAUGGACUGUGUGUGGCAUUAUGUUCUAACAAAGCAUAAACAACAUGUUAGUGUAUGUUGGCACAUGUUGUUGGAAUUAUGCCCUAGAGGCAAUAAUAAAAUGGUUAUUAUUAUAUUUCUUUGUUCAUGAUAAUUGUCUGUUAUUCAUGCUAUAACUGUGUUAUCCGGAAAUUGUAAUACAUGUGUGAAUACAUAGACCACAACAUGUCCCUAGUAAGCCUCUAGUUGACUAGCUCGUUGCUCAACAGAUAGUCAUGGUUUCCUAACUAUGGGCAUUGGAUGUCAUUGAUAACGGGAUCACAUCAUUAGGAGAAUGAUGUGAUGGACAAGACCCAAUCCUAAGCAUAGCUCAAAGAUCGUGUAGUUCGUUUAGCUAGAGAUUUUCCAAAUGUCAAGUAUCAUUUCCUUAGACCAUGAGUUGUGCAACUCCCGGAUACCGUAGGAGUGCUUUGGGUGUGCCAAACGUCACAACGUAACUGGGUGACUAUAAAGGUGCACUACGGGUAUCUCCGAAAGUGUCUGUUGGGUUGGCACGAAUCAAGACUGGGAUUUGUCACUCCGUAUAACGGAGAGGUAUCUCUGGGCCCACUCGGUAAUGCAUCAUCAUAAUGAGCUCAAUGUGACCAAGUGUCUGGUCACGGGAUCAUGCAUUACUGUACGAGUAAAGUGACUUGCCGGUAACGAGAUUAAACGAGGUAUUGGGAUGCCGACGAUCGAGUCUCGGGCAAGUAACGUACCGAUUGACAAAGGGAAUUGUAUACGGGGUUGAUUGAAUCCUCGACAUCGUGGUUCAUCCGAUGAGAUCAGUAUGUGGGAGCCAACAUGGGUAUCCAGAUCCCGCUGUUGGUUAUUGACCGGACAGGCGUCUCGGUCAUGUCUGCAUGUCUCCCGAACCCGUAGGGUGUACACAUUUAAGGUUCGGUGACACUAGGGUUGUAGAGAUAUAAGUAUGCAGUAACCCGAAAGUUGUUCGGAGUCCCGGAUGAGAUCUCGGACGUCACGAGGAGUUCCUGAAUGGUCCGAAGGUGAAGAAUUAUAUAUAGGAAGUGUAGUUUUGACCAUCGGGAAAGUUUCGGGGGUCACCCGUAUUGUACCGGGACCACCGGAAGGGUCCCGGGGGUCCACCGAGUGGGGCCACCUAUCCCGGAGGGCCCCGUGGGCUGAAGUGGGGAGGGGAACCAGCCCGUGGUGGGCUGGUGCGCCCUCCCUUGGGCCCCCUGCGCCUAGGGUUGGAAACCCUAGGGUGGGGGGCGCCUCCACUUGCCUUGGGGGGCAAGCCACCCCCUUGGCCGCCCCCCCCCCCCUUGGAGAUGGCAUCUCCUAGGGCCGGCGCCCCCCCUAGGGGCCUAUAUAAAGAGAGGGGGAGGGAGGGCAGCCGCACCCAUGCUCUUGGCGCCUCCCUUCCCCCUUGCUACACCUCUCCCUCUCGUAGAAGCUCGACGAAGCUCUGCCGAGAUCACUGCUGCAUCCACCACCACGCCGUCGUGCUGCUGGAUCUCCGUCAACCUCUCCUUCCCCUUUUCUGGAUCAAGAAGGAGGAGACGUCUUCCUCAACCGUACGUGUGUUGAACGCGGAGGUGCUGUCCAUUCAGCACUAGGAUCAUCGGUGAUUUGGAUCACGACGAGUACGACUCCCUCAACCCCGUUCUCUUGAACGCUUCCGCUCGCGAUCUACAAGGGUAUGUAGAUGCACUCCUUUCUCUUGUUGCUAGAUGAACUCAUAGAUUGAUCUUGGUGAAAGCGUAGGAAAAAUUUUAUUUUCUGCAAUGUUCCCCAACACAUGUAAAAUAUAUCAGUACAUUGUGUGAUUAUGUUUCAUCUUACAGAAAUGAUUAUAGGAUCAUCAUACUCUUCUUCUUCAUCAUCUGCAACAUUUGUAGGUUGAGGAGCAUCUCUUGUGGUCUCCUCCCACUUCUUGUGGCCUUCCUUGUUGUGAUCUGCACUUCCACAAAGAGAGCAGUGCAUGGUUACACCAUGCUUAGUAAACUUUUCCCCUCCUUUCAUCAACUUCUCCUCUAGAUCUUUCUUUCUAUUCCUCCUUGGUCUCCCCAUUACCUUAAUGUACACUGGUGGACAUACAGCAAUGCCAUGCAUCUUAGUCCAAUGUUCCUGGUCCCUCAUGGGCGAGGAUUUAGCCUCGCACAGAAACGGGAUCGAGGGGCUCGCGUUAUGUGCGACGGCCGGGGCUUUUUUGCGAGAAGUAAACAAAUUCCCGGGGGGUUUCGUGAAAAUCUGGGCCACACGCCCUCGGCCGCAUAGUCCAGCCACUGAUAGUGGGUCCGGCGCCGCGCUGGCGGGCCUCAUCAGCACCCAUCUCGUAUCCAAACGUGAAUUUCACCGUAUCUGCACUACGAAGCCAAGUUUUGUCACCACAUAUCUAUAUGCCACAAGUUUCAACACCAAACUGAUUUUUCUUGCCAACUUCACACACCUGUGGUGUAAUUAACUCAAAAUAAUAAUGUGCAGACGAGAAGAGUUUUGGGGGCUACGACUGGCGGAAAAGCUUGAUAUCCUCUCUACUACAAUUGAGAGCGAUUCUAUGGAGAUUGUCCAAGAUAUUCAGAAUUUGUCUGAGUAUCGGGCGUCGAGAGCAGUGAUCACUUAUGAUUGUCGGAUGUUGAUGAAUUCUUUCCGCAAGGCGACUAUAAAUUAUUGUGUGCGAGAAGCUAAUGGGUGUGCCCCUGAUCUUGCACAGUUCACUUUUGAGAGACAUGAAAUCAGGGGUGUGGUAUGAUAAACCCCCGGAUUUCCUGACCUCUUCUAUUGUAAAGAAUAUAUUUUUUCUCGAAUACGCACAAGCAUGCGUAUCAUUCAUUAUAGAAGAGGGGGAAAGACUCCCCAAAAUGAUCAAUUGUAUAGAUAUUUAUAGUUAAGGCUUUGCCCAACUCCACCUGACUCACGCAGCUAACUACUCAGGAGCCACCCACGGUAAGCCCUCCGCCUCUCUGAUCAGGCCAGCCUUCACCCACCAGCCUCCCUCCUCUUUGAUUUGGUUGAUGCAGGUCGCCACAGACGGCGCUGCUCCAUUAAAUACGGCAUCGUUGCGGUGUUUCCAUAUCAUCCACAUGCCGAGCAAGCAUUUGGCACGCGUGGAUCUCUGGUGCUGUCGAUCUUGCUCCCGCCUGAUGCACCACUUCUCCAACGAUUCGUCUACCCUGGGGGCGAAGCCUUGUCUACCAGUACCCUCCACGAACCAAUGCCAUAUCUGCCGAGCGAAUACACAGUUGAUUAGUAGAUGUUCUAUGGUCUCCUCCUCUUGAUCGCAAAGUGGGCAUGCAUCUUGGUGUGGGAGCCCUCGUCGUGCAAGUCUAUCUGAUGUCCACCAACGAUUCUUGAAGGCAAGCCAAGCGUAGAAUCGGCUCUUGAGGGGGCUCACGAUUGCCAAGUGAAGGGCGCCGUCGGCGAGGCCUCCAGUCCCAUGAACCUUGCAGCAUAAGCGGAGCGUGCCGAGUACUGUCCAUGCUUCUCCCAAGCCCAGUGCACCGUGUCCUCAGAGUCCUCCGGGAGUUGGAAGGUAGAUAUCUUCUACCAUAGUCCUAGGAAUUCCUCGAUAUCUCCAGCUGUGAGGUCCGGUCCGACGUUCCUGGCCCAUGUAUAGUUAGUUAUCACUGCCAGAACAGUCUGUGUCUUUCGCAUAUGCCUCGAGAUCUUCUCAUAUACUGCCGGAGCUAGCUCACAUAUCCUCUGCCCAUUGAUCCAUCGUUCCUCCUAGAAUAAAGCGGUCCUUCUGUUUCCCACCAUGACAUGGGUUGCUGCGCGGAAAUAGGGCCAGGGACUCCUUCGAAAGCAGACGGCGGAACAACUUCAAAAGAUUGUGGACCAACUUGCAGGAUGUCUACCAAACUGGAAGGCGGCCAUCACUAGUAGAAAAAGGGUCAAAUGUGAGACACAUUAGUCCCGGUUUGUAACAGAACCGGCACUAAUGUGUCCAUUAGUGCCGGUUCCAAUGGCUAGGUGGGAGGAGCUCUUUAGUACCGGUUCGUGGCAAACCUUUAGCACCGGUUCGUGCCACAAACUGGUACUAAAGAAAGUGGUGGCAGGAUGUUGUCAGACUGGGGCCCUUCCAGCACCUUUAGUACCGGCUCGUGGCACGAACCGGUACUAAAGGUCAUCCUAUAUAAACCCUUCGUCCACCCGCACUCUGUUCUUCCCCCUUUCCCCUCUCCCUCUCCUCUGUUCUUCCCUUCUUCCUCUCGAGUUCAUCACAAAAUUUGCCCCAAAUUUGUCAAGAUUUGCAGCCCCCCAUCCAUUCAAAUGAUCACCAGGUUAGCAACUUUGUCCUUUCAUCUCUCAUUGCUAGAUUAGCUCUUGCAUUGGUUUAUAUAGUGAUUAAUUGUGGGUUUUAGUAAUUUGGGAGGAAUUAUAUGUGGUAGUAUUUGAUUUAUAUGCAAUUUGAGGUCAAAAUAACACUUAGUUUGCAUAUGUAGGUGUGGUUUACUUAGUGCCUUCUAAAUCUCCAUCGUAACCACCGUCGAUUGCCCGCACCGUCCUGUCGCCGGCACCAACUUGUGGUGAGCCUCUUGUUCAUGAAAUUUUAUAUAAAAAAUUGAUGUUUGUGUGAUUUGGAUAUAUAGUUACUCGUAUAAUUAUCUUACCCGUACGUUGUUUGUUAUACAUAGUGCCAUGGUUUUGCUAUCCGUCCCCGUCGGCCCUCGUCCUUGUUAUGAUUCGGAUGUGGUAUAUUCUCUUCUAAAACUAUUUGUUGCAUUUCGUGUUUAUGACAAAUUAUGCCCAUCAAGUUGACAUAGAUAUUUUUAUCUAGGAGGUAUGUGAACCGGAAAUUCCAACCGACCCUAUUGUCGAGAGGUUAAAUUUAGUUGAAAGAGAAAACGAGUACUUGAAAGAAAAAUUGAAAAGAAUUGAGGGGAGAAGAUGGAAUUGGAGUUGCAUGUUGCCGAUGUCGUCGAUGAUCACAAGAUCAAGAUGGAGAAAAUGCGCUUGAAGAUUAGAAAGAUUAGAAAAUAUGCCAUCGAUAGUGAGGCUUGGUAUCAUUAUGCUGUUGGAUCAAUUGUUACCUUACUUGCGAUCUUGAUCGCAUUUGUUGUUGCAUUUAAAUGCUUUAGCUAGAGAGUUAUUUGUUUGUUGCAUUUAAGUGUUGUAUGAACUUUAUGUAUGGACUUGUAUUAAUUUGGUAUAUUCGGUGUUGUGUAAUGAAGAUGAGCCGGUAAUGGAUGUACGAUGACCGAUGCUCUCCCCAGUUCGUUGAGGGCGUGCAUACUUUUCUGCUUGCGGCUGAGGCAAACAAGCGGGCGGAUGGUUUUAUGCCUUGUCCAUGUGCUGGCUGUAAGAAUGGUCGCAAUUACUCUAUGUCAAGAACCAUUCACGUCCACCUGUUUGAGUCCGUUUUCAUGCCCCACUAUAAUGUUUGGACCAAGCACGGAGAAAGAGGGGUUAUGAUGGAAGACAAUUGAAAGGGCAUGUAGGCCCUAAGUGUGGUUUUGGUAAUUAAAUGACAAUCUCUAUGGACUAAUGUUUUCAGUGAGAUAUAUUUGAAGGUUCUGUCCAUAGAUAGUGCCUCCAGGAUAUUGGACGAAAUCAAGGAUGAAGUCCAUAUAUAUGAAGAUAGUGCCUCAAGGAUAUUGGACGGAAUCAAGGAUGAAGUCCAUAUAUAUAUAUGAAGAUAUAUUUGCCCUAUGCUUUGGUACUAAAUGACAAUUCCUAUGGAGCAUCAAGUGCAUUGAAUCUUAUAUGAAGAUAUGUUCCAUAGUGAUGCUUGAAGUGCAUUGGGCUGUUUUGUGAAGUCUGCCAUCAAAGCAUCCGAAGAAGUCCUCGUGGUAUCCUUCUCUGGAUACCCCGUGCACACGGGCUUGUACCGUGCGCACGGGGUCGAGUGUCAACUCUCUGGAUACCCCAUGCUUACUUGUCCUAGGUGUUGGCUCUCGAGAUCCCAUAUCCAGUGAGGUUUCAAGUUGGUCUUGGGUACUUCUAUUGAAGCCAUCAAGAUUGGUUUCAAUGCCUAAUCUAAUUAUGUUCAUGAUGGAGUGCAUUGGAGGAUCACAAAGAUUGAUAUAUUUGGGCUUCUGAGGAUCAAGGCUUGAAGCAAGCAACUAGAGUGACGAAUUCAUUAUGCCUCUCAAGAGAUUGUGAUGGAGUUUUUAGAAAGGCAAGUGGUGACCAAGAUGAUAUUCAUAGUGGAACUUGAUAUGGUCAUGGAAGAGUCUUUGGUGAUAUAGUCUUGAAGCAAUGAAGGGAAAUGAAGAGUUCAUUGUGGCUUUCAAUAAACCAAGAUGGAGCUUCGAGUAAAGAUGUUGGUUGACCAAGAUGAAGCUCGAAGAUUAUAUCUAAGUGGUCAACUCUCAAAGCACAAACAUUGUACCACGUGAGAUCAUGUGAUCUAGUGGUAUGGUAAGUAUUGUGAAUUGUUCUUUGUUACCUAACCCAUGCUAUGUGUUUGGUAUGUCUAUGUGGGUUAGGUGUUUCUCAUGGGCUUGCAUCAAAAGGAAAGAUCUCAAGUAGCCUAUGUGUGGAUGACAUCAAGUGGUGAUGGUCAUCGGGUUCGAGGAGUCCAAGUGCAAGAUGAGAAGCCGGAGGUUAUAUGCUUUGAAGCUUGCAGGCCACAUCAUGAUAAUGCUCAUGUGAAUAUGGGCUUAAGUUAAGGCUUCCCUCAUUGCAAUAUGAGGAAUCCAUUCAAGCAUCUUCACCAAGUGGUUGUGGACAAGAAAGGGAUUCCAACUUGAGACAAGAAUUGGAGUCAUCACCAAGAUCAAGUUGAAUAUGCAAGGCAAAUGUAUACCUUAGCUAGGUUUUCCUAGUUUUGCCGGUCUAAUGGUGCUUGGAGGGAGACCGGAUUAUAGGUUUGAUAGCCGUACUAUCAAGAGGGACUCUCGGGCAAGUAGCUUGAUCAUGUCGCAUGUAGAGAGCUCAAACCUUUGCAUUACUUGCUUCAUUACUUAUUGUUGAUCUUCGUUGGUUCUCUAUGUGAGGACCUUGGGCUUUUCCAUAGCUUCAAAACGAGCCCAAGAUCAUUGAUUUCGGAGUCCGUAUGCCAAAGUUAUCACUGUUUUAGUGGGCUGCUGCAGGCUGUUCUGGGUACCCCGUGGACACGGGGUUUUUGACCCCCGUGGGCAUGGGGCCCCGUGCACAUGGGCAUGUACCAUGCGCACGGGACCCCGUGGGCACGGGGUGUCCAGGAAGUGUCCGUUGGAGCCCCAACGGCUAGUUUUGGAAGUUGGCUAUAAAAGAGCCCUUCCUCCCCACCGGUUUGGGGGCUAUUCAUUCACAUUCUAAACAUCAUUUUGAGCCUCUUACCACCUCUCCCAAACCCCUAUCUCCCUUCUAAGUGAAGGGUGAUUUGUGGAUGGAUCUUGGAGUCAUUUGUUGAUUUCCUCCAUUGCAUCCCCUCUCUUCAAUCUCCCACUUUCUUGAGUUGCAUCUUGUGAGAUUGAGAGAGUGAGUUGAGCAUUUGUUUCUUGACCUUGCAUUGCAUUUGUUGCAUUGGUUUGAGCUCCCCGCAUCGAUUUGUCCGAGUGAGAGCCUGUGAAUUUGUUAGUCUUGGAGGCUUCGCCUCCUAGACGGUUUGGUGAUACAUUGAGAAGAUUGUGAAGAGGCCUAUGUGGCCAAGGUUCGCCCGGAAGCUUCCUUUUGUGGUGUGCUCCGGGGAAGGGUGUUGAAGUGGCCUAGGUGGUCAAGUUCCUCCGGAAGCUUCCAUGGUUGUGGUGUGCUCCGGAGAGGUUUGUAAAGGUGUGGUUGUCGCCUUCAAGACCAACCCCUAGUGAAUCGAGGCUCAUCCGUUGGGGGUGACUCGAAAGAGAGAAUACGGUGAGUCACUUGGUGACACCCCGGAGCUUUGGCUACGGCACCGCUCUAAUGGAGAUUAGCACUCUCACGAGUGUGAACUUCGGGAUAAAUCCGCGUCCCCGACUCACUUGUGGUUUUCUCAUACCCACACCCUUUACUUUCCGCAAUUCAUACUUCCCCAUAUUGAUAUAUCUUGUGAUAGUUGAAUUGCUUAGUUGUUCCUUCAUUUCCAUAUCUUGUGAUAUAGUUUGUGCUUGCUAGUUUGCUUAAUUGCCUAUCUUGUUUAGCAUAGGUUGUUGGUGCACUUAGUUGAGCCUAGCAUAUUUAGGAUUUGUGCUUGAAAACUAUCCGUUAGUUUAAUUCCGCAUNNNNNNNNNNNNNNNNNNNNNNNNNNNNNNNNNNNNNNNNNNNNNNNNNNNNNNNNNNNNNNNNNNNNNNNNNNNNNNNNNNNNNNNNNNNNNNNNNNNNNNNNNNNNNNNNNNNNNNNNNNNNNNNNNNNNNNNNNNNNNNNNNNNNNNNNNNNNNNNNNNNNNNNNNNNNNNNNNNNNNNNNNNNNNNNNNNNNNNNNNNNNNNNNNNNNNNNNNNNNNNNNNNNNNNNNNNNNNNNNNNNNNNNNNNNNNNNNNNNNNNNNNNNNUCUAGAUCAUUUCAAUUGGUAUCAGAGCUUUGGUCUCUCCUUGGUAGGCUUCACCGCCUAGAGAGUAAAGAUGUCGACUAGUGGUAUAGUGCACGAUGACACCUUUUGUUUUAGUGGCACAAACUAUCACUUGUGGAAAAUUCGCAUGCUUUGUCAUUUUCGGACCAUGGGUCCAUGUUUUGUGCGAAUUGUUCUUGUAGGGGCUUCUCCGUGGAAGGACGACCUUUUUCCAACUAGUGAGGAAAAUGAUGAUAUGCUUUGUGGAUAUAGUGCUAAGAAUGCCAUAAUCCGGUUUAUAUCCCUCGAAGUAUUUGAGUCUAUCAUGACUUGUGUGACGGCUCAUGAUAUGUGGACCAAACUUGAAGAAAUAUAUGGUGGGUCCAAUCUUGUUGAUGUUCAUCAUCUUCCGGAGGAGCUAAUCGAGGAGGUCUCAACAUCUUCAAAUCAUGAAGAUCUCCAUAUUGCUUCUUCCUCCGUGUACUUGGACAUUUCAACUUCUUCCGCCUCACCAUCAUGUGGCAUGUCCCAAGGUAAUGACAUGGUGAGUGAAAAUAUCAUUUGUGAUGAUUGUGAUGAUGUGCUCAAAAUUGAUGAUCUUACAUGUAUACAUGGUAGUGUUGUAGAUUCUAUGGAGUUGAGCAUAUCUAGCAAAAAUGACUUACAUUCUUGUGCUGAUAGUCCAUGCAUAUCAUUUGGAGAUUCCUUGAAUACCUUUUGUGAUGAUAUGCUUGAUACUCCUUGUUUCCAUGAUCUAUGUGCUUCUAUUUCCUCUAGUUGUUGUUUGACUAACCAUGUAGAGGAAACAAGAGAAAAUAGUGCACACAUCAUUAAUGAGGAAAUUGCUAGAGGAGCAAAGAAGGACAUCACCUUGUUGGAGAGGAAAAGCUAUGAGUGUCAAGAGCAUGGACAUGGAUAUCCUACUCUUGAUGAUAAAGAAACUCCCUCUCCAAAAGAAUCAUCAUCAACCUCCGAUGUUCACAUGUGCCUCAUGGCAAGAGGUAAUACUGAGGUAUCAUCUACUCUUUGUAAUGAUAUUGAUGAGAGUAAUGAUGAAUGUGAUAGGGAUAUGAGUCAAGAAAUAUAUGAAAUUGGUAAUUCUCUUCGUGGGGUAAAUAAGAACACUUAUGAGAUGUUUAAAGAUCUUAUCACUCAUUUUGGAAAGUGUAAUGAUUUACUUCACGAAGAGCAAGAACAAAAUCAAAAACUUGAUUGUAACCUUCUUGAUGCUGUAGAAACUCUUAGAGACUUAGAGUCUUCUAAAGAAGAGAUUGAAGUUGCUCAUGAUCAACUUAAAGAGGAUUUUGGGCACCUUGACCUUGUCUACAAGAAUGUCAAAGGAGAGCUCACCAAACUCUCUAAGUCUUAUAAGGAACUUCAAGCUACUCAUGUGAAGUCUCUAGUUUCUUCUAGCUCCUCUCAUAUUGUCAAUGAUGCUUGUGCUACUAACUCUACUUCUUGUGAAGCAUAUAUCUUGAAGGAGAAUGUUGAGCUAAGGGCUCAACUUGUUUUGCUAACUAGCAAUUAUGGGAAAUUAGAAGAAAGUCAUGAAAAGCUCUCGGGCUCUCAUGAUGACCUUCUAAUCUCCCAUGAAAGGCUAAAGUUAGCUCAUGAGGCUAUUGUGACUAAGGUAACAUCUCGUGAGCCUCAUGUGGACAUUAGGAAUAUAUUUACUCAAAAUGAUUUAUUGACAUGUGCUAGUCCUAGUAAUUCAUUUAGACAUAUUAUAGCUGAUUCUUGUGAUGAAUUGCUCUCAUUGCCUUGUUGCUCUAAUAAUGAAGUUUCUACUUCCUCUAGUACUUUUGUUGAUACUAACCUUGUAGAGGAAAACAAAGAGCUCAAGGCUCAAGUCACUAUUUUGAAGAAAGACAUGGAAAUGUGACAUGAAGGAAAUUCCAAUCUCAACAAUAUUUUGAGUGGUCAAAAAUCCCCUCAUGACAAGGGUGGACUUGGUUUCAUCUCCAACAACAAGAAGUCCGAGAAAAGGAAUAAGGAACAAGACCAAGUCAAGAAUCCGGUCAACAUCACAUGCUUCAAGUGCAAGAAUGUUGGACACCAUGUGAGAUAUUGUCCAUUGAAGAAGAAGGCUUCAAAUGUGAAGCAACAAGGGAAGCGGCCUCAAGUUCAAUCUCAAGGUCAACCUCAAGUUCAAUCUCAAGGUCAACCUCAAGCUGAAGAAAGGCCACUACCAAUAAUGAACCAAGGAAAUGCUCCCCAAAUUGAGAAAGUAAAGAAGAAGAGAAGGGGGAGCACAUGUUGCUAUAUUUGUCGUGAGAAGGGACACAUAUCUUCAUCUUGUCCCAACGGUAACAUCCCUAAGCCUCCUCUAGUCAAUGAUCAUUAUUUUCUUAGGAAGGAUGUUGUUGGCAAUUUGUUUGCCAAGUUUGUUGGCGCCCAAAGUGGUUUGGAAAUGGAAAAGGCCAUUUGGGUUGCCAAGCCUAUUGUGUCUAACUUCUUAGGACCCAACUUGGUUGGGGACCAUCAAGCUCAACCUUGAUCAAUAGGUGUGUGGAGGACAUUGGAGAUUUGGCUAGUUCAUGAAGAAAAGAAUAUUCACCAUUUAUUUGUUCGAGCCAAGUCAUGUGGAUUAUCUUCAUAUUAUCUAUCCAGUGUUCCUCCUUGUGGUAACUUUUAUUUGUAUUGCUUACAUUGAAAGUUACUCGCCCCCUGCAUGCUUAGGUUUUGUAUCUAGCAUGUGCAUUUAUAUGUUGUACUUCCUAGUAUGCUUGAUUUGUGUUAUCUAGCAUGUGUAGGUUGCAUUGCACAUCAUAUAGUGUUGCUUGUUGUCUUGAGCCUUAUUUGUAUGUUGUUUGGCUCUUGCGAGAUAUUAGUGGAUCAUCACAUUAUGGGGGAGUGUUAUGUUUUGUGCGCAUCACAAACUCAAAAUGUGAAUAUGAGAAAUACCACAUAGUAUUGAUACUCAAUAUUAUCUAGUCACUAUGUGGUAUGUCAAGCUCAUUUGAAAUUCAGAUUCUCAGAGUAUCCAUUAAUUAUCUCUUUUAGGUGGUUAUUUGCCUCUGUUGUAUGCCUUCCGUGGUAUCAAGAAAGUUGCACCAGAAAAGUUCUGGAUACCCCGUGCGCACGGGGUCUUUUGACCCCCGUGCACAUGGGGUGUUCCGUAACUCUCUUGGUACCCCGUGCGCACGGGGUGUUUUAACCCCCGUGCGCACGGGGUACUGCGUAACUCCCUGGAUACCCCGUGUGCACGGGGUCUUUUGACCCCCGUGCACACGGGGUGUUUGUUGAUUAUGAUCUUGUGCUACUUCGGAUUCUACCACCGAGUGUUAAUUCCAAAUACCAAUUGGUAUUUCUUCUUGUGGUAGAAUUUUAUGAUCAUCUUCUUAUCGGCUUGUGCUUCAACUUACCUUAUCUCACUCCUUGUACUAUCUAUUAUCUACUUGAGUGAGAUAAGCCUUUGAGCAUGUGUGUAAUGUAUAUCCUAUAUGAUCUUUGGUUUGCUUAGUUCAUAUGUUGUAGUUUGUGUGCGGUCAUGUGUGGAUUCAUCACUUUGAUAUAAUUUGGACAACUUGAAUGUUGUAUGUCAUUAUUGGAGUAUUCAUAUAUCUUUUAAGUGUUCUUUUGCCCAAAUUAUAUCUCUUUGGAUCUUGGUAGGCAUGUGCAUGCAUAUUUAUUUAUAUACUUCUUCAUGCCUUGCUUGCUCUCUUGAUCCUCUAUAUAGGGUAAACUCCAUAAUAUCAUUAAUGGUUAAAGGUGUGCAUGAAAUUCAAGUUCAUAUCCUUUUGCACAUACUUAUUGUGGAGUUUGCCCUAUGUAUUGUGGUUGUGCUUACUACUUCGGACCCAAUAAGUUUGGGGACCAAAUUGUACCUUAAUGUGUUUUAGGUAUAUUGGAGAAGCAUUGGAUGAUUGGCUUAUUCAUGAGGAAGGUGGAGACACCAUGGAAAAUUAUUAGAGCCAAGCUUGGUUGAUUCAUUGAUUUGAGAGAGAAGAUAAAUGAAAACCCGGUUCGGUUGUAAGUGUUUCAUUCUCACCAUGUAAACCCGGUUAUACAAAAUUUGGGUCCUUUUGUUGGAUAUGCAUCAAACUCCCACACUUACUAUAUUCUCAAUAAAUCCACGGGAUGUGUUGAGGAAAUGGUGAAUGUGGAGUGUGAUGAGAAUAACGGCUUCCAUGCGGAGCAAUUUGUUUCAAGUGUUGUAGGUGAUGAGGCUCCUUCCCAAGCUACAAGUACAAUGGGGAUUGGUCAUAUUCUUCCACAAGAAACACCCCUUGUCCAUGUAGAAGAAGAAGGAGUAAGAGCCCCUCUUGUGGAUCGACCAUAAGGGAAGUCAUCACCCCCAACACAAGAGCAAGAUGUUAUGGGAGAUCAUAUACCUAUCCAAGAACAAGAUCAAGUCCCUCAUGUUCGCGUACUAGAUCAAGGGCCUCUUGAACCAAUGCUUUCUCUCUUGGUAACAAGUACUUACUUCAUGCAUUUAUUCAAGUUAGAGUCAACAUUGUAUGUGUUGCAUCAUGGCAUGAUUAGUACUUGUUGAGUGAGUGCUUGUAUGUUUUGCACAUAUGUUUGCACUCAUGAGUUGGUGGAUAUAUUUUGGACCCAUGCUUAGCAUGAUUAUCAUAUUGGAUAUCUCCAUUAUCCCUUGUCCAAAAUAUGUUCUUUGGAUCCUUUGAAUGUUUGAUUCUUUUGUCAUAUCAUUUUGGUGCAUUCUAUGGAUGCUCAAUAUAGUGUGAAUUUCUUCGUUUCUUCAUAACUGGAUAUGUGCAUUUGAUUCCACUCAUAAUAUGAGAAAUGCACAAAUUAAGGAGGAACUCAUACUAUAUUGGCCGUCUAGAUUUUUCUUCCAUUUUGGCACUUGUUGCUAAUGGGGGAGAAGUUUAGAGGGUUUAGGUGAAGUGGGUUGGUUCCUGUCAUUCAUGCUUAUCUACUUUUGUUGUGCUUGCUCAUUGCAUGGAUGUGUAUAUAGAGGAAACUCCUCCAAGUUAUUUCCUGUGCAUAUAUUGUGGGGGAGUUUGCUCUAUAUACUGUGGUUCUACUAGCAUCAAAUUCUUGUGUAGUAUUUCGAUGCUAGUACAACUGGUUUUGAUAACAUCAACUAUCUUUGUGAUGUUUGAAGCUAUCAAAACCACAUCAAGUAUACACUUUUGUUGUGCUUGCUCAUUGCAUGGAUGUGUAUAUAAAGGAAACUCCUCCAAGUUAUUUCCCGUGCAUAUAUUGUGGGGGAGUUUGCUCUAUAUAUUGUGGUUCUACUAGCAUCAAAUUCUUGUGUAGUAUUUCGAUGCUAGUACAACUGGUUUUGAUAACAUCAACUAUCUUUGUGAUGUUUGAAGCUAUCAAAACCACCUCAAGUAUACAAUUUAUUCUCGGAUAGAUUGCAUACUUGUUUUAAAUUCUUUAUAUAAACCCUCUUGUUGAGAUUGUCAUCAAUUAACAAAAUGGGGGAGAUUGAAAGGGCAUGUAGCCCCUAAGUGUGGUUUUGGUAAUUAAAUGACCAUCUCUAUGGACUAAUGUUUUCAAUGAGAUAUAUUUGAAGGUUUUGUCCAUUGAUAGUGCCUCAAGGAUAUUGGACGGAAUCAAGGAUGAAGUCCAUAUAUAUGAAGAUAGUGCCUCAAGGAUAUUGGACGGAAUCAAGGAUGAAGUCCAUAUAUAUAUAAAGAUAUAUUUUCCCUAUGCUUUGGUACUAAAUGACAAUUCCUAUGGAGCAUCAAGUGCAUUGAAUCUUAUAUGAAGAUAUGUUCCAUAGUGAUGCUUGAAGUGCAUUGGGCUGUUUUGUGAAGUCUGCCAUCAAAGCAUCCGAAGAAGUCCUCAUGGUAUCCUUCUCUGGAUACCCCGUACACACGGGCUUGUACCGUGCGCACGGGGUCGAGUGUCAACUCUCUGGAUACCCCAUGCUUACUUGGCCUAGGUGUUGGCUCUCGAGAUCCCAUAUCCAGUGAGGUUUCAUGUUGGUCUUCGGGUACUUCUAUUGAAGCCAUCAAGAUUGGUUUCAAUGCCUAAUCUAAUUAUGUUCAUGAUGGAGUGCAUUGGAGGAUCUCAAAGAUUGAUAUAUUUGGGCUUCUGAGGAUCAAGGCUUGAGAGAAUAAUCAAAGAGAAGAAUUCAAGUUAUGGUAUCAAGACAAGAUCAUGGUGAGCUCAUGUGUUGGAUUCCGGUUGAUCAAGUCUUGAAGCAAGCAACUAGAGUGACGAAUUCAUUAUGCCUCUCAAGAGAUUGUGAUGGAGUUUUUAGAAGGGCAAGUGGUGACCAAGAUGAUAUUCAUAGUGGAACUUGAUAUGGUCAUGCAAUAGUCUUUGGUGAUAUAGUCUUGAAGCAAUGAAGGGAAAUGAAGAGUUCAUUGUGGCUUUCAAUAAACCAAGAUGGAGCUUCGAGUAAAGAUGUUGGUUGACCAAGAUGAAGCUCGAAGAUUAUAUCUAAGUGGUCAACUCUCAAAGCACAAACAAUGUACCACGUGAGAUCAAGUGAUCUAGUGGUAUGGUAAGUAAUUGUGAAUUGUGCUUUGUUACCUAACCCAUGCUAUGUGUUUGGUAUGUCUAUGUGGGUUAGGUGUUUCUCAUGGGCUUGCAUCAAAAGGAAAGAUCUCAAGUAGCCUAUGUGUGGAUGACAUCAAGUGGUGAUGGUCAUCGGGUUCGAGGAGUUCAAGUGCAAGAUGAGAAGCCGGAGGUUAUAUGCUUUGAAGCUUGCGGUCCACAUCAUGAUAAUGCUCAUGUGAAGAUGGGCUUAAGUUAAGGCUUCCCUCAUUGCAAUAUGAGGAAUCAAUUCAAGCAUCUUCACCAAGUGGUUGUGGACAAGAAAGGGAUUCCAACUUGAGACAAGAAUUGGAGUCAUCACCAAGCUCAAGUUGAAUAUGCAAGGCAAAGGUAUACCUUAGCUAGGUUUUCCUAGUUUUGCCGGUCUCAUGGUGCUUGGAGGGAGACCGGAUUAUAGGUUUGAUAGUCGUACUAUCAAGAGGGACUCUCGGGCAAGUAGCUUGAUCAUGUCGCGUGUAGAGAGCUCAAACCUUUGCAUUACUUGUGUCAUUAUUUAUUGUUGAUCUUGGGUGGUUCUCUAUGUGAGGACCUUGGGCUUUUCCAUAGCUUCAAAGCGAGCCCAAGAUCAUCAAUUUCAGAGUCCGUAUGCCAAAGUUAUCAUUGUUUUAGUGGGCUGCUGCAGGCUGUUCUGGGUACCCCGUGGACACGGGGUUUUUGACCCCCAUGGGCACAGGGCCCCGUGCACACGGGCCUGUACCAUGUGCACGGGACCCCGUGGGCACGGGGUCUAAACCCCCGUUGGCACGGGGUGUCCAGGAAGUGUCCGUUGGAGCCCCAACGGCUAGUUUUGGAAGUUGGCUAUAAAAGAGCCCUUCCUCCCCACCGGUUUGGGGGCUGUUCAUUCACAUUCUAAACAUCAUUUUGAGCCUCUUACCACCUCUCCCAAACCCCUAUCUCCCUUCUAAGUGAAGGGUGAUUUGUGGAUGGAUCUUGGAGUCAUUUAUUGAUUUCCUCCAUUGCAUCCCCUCUCUUCAAUCUCCCACUUUCUUGAGUUGCAUCUUGUGAGAUUGAGAGAGUGAGUUGAGCAUUUGUUGCUUGACCUUGCAUUGCAUUUGUUGCAUCGGUUUGAGCUCCCCGCAUCGAUUUGUUCGAGUGAGAGCCUGUGAGUUUGUUACUCUUGGAGGCUUCGCCUCCUAGACGGUUUGGUGAUACAUUGAGAAGAUUGUGAAGAGGCCUAUGUGGCCAAGGUUCCCUCGGAAGCUUCCUUUUGUGGCGUGCUCCGGGGAAGGGUGUUGAAGUGGCCUAGGUGGUCAAGUUCCUCCGGAAGCUUCCGUGGUUGUGGUGUGCUCCGGAGAGGUUUGUAAAGGUGUGGUGGUCGCCUUCAAGACCAACCCUAGUGAAUCGAGGCUCAUCCGUUGGGGGUGACUCGAAAGGGAGAAUACGGUGAGUCACUUGGUGACGCCCCAGAGCUUUGGCUACGGCACCGCUCUAACGGAGAUUAGCACUCUCACGAGUGUGAACUUCGGGAUAAAUCCGCAUCCCCGACUCACUUGUGGUUAUCUCAUACCCACACCCUUUACUUUCCGCAAUUCAUACUUGCCCAUAUUGAUAUAUCUUGUGAUAGUUGAAUUGCUUAGUUGUUCCUUCAUUUCCAUAUCUUGUGAUAUAGUUUGUGCUUGCUAGUUUGCUUAAUUGCCUAUCUUGUUUAGCAUAGGUUGUUGGUGCACUUAGUUGAGCCUAGCAUAUUUAGGAUUUGUGCUUGAAAACUAUCCGUUAGUUUAAUUCCGCAUUAGGAUAAAGCCAAAUCCGUAAAAGUUUUAAAACUCCUAUUCACCCCCCCCCUCUAGUCAUCAUCUAGAUCAUUUCAACAAUGAAGAAGAAGAGGACGAUGACAGCUAUCCUGGCCAUGGGUUCCCUGAAUACGAUGAUACAACAAUGGGGGAAGAAGCUGAGCCGGCAAUGCGGGAAGAAGCUGAGCCGGCAAUGCGGGAAGAAGCUGAAGAAGAGGCAUCAGAUGAGCCCGUUGAUGAUCUAGGUCGGGCCAUUGCCGAUGCAAAGAGAAACUGCGCAAGUGAUUUGGAGAAGAAGAAUUUGCAGCGCAUGUUAGAGGAUCACAAAAAAAUGUUGUACCCGAAUUGCGUAGGUGACAAGAAAAAGCUGGGCACCACACUGGAAUUGCUGCAAUGGAAGGCAGAGAAUGGUGUAUCUGACAAGGGAUUUGGAAAGUUGCUGGUAAUGAUAAAGGAUAUGCUUCCAAAGGACAACGAAUUGCUCGAGAGUACGUACGAAGCAAAGAAGGUUGUCUGCCGUCUAGGGUUAGAGGUGCAGAAGAUACAUGCAUGCCCUAAUGAUUGCAUCCUCUACCGCGGUGAGUACGAUGAUUUGAACGCUUGCCCGGUAUGUGGUGCAUUGCGCUAUAAGAUCAGCCGCGAUGACCCUGGUGAUGUCGAGGGCGAGCGCCCCAGGAAGAAGAUUCCUGCCAAGGUGAUGUGGUAUUCUCCUAUAAUACCACGGUUGAAACGUUUUUUUCCAAAACAAAGAGCAUGCCAAGGCGAUGCGAUGGCAUAGAGAAGACCGUAAGAAAGACGGAAAGUCGAGAGUACCCGCUGACGGGUCGCAGUGGAGAAAAAUCGAAAGAAAGUACGGGAAGGAGUUUGCAGAUGACUCAAGGAGCGUAUGGUUUGGUCUAAGCGCAGAUAGCAUUAAUCCUUUUGGGGAGCAGAGCAGCAACCAUAGCACCUGGCCUGUGACUCUAUGUUUUUAUAAACUUCCUCCUUGGUUGUGCAUGAAGCGGAAGUUCAUUAUGAUGCCAGUGCUCAUCCAAGGCCCUAAGCAACCCGGCAACGACAUUGAUGUGUACCUAAUGCCAUUAGUUGAAGAACUCUUACAACUGUGGAAUGGAACAGGUGUACGUGCGUGGGAUGAGCACAUGGGGGAAGAAUUUGACCUAAAGGCGUUGUUGUUCGUGACCAUCAAUGAUUGGCCUGCUCUUAGUAACCUUUCAGGACAGACAAACAAGGGAUACCGCGGAUGCACGCACUGUUUGGAUGAUACCGACAGUAUAUAUUUGAAUAGUUGUAAGAAGAAUGUGUACCUGGGACAUCGUCGAUUUCUUCCGAGCAGGCAUCCCGUAAUAAAGAAAGGCAAGCAUUUCAAAGGUGAGGCGGAUCACCGGACGAAGCCUCGCCACCGUACUGGUGCUGAUGUACAUGAUAUGGUCAAGGAUUUGAAGGUGAUAUUUGGAAAGGGUCCUGGCAGACAACCUGUUCCGAAGGACGCUGACGAACGCGCACCCAUGUGGAAGAAGAAAUCUAUAUUUUGGGACCUGCCAUAUUGGAAAGACCUAGAGGUCCGCUCCGCAAUCGACGUGAUGCACGUGACGAAGAAUCUUAGCGUGACCCUGCUUGGCUUCUUGGGCGUGUAUGGGAAGACAAAAGAUACACCUGAGGCACGGGAGGACCAGCAACGUAUGCACGGAGAAGACGGCAUACAUCAGGGUCAUGCAAGCUACGCUCUUACCAAAGAAGAGAAGGAAAUCUUCUUUGAAUGCCUGCUUAGUAUUAAGGUACCGUCUGGCUUCUCGUCGAAUAUAAAGGGAAUAAUAAACAUGGCAGAGAAAAAGUUCCAGAACCUAAAGUCUCAUGACUGCCACGUGAUUAUGACACAACUGCUUCCGGUUGCAUUGAGGGGGCUUCUACCGGAAAACGUUCGAUUAGCCAUUGUGAAGCUAUGUGCAUUUCUCAAUGCAAUCUCUCAGAAGGUAAUCGAUCCAGAAAUCAUACCAAGGUUACAGAAUGAUUUGGUGCAAUGUCUUGUCAGUUUCGAGUUGGUGUUCCCACCAUCCUUCUUCAACAUCAUGACGCACAUCCUAGUUCACCUAUGCGAAGAGAUUAACGUUUUGGGUCCUGUAUUUCUACACAAUAUGUUCCCCUUUGAGAGGUUCAUGGGAGUCCUAAAGAAAUAUGUUCAUAACCGUGCUAGGCCAGAAGGAAGCAUCUCCAAGGGCCAUCAAAAUGAGGAGGUCAUUGAGUUUUGUAUUGACUUUAUUCCUGACCUUAAGCCGAUUGGUGUUCCUGAAUCGCGGCAUAAGGGCAGACUGGAUGGAAAAGGCAUGCUAGGAGGGGAACAAAUAAUAUGUAUGGACGGACAUUCUCUCACUGAAGCACACUACACAGUUCUACAGAAUUCCGCCUUGGUGGCUCCAUAUAUGGAUGAACACAAGAAUUUGCUACGCUCCAAACACCCAGAGCGGUCUGAUGACUGGAUUACACGUGAACAAACCAGGAGUUUCGCCAGCUGGUUGCAGACACGUACCAUGCAUGACACCUCUAUUGAAGAUGACCUGUACUUGCUGUCCCAGUUACCAUCUUCGAAUAUAAUGACUUUCAAAGGGUACGAGAUAAAUGGUAAUAUAUUUUACACGAUCGCUCAAGAUAAGAAGAGCACCGACCAAAACAGUGGUGUCCGCUUUGAUGCAGAAACCAAGAUGGGAAAGGAAACAUAUUAUGGUUAUAUACAGGACAUAUGGGAACUUGACUAUCGGUGUGGCUUAAAGGUCCCUUUGUUUCGGUGCAAAUGGGUCAAUAUGACACGAGGCAGGGUAACGGAAGACCCGUAGUACGGAAUGACAACAGUGGAUCUCAACAAUCUUGCGUAUGCAGACGAACCAUUCAUCCUAGCCAAUGAUGUGGCACAGGUUUUCUAUGUGAAGGACAUGUCUACCAAGCCAAGAAAAAGAAAAGAUAAGGAAGCGAAUGCAUCGUACAAUGAGCCAAAGCGGCACAUAGUUCUUUCUGGGAAGAGAAACAUCGUGGGAGUGGAUGACAAGACAGACAAGUCAGAAGAUUAUGAAAAGUUUGAUGAAAUUGCUCCAUUCACAGUGAAUAUUGACCCGAGCAUCCCGUUAAAUGAUGAAGAUUUUCCAUGGUUACGGCGCAAAGGAACACACGCGAAGAAAAAGUUUCACACUCAAAGAUGUGGGAUGUGAUCGGCUUCACUAUCAUCACUUUCUUCUGUGUUUCACACCCAGAGGGGAAUCUCUGUAAUAGUUAGGGUAGUUAUGUGUUUUGGCAUUUGAAACGCGAAGAAAUUUUCUGUGCAAACAAAUUCUUUCAUGCCUUUACUGAUUUUUAAAGUUAAGUUAUUCACAAACUAGUGAUUCACACUAAUUUCAAAUAAUUCAAAAUUUAAACUAUUCAAAUUUGAAAACUACGGGCACUAACAGAAAGUUUGUAAUUUUUUGUACCUAAAGCAAAAAUAUUCACAAAGAAACUCUAAAUACACAAAAAAAACAACACAAAAAUAAAUAAAGCAAAAAAUAAAUAAAAGCCCGCCUACUAGGCCAGAGCGGCCUGCAUACGACUAGAAACCCAACCUGUUGUUGGGCCAGGAUGCAGGCCCGCAAAGGCCAAGUGGGCCCACAGGGCAGCAAAGAACACGUAGGCCCAGUAGGCCUGCUUUGGAGAGGAGCUCGAGAGAGCGACCGCACGGGGGUUUAUAAACCAGUGCGGUCGCCCCUCGGCUAGCGAGGUGGGACUAAACUUGCCGCACCAUACCUGCGCCAGCGCACCCCCUUUAGUACCGGUUUGUGCCACCACCCGGUACUAAAGGGGGUCGCUUCCCGCCGCUUGGGCUGGCCAAAAUUGGCCUUUAGUACCGGUUGGUGGCACAAACCGGUACUAAAGGCCCUUCCUAUAUAAACAACACUUAUGAAAAAUUCAGUUUCUCAUCUGGCUUCUUCUCCUCUGCACCGUCGCCCGCCGCCCCCGUCGCCGCCCCGUCCCCGUCGUCCCCGUCCCCUCAUCCCCGUCGUCACCGCCGCCCCGUCCCGACCCGUCCCACGUCGUCCCNNNNNNNNNNNNNNNNNNNNNNNNNNNNNNNNNNNNNNNNNNNNNNNNNNNNNNNNNNNNNNNNNNNNNNNNNNNNNNNNNNNNNNNNNNNNNNNNNNNNNNNNNNNNNNNNNNNNNNNNNNNNNNNNNNNNNNNNNNNNNNNNNNNNNNNNNNNNNNNNNNNNNNNNNNNNNNNNNNNNNNNNNNNNNNNNNNNNNNNNNNNNNNNNNNNNNNNNNNGUCCCUCGCCUUGCCGGUGAGCGCGCGCACACACAUACAUUUUUUAGUUAGAAAUGUUAGAAUUGUUAGAAUAGUUAGAAAUGUUAGAAUUGUUAGAAUAGUUAGAAAUGUUAGAAUUGUUAGAAAUUUUUCUGUUUUUUAGUUAUAGAAAUAGUUAUAAAAAAAGUUAGAAUUGUUAGAAAUUUUUCUGUUUUUUAGAUAUAGAAAUAGUUAUAAAAAUGUUAGUUAUAUAUAUAGAAAUGUUAUAAUUAUUUCUGUUUUUAGUUAUAGAAAUAUUAGAAAUGUUAGUUAUAUAUAGCAUUGUUAGAAAUGUUAUAGAAAUGUUAGUUAUAUAGAAAUGUUAGAAAUUUUAGUUAUCAAAAUCCAAUCAUUAAAAAAUGUUACUUUUUGCGGGCAUAUAGCUAGUAUUUGUUCUCGACGAUGCCCGACCCGCAUCCUCGCCGUCGACAUGUCCGCGACGACGUCCGACUGACCCAUGUCCGGGACUGGGCUCCGCCGGGCUGGCACUGGGAGGUGCUGCCUGGAGGGGCGCGCCGCUUGAUGAGGAACCCGGCCCCGGGUCCCGUCGUCGACCCUGAUCUCGUUUGGUGGCGUUCGCGUGGGCCAGUUUCGGCGCGGAGGGAGCCGGCCCAGCCGGAGGUGGUAUGGCGCCGUGUCAGGGAGGAGGACGAUCACGUCCAUCGCUACAUGGUUGCGUUAGAGGGCGGUAGGUUCUCCAAUACAUGGCAGUUUCUUCAGGGAUCUCACUUCAGCUAUGAUCCUGUGAGGGUUCCUUCUCUUUGGGUGUCCACCGCCCGCGCCGCAGGAACCGCGAGUGUCCUAGAUUCUUCUGUAGUAUUCGAUCUUUAUUAGCUACCUAGCCAGUGAUAUAUUCGAUAUUAUAUCUAUUAUUCGAGACGAUGUAUUCGAGAUUAUAUCUAUUAUUCGAGACGAUGUUUUUGAGAUUAUAUCUAUUAUUCGAGACGAUGUAUUCGAGAUUAUAUCUAUUAUUUGAGACGAUGUAAUUUGAAUACUAAAUUGUUUUAUAUUUCUUUUGGAUUAGUUAAAUAAAAGCUAUGGCAGACAAUACCGGCAGAGAGGGAGAACAUGCCAUGUUCGAUAUGAUACGCCAUCCUCACGGGCCAGAUGAUGAUCAGAAUGAAGAAGAUUAUGACGGCUCCGAAUUUCUAAACAACACCGGAGAGGGUGAUAUGAUAUUCGAUCGCGACGACCGAAUUGAUGAGGUCAUGAACUAUGAUUAUGAAGAUGACAAAGAAAAUAUUGAUCUUGAAACAACAAAGACCGGCGAGGUAUAUAUAUUUAUAUAAGCAGGCAUCUGGUGAUCAUCACAUGUUUUAAAUGACUUGAAGAUAUAUUAACGAAUUGAUCUUUGUUCUUUCAGCCAUCCGGAUCGAGCACAUCUUCAGGCAAAAAGACGAAACGAGGCCCGAACAAAAAGUUGAAGGAGGGCGUAAAGUACAAUAUCGAGGCAAUCAGACCUAAUGGCGAACCAUUAGCGCCUAAGAAGAUUGCGGACAAGUUCGUUCGUCAGUGCAGAGUUCUUGUGAAGGACCAACUCCCGAUCUCCCUUCGAGAAUGGAGAGAGCCAGCAAAAGACAAAAGACAAAAAGACAAAAAGGAUGCUGCUCCACGUCCAGAUGUUACUUUUGUCGACAAAAAACACAAAGAUCUGCUUUGGGAUACUCUCAUGGAACAUUUCACCCUACCAGAUCAUUUCACAGAAGCAGAUGUGCAGAAAGUCAAGGACGCUGCUCUUAGGAAGAUGGCGGUUGCAUUCAAGAACCACAAGAAUCGUGAAUGGGACAAGUACGUCAAGGGAGGAAGGAAGACUCCAGUAUUCGAGGGAACACUAGAGAACCAACGUGCUCAUUGGGAUGAUUUCGUGAAAUUCAAGGAUUCGGAAUUAGCUAAGGAACGGUCGAGAAUAAACAAGAAGAAUGCCGAAAAAAAGAUAAGUUCCAUAAGCUGGGGCCAGGUGGCUAUGCGGUGGCAAUGCCUAAGUGGGAUAAGUCUGAGAAAGAGAUGGAGGAUGCAGGUGUCACUCCGGUUACUAAGAGCUGGCCCCCCAGGUGCAGGACUUGGUUCUAUGCGCAUGGGGGGGAGUUGGACCCAAAGACAGGCAAUGUUUCGACAAGGGCAAGUCUGAAGGGAGCCGACGAUGCGAUACUUGUUGCAAUAGAAGAGGCACGAUCGGGGGUGUUCCAGCCCAACAGAGAGAACGGUGAGCUUACGCGUGCCCUGGGAAAUCCUGAACACCCGGGAAGAACACGAGGCAAGGGCGCUAUUCCGUGGUAUGAGGGGUUUUCAGACUGGAACACCGACUACAGAACCCAUGCGAGAAAGAAGAUUGCGGAGGAGAAGAAGAGGAAGAUGGAGGAGGAGCAGAGGAAGCGGGACUAUGAACGCCUUCAAGGCCUAGAAGCAAGUCAAGCGGAAUUGGCAGUCAAAUUCCAGCGGCAGCAGGAGCAGAUCGACUCACUUACCCAACAAAGGGGGUCUCAGCAGCUAGUGAAUGAUCCAGCAUUGGAUAGCACUGCCCCAUCCAUGCCGAGAAGCAGCGUGGGUUCCGCCCCGGACGACGCAAUGCUGGAUAGAUACCCCGUGGAUGACAUCACGGAGAACACUAACUGCGAGCUACACGUCAAAAUGAAGAACAUAUCCAUGAAGGUGGCGGACGCCGUUGCUUUUACAAAUCCCCCCGAGGCAACCUUCCAUUGCAACCCGAUUCCGGCAGGCUAUGCUCGUGUCUUGGUUGAUGAGGUGGUGGACCCAUAUUCGGAGCUACAUCUUGACAUUCCUGGAGGUGACGACGAGCACUUUCUCGGAGAGGCCAAACAUCGUAUCAUCCUAUGGAAAAAGGAUUGCAUCAUCUUUCGAAGGCCGCCGACACCGCGUCAGCCGACUCCUCGUCGAAGUCCGCCACCGAGUCAGCAGACUCCCGCUCCUGCAAGUCCACCAAGUCCGGCAAAGUGUCAGGCCACUCCUCCUCCAAGUCCGGCAAAGUGUCAGGCUACUCCUCCUCCUCCAAGUCCGCCACAGCGUCAAACGUCCACUCCUCCUCCAAGUACGGCACAACCUCAAGCCACUCCUCCUCCAAGUCCGGCACAGCUUCAGGCCACUCCACCUCGUCCAACUCAGCCACGUCAGCCGUCUCCGCCGCCUCAGCAAUCGCAGAAGAGACACCCCGCAGCUAUGGUGCGUAGCGGUACGAGUCGAGGUAGUACAGGAAGUACAGGCGGAGGCAAGCGAUAUAAAUAUGGUCCAAGCCUCAUGCCUCUUCCGCAGAGGCCUUAUGAAAAGUCCGAGGAGGAAAACGCAGCCAUAUCGAAGGCCGAGGUGGAAGCCCAUUUUGCACCGAAACCGCCACGGCCGCCAAGGGAGAAAGUGCCUGAGGAAACGAUUGACCACUUCAUUCGUGUGGCUCAACCACCAGCUCCCAAGCCUGUUGACACAGACUAUGAGCGCCACAUCAGGAAGUUAAAUCGAGCACGUCUACGUAAGGAGGCGAGCUCAGGAUCGAGCAAACAACAAGCAGCUGUCAAAAAUGCGGGAAAACCAUUCCCCAGCUGGGAGAACAGGCGGCGCAAUCGAUCCCCUCGCUUGUUGUGCCAACAACACAUGACAGUACGCGCGCCCAAUAUUAUUAUGGGCAAACAAUUUACGUUUCCGAGGUGGGUAAUGUGGUAAUAACCAAGGACCAUAUAAUGCAGGCUGAAGUUCUCAACAUCACUGUUGGACAACUCCUCGAGAUCGAGCCCAUGUCUGUGCUUACAGAUGAUGAAAUAAAACGGAAAUAUGUCCGGGGCCAACCUUUGGUCGAGCCAGAAAAGGUCAAGAACCUCCCAACGAGAAUGUAUGAAUUGCAUCAAUGGUACAUGAACAUUACCAAGAUUUCAGAUCGAUUGUCCCUCAUGGUGAAUGUCAAGGAGGAGCAUUACUUUCAUGAGAAAGCUCUGUCCGUUGAGUAUUCUGAACUGUUUCAGUUAUACAAUCAAGACGCACUCGACAAAUCUAUUGUCAGUUGCUAUUGUCUGUAAGUGAUUUCUUUCUGUAAUUUAAGUCUCAAGCUAGCUGUAGUGAUCCUUUUGAUCAAUCAUUACCUGUAAUUAUUCUCACUAUAUUCUUUUCUGUGAUAUUAUGCAGGAUGAAGAUGUAUGAAAUGAGAAAAGGUGGACGCUUUGGCAUUGGGUUCAUUGACCCAAACACCGUUAAUGAAUACACAUGGCUAAUAAAUCCACAUCAUGAAAAGGACGUAGAGGACAACAUGCUAGAGUUCUUGAAGCGCCUCAAAUACAAUGAAGAUAUACUACUUCCUUACAACUUCCAAUGAGUCACACUGUCUUGUACUACAAAUUCUUUAUUUUUGCGUACUAGCUAGCUACAUGUUUUUUGCUUACAUAUGCCCGCUUAAUUAAUACAUGCAAACGUGUGUGCAUGCAGAUUUCACUGGAUCUUGUGUAUAAUUAAAGUUGACACCGGAACAAUUGAAAUACUGGACUCACUACUCAAAGCAAAUACUGACUAUAACAUCUUGUUUGGGAUAGUCAACAGGUAAUUUCAAUCAUUAUUAACUAUAUAUCUCGGCCUAUUUAGUUCGUCAUUUCAUGAUAUGAACUAUUUAAUAAUCCCUUUAUUUAUUUUCUUUGUCGACGGGCAGGGCUUGGGCAAGGUUCAUCAGCGUCACGGAAGGCGAAUGGAAAACAAAGGUUAAAUGGUUUCGAUCCAAGGCAAGUAAUUAAGUAGUACUAGCUAGCUAGCUAGCUGUCAUCUCUUUAAUUAUCAUGCUUGAUUAAUUAUUAUCUGAUCAAAUUCCAUUCUCGUAAAGGCCCUGAAGCAGGCGCAGGGGACUGAUCUGUGUGCAUUCUGCGUUUGCAAGAACAUUCGCAUGAUGGCGUCCGAAAGGAGCAGAUCUCAAAGACAGGAAUGGGUAUGCUUGUCAGAACACUAUUCACAAUUUUUACACCAUUAUCGAUAUCUAGUCACACAACUAAUACACAUGCAUAUUGAUCUCCUUCUUAACAGUUCAAAGAGGUGCGGGAGAAGCUCCUAGAAACGGAGCGCGUAGAAGCACUUCAAGAGGAAAUAGCGGGAUUUUUGCUCGACCAGGUCAUAAAUCCGAAGGGAGAAUACUAUUACCCGCUACCGCCCCCAUGAAAACCACUUCCAAUUGUCAUCGUGCUCCGAAGGCACCAAUUAGACUAAUGCCACUGGCUUCGGAGGCAACAUGCAUAUGUAGGAGAAAUUGUAUAUAGCUAUACACGUGUGUAUGUGUGAAUUAAUUAAUAUGGUGGUUUGUGAGACAUUGAUGAUAUAUAUAUGCAUGAUUGGUUCUACUAGAAAUUCUAUUUAUAUANNNNNNNNNNNNNNNNNNNNNNNNNNNNNNNNNNNNNNNNNNNNNNNNNNNNNNNNNNNNNNNNNNNNNNNNNNNNNNNNNNNNNNNNNNNNNNNNNNNNNNNNNNNNNNNNNNNNNNNNNNNNNNNNNNNNNNNNNNNNNNNNNNNNNNNNNNNNNNNNNNNNNNNNNNNNNNNNNNNNNNNNNNNNNNNNNNNNNNNNNNNNNNNNNNNNNNNNNNNNNNNNNNNNNNNNNNNNNNNNNNNNNNNNNNNNNNNNNNNNNNNNNNNNNNNNNNNNNNNNNNNNNNNNNNNNNNNNNNNNNNNNNNNNNNNNNNNNNNNNNNNNNNNNNNNNNNNNNNNNNNNNNNNNNNNNNNNNNNNNNNNNNNNNNNNNNNNACGUGUACAAUAUGUAGUAUCGUAAAAUACUAGCAAACGAAAAAGAAUUAAAAUGGAAACACAAAAUUAAAUGAAAAAGAAAUCAUAAAACUAAAAAAAACCCAAACCUUAUAGUACCGGUUGGUCUUACCAACCGGUACUAAAGGGCUCCAGGCCCACGGAGCUGGCUCGUGCCACGUGGUUGCCCUUUAGCACCGGUUCGUGCUGAACCGGUACUAAAGGGAGGGGGGGCUUUAGUGCCCACACUUUAAUGCCGGUUACCGGCACUAAAGGGCCUUACGAACCGGUGCUAUUGCCCGGUUCUACACUAGUGCAUGAUGCCCAAGAGUGGACGGCUCAUCCUAAUUACAUCCGUGUUAUGUUCCAUCCCAAUCCACUCGAUGUUUGCACUGGAUUUGCCACCGAAGACGCUAACGGCCCUUGUCAAAAUCUGUCGUGGAUUCUUGUGGUGUGGAAAACAAGAGUCGAACGGUGGAAACUGCGCAGUGGCAUGGGACUUGGUGUGUACGCCAAAGUGGGUAGGUGGCCUUGGCAUUCCAAACCUACAUUGGCUCAACAAAGCACUACGGUCGAGAUGGCCAUGGCUGCAAAGAUUGUAAAGGAUAUUGCUAUUACUUAAAUAAAAUCGGCAAAAAAAUUUAAAAAUCCCCUUCCUUUUGCUCUUCCCAGUCCCAAUACUCUCCGGUUGUUCUCUCCCAAAAAGAAAACUCACCAAUCGUACCGCGAAUUCGUGAUUAAAUCGCUUGGUUAUCUACAAGAACUACGUGAGUCAGUCUACACAGUCCAGAGUAUGCAUCAAAGGCUACAUAGUAAUCAUCGUGUGCACAUUUCGAUCGAAAUGAAAACCAAAGGAAACAUCACAGGCAAGCUAUCACCGGCCUUAUUAGUCAGCGAACAUCAGACAAUUACACGUUUCUAUGGGGAAUCAGUUCCAGGACCGGACAUCAUGGAUCGUCCAUGGCCAGCUAUACUACUGUACUGUACCUUCGAUACAUCGCCACAAGCCGGAUCGCUUAUCGACGUGGUGAUGCCGCGACGGUGGUAGCACAUACUGCGAGCUCUGCAAGCUCUGGUGCCGCUGAGACAGCGACAUCGCUGGCUGAGAGCUCUUGUGCUGCUGCCGCGGUGAUAGUGCGGGCUGCGAACUCUGGUGCUGAUGUAAGUUCGCGGGCUGAGAAUCUGGGUGUUGCCGCCUCAAGCACCGGCGCUGCUGCGGCGAUGCACCGCGGACUGCGAGUUCUGUUCCUGCUGCGACAACUCCUCCCUCAACUGGAGCCUCAGCUGCUGCUGAUGUUGCCGCAAGUCCUGGUGGUGUUGUAACGGCAGCAUCGUGGACUGCGAGCUCCGUUGCUGCUCGGACAAUGACUCCUUGGACUGGAAGCUCUGGUUCUGCUGUGACGGUGCCAACAAUAAGCUCGGGCGUUGCGGCAAGCUUUGGUGCUCCUGCAAGAGUGACGUCGCGGACUGCAAGCUCUAGUGCUGCUGUAACGAUGGCGGCGUCGUGGACUGUGAGCUCCGUCGAUGCUGGGACGGCGACUCCUCGGUCUGGAAGCUCUGGUUUUGCUGCAAUGAUGCCAGCAGUAAGCUCGGGCGUUGCGGCAAGCUUUGGUGCUCCUGCAACAGCNNNNNNNNNNNNNNNNNNNNNNNNNNNNNNNNNNNNNNNNNNNNNNNNNNNNNNNNNNNNNNNNNNNNNNNNNNNNNNNNNNNNNNNNNNNNNNNNNNNNNNNNNNNNNNNNNNNNNNNNNNNNNNNNNNNNNNNNNNNNNNNNNNNNNNNNNNNNNNNNNNNNNNNNNNNNNNNNNNNNNNNNNNNNNNNNNNNNNNNNNNNNNNNNNNNNNNNNNNNNNNNNNNNNNNNNNNNNNNNNNNNNNNNNNNNNNNNNNNNNNNNNNNNNNNNNNNNNNNNNNNNNNNNNNNNNNNNNNNNNNNNNNNNNNNNNNNNNNNNNNNNNNNNNNNNNNNNNNNNNNNNNNNNNNNNNNNNNNNNNNNNNNNNNNNNNNNNNNNNNNNNNNNNNNNNNNNNNNNNNNNNNNNNNNNNNNNNNNNNNNNNNNNNNNNNNNNNNNNNNNNNNNNNNNNNNNNNNNNNNNNNNNNNNNNNNNNNNNNNNNNNNNNNNNNNNNNNNNNNNNNNNNNNNNNNNNNNNNNNNNNNNNNNNNNNNNNNNNNNNNNNNNNNUCUGUUGCAAUGAUGCCAGCAGUAAGCUCGGGCGUUGCGGCAAGUUUUGGUGCUCCUGCAACAGCGACGUCGCAGGCUUCAAGCUCUGGUUCUGCUGCAACGAUGCUAGCUGUAAGCUCGGGCGUUGCGGCAAGCUUUGGUGCUCCUGCAAUAAGGACGUCGCAGGCUGGUUCUGCUGCAACGAUGCCAGCAGUAAGCUCGGGCGUUGCGGCAAGCUUUGGUGCUCCUGCAACAGCGACGUCGCAGGCUUCAAGCUCUGGUGGUGAUGCUCCAGGGCAAGGGAGGGUGCCGAGCCGGUGUUGGCGUCGCGGGCACGAUAGCUAGCGGCGAACUGCUUCGCCAGGCCGACGAUGCCGACCCAGGCGGCGAUCUUAUCCUCGACCUUCUGGAACCUGGCGGCCGUCGGGCCGCUUGUCAGCAGCUUCAUGAGCUCCGCGCCGAAGCCGCCUGGCUGCUGGGACUCGACAAGCUCGAGCGCUUCUUGGAGCGCAUCCUUCAGCAUCUCCAGCGGGGGCGUUCUCAGCCUCGCCGUGUAGCUGCUGGCGCUGCUGCUCGUGCUCGCAGUGGAGGAGUCGAGGAGGAGGAUGUCGCUGAUGGCGCUCGCGCGGUUGGCAAGGUCAAGGCACCUCUCACUGUUCUCCCGGGCCGUCGCAGCCGCCUUCACUAUCUCCUGCACCACGUGGGCGAUCACGCUCACCACCUCCAUGAUCGAUCUAGAUCAAGUGUCGAUCGACGUUGCUUGUGAGUUCUCGAUGGAUGAAUGAAGAGGUGGAAGGAGGACGGCUUACCUACUGGACGAAGGCUUGAGUCGAUUUGGGCGGCUUAUAAAAGCUUGUGAUAACUUAAUUAAUGAUCAACUUGCGUUAAAAAGGAGAGCUUUCUGCUUAGAGUUGGAAAAACGCGGUUGCUAGACAAGAGUCGUGGCGAAGAAGAUAGGUACCUGGGUCAAGCAAAGCAAGACGCCGUUGCAUGGUAUUGGCGAGACGGUGAAAGUGCCCUUCACGCCGUCCGUUUUUUAGUGUUGUGUGGCAGCGCCUUUUGACACUCUUUGCGUGCCCUUCAUGUCGUCCGUUCUUUAGUGUUGUGUCAUGGGGUCUUUUGACACUCUUCGUGUCAUCCAAUUUGCCCGAAGGCGCAGCCGGGUCACCCGCGCGAAAUCACUAGUUGAGGAGUACUCGUUGCAAAGAUCACUUCAACUCUCUAGUUUGCGAAAAGUGUCGCACAUGCAGUGCGUCACUUAUCGCAACAGUUUUCCCUUUUUCAUAGAUUCGUUUAUUCAAAACGUUUUAUCUCUUAAAUCGUGCGUUCAAAUCUCAAACCGCUUUCAUCAUUGGAUUCCUCGCGCCGAGAUCCUCAAAAAUAGAUCCUACAUUCAUAGGUUUUGACGAACUUUUUUUCACGAAAAACACUAGCCAGAAAAACCGGACAAAAAACUGAAUCGGGAGCACGGGUUUUCCCUUUACGAAAGAGGCACGCCCGUGCCUCUCACGAAAUCACAACCGUGCCUCUCGCGGAAGCAAAAUCGUGACUCUCGCGAAAGAAAAAAAAGAAAACUCAUUUUUUUGUUUCCGAGGAGGCACGGUCAUGACUCUCUCGAAAGCCCACCCGUGCCUCUCGUGGAAGCAAAACUGUGACUCUAGCGAAAGGAAGAAAAGAGAAAACAUGUUUUUUUUAUUUCCGAGGAGGCACGGCCAUGACUCUCACGAAAGCACACCCCUGCCUCUCGCGGAAAGCAAAACCGUGACUCUCGUGAAAGGAAAAAAAAGAGAAAACAAGUAUUUUUUNNNNNNNNNNNNNNNNNNNNNNNNNNNNNNNNNNNNNNNNNNNNNNNNNNNNNNNNNNNNNNNNNNNNNNNNNNNNNNNNNNNNNNNNNNNNNNNNNNNNNNNNNNNNNNNNNNNNNNNNNNNNNNNNNNNNNNNNNNNNNNNNNNNNNNNNNNNNNNNNNNNNNNNNNNNNNNNNNNNNNNNNNNNNNNNNNNNNNNNNNNNNNNNNNNNNNNNNNNNNNNNNNNNNNNNNNNNNNNNNNNNNNNNNNNNNNNNNNNNNNNNNNNNNNNNNNNNNNNNNNNNNNNNNNNNNNNNNNNNNNNNNNNNNNNNNNNNNNNNNNNNNNNNNNNNNNNNNNNNNNNNNNNNNNNNNNNNNNNNNNNNNNNNNNNNNNNNNNNNNNNNNNNNNNNNNNNNNNNNNNNNNNNNNNNNNNNNNNNNNNNNNNNNNNNNNNNNNNNNNNNNNNNNNNNNNNNNNNNNNNNNNNNNNNNNNNNNNNNNNNNNNNNNNNNNNNNNNNNNNNNNNNNNNNNNNNNNNNNNNNNNNNNNNNNNNNNNNNNNNNNNNNNNNNNNNNNNNNNNNNNNNNNNNNNNNNNNNNNNNNNNNNNNNNNNNNNNNNNNNNNNNNNNNNNNNNNNNNNNNNNNNNNNNNNNNNNNNNNNNNNNNNNNNNNNNNNNNNNNNNNNNNNNNNNNNNNNNNNNNNNNNNNNNNNNNNNNNNNNNNNNNNNNNNNNNNNNNNNNNNNNNNNNNNNNNNNNNNNNNNNNNNNNNNNNNNNNNNNNNNNNNNNNNNNNNNNNNNNNNNNNNNNNNNNNNNNNNNNNNNNNNNNNNNNNNNNNNNNNNNNNNNNNNNNNNNNNNNNNNNNNNNNNNNNNNNNNNNNNNNNNNNNNNNNNNNNNNNGAAAACAUGUUUUUUUUCAUUUCCGAGGAGGCACGGCCAUGACUCUCGCGAAAGCACACCCGUGCCUCUCACAGAAGCAAAACCGUGACUCUCGCGGAAGGAUAAAAAAGAGAAAACGCGUUUUUUUCAUUUUCAAGGAGGCAUGGACAGGACUCUCGCGAAAGCAAAAUCGUGACUCUCGCGAAAAAAAAAGAACGCAUUUUUUUCGUUUUCGAGGAGGCAUGGCCAUGACCCUCGCGAAAGCACACCCGUGCCUCUCGCGGAAGCAAAACCGUGACUCUCGCGAAAGGAAAAAAACAGAAAACGCGUUUUUUUUCGUUUCCGAGUAGGCACGGCCAUGACUCUCGCGAAAGUACACCCGUGCCUCUCGCGGAAGCAAAACGGUGACUUUCACGAAAGAAAAUAAAAAUAAAACACAUUUUUUCGGUUUCCGAGGAGGCACGACCAUGACUCUCGCGAAAGCACACCCGUGCCUCUCGCGGAAGCAAAACCGCGACUCUCGCGAAAGAAAAAAAAGAAAACGCGUUUUUUUUCAUUUCCGAGGAGGCACGACCAUGACUCUUAUGAACGCACACCGGUGCCUCUCGCGAAAACAAAACCGUGACUCUCGCGAAAGGAAAAAAAUGAAAAACACAUUUUUUUCCGUUUUCGAGAGGCAUGGCCGUGACUCUCGCAAAAGCAAAACCGUGCCUCUUGCAGAAGGAAAACCGUGACUCUCAUGAAAGGGGAAAAAAAGAAAACUCGUUUUUUCACGAUUUUUUUUAAAUUUUUUUGUCUAAAAGCUAAGGAGGACCGUGGAAAACCAAAACGUCGAAAAAAAUUAAAAAACCAUUUGAAUAGCCGAAAACACGUGCGAAAAAAUAAAAAUAAAAAAUAAAAUUUGAAGGGAGCGCCUAGAGCGCGAAACGUGGGGACUGACUGAUAGCGCGCCAAGUGACGCUGAUCAUUGCGAGGCUCCCGAAAGAGCGCUCGUUAACUAAUGAACAAGUGGGGUCCAUGACAAGUGGACUGCAGGCGUUGUCAGGGCUAGCGUCAUGUGGGGAUUUUGACCACGCACGCGUGUGCCCUCCCGUGCUCUGGGACGCGCCUGCGUGCGUCGUCCUGACCGGGCACUGAGUGGGCUUCCCAGCCCGUAUAUGAAGGAGGUUGUCUGCCCGUCACGAGGCCUGGACGGCUGACGUGGGAUAAGAAGUGUAAUGGCGGUUGCCCUGCCCGGUGCGGCAAAGGGCCGGCUAGCACAUCCGAACUCGGCCUCGGCCUGGUGGGCUGUCCGGUCCUUCUCUUACCGCAGUUGUGAUUUGCUAGAAGCUCGCUGUUUUACGUCAGCCACCGCGCAUAUUGCCCUGCCUCUCGCUUUGCUUCACAGCCCUUGUGCACGUUAAAUAGUAUGGCCACUCAUUUAUAAUACCUAAAUAGAUCAUUUUCAUAUGUUAUUCUUUUUGACAUGUAGCCUAUCCACAUAGCACAUCAUCUACGUCAUUGUUUCGCUACCGGCUUACAGGAGGGACGGAGCACAGGUUGACCAAAGUAGACUUGCAUGAUAAGGGCCACGUCAUCGGUCAGUUACCAGCCACAAGGAAGGACUAGAGGCUCACCACCGCUACAGACCUCUCCCUCGAUUCAGCCCACCCAGAACCGAUCGAGUUAUUUUUAUCCUAAAAAAGGACUGACUGUUAGCCUUUCCCAUAUCCAUCUUGUCCCCGAUCUUUCCCCACGCUGGCAGUCAGACCCAUAGGAUCUCGCUCACGACGAUGGUCUGCUCCGAACCCACCUCAAGCCGGAGAGUCGGACGAGCUCCACUAAUAGAAAGGGGGGCAAUGGUCCAGGCCGGUCCAGCCCAUUAGUCCCGGUUCAAUCCAGAACCGGGACCAAUGGGGGCAUUGGACCCGGUUCUUGAGCCCCGGGGGCAGGCCGGGCCACGUGGGCCAUUGGUCCCGGUUCGUCUAGACCUUUUGGUCCCGGUUGCGGGACGAACCGGGACCAAUGUGUCUUGCUCCUGACCCACCACCAUUGGUCCCAGUUGGGGGAAUGAACCGAAACCAAAGGCUUCCCUUUAGUCCCGGUUCAUGCCACGAACCGGGACCAAUUAAUUGCCUAUAGAUACCCCACGAGCAGAGCACUCUCAUUGCUCUGUUUUUCGUGGCCGGCGAGGAGAGAGCUUUGUGUUGCUCUAGCUCACCUUCUAUGCACACGAGGUGUUCGAUGGAAUGCCUGAGCCACACUACUUAAGCUUUCUCCUCUCCAAGCUCCACCUCCAAGCUCCAUUUUUCUCAAUAUUUGUCUAGGUUUAGCGGUCCGUCACGUCCCGUCCCCGUCUUCACCGCCGUCGAUCGCCCGCGCCGAUCUCGUCGCCGGCACCACCGUGGUGAGCCUCUUGUUCUUAUCUUCUUUCUGAAAGGAAAAAAAACUCUUACUUGUAUGUUUAUAUAGAUACUUGUAUAAUUUUUUUACUUUUAUUAUUGCAUCUUAUAUAGUGCGAUGGUUUUGAUAUCCGCCCCCGUCGGCCCUCGUCCUGUCUAUGAUUCAGAUGUGGUAUAUAUUAUCUUUUCGUAACUAUUGGUUCAUUUAUUGUUUAUGACAAUUAUGCCGACCAACAUGACAUAGAUUUUAUUUAUCUAGGAGGUUGUUGAACCGGUAAUUCCAACCGACCCUAUUGUCGAGAGGUUAAAUUUAGUUGAAGAAGAAAACAAUUUAUUGAAGGAAAAAAUUAGAAAAAUUGAGGAGGAGAAGAUGAUAUUGGAGUUGCAUGUUGCGGAUGUCGUCGAUGAUCACAAGAUCAAGAUGGAUGCAAUGCGCUUGAAGAUUAGAAAGAUUAGAAAAUAUGCCAUUCAUACCGAGGCUUGGUAUCAUUAUGCCGUUGGAUCAGUUGUUACAUUGGUUGCGAUUAUGAUCGCAUUUGUUUUUGCAUUGAAAUGUUUUACAUAGUUUCAGUGUAUGGUUUAAUUAAUUUAGAUGCUCUGCAGAGCUUUAUGUUGUUAGAUGAGAACUAUGUAUGUACUUUGGUUUUAAUGUGAUGAUGAACUUCUAUUAAUUUGGUCACUUAAUUAUAUAAUGCACGCAGAUGAACCGGCAAUGGAUGUACGGUUCAAGACACACCUCCGAGUACAUUAAGGGCGUGCAUGAUUUUCUCGAAGUGGCUGAGGCAAACAAGCAAAAUGGUUUUAUGUGUUGUCCAUGCCUUGUAUGUGGGAAUACGAAGUCUUACUCUGACCGAAAAAUCCUCCACACCCACCUGCUUUACAAGGGUUUUAUGCCACACUAUAAUGUUUGGACGAGGCACGGAGAAAUAGGGGUUAUGAUGAAAGAUGGCGAAGAAGAAGAGUACAAUGACAACUAUGUGCCCCCUGAAUACGGUGGUGCUCCUGAAGAUCAAGAGGAACCAGACGAUGUGCACGAUGAUGCUGCAACGGGCGAAGCUGCUGAAGAUCAAGAGGAACCAGACGAUGUGCCCGAUGAUGAUGAUCUCCGCCGGGUCAUUGUCGAUGCAAGGACGCAAUGCGAAAGUCAAAAGGAGAAGCUGAAGUUCGAUCGCAUGCUAGAGGACCACAAAAAAGGGUUGUACCCCAAUUGCGAAGAUGGCAACACAAAGCUGGGUACCGUACUGGAAUUGCUGCAGUGGAAGACAGAGAAUGUUGUGCCUGAUAAAGGAUUUGAGAAGCUACUUAAAAUAUUGAAGAAGAAGCUUCCAAAGGAUAACGAAUUGCCCGACAGUACAUACGCAGCAAAGAAGGUCGUAUGCCCUCUAGGAUUGGAGGUGCAAAAGAUACAUGCAUGCCCUAAUGACUGCAUCCUCUACCGCGGUGCGUACAAGGAUCUGAAUGCAUGCCCGGUAUGCGGUGCAUUACGGUAUAAGAUCAGACGAGAUGACCCUGGUGAUGUUGAUGGCGAGCCCCCCAGGAAGAGGGUUCCUGCGAAGGUGAUGUGGUAUGCUCCUAUAAUACCACGGUUGAAACGUCUGUUCAGAAACGGAGAGCAUGCCAAGUUCAUGCGAUGGCACAGUGAGGACCGUAAGAAAGACGGGAAGUUGAGAGCACCCGCUGACGGGUCACAGUGGAGAAAAAUCGAGAGAAAGUACUGGGAUGAGUUUGCAAGUGAGCCAAGGAAAGUAUGGUUUGCGUUAAGCGCGGAUGGCAUUAAUCCUUUCGGGGAGCAGAGCAGCAAUCACAGCACCUGGCCCGUGACUCUAUGUAUGUAUAAUCUUCCUCCUUGGAUGUGCAUGAAGUGGAAGUUCAUUAUGAUGCCAGUUCUCAUCCAAGGCCCUAAGCAACCUGGCAAUGACAUUGAUGUGUACCUAAGGCCAUUAGUUGAAGAACUUUUAGAGUUGUGGAAUGGAAACGGUGUACGUACGUGGGAUGAGCACAAACAGAAGGAAUUUAACCUAAAGGCGUUGCUGUUCGUGACCAUCAAUGAUUGGCCCGCUCUCAGUAACCUUUCAGGACAGACAAAUAAGGGAUACCACGCAUGCGCGCACUGUUUACUUGACACCGAUAGCAUAUACCUGGCAAGCUGCAGGAAGAAUGUGUACCUGGGCCAUUGUCGAUUUCUUCCGACCAACCAUCAAUGUCGAAAGAAAGGCAAGCAUUUCAAAGGCGAGGCAGAUCACUGGAAGAAGCCCGCCAUGCGUACCGGUGAUCACGUACUUGCUAUGGUCAAUGAUUUACACGUAAUCUUUGGAAAGGGUCCCGGCGGACUAGCUGUUCCGAGUGACGCUGGGGGACACGCACCCAUGUGGAAGAAGAAAUCUAUAUUUUGGGACCUACCCUACUGGAAAGACCUAGAGGUCCGCUCUUCGAUCGACGUGAUGCAUGUGACGAAGAACCUUUGCGUGAACCUUCUAGGCUUCUUGGACGUGUAUGGGAAGACAAAAGAUAUAGCUGAGGCACGGGAGGACCUGCAACGUUUGCACGGAAAAGACGGCAUGCCUCCAAAGCAGUAUGAAGGUCCUGCCAGCUAUGCUCUUACCAAAGAAGAGAAGGAAAUCUUCUUUGAAUGCCUGCUUAGUAUGAAUGUCCCGACUGGCUUCUCGUCGAAUAUAAAAGGAAUAAUAAAUAUGGCAGAGAAAAAGUUUCAGAACCUAAAGUCUCAUGACUGCCACGUGAUUAUGACGCAACUGCUUCCGGUUGCAUUGAGGGGGCUUCUACCGGAAAACGUCCGAUUAGCCAUUGUGAAGCUAUGUGCAUUCCUCAAUGCAAUAUCUCAAAAGGUGAUCGAUCCAGAAAUCAUACCAAGGCUAAGGAGAGAUGUGGUGCAAUGUCUUGUCAGUUUCAAGCUGGUGUUCCCACCAUCCUUCUUCAAUAUCAUGAUGCACGUCCUGGUUCAUCUAGUUGACGAGAUUGUCAUUCUGGGCCCCGUAUUUCUACACAAUAUGUACCCCUUUGAGAGGUUCAUGGGAGUCCUAAAGAAAUAUGUCCGUAACCGUGCUAGGCCAGAAGGAAGCAUCUCCAUGGGCCAUCAAACAGAGGAUGUCAUCGGGUUUUGUGUUGACUUCAUUCCUGGCCUUAAGAAGAUAGGUCUCCCUAAAUCGCGGUAUGAGGGGAGACUGACUGGAAAAGGCACGCUUGGAAGGGACUCAAUAAUAUGCAGGGACGGAUAUUCUUGGUCUCAAGCACACUACACAGUUCUACAGAACUCUACCUUGGUGAGCCCGUAUGUCGAUGAACACAAGAAUAGUCUGCGCUCCAAACACCCGGAGCAGUGCAACGACUGGAUUAUAUGUGAACAGAUCAAGACUUUCAGCAGUUGGUUGGAAGCACGUAUCAGAGGUGACAACACUGUUUGUGAUGAGCUGUACUUGUUAUCCAGGGGACCAUCUUUGACUGUAUUGAUUUGGAAAGGAUACGAGAUAAAUGGGAAUACAUUUUACACGAUUGACCAAGAUCAAAAGAGCACCAACCAAAACAGCGGUGUCCGCUUUGAUGCAACAACCGAGAGAGGAAAUGACACAUAUUAUGGUUACAUAGUGGACAUAUGGGAACUUGACUACGGACAUGAUUUUAAGGUCCCUUUGUUUAAGUGCAAAUGGGUCAAUGUGUCAGGAGGCGGGGUACAGGUAGACCCACAGUACGGAAUGACAACAGUGGAUCUGAAAAAUCUUGGGUACACUGACGAACCGUUCGUCCUAGCCAAUGAUGUGGCACAGGUUAUCUAUGUGAAGGACAUGUCUACUAGACCGAGAAAGAGAAAAGAUAAGGAAGCGAAUACAUAAUACGAUGAGCCAAAGCGCCACAUAGUUCUUUCAGGAAAAAGGGACAUCGUGGAAGUGGAGGACAAGACAGACAUGUCUGAAGAUUAUGAAAAGUUUCAUGAAAUUCCUCCCUUUAAAGUCAAGGCUGACCCCAGCAUCCUGAUAAACAAUGAAGAUUAUCCAUGGUUACGGCGCAAUAAGCAAAUGACACAAGCGAAGAAAAAGUGAAGACUUUCUCCCGCAACUAUUAUGAUGAUACCAUGCCAACUUUGUAACUGACGAGUAUGAUACCAUUGUCCGUUUUGUACAUGCACAUGCUAUGUGUGGGUCAAUUUAUGAUACCAUGCCAACUUUCAACUUUUUCAGAGUUCAUUUGAAAUGCUUUAAUGUCUUAUGGUUCGGCCCUCGUAAUAAUUAAAAAUAGUAACAAUAAGUACUUUGUUGUAAGUAGAAACAAAAUAAAAUAAAUAAAGCAAGAAAGAAAACAAAAAAACAAAAAAAAUGGAAAGUUUAUAAUUUUCCUAAAACUAAAAGCAAAAAGAAUUAAAAAAUAAAGCAAAAAACAAAAAAAAAUAAUGCAGNNNNNNNNNNNNNNNNNNNNNNNNNNNNNNNNNNNNNNNNNNNNNNNNNNNNNNNNNNNNNNNNNNNNNNNNNNNNNNNNNNNNNNNNNNNNNNNNNNNNNNNNNNNNNNNNNNNNNNNNNNNNNNNNNNNNNNNNNNNNNNNNNNNNNNNNNNNNNNNNNNNNNNNNNNNNNNNNNNNNNNNNNNNNNNNNNNNNNNNNNNNNNNNNNNNNNNNNNNNNNNNNNNNNNNNNNNNNNNNNNNNNNNNNNNNNNNNNNNNNNNNNNNNNNNNNNNNNNNNNNNNNNNNNNNNNNNNNNNNNNNNNNNNNNNNNNNNNNNNNNNNNNNNNNNNNNNNNNNNNNNNNNNNNNNNNNNNAAACAAAACAAAAAAACAACAAUAAGUAUUUUGUUGUAAGUAGAAACAAAAUAAAAUAAAGCAAGAAAGAAAACAAAAAAACAAAAAAAGUGGAAAGUUUAUAAUUUUCCUCAAACUAAAAACAAAAAGAAUUUAAAAAUAAAGCAAAAAACAAAAGAAAAUAAAUAAUGCAGAAAACAAAACAGAAAAACUGGAAAAAAAUAAAAAUAGCAACAAUAAGUAAAGAAAACAAAAAACAAAAAAAAUGCCCCCUACUGGCCCCCCACGGCCUGAAUACGACUUGAAUCCCUACUUUGGGCCAGGAUUCAGGCCCGCAGUAUGCCCAGAAGGCCCAUCAGGCAAAGCAGUCGCAAGUAGGCCCAUAAGCCUGCAGUAGAGAGGAGUUCGAGAGGGGUGCGGUAGUGGGGCUUAUAAACCACUGCGCGCCCCUCUCAACUAGCGAGGUGGGACGAAACUUUGGCCCCGAUGCGGGCAACACAGGGGCCUUUGGUCCCGGUUGGUGGCUCCAACCGGGACUAAAGGGGGGGGGGCAUUGGUCCCGGUUGGUGCCACCAACCGGGACUAAAGGCCGCAGCUUCCCGCCCUUUGGGCUGCCGAAAAAGAGGCCUUUGGUCCCGGUUGGUAGCACCAACCGGGACUAAAGGGUGCAUUAGUCCCGGUUUGUGCCACCAACCGGGACCAAUGCUCCUUGUAUAUAAGUAGCACUUCGCAGUUUUGCAGAGUUCAUCGCCACCAGUUGCCCCCCGAUGAUGCCGAGCACAUCUACGCUGCCAGGCUGCCNNNNNNNNNNNNNNNNNNNNNNNNNNNNNNNNNNNNNNNNNNNNNNNNNNNNNNNNNNNNNNNNNNNNNNNNNNNNNNNNNNNNNNNNNNNNNNNNNNNNNNNNNNNNNNNNNNNNNNNNNNNNNNNNNNNNNNNNNNNNNNNNNNNNNNNNNNNNNNNNNNNNNNNNNNNNNNNNNNNNNNNNNNNNNNNNNNNNNNNNNNNNNNNNNNNNNNNNNNNNNNNNNNNNNNNNNNNNNNNNNNNNNNNNNNNNNNNNNNNNNNNNNNNNNNNNNNNNNNNNNNNNNNNNNNNNNNNNNNNNNNNNNNNNNNNNNNNNNNNNNNNNNNNNNNNNNNNNNNNNNNNNNNNNNNNNNNNNNNNNNNNNNNNNNNNNNNNNNNNNNNNNNNNNNNNNNNNNNNNNNNNNNNNNNNNNNNNNNNNNNNNNNNNNNNNNNNNNNNNNNNNNNNNNNNNNNNNNNNNNNNNNNNNNNNNNNNNNNNNNNNNNNNNNNNNNNNNNNNNNNNNNNNNNNNNNNNNNNNNNNNNNNNNNNNNNNNNNNNNUUGUUCAUAUGUGUAUUUAUUGUUCAUGUUUUUUUUCUGUUCAUAGAUUUUUUGUAUCUAUUGGCUCUUCGUCGCUCUGUAUUUAUUGUAUCUAUUGGUGAUAUUAAUUAUUGUAUAAUAUGCAAAUGUUUGUAUAUUCAUAUGAACAAUGCAUUAGGCAAAACCUUUGUUUUUUUUCGAAAUUUUCUAUUUGAACAUUUUUUUUAAAACAAGCAAUACUAAAAGAAUGAGAGGAAAAAGGAAAAUAAGAAGAGGAAGAAAGGAGAAAAAGAGGAGAGGAAGAAGAGGAGAAAUAAAUAAGAAGAGGAAAAAAGAAGAAAAAGAAGAGGAGAAGAAGAAAGGAAUAGAGGAGAAAGAAGAAAUCUUCUUCUUUCUCCUCUAUUCCUUUCUGAAGAAGAAAGGAAUAGAGGAGAAAGGUUCUUCUUUCUCCUCUAUUCCUUUCUUCUUCUCCUCUUUUUUUUCUUCUUCUUCUUCCUUCUUCCUUUUUCUUUUUUCUUCAUUUUCCUUAAUUAUUUUCCUUUCUCAAGGGAGAAGAAGAAAAAGAAGAGGAGAAGAAGAAAGAAGGAAUAGAGGACAAAGAAGAAACUUCAACACGAGCUAGGGGGUGGUACCGAUACCCCAUCCCCGAUAACAUUAUUUUCCCAUGUAUAUGUAUGUCGCGUCGUUGUCGAUAUAACCCCCUCUAGAUAACUUCGACAUGAGGGGCGGUCGAUAUAUAUAUAUAUAUACCCCCUCUCGACCGUGAUAACUUAUACAACUGCAGCACCCCCCUCGGCCCUCUCGCUCGACCAAAACUCUCGAGGACACCCAAACCCUAGAGAGAAAACGAUGUUGGUCUCCUACCCCCUCCCGCCGCGCCCCUACCCGACAAAUUAACUCUCUCAAGGCCACCCAAAUUUAUCAAGUUAAAAGAGAGUUAUCGUCGAGGCCACCCCAAACCCUUGAAGCGUUGUGUCGAGGCCACCCCAAACCCUUGAAGNNNNNNNNNNNNNNNNNNNNNNNNNNNNNNNNNNNNNNNNNNNNNNNNNNNNNNNNNNNNNCAAAUUUACCAAGUUAAAAGUGUGUUGUCAUCGAGUCCACCCCAAACCCUUGAAGCGUUGUGUCGAGGCGACCCCAAACCCUAGAGAAGCAGCGUCGAGGCCACUAAAAUGAUUCCUUAUUGUGAUUAGCUAGCUAGUUAGACAUUUGCCACUAAUAUAUAUAUAUAUAUAUAUAUAUAUAUAUAUAUAUAUACAUCCAUCUGUACCAUGUUUGAAUAAUAAUUGACAUGUUGUAAAUAUUUGCAGAAACUAUGGAGCACUCCCGAGACGAAGCAACAGAAGCGAUGUUGGGGGAUAUAAUCGCACAAGGAAGUGAUGAAGUUGCGUCAUUUCUCAACGACACCGUUNNNNNNNNNNNNNNNNNNNNNNNNNNNNNNNNNNNNNNNNNNNNNNNNNNNNNNNNNNNNNNNNNNNNNNNNNNNNNNNNNNNNNNNNNNNNNNNNNNNNNNNNNNNNNNNNNNNNNNNNNNNNNNNNNNNNNNNNNNNNNNNNNNNNNNNNNNNNNNNNNNNNNNNNNNNNNNNNNNNNNAUCCAUCUGUACCAUGUUUGAAUAAUAAUUGACAUGUUGUAAAUAUUUGCAGAAACUAUGGAGCACUCCCGAGACGAAGAAACAGAAGCGAUGUUGGGGGACAUAAUCGCAAAUGGAUCAAGUGAUGAUGUUGCGUCAUUUCUCCUCGACACCGUUGGUCAGCUAGAUGAAGAAGAGGGCUAUGUUUAUGAUGGUGGCUUCGACCCAUUAAUGCCGGUACAAGAGGAGGACUAUGUUCAUGAUGGCUCCGGUGGCACAAUGGAGGUACAAGACGAAGGAGACCGUGCUGACUGCUCCGGUCACCGAACCGAGUCCUGCCAGGUAUAUAUAUAUUAGUUAAGCCCGUGCUGACUAGUUAAUUGAUGCAUCCAUUGUUUUGGUAUAUGUACAUAUAUUAAUUACUGUCGUCUUUCUUCCUUAUAAUUUCUAGCCCUCCGGAUCGAGCACAACUUAGGUAAGGAGACGAGGCCCGAAGAAAAAGUUGAGCUCGGAUGAAAAGUUUGAGAUCAUAGAAAUCGCGUCCGACGGCGAACCGAUUGAACCCAUCUGGACAAGGAAGGCAUUUUCUGCUCAGUGCGGGGUUCUUGUUAGGGACAGGAUCUCGAUCAGCAUCCAGCAAUGGUAUAAGCCUGCUAAGGAUGAAGACGCUGAGGUGUCUUAUGUCAAUGAUAUGCAGAAAGAAGAUCUUUGGACUGAGCUGAAGGCAAAUUUCACCCUACCGCCAGAGGAGGAUCCGGAGAAGCCAGUUAAAGAGCAAUUAAUCAAGUCUUGUGGUCUUAAGAAGAUGGCAGGCCUAAUGAGGAGGUGGAGGAAAGAGCUGAACCAGUUUGUCAAGGAAAAAAAGACACUAGAAUUCAUCGGCAAAUAUGAGAAGAUCAAAGAUCACUGGCCCGCAUUUGUGGCCCACAAGACAUCGGAAAAGAGUAAGAAGAUGUCGGAGACAAACAAGAAAAAUGCUGCGAAGAAGAAGCUUCACCAUCGCACGGGGUCAAGUGGCUACCUCAAAGCCCGACUUAAGUGGUCCAAGGCUGAGCAUGAUCUGCUUGAAAAAGGGACCAUACCAGAGACAAUGUGCUGGCCAGACCGUUGCCGGACUUGGUUCUUCGGGGCUGGCGGAACCUUGGACCCUGUAACAGGGAAGUGUCAGUGGACGGACGAGCAACUGCAAACACCAGUCAAGAACAUUCGACACUAUAUCAAUGCAGCGCAGCGAGAGACGUUCCUUCCAAACAGGGAGAAGGACGAGCUCACAAUGGCCCUUGGGAAUCCCGAGCACCCUGGACGGACACGAGGCACGCCAGGCUCCAUUCCGUGGAAGGUUGGUUUUCCGGACGCAGGGGGUUACAAAACCCACGAGAGGAGGAAGAAACUGGAGCAGGACCAAAUGCAGGCACUGCUUGGAAGGGUAAUGGGGCUAGAGGAUCAAGAAGAGGAACGAGAAGCAGCAGAUCACAACAAACGACAUGCCGAAGCUUCCCCCGAAGCUACCCCGCCAUCUCAGCGGAGAAGCAGCGUGGCUUCCACCGAGCUGCUUCAACUGGAGCAUGUCUUGACGGCUCCUGCCAGCUAUCCCGUGGAUGGUAUCACGGAGUCUCAAAAUUGCCACAUGAUGGCGCGAUGGAUGAAUUUGAAGGUCAAGGCGGCUGUUGGCCAAGUUUAUCCUAGUGGACCCGGCACAACUUAUCACUGCUAGCCAAUUCCAAAAGGAUAUGCUAAGGUGAUGGUGGAUGAAAUAACAGAGGGAUUUGAGGACCUCGUGCUUGACCACCCUACCGGUGAAGGGGAGACUAGGCUGGGUUCUGCUCUGAAGACUCCAUGACUAUGGAAGAAGGAGCUCAUCAACCUUCUGAACUGGACGCCUCCGCCUCCUCCUCCUGCUCCGGCGAGUCAGGGCACUCCGCCUCCUCCUCCGGCGAGUGACGAUCAGGGCACGCGUGGUGGCACUCCGCCUCCUUCUCCGGCGCAUGGCAGCACUCCGCCUCCUUCUCCGCCUGCGCCGGUGCUCCCGAGCAGCCAGUAGCAUCCUCCUUCUCCGCCUCGCCAGCAAGGGCGGAAGAGACCCACCGCCGCCCCGGCUGCUCCGGCGCGUGGUACUCCUUCUCCUCCGCCUCGUAAGCAAGCACGAAAGAAGACAGACGCCGCAGCCGCUCCGUCUGCUCCGGCGUCUAGCAGCACAACCAGAGGCGGGAGGCAAUACAAAUACGGUCCAUCAUCUCUCAAGCCUCUAGAGAAGUUACCGUACGAGAGGUCCGAGGAGGAAAACGAUACGAUUGUGCAGGCCCACGUGAAGGAGUUCUUUGAAGGGGUGAAAGCAAAGAGACAUCCACCUCCGGAGGAGAAGGUAGAUCCGGUGAAAGCAAAGCGCACUAUCGAUGCCCUGAGGAAACCACCAAAGUCUCCGCCGAGAACCAACUAUGAGCGCAUUACUGAACAGACAUAUCUCCAAGCCCAGCGGUCGGGAACUAUUGUCAGUGCUAAAAUGUCAAAACAACAAGCAAAGGGGAAAAAAUUGCCCAGCUCGGCGAACAAGCACAGCAAUCGUGCCCCCCGCUCAAUGUGUCUAAUGCUCCGGGGACGAUGGUCGGUUAUGGCAAUCUUGACGAUUACCUGCCUGAUGAUGCACUUCCUGAUUUCUCCGGGGACACAGAUACGAGUACGGGAAGCCUCUCGUCAAAGAUGAAAAAUCUCUGACAACAAUGAUGCGAAGAUUCCAUAAUUGGUACAUGGAAACCUGCAGAGAGUCUGAUGGUAAGAAUGCUUUGUAUCUGCAUAUUAAAGAGGAGCACGAUCUCGUUGCAAAUGAUCUGUUGACUGUUCCAUUUGAGGAGUUCUUCGAGUUCUUCAAUCAAAAGGCCCUCGAUAAAUUAAUGGUCUUUUGCUACUGCCUGUAAAUACUAUUUCUGUCAUUAAGUCUCUAUAUAUAGCUCGGCUCUUUCAUUGCAUGCAUGUAUUUAUAAUUAAUUAUCCUCAAUAUAUUAUGCAGAUUGAAGAUCGUCGAGUGCAAAAAACAAGAAAUUUAUGAUAUUGGGUUCAUUAACACAAAUAUCAUAGAUGUAUUUCUGGUUGAAAAGAACGUCAAAGAGGUCGAGGACAACUUGCUACGAUCGUUGAUAAAAAACCAAAACAAAGAUACCAUAGUCUUUCCUUACAACGGCCCGUGAGUGUUACUGUCGUGUGCAUAUUCGGUUUCCCUUAUUACUCAAGCGAGGUUAUAGUAAUGUAAUUAAUGAGUUAUGCAUGCGUGCGCAGGUACCACUAUAUUCUUCUGAAGAUUAAGCUUGAGCGUGGACUAGUAACCGUCUUAGACUCGAGACGGAAAGAUCCCAAAACUUAUGCGGACAUGACUGAAAUGCCCAGCAAGUAAGUUCAAUCGAUCAUAAUUAUCGCACCAUAUCGGUAACUUUUUGUUCAUUUCCUGAUAUCUCAAGUAAUAAUAAUUAUUUUCUUUGUCUUGCAGGGUUUGGAAACAGUUCACCGCAGAAGCUCCGGGACUGCCGAAGGAGCUGCGAUAUACAUACCCGAAAGUAAGUACUACUGGCUAGCUAGUUGCGCGCAUCUCCCGUUGAUUCUAUAUAUAGCUAUACUUUCAUCAAUGCCAUUUAUAAUGCUUCAUUAUCAGUUUGAUUGACCUCUAUUUCUCGUAAAGUGCUUGUGGCAGGAGGAAGUGAAUGAUUUCUGUGGAUACUACGUGUGCAAGUUCAUCCACACCGCGACUUUGAAAAACAAGCGGGGCUACUCUCAAAGACAAUAUGAAGUGCGUAAGCAAUAAUAUUCACAAUUUUAUUUUAUUACACCAUCAUUUCUGUUGAGUUUCAUUCAUAUAUAUGUAUUAAUUAACCCCCUUCUUCAAAUUAGAUGUGGCAGAUGCGGAAUGAACUCCUAGAACCAGAUCGCAUGAAAGCAAUUCAAGAGGAAUUGGCGGGAUUCUUUCUUGACCACGUCAUCAGUAAAACCGGAGAAUACCAUGUGGAAAUUGAUUUCAAAUGCUAGCUAGGGGUUUGUAAUUAAGAGAUCUUAUGCAUAUUGUACAUGUAUGUAGCCAGUAGCGUCGGAUACAUGAUACGAAAACUUGUUGUUCGACCAACCUCUCGGAGAAGGAGAGGUCGAUCGAUCACUUCUCUCGGUAUGCAUGACGAACUUCUGUACUAAAUGGUUCUCUCGAUCACUUAUGUAUAUAUAGUACGUAGCGUCCAAGCACGGACAUAAGAGAGGACACUUCUCUCUAUUAAUUAGCUAGCUAACACAAUAUAUGAAACACCUAAUUAAAUUAACCCUCCAAAACCCCCAACCUCCCUUCCUUUCAAAAAAAAAACACAAAAACCCCAGCAACUGGAAUGCUGACGCGUGGAUGCAUUUUGGUAUCGGUUGGUGCCACCAAUCGGGACCAAAGGCCCCCUGACUGGGGUGGGCGCACAGAGCCACGUGGAGGCACAUUGGUCCCGUUUCUGGAUUGAACCGGGACUAAUGGGUGGAGGUAUUAGUAACGACCCAUUAGUCCCGGUUCAUGAACCGGGACUAAAGGCCCUUACGAACUGGGACUGAUGGGUGGUUUUCUACUAGUGCUCCCUCAUGUCCUUGCUCGCUCCAUACCGUCCUCGUGCCGCCGGCCUCGAACGGACAGGACAUGGCCAUCCCCUGCGCGGCCCCUGUGAUAGAGUUUACCUUGUUGUCUAGGUAUUCAUCAUGUUUAUUUCGUCGCAUUAGUUUCGGUCAUGCAUUUAGUCUAAGCUCCGGCAGGUUGUGUACGUCAAGUUGUGAUCAUGUACACGGUGCAAAGCUGGUUGAUAGAGUGAGUUAGUUAGUUGAAGUCAGUAGAUAAUGGAUGCAUGUGCGGGCGUCCAUCAGGUUAGUAGCGCACGUACGCGUAUUUCCGUUGCAUGAACGUGCUGUAUAGCCGAUAGUGGCUUAGAUGUGGACCGAGUAAUUAGGAGAUAAGCGUGAAGCCGGCUGAAUCGUGUGGCCGUGUCAAAGAGGUUGUUACUUAUGGCCAUGUUACCGGCUAGUGAAGAGAAAAUAGCGGAUCAGGCAGUACGUAGCAGGGAGUAGUACGUGUGUGUGUUUCUACUAAAAGACUUUAUAAUCAGCUAUGUGUGUGUUGAGAAGAAACAGAGAAAAGGCACAAGUGUGUGCGGUGCCGCAAAACUCCCUGUGCGCUCUUCUUCUACCUCAAGAUCUUGUGUGUGUCCUUUCUUCUUCCUCCUCGGGCUGUUCCAACACCCUGUUCCAGCAGAAUCGGGAAGGAGAAGCUCACUGGCCUCCUCGCCGCCGCCAUCAAAUCAGAUCAACAAUUAAGUUCCUUUUUAUCCAAUUCGAUCCUCUAUCUCUUUGUCUCCUACUACUACUGUUCCACUCACGGAUCAAACUAAUAGACAUUGACAUUGAUGAUUGUUCUGCCUCUUCAUGUUCUUCAACCAGAGUAACCGAUGGAUGCGUGCGUUAUAGCUACUGCUAUUAUCUUUAAGCGUGGUUGCUCCAAUACAUCGUCCUCUCUGCCAUAGUUGGUUGUCUGCGCCUUGCUCCAAGCACAAAUCAGAAAUCACCUCAUCACAUCAAUCCGUGGUUUGCCUGCACGAACUCAAGUGUUCACCAGCGUCAACGUUGGUGAAGCACUAGCGACGAUAGCACACUCCAAGGCUCCAAACUGUAUGCGUACCCUGUUCAUUGUGCAUCUCCAAGUACACAAUAGAGAAGUACCUUCGUUUCUCUUCCUCCUCUGUGCGCGUGUUUGAUCAAAUAUUUAUUUUGUCUUCUUUCUACUUUGAAACUCACACAUGCCGAUGCCUAUCAAUCUGAUGACCAGCAAUCUGUUUAUUGGUGACGCUCCUCAUGCCCUGCGGGUAUUUCACUAAAUGAUGCGGCGUAAAUCCACCUAUAGCUAAUUUUUCUAUGAAGCAAUUUGAUGCUUGGUAUAUGCCCCCCUCUAUUUCUUCAACUGAAGGUUUACAUCAGUUUUCUGGCUUAUUUUUUGUUUGCCGUCCUCUUAGAGGAAUCCUCACUUUUGUUCUAUGUUGACUACCAUCGUCUGGCCAACACUGUCACUAACUAGCUCACAUAUAUUGUUGUCAAUGUUGAAAGACAAACCUUUUUGACACUAUCUUAUAUAUCAAAAAAUAAAUACACAGGCUGCCUUCCAAUAAUUUUGAAUCUGUGUACUUCUGCGGUUCUGCUUGCUUCUGCUUGCAUGAAGAAAUCUUUUGUUAUAUGCCUGAAUAUCACAUAUGCUUGGUGAUUGAAAUUCUAUGAGAACUGCAAUUUGUAUGUGUCAUUUAUUUUAGUGAUGGUACAUGCAUUCUCAGUUUUUGAGAAUUAUGUAUGCAAUCAUCUCUAGAUUAUUCAUGCUAUUCAAUGGUGUCUGAAGACUACAUUUUCUAAUUAACAGGACAAACUAUUAUAGAUACAUAUUUUCAGAACAGAUACAAUUUUAUUUGACACACUGGCCACAUCUUUUUUUUCUUCCAAUGACUAUCUACUAUAACCAAGUAAUUUCUCCAAAGUGUUUCAUAUCACGUAGUUAAGAAUCCCGCAGCAAAGCGCGGGGUAAUCAUCUAGUUUACAGAGUAUGUCCGUUCAUUUACAGAGUACCACAUACACCAAAAAUCAACUGGAGCCUGAGCAAACCUUGUAAAACUACCUCCUAUUGAGCUCCAGAGUGGAGUCCACUUCUUUCUACUACGAGUGUACACUAGAAGUCCCUUGAAAUCAUCGUGCACGUUGUUUAUGUAGCACUUCUCUACCCAAGUUUUGGACAGAAGGUUGAUGUAAUGGACCAAUUUGAGGAUGCUGCCGUGUUCUUCAUAGCAACGGUGUAAUCUAUUUUGUCAGCUUAGCCAUAAUUAUAUGCAAGUACGAGUUACCACUACUAGAAAAAUUGUGGUUACUGACUAUUUUCAUGUUUGCCGAGUACCAGAAUGCGCGCGGGAUUGUUUUGGAACGGAGGGAGUAUGUGCAUCUUUUGUUCUCUUCGAGUCCGAGGCAGCCAUAUGGAACCCUGUUAUGGUGCUAACAAGGAGCAGUGCUAGAAGCUACUCCCUCCUUAAACUAAUAUUAGAGCGUUUAGAUACUAUCUUAGUGAUCUAAACGCUCUUAUAUUAAUUUACAGAGGGAGUACAAGAUUUGUCUCUAUCGCACCAUCCUUCAACCUCUUCUAGCUCAUUUGACGAGGCAAAACGGGCUUCGCCUUCAGUUACUAGAUUCAUAAUUAUUUUGGUGAAAUGCGUUACGCUUUCGGAAUAAUUGCCCACUUGCCAAAACAAGAAAUACACGCACAACCUGCGGUGCCGGCUCAUUUUUAGAGAUGUCUUAGAACGGAUCGGCAAAGAGCAUGCGCAUAAUUUAGAUUUCCUUCCAUUUUUGGGGAAUAUAAUAAAAAAAGACAGGCAUAUCAAGUAGACAGCCUAUAGAGAUGGAUCAUCUAUGUGUUGUGAUGUGAACUUCAAGCUUCAUUCCGCUCUCACAGUCUCCAGGUUUGCUGCUGAUGGCGUACAUCGGGCCUUGGCUACUGAGCUCGAGCUUGUCGUAGCCAGAGGUAUAUGUAUCGUCCCCGACAGCACCAGCCCUGCAGAAGAACUCCUCAUCUUUAUUCACUAUCACCACGUUAUGCAUCUUCGGAUUAUACUUGAACACUGCAUCAAUGGAAACAUGGUCAGUUCCAUACACUCCUUAUUGCUUAGCAUUAAACCAGGGCCUACUAAUUAAAGAACAAGUUUACGGAUCUUAUAAGAUAUGUGUGAAUGAUGUAAGUAGUGUUAUAAUUGCAAUGCAUGUUAUUAACACAAUGUUUAGUCAAAGAAAAAUAAAUGUGCGAUAUGCUGGCCUUGAUUAGUGUGUCAUGUGCGAUAUGGCAUCAUUCCUCUAACAAUUUCUCAUGUAACUAAAAUUUCAAUUACGCAAUGAUAUAGAACAAGAUCGAUAUCAUGGCUAGGACUCCAGAUGCUAUGGUGAUAAAAAUUAUUUCCAUCACCUGCGACAUAUAAUAUAACAUUUUAUACUUUGAAACAAACAUUCAUGUGCAUCACAAUUAACGAUUAUCUACCAUACUCACCAAGCACGUCACCAGGGUAGAAGGUCUUGUUCCUCUCCCAGCCAUGAACACCAAAGGUCCAUCCCUUUUGACCUCCGACUAUCCACUCCGUCUUGCUAAAACCACUGGUUGCGAAGCACAGGUUAGCACCAACCCAAGAGCAACGGCGCCAGUGCUGCUCAUGCUUCUACCUAGUGCCAUUGCCGCUUUUUUCACUACUAAAGCUCACAACUGAAUUUGAUUUGCGUUGGUGGGGAAGGGAAAC
Molecule: long non-coding RNA, 193942 nt
Filed under: Triticum aestivum (bread wheat)
Lineage: Eukaryota; Viridiplantae; Streptophyta; Magnoliopsida; Poales; Poaceae
Description: long non-coding RNA (TAES_LNC002348)
Source: RNAcentral